GGGAGGCUUCAUUUGUAAUGAUUUCAAGGGAAUAAUGAGCUUGCAUGAAGCCUCGUAUUACAGCUUAGAAGGAGAAAGCAUCAUGGAGGAGGCCUGGCAAUUCACCAGUAAACAUCUAAAAGAAGUGAUGAUCAGCAAGAGCAAGCAAGGGGAUGUCUUUGUGGCAGAACAAGCAAAGCGUGCACUGGAGCUCCCUCUGCAUUGGAAAGUUCCAAUGUUAGAGGCAAGGUGGUUCAUAGACGUUUAUGAGAAAAGAGAGGACAAGAACCACCUUUUACUUGAGCUCGCUAAGUUGGAAUUCAACGUUUUGCAGGCAAUUUACUAGGAAGAACCUAAAGAUGUUUCAAGGUAUCCAUGCUUGGUUGCAUAACUCAUAUUUAUGUAUGUAUCAAAGAUUUGAGUUUAUGAAAUACAUAACUUGUACAAAUUAAUCAUAUGCAUAUUAAAUUAUUCUCAGGUGCAGACUACACCUUUUACAGUAGUGUAAAGGUCUGAGUCUGCACUUUAUAAAAUACAGAGGUUUGCACCAGAGAUUGACUCUAAGGAAUCUUGGACUAGAAGAUGACUCUAUAAUAGAUGUAUUGUAAAGCUACGAGUCAUAAUAUUCGUUUUAAUUUCCUCUGAAGGUGGUGGAAGGAUAUAGGUCUUGGAGAGAAACUGAGCUUUGCGAGGGACAGCUUGGUAGCAUCCUUCGUAUGGAGCAUGGGGAUAGUGUUUGAGCCUCAAUUCGCCUACUGUAGGAGAAUACUCACAAUCACAUUUGCUCUAAUUUCAGUGAUUGAUGAUAUUUAUGAUGUUUAUGGAGCUUUGGAUGAACUUGAGCUAUUUGCUGAUGCUGUUGAGAGGUUUGUUGGCAAAUUAAUGUUAUACCUAAUUGAUUAAUUCAACUGCUAGGUAGCUGCUUGCUACUUCUCAAAUUAAUAGACCAGUCAUAUGAAUUUUGUUUUUUUUUUCGUUUUCUACAGGUGGGACAUCAAUUAUGCUUUGAACCACCUUCCGGACUAUAUGAAAAUCUGUUUUCUUGCGCUUUACAACUUGGUUAAUGAAUUUACUUAUUACGUACUCAAACAACAGGAUUUUGAUAUACUUCGAAGUAUAAAAAAUGCGGUACGUAAAAUAUUAGUUGCACCUCUGCCGCCAUUCCUUUCGUUUGAUUUAUCCUAUUUAAAUUACGAUGUUUUUGUCGCAAAAAAAAAAAAAAAAAAAAUAUAUAUAUAUAUAUAUAUAUAUAUAAGUUGUAACUACUACUAUUUUCUGUGUCUUGUGCUUCAGUGGCUUCGCAAUAUACAAGCCUACUUAGUGGAGGCGAAAUGGUACCAUGGUAAGUACACGCCAACUCUGGGAGAAUUCUUGGAAAAUGGAUUGGUAUCAAUAGAAGGCCCUAUGGUUACAAUGACUGCAUACCUUUCUUGGACAAAUCCAAUCAUUGAGAAGGAACUAGAAUUUUUAGAAAGUAAUCGAGAUAUAAUUCACUGGUCAUUCAAGAUUCUUCGUCUUCAAGAUGAUUUGGGAACUUCAUCGGUAUUUUUUCUUUUUUCUUUUUUUAACAAGACAGAAAUUGAAUUAAUCCUCUAUAUAUGAAUUGAUUGUAGAUUUUUUUUACCCAAUAAUUCAUCAGGAUGAGAUACAGAGAGGGGAUGUUCCGAAAUCAAUCCAGUGUUACAUGCGCGAAACUGGUGCCUCGGAGGAAGUUGCUCAUGAACACAUCAAGGAUAUGAUGAGACAGAUGUGGAAGAAGGUGAAUGCAUACAGAGCUGAUAAAGAUUCUCCCUUAUCGCAAACUACCGUCUGUACGGAAACGCAGGUUGAGUAAUUACUAAUACUGCGACUUAGAAAUAUAAAUGUGGUGAUAAAUAAAUGCGAAGAAAAUAUGACACAAUAAUUUAGACAAUGCUCAAACUUGAUCGUCGUCACCACCUUAGUCAACAUAUCUGCGGGAUUCUCUGUAGUCUUGAUUUUCUGAAGAAGAAUCUUCCCCUCAUCAACAAUUUCCCGCACAAAGUGAAAUUGUACAUCGAUGUGCUUCGUACGCGCAUGUUAAACUUGAUUUUUUGUUAAAUGAAUAGCACUCUAACUGUCGCAAUACACAUUAAUGUGCUCCUAUGCAAAUCCCAAGUUUUCAAGCAAGCCUUGUAACCAAAUAGCCUCUUCAACAGCCUCUGUAAUUGCCAUGUACUCGGCCUUUAUGGUCGUCAGUGCAACUGUAGAUUGUAGUGUAGACUUCCAACUGAUUGGCCCUCCAGCAAAAGUAAAUACAUACCUGGUGGUUGGCCGUCGUUUGUCCAAAUUACCAGCAUAAUCAGAAUCAACGUACCCGAUCACACAUUGACCAAGUGUAUCGUCUCUCUCAAAUAGUAAACCAACAUCCACAGUCUUCUAAAUGUACCGUAGAAUCCAUUUCACAGCUUGCCAAUGUCCUUUACCAGGAUUAUGCAUAUACCUGCUCACUAUACCAACUGCAUGUGAAAUGUCAGGCCUUGUACACACCAUUGCAUACAUCAAGCUACCCACUGCAUUUGAAUACAGAACUUGUAACAUGUAUUCUCGUUCUGCAUCUGUUGAAGGAGAUAGUUGUGCAGAAAGCUUGAAAUGAUAAGCCAAUGGGGUACUCACAGGUUUUGUCUGCUCAGUCAUGCCAAACUGUUGUAGUACCUUAUUCAAAUAUUGCUCUGAGACAAGCUUACUUUGCCACGAGCUCUAUCUCUACAUAUCUUUAUGCCAAGAAUCUUCUUAACUUCACCUAGAUCUUUCAUUUCAAAUUCUUGAUUGAGUUGAGUCUUCAACUUCUCAAUCUUAUCUUUGCUCUUUGAUGCUAUUAGCAUAUCAUCGACAUACAAUAGCAAAUAAAUGAAAGAUCCUUCUUGUAGCAUGCGAAAAUACACACAAUGAUCAAAUUUAUUUCUUGUGCACCUUCGCCCUUUUAUAAAUCGAUCAAAUCGCUUGUACCACUGCCUUGGAGAUUGUUUCAAUCCAUAAGCGACUUUGUCAAUUUGCAAACUCAAUUUUCUUUUCCAGCAACCUUGAAUCCAUCUGGCUAAGUCACGUAGAUUUCUUUUUCCAAAUCACCAUGUAAAAAUGCAGUUUUUACAUCAAGUUGAACUAGUUCAAGAUCAAAUUGCGCAACCAUGGCUAGCAAAAUUCGAAUAGAUGUUAUGCAAAUUUUAUUGAACUCGUAAGUGCACGAAUCUAUUGUAGUAUAGAUCAAUGGUGACGAGUGUCGAUCCCAUGAGGAGGUGGAUUUUAAUUGUGUGUAGAAUUAAUUUUUUAAAUGGGUGGUUGGAUUUGUGGUGAAAAUGAUUUAGAUUAUCUUAAAAUUCAAAUUAAAAUGGCAAGAAUAAAUUGAAGUGAAAAUAUAUUAAAAUGACGUACUUGGGUAUCUGGAUCUGCAUCAACAUGCCAAUUAAAUCAUGAGGGGGAAUUCACACCUCAUGAACUACACUCUAAUGAAUAUGGUGCUAAGGGCUUAUCGUGCCAAAUAAUAAUAACCUUGUACUAGAGGGGAAGAGAAAAUAAAUUAGAGGGGAAGAGAAAAUAAAUUUACCAAAUAAAGCCCAUGGCACAUGUUGAGACUUCACCUUCAACCCAAGCUUGAAAGAAAAUUAGCUACUCAUAAUUGAACUAGGGGCAAAAUGGGAAUUUAUUAAAAUACGUAGAAAAUAUAAGAUAGAGAGGGAAUUACAGAAAAUGGAGCCCAAAAAUGGAUUCAGAGAUCUAAAAUUAGGGGGGAGAGGUCCCCUUUUUAUAGAUACAUUGAGUAAAUCAUGGCCAUCAGAUUAAAAACAGUUUGGACGCUCAAGAUUGCGCCAUGUCAUCAAUCAACAGUAUGUGGUUUGGCCACGCGUUUUGAACAGUGACAUGGUUUGACCACGUGGUUUGAACAGUCAACCGGUUUGAACAUUGACGCGGUUUGGUUGAAAAUAAUCCUGUGUAUAUGCAUGUAUCAUACGCGUAAUUUUUGGUCCACUAACAUGCUGCCACGUCACCGAUCAAUAGUGCAUAAGAAUUCUCUCCAAUGGAAUCGUGACACCUCAUCAGUCAAUACCACAUCAUCGGUCAAUGCCACGUCAUCGAUCCGUCUAUGUGAAUAGUGUCAUGAACAGUAACGUAGACAAUACCGUACAUGUGAACAAUGACAUUUUUCCUUUUAUGCUCCUCCUAAGGUUUUCGACUGUCCUGAGUUCAAAAGUGAUGUCCGUUUUGCCAUCUGAUUUCUCGUUCAUUGUGAAAUGACCAUGAUGCCCCUAAAAUACAUAAAAUACUUAAUUAAAAUAAAGCACACAUAAUUAAAUUACAAGAAGCUUAAAUACAUAGAAGUAAGGGUGUUAGUAAAACUUGAAGUGUAAAAUGACGAUUUUCGCCUUUAUAAAUAUACAUUUUCUAACACUCAACACCCCCCCCAACCAGCUUAUUGCUAGUCUCUAGCAAAUAUAAUGAAAACAAAAUUCAAAUCCAAAAUGAUUUUUUUUUUUAACAAUCAUGUUUAUUCAAUCAGACUAAUGAUAGUAAUCAAAUAAAAGUAUAAGCAUUAUAUACAGUCUAAAGAAACAUUACACCCACAUCAACCAUCCACAUGAAUUAACCCAGUAGACUUUGUCACAGUUACUUUCAAGAAUGACAUGUUAAACCCCAAAAUCUCACUGGAAAUAGUGACACUCUCACAAAGAAAUUAAACCCAAUAAAAAUAGUCACUCCAAUGAAUGGUAAUUGAGAGAAAAUAAUUAAGAAAUGAUAUCACAUGCUCUCACCAAGAUGAAAGAAAUAUGCCCUUAGCUUAGAAAUAAUACGAUCUCAAGUCAAACAAAAAUACUAGUCAACCCAAUUUAUUUAUUUAUUUUUAUUAUGCACUACUACAUCUUUUUAGCCCAUAUAACUAGCUUCUGCUUCAGACUAUAGUUCCCUAAAAUCAUUAAGGACUUUUAUUAGGACGUAACGUAGGCUAGGGACAUGGCUAACAAAUGAGAAAAAAUAAGGAAAACAAAGUGUAUGUUUGAGAAAAAUGCAGAGAUUUUUUUUUUUAAAGUUGCAAGGUGGAUUUCACCUAUUAUUGUUAUUUAUUUAUUUUUUUAACAACAAUUUUUUUUUUUGCUUUUGUUUGGCACAACUUCACUGAACAAAAUAAUUAUUUACAUUUUUCUCAAACAUAAAUAGGUGAUGGAACUUGUAAGAUAUCGGGUAAUACUUCAAAUCGGAGUGGGUCAAGAUGAUAAGUUUGACAAAGAAAAAGUUUUUUUUUUAAAAGGCUCAAAAGGGUUAAUUAUGGAUAUUUCACAAAAGGGAUGGCUAGAAAGGCUCAAACGGAUCAAAGAUGGCCUUUCCAUCGUCUUUUAGGGCUCUAAAUAAUCUUCCAUAUCUACAGUUAGAUGGGCAUCCAGAUGUAGCAACACACAUUUUUUUCUUCUUUUUUUUUUAAUUUUACAACUUUUUUUUUAAGGGUUAAUUCAAAAGAAAUCUAGAGAUCGUGUAUAAAAUAAUAAACUGUUAAACUGUAUGAAGAAUGGGCAAAAUGGUUACUCUCCAAGAAAAAUGAUAGGCUCAAAAACUCACUUGUUACUUAUUCCGACAUGUUCAUUCCUUCAAGCAACUCAUAUUUAUCUCCGACAUCAACAUGUAGAGUAGCAAACAUGGCAUAACAUCACUUAAGACCAAAGAUAAUACAAAUACUAAAAUUUAAAAUUCAUCAUGUCAUCCAAUGUUAAAACAAAUCACACAAUUUUUUUUUCAAACAACAUUCUACCCCCCAACCUAUUCUAAACAUGAAAGGAAAAUAUGCAUGCAGAAAUGUGAAAAUGAUGCAGAAAAACUAAUUAGAAAAGUUACACUUAAAAUGAUAGAAAAAGAAAAUAGUUUUUUUUUUUUAACUAAGAAGAUGCGUUUCUAGAGGCACUACACUCCAUAUUCAGCUAUCUUCGACUCAAAAAUUUGAAAAUGUAUAUUUAUAAAGGAGAAAUUAAAAAGAAGAAGUAAAAAAAAAUGAAUAUCAAAGCUUAAUAAAGAAAAAGAAAAUGUCUGGAAUUUUUUUUUUUUUAACGAAGAAGAUGUGUUUCUAGAGUAACUACACUCCAUAUUCAGCCAUCUUCAACACAAAAAGUUAGCAACAAUUAGUUUUUACAACAAAAAAUCAGUAAAAACUUAACCAAGAUUCCACAAUUGUCGACUAUUCCCUACCCCCAACCGGAACGAGACAUUGUCCUCAAUGUUUUAAAGGAAAUAAGUAGAGUUUAGAAGACAUCACCUGGGUGGUGCAACAUAGAAGAAAAAUAUUUACGGGCGGAGAGUUAAAUCUAAUUUGUACUUCUUACUGCGGCUACUAUUACCAUCAUUAUUUGGACGCUCCAACACAAAGGUCUAGGGGUCUGGCUCUGGUCUAUAAGCUUGUAACAGAUCAAGUAGCUUAUUAGCAGUGUGAGCACAAAUAAAAAGAUUUUUCGUUGUGGAAGGAAUGAAAUAGUUUUUUAUUGCAUGGUUAAGAAAUACGAUGAAGCCAUCAUAAAAGUUAUUGACAUUUAACAAACCGAUGGGUUUCUGGUGAAUGUGCAGAUGAGCCCAAGAUACUAGUGUGAUAAGUGCCUCUAGUGUUGCAAGAUCUCCUAGAAGGAAAAUAAAAGCAUCAGCCUGAUUAAGCAUUUCAAUUAUUCUUUCUUGCAUAUCUGAGACGACUAACUCUUCUUCAAUCGGUGAGUUAGACAAACUGCCCAAAGAUUUUAGAGCUCUUGGGAUGAUGCCUAGCACUUGACUUCCUCUGAAAAAAGCAGCUUCUGAGACCAAUUUUGAUAACCCUCGGUUACCUCCUCCAUACACCAAGUGUAAUUUUCUCUCUGCUAUGCUUCGACCAAGAUCUAUGGCUGCCUCAACGAACUCUUUAUGUUUGCCAUAGUUAAAUCCAGAAAGCACACAAAUGUUCUUGAAUUGUCUAUUGGGAGUAGCUGCCAUUGGAAUAUUUCUAAAAAAUAAUUUGUGUGUGCUUAACAAAAAGUCAUAUUUAAGAAUCUUGGUGACAAUGGGUCACAACUGUGUAUGAGGUGGCAUGUCAGUGUCAAAUAACGCGUAAAGCACAUGGCUCGCGAGUCAAAAAGGAAACAGUAAAAAGAGAAAGAAACAAUGAUAAAAUAAAAUUAGUAAAGACAAUAAUGCAAAUGAUAAAACAACAGUGAAAUAAAAUAACAGUGAAGUAAAAGGAUAUUUACAGGUAGUUGUGAUUGUGGCUCAAAUCUUCCUUUGGUUUUACGUCUAAAAACGGCUUGAACGCCCUCUAUAGGUCGAGGAUAGGCUUCCCAUCCAGUUUUCUUGUAAACUGGCAAACAAGGUCGUUUAUAGUCAGAUUCUCGAGACUAUAUCGUGCAUGCUCUUUCUGGAAUAAUGGUCAUAACUGGAGAAUUGCUCCUUGUACAUAUCCACUGGGAUGCGUUUCAAGAGACAAAAUGAUAUCAUCCAAUGACUCCUUAUUCAAGCCAUCCCUAAUGAAUUGAAUCUUAUUUUCCCUGUUAUCAGACACCAUUCCUAAAGAACAUGGAUUUUUAUUGCAUCUCAUUCUGGCACAUUUAUGACAAGCAACCGAAAUUCUUCGAGCUCUUCAUUUUCUUGCAUAAUUUCCUUUACCACAACCAGGCAUGUAUGCAAUAAAUUUUAGAGGUAACUCACCUGCCAAUCGUACUUUAGCCUCGAUUAACCAACGGAUGUCAGCAGGUAUGUUAUUCCUCAUGAGCAAUCGCAUGCGUUCAGACCGAGCUUUAUAGAUUGUAAGGACGGCAUUCUGAGGAAGUGAAGGGAAUCGAUUGUGAAGCUUUACUAGAAUCUCGUUUCUGUCCAUACCUUUGCCUCAGAAUAUCAGUUAUUAUGGGAAACUGAAGUAACCGACUUGAUUGUCACGGAGUACCGUUAUCCGCCACUUCACCGGGGUAACAAACUAAAGCACACAAACAAAGAAAAACAAACUAAAACACAUAAAGAAAAUUACAAUUAUCCUCUUAUUGAAUUUACCUCAAGCUCCAACUGGAUAUUGUAGACACUUCUCUCAAUGUCUCUGAGUUGGCUUUUUAAAUCCUCAACAUAGGAUACUAACUCUGGUGGUUGCAGAGCUCAAAUACGAUGUGUUUUCCUAAAUCGAAUCUGCAUUUUGAGAUGAGAUUUUAGACGUUGAAGUGGUUUAAGAAUGUCCAGGAGGAAUUGUUUAGCUAUGGAACUCAUGAUUAACAAUGAUAAGAGAAAACUUAAUGGUUAAACAAACACACUUAUGCAAAAAUAAUUUCAAUUAGCAAAAGAAUAAUAAAAAGAAAGAAAAAAAAUCAAAUCACCGAAAAGAAAGAAAGAAAAAACUCAAUUCAAAUCUGGUGGGUCACUCAAAUUUAUUUCGGUGUCCUCUCCAUGUGGUUGGUACUCUAGAUAUAGCUUUAAUCUUUGACCAUUAACUUUAAACGUGACACCGUUCUUUGGGUCCUUAAUUUCAAUUGCCCCAUAAGGAAAAACAGUAUGAACAAUAAAGGGGUUAGACCAUCGAGAGCGUAACUUACCUGGGAAUAGGUGCAAGCGAGAAUUGAAUAAAAGCACUUUCUGACUUGGAGUGAAAGAUUUUCUCAUAAUUAGCUUGUCAUGGAAGACUUUCAUUCGUUGCUUGUAAAUUUUGGCAUUUUCGUAUGCAUCAUUGCGAAUUUCUUCAAGUUCUAUCAGUUGUAAUCUUCUUUCUGAGCUAGCUUGCUGCAUAUCAAAGUUGAAUUUCUUGAUGGCCCAAUAUGCACGAUGCUCGAGGUCCACAAGUAGGUGGCAAGCUUUUCCAAACACUAGCCUGUAGGGUGACAUCCCAAUCGGGGUCUUGAAAGCCGUUCUAUAUGCCCAUAAUGCAUCAUCAAGUCUUAAUGACCAAUCUUUCCUGUCUGGCCUCACCGUCUUUUCUAAUAUGUGCUUUAUUUCUCGAUUGAAGAUCUCAACUUGGCCACUGGUUUGCGGAUGAUAUGGGGUCGCCACUUUGUGAGUGAUUGAAUACUUUGUCAAAAGAGCUUUGAAUGCUUUGUUACAAAAGUGGGCACCACCAUCACUGAUUAUCGCUCAAGGGAAUCCAAAGCGUGAAACAAUGUUGCUUUUCAAAAAUCCUAUCACCACCUUGUGAUCAUUGGUUCUACAUGAAAUUGCUUCUACCCAUUUCGAUACGUAGUCAACAACAACCAAUAUGUAUUGAUGGCCAAAAGAAGGGGGAAAGGGUCCCAUGAAGUCGAUACCCCAUAUGUCAAAAAUCUCAACCACUAAAAUUGAAUUUAGUGGCAUCAUGUUCCUUCGUGUAAUGCUUCCCAUUCGUUGACACCUAUCACAUGAAGAAUAGAAAGUGUAAGCGUCUCGAAAUAUAGUUGGCCAAUAGAAACCACAUUGUAAAACUUUAGUAGCUAUUUUUUUAGUACUGAAAUGACCUCCACAAGCUUAUUCAUGGAAAAAUGAAAGAAUAUUCUGAAUUUCAUUUUCUGGGACACAUCGUCUAACAAUUUGAUUUGCACAAUACUUGAUCAAAUACGGGUCAUCCCAAAAGAAAUUCUUUAUUUCUGCAAAAAAAAUGGCCUUGUCUUGCUUGGUCCAAUGCUCUGGAAGUUGACCUGUAACAAGAUAAUUCACGAUGUCACCAUACCAUGGUAAUACUUCCACAUUCAUUAAUUGUUCAUCUGGAAAUGACUCAUUCAAUGUUAAUGGUUCUGUAAUUGUGUCAAAAUGGAGACGAGAGAGAUGGUCAGCCACAACAUUUUCUGUGCCUUUCUUAUCUUUAAAUUCCAAGUCAAAUUCUUGCAAAAGUAACACCCAACGAAUUAGUCUAGCUUUUGCAUCUUUCUUUGUGAGAAGAUAUUUAAGAGCAGCAUGAUCUGUGAAUAUAAUUAUUUUAUAACCAAUGAGAUAAGAUUGAAAUUUCUCUAAUGCAAACACUACUGCUAACAUUUUUUUUUCAGUAGUUGAAUAGUUCAACUGUGUAUCAUUCAAUGUCAAACUAGCAUAGUAAAUAACAUGGGAAUUCGAUCAACUCUUUGUCCUAAUACUGCUCUUACUGCAUAAUCAGAUGUAUCACACAUGAGCUCAAAUGGUAAGUUCCAGUUUGGGGGCUGAAUGAUGGGUGAUGAUGUCAACAACUGCUUUAAUUUUUUAAAUGCCACAAUACAUGAAUCUUCAAAGAUAAAAGGUACAUCCUUAGCAAGUAUAUUGCAUAAGGGUCUAGAAACUUUGCUAAAAUCUUUAAUGAAAUGUCGAUAAAAACCAGCAUGCCCAAGGAAAGUCUUACUUCUCUGACUGUUUUAGGUGGAGGAAGAUUGGAAAUGAGAUCCACAUUGGCUUUGUCAGCCUCAAUACCUUUGCUCGAAAUGAUGUGACCGAGAACAAUACCUUGUUUUACCAUAAAAUGACACUUCUCCCAAUUUAAGAUUAAGUUCUUCUCGAUACAUCUCUGCAGAACUAGUGUUAGAUGAUGUAAACAUUGAUCAAACGAGUCACCAAAAAUAGAAAAGUCAUCCAUAAAGACUUCAAAUAAUCUUUCAACCAUAUCAGAAAAAAUGCUUAACAUGCAUCGUUGAAAUGUAGCAGGUGCAUUACAUAAUCCAAAUGACAUCCUCCUAUAUGCAAAAGUGCCAAAAGGUCAAGUGAAAGUGGUCUUCUCUUGAUCUUUUGGUGCUAUGGGAAUCUAAUUAUAUCCUGAGUAGCCAUCUAGAAAGCAAUAAAAUUCAUGACUUGCUAAUAUAUUCAUCAUUUGAUCGAGAAAUGAUAAAGGAAAAUGGUCUUUACGUGUGACAGAAUUCAACUUUCUAUAAUCAAUGCAUACACGCCAUCCUGUAGUCACUCUAGUGGGUAUCAAUUCAUUAUCAGCAUUGGUAACUACUGUGAUUCCUGACUUUUUGGGGACAACUUGUACAUGAUUGACCCAUGAACUAUCAGAAAUUAGGUAAAUGAUACUUGCAUCUGAUAGCUUAAGGACUUCAGUUCUAACAACUCUUUUCAUAUUAGGAUUUAACCGACGUUGCAUUUCCCUAGUAGGUUUAGCAUUUUCAUCAAGGUGAAUGUAAUGCAUGCAGUCUAUUGGGUUUAUACCUUUUAUGUCCGCUAUGGUCCAUCCUAAUACUCCUUUGUGCUCUUUUAAAACAUCCAACAACUUCCCUUUUUGUUCAUCAUUUAGGGAUGAUGAGAUGAUUACCAGUAUAGUGCUUUCUUCUCCCAAAAAUGUAUAUUCCAAAGUGUUGGGUAAUGGUUAAAGCUCGAGUUUCGGUGGUGAUUCUGAUGAUGGGAUGAGUUUUUUCUCUGAUGGUGCUAGUUGUUCAACUCUUGACUUCCAUUUAUUAGUAUCCAUGGAUGCUGCUGAGUCAAGUAGAGCAUUAACCCCAUCGACUGAUCUGUCAAUAUCAAAAUCCAAACCAAAAUGAGUUUAAAAUGUUUGUAAAGGAUCAUCACUAAGGUUUGAAAGAAAAAUAUUAUCAACUAAUGCUUCUAUUAAAUCCACAUCAACAAUUUCAUCAUCUGCAUUGUGAGGUUGUUUGGCAAUGUUGAAGAUGUUUAGCUCCAUAGUCAUGUUGUCAAAGGACAACUGCAUAUUUCUAGUUCUGCAUUGAAUGUGAGCAUCCGCAGUUGCCAAGAAAUGUCGACCUAGAAUAAUGAGGAUGUGCUUCCUUGAAUCCUGUAUUGGUUGAGUGUCAAUUACAAUGAAAUCAACAUGAAAAUAAAAUUUGUCUACCUGGAUAAGCACGUCCUCCACAAUACCACGAGGUAUUUUCGUGGACCGAUCUGCAAGUUGUAACACCAUUGGAGUUGGGUGUAAUUCUCCCAGUCCAAGUUUCACAAAUACUGAAUAAGGCAACAGAUUUACACUAGCUCCUAAAUCCAACAAAGCAUUCUCAAUUGUGUGGUUCCCUAUACUAUAUGAAAUAAUGGGGGAGCCUGGGUCUUUGCAUUUUAGAGAAAUUUUAUGUUGGAGUAUAGAACUAACGUUUUCUGUUAAAAAUGCCUUCUUUUGAACGUGAAUGUUUUUCUUUUUAGUACAAAGGUCUUUAAGAAACUUGGCAUAAGAUGGAACUUAUUUUAUAGCAUCAAGUAAAGGGAUGUUAACACUUACCUGUUUGAAGAUUUCAAGAAUCUCACCUGUGGAUUUUCCCUUCUUUCCUUUAGCUAACCUAUGAGGAAAUGGAGCUUUGGGAACAUAUUCUCGUGGGUUGGUUUCUUAUUUCUCUUCCGAUAGUGAAUCCUCAACAUUCAUAGGUACAAUUUGAUUUUCUUUUGUCACCGGCAUCUCCACUUUGUUAUCGACUUCUUUUCAUUUUUGCAAGGUCAUGACUGCUUUGACCUCUCCAUGCUGUUGUGGUUAACUGGUACUUACUUCAUGCACUCCUUUAGGAUUAGGCACUGGUUGACUUGGAAAUUUACCUUUCUCAACAGUCAUUGCCAAGGUCUGAACUAAAGAAGCAAGUUGUCCCACCAUCUUCUCGAGGCUUGAAAUUGAUUGGGCUUGUGAGUUGAAGCCUGCUCUCAUCUCAUUUCGUAGUCCAUCAAUGGUGCGGUUCUGUUGUUCAAUCGUAGAGUGAGUAACAUUCUUGAAAUUCUGGAAUGCAUCCUCCCAUGGUCUGGGUUGAGAGUAGUUCUGGUUCUGAUUGUAUGGUCUAAAUGGUGGUUGAGAGGCUUGAGGAAUUUGAGGAAUUGGUUGCAUUGGUGGAGCUGGAGCUGCUGGUCCAUUCUAUUGGAAUCCUUGAGACCAUGAAAAAUUGGGGUGGUCUCUCCAUCCAUGGUUAUAUGUAUUGGAGUAUGGGUUGUAAUUUGAUGGUUUUCUCAUUACACCUAUGGCGUUGACUUGAUCGGAGUAUGAGUCAUGGUCAUGUGGCUCCGUUGAUUUAGCAGUCGAUAACGAUGGAAUUUGUCGAGAGAGACUUUCAAUUAUCGCUUUGACUUCUUUAAUUUCUGAACUUGACUCGCCAAUGUGAACCUCAUUCACUCCCUUAAUUCUUCUAGUAUUCCUGAGUGAUCGACUCCGUUGUUGGGAAUUAUCCGCUUGUCGCUGGAAGAAUUCCUAAAUCUCUGAUGUACUUUUUGACAUUAACUCUCCUCCACUUGUUGCCAUUAGCUAUUCUUGAACGUUCGGCAAUAAUCCCUCCAAAACGUAUUGACAUUGGUGUCAUUUCUCGUACCCAUGAUGUGAACACUUCAAGAGUAGCCCAUUGAAUCGCUCCCGUGUUUCGAAAAACUACUCGUCUUCUCUCUGGGUAAACUCUGAGAUUUCCCUGCGAAUAACAUUAGUUUUAUGCACUAGGAAAUUUUUAUUCAAAAAUUUAGUUACCAUUUGUUCCCAUGAUGUAAUGCUAUUAGCAGGCAAAAUAUUUAACCAUGAACGAGCUCUAUCCUUUAGAGAAAAUGGGAAUAAUCUAAGUUUAACAUCAUCUUCUGAAAAAUUCUCAUAUUUAAAAGUUUGACAAACAGCAUGAAAAUCAUUCAGAUGAUUAUAUGGGUCCUCAUUUUCUAAGCCAUAGAAUGUUGGGAGACAAUUUAGCCAUGGCAAGAAUAAAUUGAAGUGAAAAUCUAUUAAAAUGACGUACUUGGGUAUCUGGAUCUACAUCAACAUGCUUCAUGGGCUAAAUAUUCCUUAUUAAUGCCAAUUAAAUCAUGAGGGGGAAUCCACACCUCAUGAACCACACUCUAAUCAAUAUGGUGCUAAGGGCUUAUCGUGCCAAAUAAUAAUAACCUUGUACUAGGGAGCCGGUGAAAUCAGGGUGGUAUCUAGACAAGAUUAUUAUUAUUCGUUGACGAAAAGUCAAAACGUCCACAAAAAUUAGAGAGGAAGAGAAAAUAAAUUUACCAAAUAAAGCUCAUGGCACAUGUUGAGACUUCACCUUCAACCCAAGCAUGAAAGAAAACUAGCUACUCAUAAUUGAACAAGGGGCAAAAUAGAAAUUUAUUAAGAUACGUAGAAAAUACAAGAUAAAGAGAGAAUUACAGAAAAUGGAGCCCAAAAAUGUAUUUAGAGAUCUAAAAUUAGGGGGGAGAGGUCCCCUUUUUAUAGAUACAUUGAGUAAAUCAUGGCCAUCGGAUUAAAAACAGUUUGGACGCUCAGGAUUGCGCCAUAUCAUCAGUCAACAGUACGCGGUUUGACCACGCGGUUUGAACAGUGAAACGGUUUGACCACGCGGUUUGAACAGUGAUGUUGUUUGGUUGAAAAUAACCUUGUGUAUAUGCAUGUAUCGUACGCGCAAUUUUUGGUCCACUAACAUACUGCCACGUCACCGAUCAACUGUCCAUAAGAAUUCUCUCUAAUGGAAUCGUGAAACCUCAUUAGUUAAUACCACAUCAUUGGUCAAUGCCACGUCAUCGAUUCGUCUAUGUGAACAGUGUCGUGAACAGUAAUAUAGACAAUACCGUACAUGUGAAUAGUACAGUACAUGUGAACAGUGACAUUUUUCCUUUUAUGCUCCUCCUAAGGUUUUCGACUGUCCUGAGUUCAAAAGUGAUGUCCGUUUUGCCGUCUGAUUUCUCGUUCAUUGUGAAAUGACCAUGAUGCCCCUAAAAUACAUAAAAUACUUAAUUAAAAUAAAGCACACAUAAUUAAAUCACAAGAAGCUUAAAUACAUAGAAGUAAAGGUAUUAGUAAAACUUGAAGUGUAAAAUGACGAUUUUCUCCUUUAUAAAUAUACAUUUUCUAACACUCAACAAUAGAUGAGUGUUUCACAACUGGAGAAAAUACCUCAUUGUAGUCUAUCCCUUCCUUUUGAGCGUAACCCUUCGCUACCAAUCUAGCCUUGUAUCGAAUUUCAUUUUUACGAGGAAAUCCUUCCUUUUUUGCAUAUACUCAUUUGCACCCAAUUGCCUUUUUUUCCUUGGGUACUGUAACUAACUCCCAAGUUUUAUUUUUGUGAAGAGAUUGUAUUUCUUCAUUCAUUGCUCUCUUCCACUGUAUACUUUCUGGAUUACUUAUUGAUUCUCUGUAAGUGGAAGGAACAUCAUCAUCUACAAUUAGAAGUGCAUAGGCCACCAUAUCAACAAAGCGAGCAGGUCUGCGAAUCUCUCUGCAUGGCCUUCUAUAUGUGUUGGUGAUUUUUUAAUCAAAUGCUAUUAAUGCCAAUGUGCAAGUGUACACAACAAGUAAUAAAGUGAUGAAUAUUCAAGAUCGUCUCCACAGGGAUUGAUGUUACUAGAAUUGCUACAGCAAUCAUAAUAGUGCAAUCUACCUUUAUUCCGAGAUGAACAAAUGUAAAGUUGGUUACUAUUGAAAUUGAUAAUUGUGAGAGAAUAAAAUGAAACAAAGCAGUGAGAAAUAAAUUAAAUAAAAAUGCGUCGAAGAAUCAAAUGAGAAUAAGGUAGUUGAAUGAUCAAACUCUCUUUAUGGGCUGACUGCUUUUCAUCAAUUUAACACCAGUUGCUACAACAAUUUCUAUAGCACUGGGCAUAAUUAUUUUGCAUCCUCGGCUGUCGCAUAUUGGAAUUCUCAUACCCAUAAGUAUCUUAGCAAUGACCAGUUGCUAUUCUACCUACAGCAUGACACUAUGAACAUCCAUUCUCUCCACCCUACAAGGUGAAUACCUAUGUCUAGUUUAUCACAAUUCUUAACUUCAAGUAUGGCCCUUAUGGGAUUCAAGAUAAACUUAAUCCAGGAAACUUAAAUUAAGAUCAAGUAUUACUCUAAUAAUAUCCACUAAGACAUGCCCUUUUGCGGCUCUAUCUUAACUUGAACCAUUAAAUGGUUGGUCAACCGAAAUAACAGUUAUAAUAAUAACUACUAGAGCAAAAUGCUACAGCAAUUAUAUAACAACUCAUAAGAACAAUCAAGAACCCAUUAGAUUGUUUGUCACUCAACUAGAAGCAAGGUUAGUUCAUAUUCUUAAAGAGAAAAACAAACAGCAACAUAUUGGUCACGAAAUGCAUUGGUUUAAUCAAAGAGUGAAGAAAGAAUAAGUGAAGAAUGAUAGAUAGUGAAUCCAAAUAACUCUGCUGGAUUCUUCAAUGAUGCAGCCUCGAUUCCCUUGAAUUUUGAUCUUCUUAUUCUCUUUCUCUCUAAUUUCCCCAAUGAUAAUUCCUUGCCGCUGUUUUAUGUGAUACGCGCCUCUUUUUAUAACUAAAAACUAGGGUAAACAAAGGCCUCGGGCAUACAUGAGUCAAAUUAGAAAACUGUAUAUCGCAAUUCUACAGCUAACCCGCGCUAAGUUUUCUCCCUCGGUGUUCCAAGAUUGCUACAACAAUGGUCGCUCCAGCAACGACUAUAACACUAUACUGUUCCCGGUUGUGUUUCACUUCUUUUGUGGCCAUAUUCUUUCUUCUUCUUACUAGCCUAAUAUCUCAGCAUCCCUUCAUGGAUUAUAAACUUCUGAAAACCUACAAUUAUGCACAUGUUUUGAGCACAAAUUACUUUAAAUCAAGCAAAACUUAUUAAGACUAAACUAAAAUGGAUGUUUAUGCAAAACAUAACCAAAAUAUAAUAAAAACACAUCUUUUACUCUCUAAGUAGUCUUGAUUUAAGUCUAGAAUUGCCGUAAUAACUCUCAUUUCAUAGAGUUAUCACACCCCCAAACUUAAACCGUUACUUGUCCUUAAGUAAUGACAACAUACUAACACUUUACGCACACAAUUAUGCAACACACAACUUAGCUCUGUUAUCAAAUUUGCAAGGAUUCUUCCACCUUCAGAUCACAAUCUCAAUCAUGCCAAAUGCCCAUAGUACAUUAGUUAUAGACUUAAGCUUCCUUCUGUCCAAAGUGUGUGUGUGCUAUUUUAAUUGAAUUCCAGAAAUGCUACAACAUUACCAAGAGAUUGCCUGUAAUUCAGAGGUAGCACCAUUUUAUUCACAUAUAGGGCAACAUAAAUCUCACAUACUCAAACUGUGCUCUAUUCAAGAAUGAAAGCUUAAGAGUACUCAACCCUCUUCACUGCGACAUUUAUUUUUCAUGUGAAUGUCAAUUAAUUGUAAUGAUGACACCCAAUUACUCAAGCCAUACAAAAAUCAGAGUUGUUGUAGCAAUAUCUGUAACAUAAUCUUAUCUAGAGAUGUCUUUUAACUCAAGGCUAAACAUAGGGUUUAUGAACAGACCUGGCUACUCAAUAUCCUAGACAGAGGACUUCCUCUUUUUAUUGUCUCACUUUUUUUUUUUAACAGUCAAUAUAGCAGAUGCUACAACACUGCUCAUAACUCUUGUUGCCUUUGGAUGCAAAUCUGAAUUUGGGGUACAUACUCAACUCUAGUUACUCAGCAACUUGAGCCAUUGGAGCAGAAUUUAUUUCAUAGCAAGCACAGUCCAGCAAAAUUUUCCCCCAAACUUAAGAUAUUUUCUAUUCUUUUGGCUAUGCUACAACAUUCUCAUAAAACUCCACCAAAGUUUAGGUGUCAGGACAGAAUUUCACUCUCCAUCUAUAACUAUCUCUACUCGGCAUUGUGUACUGUUUGCACAAUUCUUGUGGGUUGAGGUGGGAAUUGAAACCUUUUUUCUUCCAGAAUCUUGAGCGGUUCAAUGAACUCUUCAUAUUUUUCUUCCGCGUGGUAACUUUGGAAGCGUGAAGGAUAUUUGAGUCGGCUGGCUAUUCUUUUAUACCUUGGCAUUGCUAUAACAGUAAGAAUUCGAUGGUAAUAUGCUCUUCUCCAAUAGUUGCUGGCAUGUGGCUUGCCUCUGUAUUCUGUCAACAAUACAACCCCAAUUAUUAGUAUGAAAUCCAUUUGUCACACAUAUUUCCCUCGAGAAAUUUAAAAAUAGAUAAAAUCAAUCCUAAGAAAUUAAAAAUAAAGACAUAAAACGACAACAAAAAUAAAGGUUCAAUAAUCUGAAAUAAUGAAAAUAAAAAUAAAUAACAAUAAGUGAAUAACAAAAUUAAAAUGAAAUAAAAAGGAAGAGCCUUCAACAAAACCAGAGAGGGUCAAGCUCAGUUGAAGUGACUGCCCCCGCAAUGGGUUGCCUCCCAUUGAGUGCUUGAUUUAAGGUCUUUCAGUCUGACCUUCUUUGAUUGCUCAAUAGCUUGGUUCUUUAAGGAGUAAGACCUCCUUUGAACAAUCUGCAGCUGAGUGUAUGUAAUGCUUAACUCUGUGCCCAUUGACUUUAAAUUCUUGGCCUGUCUUUUCAUCUAGGAGAUCAACAGUCCCAUGAGGAUAAAUUCUGAGCAGCUUGAAAGGUCCAGACCAUCGAGAUUUUAGUUUUCCUGGAAAUAGUCUUAGCCUUGUAUUAUGGAGCACCACUAGUUGACUAGGGCUUAAUUUCCUGUGUUGGAUAUGCUUGUCAUGCUAGUGUUUUGUCCUCUCUUUAUAGAUUCUUGCAUUUUCAUAUGAGAACAGUCGUAAUUCAUCAAGCUCACAUAGUUGAAGCUUCCUUUGCUCUGCUGCAGCAUGUAUAUCCCAAUUUAAUUGCUUCAGUGCCCAGUAUGCUUUAUGUUCUAGCUCAAGUGGCAAGUGACAAGCCUUCCCAUAAACAAUUCGGUAGGGAGACAUGUGAAGUGGUGUUUUGUAUGUUGUUCUGUAAACCCAUAGGGAGUCAUGUAAACUCAAGGACCAAUCCUUCCUUGAUGGAUUCACCAUUUUUUCUAAGAUCUUCUUAAUCUCUCUAUUGGACACUUCUGCCUGGCCAUUGGAUUGUGGCUGAUAUGCUGUUGCUACUUUGUGCCUGACUCCAUAUUUUACCAUACCUGCAGUAAAUAUUUUGUUGGAAAAAUGAGUACCAUCAUCACUGAUAAUUGCUCUUGGAGUGCCAAACCUGGAAAAAAUAUUUUUCUAAAGAAAGUCCACCACUACUUUAGCAUCAUUGGUAGGUAAUGCUGCAGCUUCUACCCAUUUAGAGACAUAAUCUACAGCAACCAGGAUAUAUAAUUUCCCAAAGGACGGUGGAAAAUGAUGCAUGAAAUCUAUUCCCCUUACAUUAAAAACUUCAACUUCCAGAAUAUUUGUCAAUGGCAUUUCAUGUCUUUGAGUUAUGUUCCCUGUCCUUUGACACAUGUCACACCAUUUAGCAAAUUCAUAAGCAUAUUUCAAAAUAGAAGGCCAGUAAUAACCUGAUUGCAGAACUUUAGCAGUUGUUCUGUGACCACCAAAAUGUCCUUCAUAUGCUGCAACAUGGCAUAAAUCCAGUAUGUGGGGAAUCUCUUCCUCUAAAGCACAUGUUUUGAGCACAAAUUACUUUAAAUCAAGCAAAACUUAUUAAGACUAAACUAAAAUGGAUGUUUAUACAAAACAUAACCAAAAUAUAAUAAAAACACAUCUUUUACUCUCUAAGUGGUCUUGAUUUAAGUCUAGAAUUACCGUAAUAACUCUUAUUUCAUAGAGUUAUCAAUAUGCAAUUGAAUCUUGUUGUUGUGAAGGUUCCUGGGUCAGAACCUCUUCAUCAUCUUCGGUCGAUGAAGAAUCACUAUUCAUCUCAUUGACACCAGCUAGAUCAGAUUUAACCUUUUCAAACUCCACCUGCUGCAAAGUUCCACUGGUCUUGUCAUCCUCUUGAGAAUCUUUUUGUUUCAACAUGGUUGAUUCAUCAAAAGUUACAUCUCUGUUGAAAAUAAUCAUCUUCAUAACAGGACACCAGAGACGGUAUCCUUUUACUCCACCAAUUAUACCCAUGAAUAAUACUUUUUUUGCUCUUGGGUUUAACUUAGAUUCUUUUACAUGAUAAUAAGUAGUGGAACCAAAAACAUGUAAAGAAUUAUAAUCAGUAGCGGGAUUACCAGUCCACAUCUCUAUGAGUGUUUUGCCCUCAAUUGCAGCUGAUGGCAAACAGUUGAUCUAAGUUAGACCCAAGAGUUGAUCUACCAAAACUUUCUCCAGUUGAUCUACCAAAACUCCUUGCCCAAUCCCGCAUUGGACAACAUACACCGAACUUUCUCCAGUAUAGUCCGGUUCAUGCGUUCUACCACCCCAUUCUGUUGUGGUGUAUCUCGAAUAGUGAAGUGUCGUACAAUGCCCUCAUCUUGGCAUAUUUGAAGAAAUGGAUCAUUCUUGUACUCACCACCAUUAUCUAAGCGAAGUCUUUUGACCUUUCGAGUAGUCUGAGCCUCGACCAUUUUGUUCCAUUUUAAAAAUAUGCCUAAAACUUCAUUUUUAUUCUUCAUUAAAUACACCCACACUUUUCUUGAAUAAUCAUCAACAAAAGUAACAAAAUAGUGCAUACCUCCCAAAGAAGCUGUUUUGGUAGGUCCCUACACAUCACUGUGAACAUAGUCCAGAAUUCCUUUUGUAUCGUGAAUUGCUGAAUUAAACUUUACCCUUGUCUGUUUGCCCAGAACAGAAUGUUCACAAAAUUCUAAUUUGCAAGAAUUUAUACCUUUCAAUAAGCCUUGCUUCACCAAAGUCUGCAAAGCUUUUUCACUAGCAUGUCCCAAACGUAUAUACCACAACUUGGUUGCUUCUGAAUUUACAUUGUUUUCCAGAAACUGUUGAUACUGAUCUAAUAACUGUACUUCCUUGGAAAUAGUACAAAUUAUUUCUUCUUGUGUCUUUCAUCACCGUUAUCUCCCUAGCUACUACCUUCAACAAUCCAUCUCUCAAAGCGAUUGUGAGCCCUUUAGAUUCUAGGACUCCUAAUGAGAUGAGAUUUUUCUUCAAACUUGGUAGAUAGCGAACAUCCGUCAAGACUUGGAUUGAGCCAUCAUGAUUCUUUAAUUGGAUUGUACCUAUUCCCAUGGUUUUACAAGCAUUGUCAUUGCCCAUAGAAACAACUCCACCGUCUAGCUCCCUAAAACUAGAAAACUAGGUCUUGUUAGGACACAUAUAAUAACUGCAACCCGAAUCCAAAAUCCAGUCAUCUGAGUGACGUAUCAAUGUCAUGCCAACCAGACUAAAGUCUGACUCCUCAUCAUGCUCUGCUACACACGCAUCAGAAGUAGCCUUGCCCUUUUGUAACUUAGGACAAUUCUUUUUCCAAUGCUCUUUCUCGCGACAAAAAGCACACUCAUCUUUGGCAGACCUCCCUUUAGACUUGCUUCUUUUUCCAGGUUUGCGACUUUGUGAACGGCCUCUCGCUGUCAAUGCUUCUGUAACUGUAUCUCUGUUAUCCUUUCUGUCUUUUUUUCUGGUCUCAGAGUUGUACAAUGCACUGCAUACAACAUUGAAUGUGACAUUGUCCUUCCUAUAAAGCAAAGUAGUGGUGAGAUGAUCAUGUUCAUUAGGAAGGGAAUUCAACAACAACAGUGCCUUAUCCUGAUCUUCAAAUUUCUCAUCCAAAUUUAGUAAAUUUCCCAAUAUUUUGUUGAAUGAGUUCACAUGGUCAUUUAUUGACAUGCCAGGUGUAUAUGUGAAAUGAUAGAGUUUCUUCUUCAUAUAAAGCCUAUUUUCAAGGCUUUUCUUCAUAUACUUUUCUUUCAGUGUCUCCUACAAUUUCUUUGCCAAUGUCUCCCUCAUGACAAAGUAUUUAUGAUCUUUAGCUAAGCAUAGGCGAAUAGUACUACAUGCCUGUCUGUUGAUCUUUAUCCACUCCUUGUCAUCCAUCAUGUCAGGCUUUUCUUCAAGAGCAACGUCCAACUUUUGCUGACACAAGACAUCCAACACCUCACAUUACCAUAUACCAAAAUUAUUGGUACCAUCGAAUUUCUCCACUUCAAACUUUGCAUUAGUCACAGUAGUCAUCGCUGAUGAAGACGACGACGAUGCCUCUGCCAUCCUUUUUAACUCAAAUGAUCAGUUUCGUCAACAACUAUUUACACUUGAAAAAAAACCUCUAUGAUGUUUAUUUCGGGUGAAUAAAUGCACCAAAAAAGUUCCCAGGAGAAUAGCGGGGUCACAACGGUCCCACUUAAAACCCAGACUCCUUAGGCUCUUAUCGCCUUGUUGUCAGAACUUUCCUAUACAUGCAAAAAUACACACUACUUACAAUAGACUAUCUCCCAAGUAUAAAUGGUCGUCUCCACCGUAUCAAUGAACAGUACCGUAUACAUGAACAGUACCAUAUCUGUGACCAGUUCCGUAUACGCGAACAAUGUCGUAUACAUGAACAGUGUCGUAUGCCCCAAGCACGAACCUUUAGCGCUGAUACCAAUUGUUGCGAAAAUGCGGGUUGAGCAAUUACUAAUACUGCGACUUCUUGAGAAAUAUAAAUGUGGUGACAAGAAAAUAUUACACAAUAAUUUACGUGGUUCGGCGUAAUGCCUACGUCCACAGGCAAAGAUUGGAAGAUAAUUUUACUAAUAAUGAGAAUUUACAAAAGUGGGAAAAAACUUACAAAACCCACAACUCCAAUACACCCAAAUGGAACAUCACUAGAACACUCUAGUGGAAGCUCUCUCAAAUUCUCUCAAAGAACUCACUUGCAAUUGCUCUCUACUUCUCUCAAAUUGGGAUGCUUUACAAAUGCAUUCUAGUACUCCUCUAUUUAUAGGCAAAGCUUACAAUAUGAAUGCAUGAAAAAAAAUUUGGCCAUUUUUUAAUUUUAAUGGCUUUGGUGUGACUUUUGAUGAAGAGAUCAUGCUAGCACAUGCAAUUAGAUCACGCUAGCUCAACAUUGGUGUGCUUGAAAUUUGCAUGCUAAGAAUUUGUCUUCAAAUUUGCCUCUCUAAAGUUGAAUGCAUGCAUGUGUAUUUGAAUUCCAAUUUUGAAUUUUUCAACACAGUCGAGUUCAUAUUGAAUGUUGUGAGAGUGUUCCAUUUUAUGUAUCUACAUGGAGAUGGGCAUAGGGCUCAAAACCAAGAGACAAUAGAUGUACUUUUUACAUUGCUUUUUCAACCAAUUCCCUUGGACGACAAACACAUGGUUGCCACAUCAUCACCUGGCACCAAAGGAUGAUGAAUUAUAGUUCAUGAUGCGUUACGAAUCCCCAGAGUGUAGUUUCAGUUGAUGUUGGCCUCAACUUUUCUUUUCAGUUUCUAUUUCUUUCUGAUGAUGAGAUCUCUUUUCGAUGAUUAUAAUAAAUUCCCUCACUCGUCGAGGUUUAUAAAUGAGACAAAAAUGUUAUAUAUGUUACUUUUAUUGAGAGUAAAAGUCGUCAUGAUGUGAGAACCAUUUUCUAGCAAAAGCAUGAGAAUGGCAGAAUGUGUUAUGUAUGCAGUUAUACUUUAUAUACAAACAUGGUUCAAAGCAUGUUAAGGCACAAUAGAUACUCAGUAUACAUGGUGUUGCGGAAACGUGGGUUGAUCAAUUUCUAAUACUGCAACUUCUGGAGAAAUAUAAAUAUGGUGAUAAACAAAUGCAAAGAAAAUAGGACACAAUAAUUUACGUGGUUCGGCGUAAUGCCUACAUCCACGGACAAAAACUGGAAGAUAAUUUUUCACUAACAAAUGGGAAUUUACAAAAGUGGGAAAAACUCACAAAAUCCACAACCCCAAUACACCCAAAUGGAACCUCACUAGAACACUCAAGUAGAAGCUCUCUCAAAUUCUCUCAAAGAACUCACUUGCAAUUGCUCUCUACUUCUCUCAAAUUGGGAUGCUUACAAUUGCAAAAUGCUUCUCUAUUUAUAGAGUGCAUUUUGCUCCAAGUUGGGUUCAAUUGGUCAAAACGUUGAGCUGGAUCUUGUAUUGCAUGCACAAGCUUUUCAACACCUAACUUUGUCUUUUGAAAUUAGCAAGCCGACCAACUUUGUUUUUUUGAAUUUGACAAAUCCACCAACUUUGCCUUUUGAAAUUGGCAACCAAUGAUUUGACUUUUCAACACAUGGCCCAUUUAAAUCGCAUGUGGCAAAUCAUACCCGUGAAAAAUGACAAUUUGCAGCGAACAGUGACAAACGCAACAACAACUAAGGAUAGAAAUCCGAGCUGUGACAUAAAAAGAAAUCACAAGGAUAAAAUAUUAAUAUAACCAAUUAAAAACACGAGUUCCUAGUUUUUAGGUUAGCUUAAAGACACGAGCACCUAAUUAUUCGGUUAGCCUUUUUUAUCUUUUAAUGUCGUAUUCACUUCUACAAUAAAUCUCUAACAAAGUCAUAUGAAUUUAAAGAAUAUAAGUGUAGUCACUGGGUUCAAUCAUAAACGUUUUGUUUUAUAGAAAGCUACUUGUCAUUUUUAGAAGCCUUUCACUAUCCAAUAUUUGAUUCAAGCAACGAUCAAAUUUAACAGCUUUCUUGUUCCUUCAAUUGAUAUACCUACAAAAAUGUCAUCUUAAAUUGCUUUAUUCACAGUAGUAUAAUGAGCAAAAAACGCAUUAUGUAUUUAUAUUAAAAAAUUACGAAAACAUAAAUUUAAAGAGAACUUUAAGAGAAAAAAUAACAAGUAUUAAAUUGACUUGUCUUUUCGAAAAAGAAAUAUAAUUAACAUAAGCAAAAACGUCACAACAGAGCAUAUAUAAUUAAGUAAUUAAAAGAAAAAAAAAAAUGAACCAAACGUACAUUUUAAAUGUCUCGCUCUUUUCCAUGCCCCACUCUUGAGUUUCUUCAUCACUGAAAUUUUGACAAAAAGUUAAAUUAAUAAAAUAGCAUAAUAAUACAGCAUAAUGUGAAUUAUAACUGGACUUUUUGGUUUCUUCAAUUAUAUAUCUGCCAUUGACGAUUGUAUUUUAGUGGAAAGUAUGCAUGGUGAUUACUUAGAGGAGAGUUGUUUAAACCGAAUGAAAGAUUGAGAGAGUCAAAUCAUAUUAAUUAUGGAGACAAAAUAAGAUGAAGUAGAAGAAAAAUAUUGAAUAAUAUAUUAGGGCCCAUUAAUUUUUAGUUUUGCUAUUAAUAAAAGUUACUUUUGUCAAAAUUUUGUAACCCAAUUUUUAUCAGAGUAGUAUUAAAGACACCAUUUUUUAAAAUCAAAAUAGUAUUAAAGAGAUCAUUAGGUAAUGUUAAAAGAUUAAGAAAGAGAUAGUUGAUCCUAUCUCAUAUGUAUAUUGGUGCACUAUUUGAACAAAUUGGACGUUGGUAUUCUAAGGUGUACCGCAAUUUUAUGAAUACAAUAUUUUUUCACUAUAUAUUAGGUUGUUUUCGGGAGCUUCGAUAAAUUGUGGGAUUCAAUUAGAUUUUGAGACUAACAAAAUAAUUUAAUCUAAGGUAUGUUUGGUUGUCAUGGACUAUUAGAGUAGACUUAAAUUUAGCCUACAACUAAUAGGAUUAUUAAUUCUUAUUUUUAUAGGGGUUUAGGUGAGAUAAGAUUAAAUAAAAACUGUGUCCUCUUUAUCACUUUUUUCUUUUUCAUUUAACCUAGUAUUUUAAUAUAAAUUAAAAAUAGAAGUGAAUUUCACGAAUUUUUAACCAAGUAAUUUUAUAUUGUAUAGAAUAUCAGAUUUUUUUAAAAUAAUUUAUUAAAUUAAAUUAACAUAGUUCAGUACGAUAUUGUAUCAAAUAAAAGAUAGUACUAAUAUAAGCUUUUAGGUUAACCACAAAUUUUGUUUCCCUCACGCAAAUGACUAUGCCCACUAUAUCAUGAUUUCAGCAUUCUGCCGGGGUGGGUGUUUUGAAGAGGCAAAUUGGCUGGGUAUUUUGAAGUCAGGUAUGACAAAUAUGAUUUAAAUUGCAUGCUUUAUGCCUACUGCAGAGCUGGUGAUGUUAUGAGGAAAUUAGACGAAUUAGUCUGGAUUACAAUACCCAUCACAUUCUAAUCAAACAUUUCUCCAAUAAGAAGUUUUAUAUGCUUGCUUAUCGGACUAUGAUGGACAAAGGCCACCAGCCUGAGGAGGUAUGAAAGUGGUCAUAGACAAAUGAACUUUUACUUCGGGAUUGCAGCGCGAAAGACUUAUCACAAGUAUUAGGGGUGUUCGCGGAUCGGACAUCAAUCCAUAUCCAAUCCACGAUUUUGCGGAUUAUGAAUUUUCAAUCCAAUCCAAUCCACGGAUUGGUUAAACUCAAUCCAAAUCCAAUCUAUAUGUUUGCGGAUCGGAUGCAGAUUUGACUCAAUCCAUAUCCAAUUCAUCAUUUUGCGGAUUGAUCUGCGGAUUACAAAUUUUUCAUUCCGUCCAAUCCACAAACUAAUAAAAUGAAAAAAAUAAUAUAAAAAUAAUUUUACUACCAAUCAAAUUCAAAAUUGAAUAAGAUUUAAAUAAAUUAAUUAUUUAAAUAAAACUAAAAUAAUGCAUUAAAGUUUUAAAAUACAAUAUACUGAAAUUAAUUGUUCAAAUGAAGCUAAAAUAAUACAUUUAAAGUUUCAAAAUAUAAUACAUUAAAAUUAAUUGUUCAAUUAAAGUUACAAUAAUACAUUUAAAGUAUCAAAUUAUGACACAUCAAAAAGAAAAAUGUUUGCUGCCAAUUUAUAUUUUGUACUUUAACCUGAACUAAAUAAACAUAAUUGAAAUAAAUAACAAAUAAAAUAAUUUUAUUGAAUAAAAAAUUAACAAAUAAAAUAAUUUUGUUCAAAUGACUGCUUGCACAGAGAUCAAGAAUUUGGAGAAGAUGGCCGAAGGAGAAGUUUAAAGCUAGUAAGAAUCUUUGGGUGCUGGUGGCUCUAUACUUGUGACAGGAAAGGAUAGGAAGUCAAGGGUUUUUUGUGUGCUUGUGACGGGAAAGUUUAAGAAGUCAAGGUUUUUUGUUUUCUUGUGGCUCCUUCGGUGAAGUGGCAUUUAGGAUAAAUGUUUUGUUUGGUUUAUAAUUUUUUAUUUUGUUUAAGAAUUUUUACAACUUAUCUUUGUAUAUUUUAAUUAUUUAAUUAUUUAUGUUAUUUUUGAAUAAUGGAUAAGGUAUCUUAUGGUGUUAAUAUAAGUAUGUAAUUACAUUUUACUUACUUAUUUAUUAGUAAUUUUACUUACUUAUUUAUUAGUAAUGUCAUAUUUAUAAUUUUUUUAAUUAAAAAAAUAUUUUUUUGCGGAUUGGCAGAUUUUUGCGGAUUUACAGAAGUGAAUCCAUAUCCAAUCCACCGGUUGCGGAUUUUUAAAUUUUUAAUCCAAUCCAAUCCAAUCCACCAAUCCACCGAUCGAAUUUUUACGGACCGAAUUUUUAUGGAUCGGACGGAUUGAGCAAAUCGGACCGGAUUCUAAACACUCCUAACAAGUAUGCUGUUUUGCAGGAACUCUGCUCCUUAAUUUUUCAUCUUGGUAAAAUGAGAACGACACUUAGAAGCACUCUCUGUUCACAACAUGUUAAUAGGCAGUAAAAGAUCGAUGUGCAAGGCCCUUCAUGAGAAAAUUCUUCAUAUUUUAAUAUCCAGAAAACUUUCCAUAUCAAACCAUUUUAGAUCGAUUCUUCAACUGUCAUUUUUAUACUUUUUUUAAUUGAAAAUACCCAACGGUGGUGGGGUUGGUGGGACCCCCUUACCUAUAGAUUAUUGAAAUAUAAACAAAAUUACGUAUGGAGGGGGAUGCAAACCAAAAUCUCCAAGUAAAGAAACAAAAAUAACCAACUAAUAAAAAAAGAACAAAAACAAUAAUAGAAUAAAUAAGAAGCUAAAGAUAAUUAAUUAAUGCAAACGCCGAUAAAGCUACUUACAAUACUUAUGACCAUUAACUAAUUUGAAACCUUUCUUAAAACUAUAGGAAUGCAGGCCACCAAUACUGAAGUCGGCGUCAAGAUCACGGCCCGCUAUACCCUCAGGCUUAGACGCAUAAUAAUCAUAACUUACAGGAUUUCCGUCACAGCUAAACUCCUCAUCCGACUGAUUAGGGAUAUCUGUAGAAUGGUAAUUAAAACUCACAACCAUGGAAUGAAUAUCAUCCACUGUAGACCUGAAAAAAGUAAAGCCUGUGGAAGCCCUCAGCGCACUCGGAUUAUCCAAAACAGGAGAAUUAGCAACCUCAGUGCAUCCAUCAGCAUCUCUCAAAGCAACAGUAUGUUGCAAACCAUCAUUAUCCGGAACUCACAGAGCAGAAAUCGAUUAGAUGCCCCGUCUGCAGUAUCCUGAGGAAAAAGAGCAGGCAGCCAGGCAACAUCAUCGAGGGGACCAGGCCCAAAGACUGACCUUGGACGAGAGCAGGCCUCUGUAGUCGAUUAUCCUUAGCAACCACAUACGUAGCACCACCCAUAGUAGGCCGGACAACAGCAUCAGUAAUAAGUAUCUUACUUGUAUCAUGAGCAACUAUAUCCUUCACCUGACCAAUAGGUUGUUGGAGCUUCUGGAGCCCAUGAUUAGUAACAAAACAAGCAUCAGCAAAUUGACAAGAUGCUUACACGAAGCACAAUAUAAUAGAACACGCUCAUAGAUGAUAUCUUGCCAAAACCCAUCAUCACUCUUACCAAUCUAAAGUCUUGGCAACAACAGCCAUGAAACAUCACACUCAAUGAGUACACGAGCCACCGAGGGCCUAUUAACAGCAGCAGUAUCACGGUCCACCCGUAAAGGCUUUUCAAUAGCAUUCACAAUAGAAAAUAAAACAUCUUUGCAAUGAAUGAAAUGCACAGGUAAAUAAGGUAAAUAAGGCAAAGACACCUAGACAAGAACAACUGAAACUCCUAAGAGUAUCAAAUAGAUGUAGACUACUUAAAAGUAUGCAUGGACCUGUCACUAAUAUACCAGGUCUGCCUAACCCAAAUACAAGAGUAAUCCUUUCCAAGCUAAAGCUUUAUCAAUUAUCUACUAAAGAAACCUGUGUACUACCUUUCAAACCCAAGAAAUAAAAAAAUUUACGAAUCACAUCUACAGGGGGGCGGCUAAAUAAAAACUUACUAAUAAGGGAAAGUUUGAAUGGUUCUGCCAUGGACUGGAUUUCUGCAGCUGAAAAGUGGAUAGCAUGAUUACCAUGAAAUAUUGAAACUGGCUUUACCCAAAUUGAAGAUUCUAGGGGGCCAGCAAUAGCAUCAACAAAAGACUUAGCAUUGGGGUUGAGGAUAACUCUAGGAUUAUAAUAGAUGCAUAAGAGGCCUUACAGGGUGGGUUGGAUGUACGACCAAGAGUGAGGGGUGGAAAAGGGUCAUGGGUUUGGGCUAGAUUUUUGGUUUAGUUUUGGGUUUGGAAAGCCGGAUGUUGGUUUGGGUUUCUUUGUUAUGGUUAACGUUUUUUGCAUAUGGCAGCUGGUCUCGGUUUUAAACAGCAGCCACCGUUGAGUUGAAGUAUGACGACGAGCGAGGCCUUGGGUGGGUUUGGGUGGGCAAAAGUGGCUGGUAUGAGGCGGCUAGCAGGUUGAUGGUGCCACUAACGGUGGCCAAAAGAGAGACAACGAGGUGUUGGUGAGAUAUAUGGCAGCUAGGGGGAUUUGUCUUGGUAAACUGAGUCACAGAUGGUAGCCAAUAAGUGGUGCCUGAGUUUUGGUUGUGUUCGUGCAUAUCUCUCUGUUAUGUAUUAAAACUCUAAUAUUUUACUACAUACAGCAGUAAACCAAGAAAGGAGGGAAAAAAAAGGAAAGAAAUACAUGGAAAUGAUAAUUUUACCUUUCAUCUUCAAGCUCCAAAGGCUUCGUAUGUAGGUCUUUCACUUGUAAAAGACGGUUUAUUUCUAUGUGCAAGUUAGCAUUUGGUUCAUUAGAAAAUUUGUCAAUAAAGUGUAAUGAAGCCGUAUUAUAGUUGUUACAAGAAUAUUUUUUGGAAAUCCAUGUAUCAUCUUCUCUUUCUCUCCUUGGAUGAGAGAGUAUCGGCAUUCCCUUAUUUUUCUUUUUUCUAAUUGAGUUUGAAUCCCCUUAUUUUAUUUUAUUUUUUUUUAACCGCCAUAUCAGUAAUUUAUUAACAAUUGCAGAGUUAGUGUGACACUUUAUUUGUAACUGCCAUAUCAUAGUCAGUUACUAACCAUUACAGAGCUAUAACAUCACUCGAAAUAGAAAUAUUGAGAUUCCUAAUAGUAUUUAUUCUAAUUAUUAGUUGUUCCUAAUAUUACUAUCGCUAGCUUGCAAUUAAUUCAGCUUAAGUUGUCAUUUUCUUAUAAACAAACAAGAUGGUCCAUCAUGCUUAGUUGUAAGGAUACAAACUAGGGAUGACAAUGGAUCAGGUUAGGCUCGGGCUUCGCUAAGCCCGAGCCUAAGCUUGUAACUGAAAUAAAGGGUUUGAGCUCAAAAAAGUCCGAUCCUUUGAAUUAAAGCCCGAGCCCAACCAUAAUUUUGUUUUGAUAAGGUGAGAUUCAUGGCAAGAGAGAGUGACUGAAACCCACAGCUAUUUCCUUGAUUAGUAUCACUUGUUGCAGUAGAUAUCUCAACAGAAGAAGAAGAAGCAAAUGGAGUUUGCUUAGCCAAGAAUUGAACCCAGCAAUAGAAGCUACAAUCUUUAAAGGAACAUGCUGAUGCUGAUGAAGAAAAUGAGGAUGGUACAUAAUAUCAUCGUGGUUAUGGGUAAAGCUAGGGUUUAAGGUUUGUGUUUGUGGGUGAUGAUGAUGUUGACUGUAGUGGUGGUGGAUGAUUGAAGAUGGGUGGCUCGUCAGAUCUUGAGCAAUGAUUUCUAAGUCAAAGUCUCCAUUAUUAUCAACAUUGAAGCAGCUGCUUGAUGCAAUAUUGACAUUCCAUUAUGUUGGUUUUGGUCAUUAGCAGGGUCAGUUGAUGUAGAGAUUGAGUAACAACAUGACCCUAAGAAAUCUUCAAGCUUUGGACAUGAUCCUCAUGACUUGCCCCACCAUUGGCAAAAAACCCUAUCAUAAUCUACAUAUCAAAUGCAAUUUACAUGACUUACUCCUAAUUAUAUUUCUACAUCGCCAGGUUCGAACACCUAAAUCGUCCCCAUUUUGCCAUAACCUAAAAAAGCUAAAGAUUGAAGCAUUACCUUAGGCUGUGAUAACUGUGCCGCCUUGUGAAUGGCUGUCACAGUUGUGUGAUGGCUGUCGGUGGUGGCGGUGAUGAUGUCUAGGUAUGGGUGAUGGUGGCUGUGAGUUGUGGAUGGCGAAUGGCAAUUUUAACUGCGGAUUGUGGUGGAUCGUGAAUGGCUGAACCUCGGUCGAUGAAAGAAAAGGGAAAAUAUUUGGCAAACAAAACGUUGUGUUUUUUCCUUUAAUGAAACGAUGCGUUUUGAGUUUUUGGAGUUUGACCCAUGGUUUGACCCGAUGCAAAUAUCAUUUUCAAUGUAUUUAUUAUUAUUUUUAUUUUUCAUGAGACUUAUCAAAUUUUGAUUUAAUGGUUAAUAAUUGUUUCAUAUUGCGUCAAAAAAGAGAGGCUCCCCGACAUGCCCUAUACCAACUAGUCUAGUUUUUCAUAAGCAUGUCGCUCAUGAGCUGCACCACAGUGUAAUGCAGCAAAAUCAAGAAAAAAAAAAGUGAAAUAUGCUAUUUCUCUUUUAAGAAAAAUUCUUGAAUACAUAAGAGGUAACAUAAUUAAUUUUUUUUAUAUAAACACCAGUUAUAUAUUAGUUCUUCAAAAUAAAUGUACUUAUACUAUAAAAUUAUUUGUUUAAUAUAUAAAUGACAUAGUACUUUAAAAGAAUUCUAAAAUUUCUCUUGUGCCUCGCUUGUCAUUUUCAACUAUUAGUCAAUGAGAUGGCAUUUUACAUGCAGAUAUGGUGCCCCGCAGAAACUCUUUUGUUUUGAGAUUGAUGAUCCCAAGGAAAUGGCACAAAUAUCACUUCUAAUGAUAUUUUACAGUAAAGUCCAGCUGUACAGGAAUUCUCUUUCGACAAAAGCUUGUUUAUUCCCAAUAUUUUUAGGUUAAUGUCCUUUUAGCCAUUAUAUUUUAAAAAAUUUCUCAAAACAUCCCUACUGUUAAAUUAUUAACACCACUGUUAGGGUUACUUUUUAUUCUCUUUAGCUUACUUUUAUAUAUUACUCUCUUACAAUAAUGUUUAUUUUUUGGACAUAAAUAAAAAAAAUUAGAUUAUCAAUUUAAUCCCAAAAAAUUAAUGUAGAAGACUCUACUAAGUAAAUAUAUUAAUUUUUUUACUGAUGUCCAAAAAAAUUGGUAACUUAAUUUUUUUACAAUAUUAAUUUUUUUGACAUAUGUAAUCUUCUUGGAAAAUUAAUAUAUAUUAUUUUUGUGGUUAAAUUAAUAAUUUAAUUUUUCCUUUUAAUUAAUGUCCAAAAAAAUCAUUGUAAGAGAGAUAAUAUUAUAAAAGUAAGCUAAAAAAAAAUAAUGACAGAUAUGUCAAUUGUUUAACAACCAGGAGUUUUGAGUUAUUUUUAAAAAUAUAAGAAAUCAAAAUAUAAUAAUUAAACGAGUUUCGACACAUUCUUUUUAGUGCUCUAUGACUCUUAUGGAAGUAUAACUUUGAUUAUUAAACACAUGCUUCUACACGUUUUUGUUCACCGUAGGACUGCCAUAAACAAAUAUCGACAUCAUUGAUUAUUAUAAACACAUGCAUUGGCACGUUAGAAUUCCCUCAUAAAAAAAUAUGACUACUUUUUGCAUUCUGGUUUGGUUCAUAGUUCCUAUUUUUUAUCCUUGGCCGCGAGGCUCAUAUUCUUAUGGAUCCUAUAUCCACACACUCUUUUGUUUCCCGUACUUUUGCUAUGCACAUAGGGGGAGAGCCUGAACUAUUAGAUUGUGGUUUAGUUGUUCGUACACCUACCGGAGAGUCAUUACUUGCUGAGAGUGUGUAUCGAGAUUGUAUGAUUGGAAUGGUUGAACAUGAAUUUGAGGCGAAUUUAAUUUCCUUAGACAUUCAUGACUUUGAUGCUAUUUUGGGCAUGGAUUGGCUUGAAUCUCAUUAUGCUACAGUGGAUUGUUUCAAAAAGGAAGUUGUGUUUAAAAAGCCAGGGAGGACUGAGGUGAAAUUCUGUGGGGAGUGCAAAGUUCUACCUUCAUGUGUUAUAUCUGCCAUUAGUGCAAGACGGUUGCUAAGAAAAGGAUGCUCGGCUUAUUUAGCUCAUGUGAUAGAUACAGAAGCUCGAGAAUUGAGAUUGGAGGAUAUUACAGUAGUCAAAGAAUUUCCAGAUGUAUUUCCAGAUGAACUUCCUAGGAUGCCACCUAACAGGGAAGUUGAGUUUUCUAUUGACUUAGUCUCUGAAACAUCUCCUAUAUCUAUGGCACCAUACAGGAUGGCUCCAGUAGAGUUGAAGGAACUGAAGGUUCAAUUGCAAGAGUUGGUGGAGAAACGGUUUAUUAGACCUAGUGUGUCCCUGUGGGGAGCUCCAGUCUUGUUUGUUAAGAAAAAUGAUGGGACUUUUAGACUCUGCAUUGACUAAAGGCAGUUGAACAAAGUUACGGUACGCAAUAAGUAUCCACUUCCGCGUAUUGAUGACUUGCUUGAUCAACUCCAGGGGGCAAAAGUAUUUUCUAAGAUCGAUUUGCGCUCGGGUUACCAUCAGCUUAGAAUUAAAGAUGUUGACGUUCCUAAAACAGCAUUUAGAACCCGUUAUGGGCACUAUGAGUUCUUAGUGAUGCCAUUUGGGUUGACAAAUGCUCCAGCUGCUUUUAUGGAUCUCAUGAAUAGGGUAUUUCGCUCGUACCUGGAUCGGUUUGUGAUUGUAUUUAUUGAUGAUAUCUUGGUGUAUUCCCGAAGCGAGGAGGUGCAUGCAGAGUAUUUGCGGACUAUUUUACAGACUUUGAGAUAGAAGCAGUUGUAUGCCAAGUUCAGCAAGUGCGAGUUCUGGUUGGACAGAGUAGUAUUUUUUGGCCAUGUGAUAUCAGCUGAAGGCAUUUAUGUCGAUCCUCAAAAGAUUAAAGCAGUUGUGCAAUGGGAACGACCUACAAAUGUCAUAGAGGUUCGGAGUUUCCUUGGAUUAGCUAGUUACUAUCGUAGAUUUGUGGAGGGAUUCUCUAAGAUUGCUACUCCUCUGACACGGUUAACGAGAAAGAAUGCUAAAUUCCAGUGGGAUGAUGAUUGUGAAAAGAGUUUUCAAGAACUUAAGACACGUUUGACCUCAGCACCAGUUCUUACACUUCCCUCUGGUAAUAAAGGAUUUGUGGUUUACAACGAUGCCUAUAGGCAGGGAUUGGGUUGUGUGUUGAUACAACAUGGGAAAGUGGUGGCUUAUGCUUCUAGACAACUUAAGAAGCAUGAGCAAAACUACCCAACACAUGACUUAGAGCUAGCAGCAGUGGUGUUCGCACUCAAGACAUGGCGGCAUUACUUAUAUGGGGCAACGUGUCAAAUUUUCACUGAUCAUAAGAGCCUGAAGUAUUUGUUUACUCAGAAGGAGUUGAAUUUGAGACAGAGGAGGUGGAUCGAGCUGAUUAAGGACUACGAUUGCACUAUUGAUUAUCAUCCGGGCAAAACAAAUAUGGUAGCUGAUGCACUAAGUAGAAAGUCUUCCAGCUCUAUAGCUCACUUGCGAGUGAAAUAUAUGCCUCUAUUGAUUGAGUUGAGAUCUUUGGGAAUCGAGUUGAACACUGACAAUUGUGGAGCUUUGAUAGCUAAGUUUCGAGUUAGGCCGACUUUGAUUGACAAAGUUCACCAGAUGCAAGCUCAGGACCCACAGUUAAUGAAGUUGAAAAAGGAUGUGCAAAAAGGUUUACGAACCAAUUUUACGGUGAGAGGCAAUGGAGUCUUAGUCAUGGGUAAUAGACUUUGUGUACCUGAUAUUAAAGAUCUAAAAGAAGAGAUUAUGGAAGAAGCUCAUUGUUCAGCAUAUGCGAUGCAUCCUGGUAGUACGAAGAUGUACUGCACCCUGAGGGAUCAUUAUUGGUGGCAGGGUAUGAAGAGAGAGAUAGCAGAAUUUGUUUCUCGAUGUUUAGUCUGUCAGCAGAUUAAGGCUAAACACCAGAGGCCUGCAGGGUGUUCUCAGCCGCUUCUUAUUCCUGAGUGGAAGUGGGAGCACAUCACCAUGGAUUUUGUAGCAGGACUUCCACGUACUCAGAAAGGACAUGAUAGUGUUUGGGUGGUUGUUGAUUGACUUACAAAAUCUGCUCACUUCUUACUAUUCAAAAUCACAUAUUCGAUGGACAAAUUAGGGAGUAUUUAUGUGGCUGAGAUAGUUCGACUUCAUAGAGUACCUGUGUCCAUAAUCUCAGAUAGAGAUUUUUGGUUUACUUCUAAGUUCUGGACCAGCUUACAAAAUGCUUUAGGCACCAAGUUGAACUUUAGUACAGCUUUUCAUCCACAGACUGAUAGAUAGUUAGAGCGUAAUAUUCAAACUCUGGAAGAUAUGUUGCGAGCUUGUGUUAUGGAGUUUAAAGGUAAUUGGGACAAUCAUUUACCUCUGAUGGAGUUUUCUUACAACAACAACUAUCAAGCUAGUAUUGAGAUGGCACCAUAUGAGGCUUUGUAUGGUAGAAAAUGUAGGACUCCAGUAUGUUGGGAUGAGGUUGGUGAACGGAGCUUAUUCGGUCCAGAACUAAUCCAGGAUACUAAUGAGAAGAUACAAUUGAUCCGGGAUAGAUUAAAAGUGGCCCAAGAUAGACAGAAGAGCUAUGCAGACAAGCGUAGGCGGGAACUUGAAUUCGAAGUUGGUGAUAGAGUUUUCAUACGGAUAUCUCCUUGGAAAGGGGUGCUUCGAUUUAGGAAACGUGGGAAGCUAAGUCCACGUUACAUUGGGCCAUAUGAGAUCAUUGAGCGCAUCGGUCCAUUAGCUUAUCGAUUAGCUCUACCACCCGAGUUAUCCAGAAUCAACGAUGUGUUUCAUGUCUCAAUGCUUCAGAAGUACAUCUAUGACCCGAGUCAUGUGUUAUCGAAGCAACCAAUUCAGUUGAAAGAAGAUUUGACUUACGAAGAUGAACCAGUGGAAGAUAAACACCAAGUUCUGUGUUCUAAGACCAUUCCUCUAGUAAACGUACGGUAGAGGAAUCAUACAAAGGAAUAGGCUACCUGGGAACGCGAGGACUUAAUGCGAGCUCAGUAUCCCUAUCUUUUCUUAUCAGGUACGUAAAUUUCGAGGACAAAAUUUUUAUAAGGGGGGAGGAUUGUAACAUAUGUGAAUUAAAAAUGAAUAAAAAGAGGCGGUUAAGAAGUUAACAAAAGAAGAAGCUGGAAAAUAGAGCAACAUAGAGCCACACGUGUGUGAGAGAGUGAGAGAGAGAAGCUGUCAACCAGACCCGAAAACCUGACCCGGAACCCGCGAACGUGACCUGACCAUAUCUCCCAUUUCCAGCCACUGUUUCGGCCGAGCUUGGUACCAAUUUGAAGCUUAGAAGCCGGCCAUUGUUCCCCUGCCAUCCUCGUUGCCGAAAAGCAACCAGAACGCCGGCGAUCGAAGCUUGGAAACCCAUGACUGUUUCGCUUUGUUCCGCCGGGAUUUUCACCGGUUUUGGGUGACACCACCAGUUGGAUUUUUGUUCCCCGCGACUCCCUCUUCCAUUUUCGACCAUCCACUGCCGCCGGGGACGUCGUUUUGCCGUUGAUCAGCCGUUGAAAGACUUACGGCUUUGGGAGCUCGAUCCGGAGCCAUCGCCGCGCAUGGGAGGUCACCACCACCACCGUUGCACUCAGUGUGGCCAGAACUUUCAGACUUGAGUUUCCCCGCCAGCGUUGACCAAAUUCCAAUGGCUGUUUAUCGGCAAGGGCAUUUCGGUAAUUUCACACUGCGAGGGCAAUUUUGUAAUUUCUGAGCCUGUGGAUAUUUUAGUAAUUCCUAGAAUUGAGCAUUGGGUGUAAUUACGAUUUCGAUGGUAAUUCGGUGAUUUACAAUUUCAAAGUAUUUUAAUAAUUUACGGACUUGAGGGUAUUUUAGUAACUUUAUCGACGCGGGAGUUGUAAAUUAUGGAUAGAUGUUCGUUUUGAUUUUAUUGCAUAAAUUUAGUCUUAAUUCCAAUUUACGGAAAAUAAUUAUGUCGUUUCCUUGAUUUAGGAGGAUCCGCGAGCGAGAACCGGUCUGCGAACAUGGACGAUAACCGAACGUGAACACCGUCACUGUGAGUGGAAUAUACAAAACCUAUUUUCAUAGUUAAUUAUGAUAGUAAUGCAUGUUUGCGAAAUAAGUAUUUUAAAUGUUCUGAUUUAAUGAUUUCUCGAAAUGGAUUUUAUUCACGCAUUGAUAUUAUAUUAAAAUAUUUGGUUAAUGAUUUUGUGUAUCGACUUUGAAUAAAGCAUGAUAGUAUUUUAAAGAUAAGAAAAGUGGAUUCAAAUGUGGUAUGAUUUAAAGUAUGGUUAAAAGGUAUGUGAAUAUAAGUAUAAUGAUUGUUUUUAAAAUCAUUAAACAGUAUCCUUCCCUUCCAGAUACAGUGAUGCAGAUGAUAUGAAAUGAGAGGCCUUUGGGGCCCGUCUGAACACACAGAGGUUUUGGGCCGUGUGUUUGGGCGCUUUUUCCUUUUGGGGGCAUAUGCAUGCGGUAUGAUGAUUACAGAGAUACAUAUAUGAGAUACAGACAGAUAUUGAGAUACAGGCCUUUGGGGCCCGUCUGAGCACACACAGAGGCUUUGGGCCGUGUGCUUGGACGCUUUUGUCCUUUGGGGACUAGAUUACAUGCACAGAUAUGAUGAGAUAUGAGAUGGUAUUUCCCUGUCUAUCCGUGUAGCUCCGGGGCGUGACGGUACCCAGAUAGUUCGUCAUUGCUCGUCCGUUGAGGUCCGGAUAUGAUGAGAUUAUUUCCCUGGGUCCUUGUUUGGUGAUGAUUUUCAUAUUUGUGUAUCCUAUAUGAUAUUGUGAUAUGAUUUCCAUGGUUAUUAAUCUAAUUUAAAUGUUAAAUGAUUUAUUACUGGUUUCUCGCAUAUGAUUUGAUGAAAUCGUGUUUGGAAAUGAUAUGAUUAUCUCUUUUAAAGUAAGAAUUAAUUUUCAAAAACUACUAUCCACUCACUGAUCUCACUGAGUUUUAAACUCACCCCAUUUUUUAUUAUAUCCCCCCCCCUCACCAGGAGGUUGCAGGUACACCAGACCGACCCAGCGAUUGUAAAUAUAUUUUGAUUCUUGGCCACGUGAUGGUGUUAGAAGAUAUAAAUGUUUUUGUUAGGACAUCUUGGUUAUCUCGUCCUGUUGGGAUUGUAUAAUUUUAUUAUAUUAUUCUUUUGGGAUUAAGAAUAAACUGAGAUAUUAAUAUUAGUUAUAAUAUUAUCUUUUGAGACUCUGGAGAUAUAAAACUCAGCAUUUUGGUUGAGGAUGUUAAUCACUGGAUUUUGUUGUAUAUUGAAUUAUACUGGGAGUGUUAUGUUCAUAUUUGUAGAUUGGGAGUGUUAUAUAUAUAAAGGAGACUCUGCUGAAUUUUCGCCAGAAUCCUUACUAAUUAGAUUAUUAUCAAGUCUGUUUUGAUGUGACUAGAUUGACUCGCCCGGGGGGGAUUCAGGGCGGGUCGUUUCAUACAGUUUCCCCUAUCACGCUAUAAGCUACCAUAUCUCUGAUAUGUGUUAAAACUCUAAUAUUUUACUGCAUAGACAGUUAAUCGAAGAAAAAGAAAAGAAGGGGGGGUGGUGGUGUUGGAAAAGAAAGAAAUCAGACAGAUUAAAAAGAUCUAGCAUUGAAGGUGACAAAAUUCUACUAUAAUUGGAAAUUAUGAAUUUACCCUUCAUCUUCAACCUCCCAAGGCUUCCAACGUAGGUCUUUAACUUCCAAAAGACAGUUUAUUGCUACGCGCAGGUAAGCAUUUGGUUCAUGAGAAAAUUUGUCAAUAAAGUGUAAUAAAGCUGUAUUAGAGUUGUUGCAAGAAUGUUGUUGUCUAGAGACCUACCUACCUAUCAUCUUCUCUUUCUCUCCCCUUGGAUGAGAGAGUGAUUGGAUUCACUUAUUAUUAGUAUUUUUUUUCCUUGAUAAGAGUAGCUUGGAUCCGCUUAUUAAUCAGCCUAAAUCUCGAAUUAUAGUCCCAAUUAUUCGUAAAUGCCAGAUCAGGUAAGUUAUUAAUCAUUACCAAAAAAAAAUGAAAUAUUGAGAUCCCUAGUUUUAUUAUUCUAAUUAUUAGUUCUUCCUAUUAUUACUAUCGCUAGCUGGCAAUAAGCUGUCAAUUUCCUAUAAGCAAACAAGACGGUCGUUGAGCGUACUUGUAAGGAUACUGACGCCUCUGUGGUUUAGUAAAGGAACAUGGAGACUCGUCGUAUUUUCAAAAAAGGUAUACAGACCUCAUUUUAGACAAACAAAAGAAGUUUUUUUUAUUUUUAUUUUUUUAAAGGCAAACUUUGGGGUUCAAUGUGAGACGGUGAUUGUUUUUUAACACAAAAGAUAUUUAAAAAAGUACGUCCCGAAUAAUUGCUAUUUGUGGAGGCUCGUCCUACACGUUUACAAGAAAUUGUUAGAACUUGUAGAAAACGACGAAAUCUCUAGUCAUGGAGAGCAUUGCCGUUUAUGGCUCAAUGUCCAAAAUGAAUUUAGUGAUUCAACUGAGAAUGACACUUUAGACUUUUGUAAUUUCAGCAUUUAUUUUUUGAUUUAUUGCUUUCAUCAAUAAUACUGGGAAUUCCAUGCUUUUGACUUUCAAAUGGAGUCUCAAUCAUGUGGUAGGUCGUAAAAACUUUUAUUCUUUUUCUGUAAUAGAUAAUUUGUCUCUCGUACAAUAAUAAAGAUACCAAAAUGUACAUUAUUAGUCACAUAUAUUUCUAUUAUUGAUCAAUAAAAGAUGCUUUACUUGAAUUAGAAGAAAUUAGUGAAUAUUCUAAAAUAAAUAGUGAAGCUAAGUGUUUAGCAACGUAUGAAUUAAAAGAUUUUGAAUUCAUAUUAGGUGUGAUUAUUUAGUUUGAUAUUAUUUGUUGUUAUUAUUUGCUGUAAGUAAGAUCUUGCAAAAAGAAGAUGUGCGUAUUGAUAUUGCCAUAGACCAGCUUAAAGGUUUUUUUAUUUUUCCCUUUGCAAGCCAUAGAGAAAAUGGAUUCACAUCUAUUAUGAUUUCAGCAAAAGAUAUUGCAAGUGAAAUGGAAAUAGAACCUAGAUUUCAUGAGAAAAGUAUAAUUCGCAGAAAAAAAAAAUAAAUUUGAUGAAAAUGUUAGUGAACAGGGAAUUUUGUCUCUUGAAGAGUCUUCUAGAAUUAAUUAUUUUGUAUAGUAGAUCAAGCUAUUUCAUCAAUAAGAAUAGAUUUGAAUAAUUUCAAAUGUAUGAUAAUAUGUUUGGAUUUUUGUUUAAUUUCAAAAAAUUACAAUUGUUAAGUGGCUAUGUUUUAAAAACUUAUUGUGUUAAUCUCAAAAAUGCUUUAAAACAUGAUACACUAUCUGACAUAGAUGGUUUAGAUUUGUCUUAAGAGUUGAGAAUUUUAAACGAAGUUUUUCUAGGUGAAAAAAUACUACUUAAUUAUUUUAAAAAAUUGAUUCUUUCCGAAAUGCAUCUAUUGCUCAUAGAAUAUUGUUAACAAUAUUAGUAGCAGUUGCUUCUGCAAAAAGAAGUUUUUUAAAUUAAAAUUAAUAAAAACUUAUUUAAGAUUAACAAUGUUGCAAGAAAGGUCAACUAAAUUAGCUAUAUUGUUUAUUAAGAAAAAUAUAUUAGCAAAAUUAGAAUAUAAAAAUUUGGUUAAUAAUUUCGAACCUCAAAAAAUUAAAAAAAUUAGCUUUAAAAAAUUAUAAUUUUGCAAAAUUUUAAUAAAAAUAACUGAAUUUAUUUAUUAAAAAUAUAAUUUGCAAAUUUUUAUUAAAAUAAUUGAAUUUAUUUAUUAAAAAAUAAAUCCAAAAAUUUAAAUAAUUUAGGGGAUUUUUAUUAAAUUCAAAAAUUUUGCAAUUAUUUUUAUAAUUAUAUUUUUAUUAAUAUAAUUUUUAGUAAAAAAUAAACACUUUAAUUUUGGAAUAUAUGUUUUAUUAAAUUUAGGGGUAUUUUAUGAUUAUAAUUUUUUUAUUUUUUAAAAUAAAAUGAUCUUUUAAUUUUUUUAGAGGUAAAAUUGUUAUUUCGUUUAAAUUAUUUAACAGUAUUAAUGCAAAAGUGGCUAAUUGAUACAAAUUUAAAAAGAAAGGUGGUGCAGAGAACAUGUUAAAAUUUUGUAGUGGUUGAAUGAACAUAAGACAAAAUAAAGGUGGUGCAAUGAUAAAUUUCUUUUUAAAAAAAAAAUACAAUCUAUAAUGCAAUUUUCUCCUAUAAAAAUUAUAUUGCAUAAGUGAGGCUAAAAAAAAAUAUUAGAUAAAUCAACUUUGUGAAUGCUACCAGUCAGGUUGCAUAAAUAAUGCAAAUGUUGAUCGGUCAACACCAUAAGCCUCCUCUCCUCUUGGCGCCUACCAGAAAACAAGAGAUUAAAUAUGGUAAUGGAAAUUGGAUCUAAAAUUUAGAACAUAAGAAAUUUAUAGCCUUAUCAUGAUUGUGUCUAUAGAAGUUAAAUCAUUGGAAAAACCUAGAUUAUGCCUACACACUCUGUAAUGAACUUAACUUUGUUGAAGCUAUCAUUUUGGAAAACAUGGUUGAACCUAUUUCAAUGUCAUGUUUCAUAAGUAAGAACUUGAGAAAGAGGAAUAAUUAAGCCAACAACAUAUUUGAAAAAUUUACUCUUUUCCCACUAAUUUAAUUCAGGGUCUUCUUAAUUUUCUAAUUAAAAUCUACAUGUCAAAUGCAAUUUACAUGACUUACGCCUAAUUAUAUUUCUACAUCGCCAGGUGCGAACACCUAAAUCGUCCCCAUUUUGCCAUAAUUUAAAAAAGCUAAAGAUUGAAGCAUUACCUUAGGCUGUGAUAACUGUGCUGCCUUGUGAAUGGUUAUCACUGUUGUGUGAUGUCUGUUGGUGGUGGCGGUGACGAUGGCUGGGUAUGGGUGAUGGUGGCUGUGAGUUGUGGAUGGCGAAUGGCAAUUUUAGAUGCGGAUUGCGGUGGAUCGUGAAUGGCUGGACCUCGGUCAAUGAAGGAAAAGAGAAAAUAUUUGGCAAACAAAACGCUGCGUUUUUGCCUGUGCGUUUUGAUUUUUCGAAGUUUGACCCAAGAUUUGACUCAAUGCAAAUAUCAUUUUCAAUGUAUUUAUUAUUAUUUUUAUUUUUCAUGAGACUUAUCAAAUUGUGAUUUAAUGGUUAAUAAUUGUUUCAUAUUGUGUCAAAAAAGAGAGGCUCCCCGAAUAAGCCUCGCACCAACUAGUCGAAGUUUGUAUGCGCAUGUGCUUAUGUAUUGCACACUGAAUCAUUGUGUCAAAAAGGAGAGGCUCUGACUCCCUAACAUGCCCUGUACCAACUAGUCUAAUUUUUCAUAAGCAUGUAGCUCAUGCGCUGCACCACAGUGUAAUGCAGCAAAAUCAAGAAAAAAAAGGUGAAAUAUGCUAUUUCUCUUUUAAGAGAAAUUCUAGAAUAUAUAAAAGGUAAUAUAAUUAAAUUUUUUAUAUAAGCACCAGUUAUAUGUUGGUUCUUCAAACUAAAUGUACUUAUACUAUAAAAUUAUUUAGUUAUUGUAUAAAUGACAUGGUACAUUAAAAGAAUUCUAAAAUUUCUCUUUCUACCCCCUUGUCAUUUUCAACUAUUAGUCAAUGAGAUGGCAUUUUACAUGCUGAUAUGUUGCCUAGCAGAAACUCUUAUGUUUUGAGAUUGAUGAUCCCAAGAAAAUGGCACAAAUAUCUCUUCUAAUGGUAUUUUACAGGUUGUUGACCAAAAGUUGCAUGUGUUUUGGAAGACCAAUGGUAUUUGCAUUUUGUUUGCAAAUUCUAGUAAAGUCCGGCUGUACAAGAAUUCUCUUUGGACAAAAGCUCGUUUAUUUCUAAUAUUUUUAGGCUAAUGUUCUUUUAGUCACUAUAUUUUAAAAAAUUCCUCAAAACAUCCCUAUUGUUAAAUUAUUGACACCAUUGUUAGGGUUACUUUUUAUUCUCUUAUAAUAAUGUUUAUUUUUUGGACAUUAAUAAAAAAAUUAGAUUAUCAAUUUAAUUCCAAAAAAUUAAUGUGGAAGACUCUAAUAAGUUAAUAUAUUAAAAUUUUUACUGAUGUCCAAAAAAAUUGGUAAUUUAAUUUUUUUACAAUAUUAAUUUUUUGACAUACAUAAUCUUCUUGGAAAAUUAAUAUAUAUUAUUUUUAUUUUUAUUUUAUUUUUGCGGUUAAAUUAAUAAUUUAAAUUUUAUUUUUAAUUAAUGUCCAAAAAAAUUAUUGUACGAGAGAUAAUAUUAUAAAAGCAAGCUAAAAAGAAAACAAUUACGACAGAUAUGUCAAUUGUUUAACGACCAAGAAUUUUGAGUUAUUUUUAAAAAUAUAAGAAAUCUAAAUAUAAGAAUUAAACGAGUUUUGACACAUUCUUUUUAGUGCUCUAUGACUCUUAUGGAAGUAUAACUUUGAUUAUUAAACACAUGCUUCUGCACGUCUCAGUUCACCGUAGGACUGCCAUGAACAAAUAUCGACAUCGUUGAUUAUUAUAAACACAUCCAUUGCACGUUAGAAUUCCCUCAUGAAAAAAUAUGACUACUUUUUGCGUUCUGGUUUGGUUCAUAGUUCCUAUUUUUGAUCCUUAAUUUUUAUGACUUCGACAAUUAAUUUCUGUAGUUGAAGUAAUAUUAAAUUGUACUAUAUAUGUACACACACACACACUUGCUUAUUACUGCGGAGGACUUGGGAUGUUUUAUUUGUAUGGAUUAAUCUUAACAUAAUUCUGAAGUGUUUUUAGUUACUGCAAGAAAUUGAACGAAUUAAAUUAAAAAAUUAAAGAAAUAAAUAUAUAGUUUUUAUUUUGCGACAUAUUAUAAUGAAAAAGAUCAUCUACUUGUGUUGGCUUUGUUUAGUUUUAAAAAACUUAUGUCACUUAAAGUCAUCUAUAUUAUUAAUCAUUUAUACUUUCUAUUGUUUUUAUCUUUACAAUCAACCUCCGAAUGCACAUUACUGUAUUGUCAACAUGCUCCAAGAAAAUAAGGUUUAGACAACAUGACUAUAACAACGUGUUAGAGUGUUCAAUCUAUUCAAUUCAUUUGAUCUGUAAAAAUCCCCUCGAUAAAAAUCCAAUCCAUGAAUUGACAGAUUAGAUGGAUUGAAAAAUUUUAAAAUCCACAAUUGAUGAAAUGGAUUGGCUUCUCCAAAUCCCUGAAAAUCAGCAAAUCCGUGUGUGUAUAUAAUUUAAAGAAUUUAAAAUUUAAAAAUGUUAUACUACUAGUAAAUAGGUUAAAAUCUAGUUAGGGUGGACGUUGACAACAAUUAAUUAUAUAAGCUUUCAAAUUUCAACUUUUGUAUUGAUUUAAUUCUAAAAUUUAAGUUGAUUUUCAUCCACUGAUCUAGAAACAUCAGGAUUUUUUAUUUUGGUGUGCUAAAGUUCGAAACUUUGAAUGGCAUCCUUAAAAAACGAAUGGUCUUUCAGUAGCUGUCGUCGUGUGUCAUCACCUCCAACCUAUCCUACACCGAAGCUGAAACCAAUUACUCCAGUGUUUUCAUAGUUUUAUUUAAGAGUGAUUAGGGAGUAAAGCUGAAAUGGUAUAUGGCUUCCGGAUUAUAUUUGUUUCAAAACGUAUGUUGAUUGAUUUAAUAGAUGUUGGGGUGGCGGCAUAAAGACCCUAUUAACAUAGCAUUCCUAAACCCGUAUUUAAACUAUUGAUUUAUUUAGAUCUUGUUUAAAUUUGAAUUUGAUUGGCAUGCAGUAAAAUUAUUUUUAUAAUUAAAAUUUUUAUUUAAUUAUUUUAUGAAUUGAAUAGAAAGAAAUUUUUUUUAAUCCGUAUUGAAUUCGCAAAAGUGGAAUGAAUAUGGAUUAUAUCAAAUCCACUUCUAAUCUGCAGAAUUAUGAAUUGAAUUUAGAUUAAUUUUACUAAUUCAUGGAUUGAAUGGGAUUAAAAAUUUAUAACGAUUUUACACUAGUUGUCAAUUAUUAGAAUUUUUUCACAACGCGCUUUUGUAGAAUGUUGUGAGAUUGAACAUCUAUUGAAGAGUUUUUAACAACAUUCUUUCGCUUGUUGUCAAAUAUUAAAAUUUUUUUACAACACACAUUCACCAACCGCUGUUAAAUGGAAGUUUUUUGAAAUUAUUACAAAUUAUCACAAUCUACAAUAUAUUAAAAUCCAGGGUCCAGCUACAUUACGUCAAGGGUUUGGUACCCCAGUCAUUUGUCCUUUUGCAAAUGACCAUUUAGAUCGUAAAGAAAGGUAAUCAACGGCUGAGGUUUAACACUUAGAAAAUGGGUAACCGGCUAUAGCUACAGUAUCAGUAAAAGGAAAACAAAAAGGAAGUAUAUAAUCCUUUGCUCCAGAAGACUCUAGACUUCGUCAAUGAGCCAAACGGAGACAACCGUUUGCUCCAGAAACUCCCCCUUUUGUACCUCCACGGCGACGCCGUUAUCGCCUCCGUCACCAUCCUCUCCGACGCAAGACUCCGCUCGAAUCCAAACGAAUACGACCACUUCAACAAAAAAUCACAGCCGUUGAAUCUCUCCUCCGAGUUGAAGUUCUUGCUGUUAAUCACCACCGCCACAUCAUCAACGCACGGCGUGAUUUCAGAACCGUUCGUGGAGGCGGCCCUCUUCGUCAGCAUUUGGAUUUCGGAUAGAGACUCAAGGGACGCAGUCGCGAGUUGUAGCAAUGAGCUGUCGUCGAGACUCGGUCGGAUUCUCGCCACCAUUAUGGGAACAAAUGGAGACUCGGUCAGAAAAAUUCCAGCUCGGCAUAAGGGAAUUGUGAAGAUGAAAAAAUUUCAGUUUGGCAGAAGGGACUUGUUUUUCAAAACAAACAAAUGUGCUUUUGGUAUUUAUUUUUGCUGAUGAAGCUUUUUUUUUUUAACAACAUCUGAUGUAGUAGGAAUUCAUAGGGCUAGGAUUAGAAGUUAAAAAUUUCAAAGUGGGUGACAAAGUUGUAGUUGUGCUUGUGAGUGCUAAUUUAUAUAUAUAUAUAUAUUUUCUUAUCCUUUUAUCUUUAAUUUAUUCGGAAUAAAUUUCUAGUCUUCUUUUACUACUAGGAAGAUUGAAAUUAAGGUCAUGGAGAAAUUUGGAUGACCAGGUAUUGAUGAUAGGCAACAAAAUAUCAUUUCUUCCAGUUAAGAGAACCCCCAUUUUAGUUAAUAUGGUUGUGGUUGCAACUAUGAUAAUUAGUAAAAUGUUGAAAACACAUUUCUGUUUUUUACACGGUUCAGGUUCUUGACCAUGCUAGCAACUCUGCUUUCCCUAUAAAAAUUUCUUUUUGUUACUGCAAUCUGGUGAUAUAGUGAAUUGAAUGAAUUUUUGGUACUUUCUUUGUUUCGUGCUUGGGUCAAUCAAUAAAAAUAAUUAUGUGGCAUUCCAAAGAUUUUAGUGUUGUCAGAUCAGAUUCAAAAAGAUAAGGUGUAAACUGCACGAUGUUGCUUUUGUUGGAUGAGGUUAUAGGCAUGUAUAGAGAUACCACCACUAUAAAUCUUUAUUUCCAAGUCAUAUUUGGUUUUUGGUACAUGUAGUUGGAUAUCUGAGAGCCUUCUGUCCUCAUUCAAAGUUCAUACAUCUUUGGCAUGUGAAGGGUUUAGUCUUUUCAUCUACGUGAGCGGAGAGGUGAUGCUGCUCCAUCAGGAUUCAGUCUAAUUUUGUAUAAGCUGAUUUCAUCUGUUCAUUUUGUUUUAGUUUUAAAUUUCCUUAUUGAUGACAGAGUGGAGGCAGACUAGCUGAGUUUGCUAUGGCCAAGGAGAGCUUGACAGUUGCUAGGCCGCAAGAAGUUUUUAAGUUUUUGCAGCUGAAGUUGCUGGCAUACCUUGUGCUGGUCUCUCUGCUCACCAGGCCCUCGCUCAGCUCCUUGGUGUCAACCUAGAUGGAAGUGGCUAGCAGAAAAACAUUAUGAUCACUGCUGCCUCAGGAGGUGUAGGUCUCUGUGUCGUUCAGUUGGCAAAGCUUGGAAACACAGGCAUGAUCUGCUUCAAAUGAGUGUGUGUGCGUGUUUUAAGAAUCAGUAGAUGAAGUCUGCAUGCUGCCUCAACCACCACUAACCGAGGACUUUCAUUUACGCAUCUCGUAUUUAGAUUACAAUAUAGUGUAAGCCAAGAACGUGGCAGUUUUUCUGUAAUUAGUUUGUUGUAUUGAUUACAGAAAGGCACCCUUUCAUAAGAUGUAUUUGGGUGCCUCUGCAUUUUCGACAUGGAAGGCUACUUGUUGGCAUUAUUAUAUCACAUAUUAUAUAUUUUACGCAUCUUCUUUCCCAUGUUGUUCGUUUUUAUAACUGUAAGAUAUAUUCUUUUGUAGAUGUUCUUGGAUCAGCAGUUGGGUUUGCAGUCUUCACAAUUGUUUUACUCUCAUGGGCAUUGACAUUUGCCAUCGGAGGGGAGCAUCUCUUUGGCUCUGCUUGGGAUAAACUAGUAAUGUAUAAUGUUGCUGAGAGAUUAGGUUUGAUAGGUUGGAGAUAGUCAUGAAUCUUAAAACUCAUUUCAAUUGUCCUGUAAAUAGUCUAGUGUUGAAACUUGAAACAACAUACAUUAUGUUGAAGGUAAUAUUGGAGCCAUUUUUCUCAAUUAGUAAAAGAACCUUUCCUGUGGCAGAUUCAUGCUUUUAUCUGAAAAAUAAUGUAUCAUCGCAUAUUUUUUUUAUUAAAAAAAUUAUAAACAUGAGAACUCCUGAACCUUUCUUUCGUAUGUAUUAACUUUGUUCGAUAAAAAAUUGUCUACCUUGAAUUUUGAAAUUUGAAACGGUUGCUUUAUUCUCAUCUGAUACGCUGCAAAAAUGCCUUGAUAAAGGGCAAUGUUAUGUGACCAAGUCAGUGACUCGCAACAUAUUAUUUGGAAAAAUAUGUUCUCUUUUAUUCAUUCAAUUUGAAAACAAAUAAUUUGUGCAAUAUUUAAUUGUGCACAGUUUUUAGUAUUAACAAUUGUUUAUUUACCAACCAAUAAUACUUUUAUUUUGUGCUUACUUGAUAAUUUAUAUUUGUUUUUAUGUAAUAUAUUAUGAUUUAUUUAUUAUGUCUUAACUAUAUUUAAUUACGUGCUUUUUUUUUGUCUAUGAUAUAAAAUAUUAAUUUCACAUUUUUUAAGUCUCCAAACAGAUAAAUGGAUAUUAAUGUUUUUUUGAACAUGUUUGAAAACCUUAACAUUAAUCAAGACUGCCUUAUAAUUGUGCUUCUGUAAAAAAGAUUUACAUUUUUUGUUGACUGGAACUGAUUUUAUGAUUACAUGAGCUUACAAUAGAUAUGAUUGCUUGGGAUAGAUGACAGUUUUGACUCAAUCUCAACUAUUCAUGAUUUAAUGGUCACGAUUGUCCCAUUUGACAAUGGUUGGUGAAGCAAGUUGUAGUGUUCGAAUCUUUGUAUUCCGGUCAACCCAUUCCACACAUUAACCCCGCAAAUCUCAAUCGUUCUUUGAUCGUAUCAGACGCUUCAAAUUAUGCCACGGGUACUGUUGACUUAAAACAAUACCAGCCGUUCACUCUCCGUCUAAUGGUUGUGAGGAAAACAUGCAUGAAGCUUAUGAUGGACCGUAAAUUACUACAUUAUAAAAUUAUUUUUCUAUCAAUAGAGCCUCAAUUUUUUUUUGGGCGUCUCUCUUCUUCUCAAUUUCUCUCAAACUGCUUGUAAUCUUAAUUUUCAGCUGUGUUUUAAUAUUUUCCAUAAUUUUUUAUAAAUAAAUUUUGUUUAAUUUUAUAUUUUAAUGUCAAUUACCAUACACAGUAGUCCAUUAUACAAUCUUAUCCUUCAUCUCAAUUAAGCCUAUAUUCCUUGGUUGGUGAUUUACUAUUUUUAAUUUUAUUGUUAUUAUUAUUACGCUAAUUAUCAUCAUCAUUAUCAUCGUUAUUUUGUUUUAAUAAUAAUAAUAAUAAUAAUAAUAAUAAUAAUAAUCUUCUUAUUCUUCUUCUUCUUAGCGACUCAGCGGCUUGUAUGUUAUAAUUCAUCUAAGUGCCAGCUGGAUUCCUUGCACAAAACACCCAUCCUGCGAAAAACUGUUGAUUAGAAAAUCUGCGAUAGGGUGUUUGGUUCAUCAAGCUCAAGAUAGUUUUCUCUUAGUUUUCUUCGGGUAAAAACUCAUUUAAUCCCUGUAUUUUAAGAUUAGUAUCCAUCUAGUCCCUAUAUUUUUAAAAAUGUCUUGAAACAUCCAUACCAUUAAAGUAUUGAUACCCCUACCAUUACUUUUACCCCUACCGUUACUUUUAUUUCUUUUGACUUGCUUUUACAAUAUUACCCUUUUAUAAUAAUUUUUUUGGACAUUAAUAAAAAGAAAAUAAUUAAAUUACCAAUUUAACCCUAGAAAAUUAAAAAAAUUAUAUUAAUUUUUUUGUAAGCACCAUUUGCACACUUGGUAGUUUGCAUACAAUUUUUUACAAUUAAAAAUUAAUAUAAUGUUUUUUAAAUUUUUAGGGUUAAAUUGGUAAUUUAAUUAUUUUCUUUUUUAUUAAUGUCCAAACAAAAAAGUUCUUAUAAAAGGGUAAUAUUAUAAAAGUAAGCGAAAAGAAAUAAAAAGUAACGGUAUGGGUAUUAAUACUUUAAUGGUAGGGAUGUUUCGAAGUAUUUUAAAAAAUAUAGGAACUAAAUGGAUACUAAUCUUAAAAUAUAGGGACUAAAUGAGCUUUUACCCAUUUUCUUCUUCUUUUAAUUUAUACUUUACCUCAAUUUAGACCGUCAUUUUUCAUUGAUCAAUAUUCAUUUAUUUAUAAUAAUAAUAAUAUUAUUAUUAUUAUCCGGUACAUAUUUUUUCUUCACAUUUUUUUUCCAAUCUAGUUUUCAUUUAUUUUACUCAUGCACAAAUUUUUCAGAAAAAAAUUAAUUAUAUGGUCACUUUACUGUAAAUUAAUAUCACGCCUCUUUCAUGAUUAAAUUUGAUAUUUCCCCUUCCCCCCCCCCCAGGUACGCAAUGCAAUACCUGACCCUACCUUUAAAUCCACUUCCUAAAAUUUUCGUCCCUAUUUUCAAAAAUUUCAAAUCCAUCUUACCCCAACCCAUACUUGCACGCUUCCAAUGUCUUGUUUUUAACCAUUACUUGCAUGCACCCUUUUUCCUUUAUUUGCAUGCGGUACUUAAUCACUUCCAACCCAUUACAGUCGUUCAUUUUUGGUCAAAAAGCGGAUCCCCUGCAGGUUAUCGGGCCAUUACCUUUUUGUCAGGUUACUAGCUACCGUGCUGUGUCUCUUCUUCAGCCAUUAGAUUAAAUCCAACGGUCACUCUGCUACAAGACAAAUGACUUGGGUACCAAACCCCUGAUGCAAAGUAGCUGCGCCCUAAAAUCCAUUAUCUCCAAUCAACUUUUUGUUGAUAAUCAUUUUAAAAUUUAUUAAUUUGUUUUCCGCAAAAGUACUUUAUAACUGUAACAGAUAGAAUUUCGAUGUUAGUGCUCAACAUUAAGAUAUUGUUUGCAACUUUGUAUGCCUUUUUUUUUCCUUAAAUUUACUUUGUAUAUUCUUAUUUCUACAUAAAACAAGAUUUUAAUGUAAUAAAUAGAACUUUUUUUAGUAGAAUUGAAUUUAUGAAUUUCUUGUCAUUUCUGCGUGCAUUUAUUGUGUAGUUUAUUGAAAGACUCUUUAAAAAAUUUGUAUGCAGGAAAAAAAAAGAUAAAUAAAUAAAGAUUAUACAACAUUCAUCGGAAUGUAUGGAUGAUGUAUGUGUCUUCUGGUACAAUAUUGACCUCGUUCGCACAGUAUGAUGUACUCCUUUUUUUUUCCCCCCAAAUGAAUAAAAUACUUUUGUACUAUUAAGACUUAAAAAUUAAACGCUUUCAAAACUCAAAUGAGUACGAAAAGUAAAUCACAUGAACUUCUCCUCUGCCUAUAUAUAUAUAUAACCUCGUACAUCACCACAAACCAUAGAUUAAUUUGAGAAUCUUUGCCAAGUAUAACUGUAAGCUAGCUUACUCUACAUCUAUAUAUCCAAUGUCUUCUUGCAUUAAUGCCUCAACCUUGGUUACCUCUGUAAAUGGUUUCAAAUGUCUUCCUCUUACAACAAAUAAAGCAGCCAUCAGAAUCAUGGCCAAAAAUAAGCCAGUCCAAUGCCUUGUCAGCGCCAAAUAUGAUAAUUUGACAGUUGAUAGGAGAUCAGCAAACUACCAACCUUCAAUUUGGGACCAUGAUUUUUUGCAGUCACUGAAUAGCAAGUAUACGGUAUUGAUUAUUAUUAUUAUUAUUAUUAAUACGUAUUAAUUUCCUUUGUUCAUUUCAAAUUGGGACCAUGAAUAACUAAAAACUAAAUGCUGUGCAUGUAACCGAGCCUGGAUCAGUUGGAGCUGAUUGAUAACUUGCAAAGACUUGGAUUGGCUUAUCGUUUUGAGACUGAGAUUAGGAACAUAUUGCACAAUAUCUACAACAGUAAUAAAGAUUAUGUUUGGAGAAAAGAAAAUCUGUAUGCAACGUCCCUUGAAUUAAGACUACUUAGACAACAUGGCUAUCCUGUUUCUCAAGGUACAUUUAAUUAAUUCGCUUCCUUCUUCAUGCACAUGCAUGAUCUGAAUACUUGAAUCGAUCUCUUUGUUUUUUUUUUUAUUAUUUAAAUGUAAAGAAAUGGACGAAACCCAAAUCAGUUUUAUAACUCUCUAUCUCCUGAGGGUGCCGCCCGCGCCCGGUCGUACUCAUAACCGCAUCAGGUCUCCAAGGUGAACAGCCUCUGGUCGAUGGAACAAUGUAGGCAAGGGAAGUCGGCAAAAUGGAUCCGUAACUUCGGGAAAAGGAUUGGCUCUGAGGGCUGGGCACGGGGGUCCCAGUCCCGAACCCGUCGGCUGUCGGCGGACUGCUCGAAAAGGGCGCCGCUGGGGAUACUUCAAUCAUUCUCUAAUUAAUAUAUGGAUGCAAAAAUUUUGACGAAUGCAACUUUUCUUGGUUGAAUGCUGCAGAGGUUUUCAAUGGUUUUAAAGACGACCAGGGAGGCUUCAUUUAUGAUGAUUUCAAGGGAAUAUUGAGCUUGCACGAAGCCUCGUAUUACAGCUUAGAAGGAGAAAGCAUCAUGGAGGAGGCCUGGCAAUUUACCAGUAAACAUCUUAAAGAAGUGAUGAUCAGGAAGAGCAUGUAUUUGUCGCAGAACAAGCGAAGCGUGCAGUGGAGCUCCCUCUGCAUUGGAAAGUCCCAAUGUUAGGGGCAAGGUGGUUCAUACACGUUUAUGAGAAAAGAGAGGACAAGAACCACCUUUUACUUGAGCUCGCUAAGUUGGAGUUUAACACUUUGCAGGCAAUUUACCAGGAAGAACUUAAAGACAUUUCAGGGUAUCCAUUUGAUUGCAUAACUCAUAUAUAUAUAGACAGACACACACACACACACAUCAAAGAUUUGAUUUUAUAAUUUACAUAACUUGUACAAUUUAAUCACAUGUAUAUUAAAUUAUUCUUAGGUGCAAACUCCGCCUUUUACAGAAGUUUAAAGGCAUGAGCUGUACUUUAUUUUUUUUUUUAUAUUAAUCACGAGGUAUCCUGGGGAGAGCCCCAACUGUGGGAAGCACCUUCGGAGUAUUAAAAAUUCAGUAUGUAAAAUGUUAAUUUCACCUCUCCCGCCGUUCCGUUCCUUUGAUUUAUCCUUUUUAAAUUACGAUGCUUUUGUCUCAAAAAUAAUAAAUUGUAAUUAGCUUUAUUUUCUAUGUCAUGUGCAUCAGUGACUUGGCUUACUACAAGCCUGCUUAGUGGAGGCAAAAUGGUACCAUAGUAAGUACACGCCAACGCUGGGAGAAUUCUUGGAAAAUGGAUUGGUAUCAAUAGGAGGCCCCAUGGGUACAAUGACUGCAUACCUUUCUGGGACAAAUCCAAUCAUUGAGAAGGAACUAGAAUUUUUAGAAAGUAAUCAAGAUAUAAUUCACUGGUCAUUCAAGAUUCUUCGUCUUCAAGAUGAUUUGGGAACUUCAUCGGUAUUUAUUCUUUUUUCCUUUUUUAACAAGACAGAAAUUGAAUUAAUCCUCUAUAUACGAUUUGAUUGUACUUUUUUUUACCCAAUAAUUCAUCAGGAUGAGAUACAGAGAGGGGAUGUUCCGAAAUCAAUCCAGUGUUACAUGCAUGAAACUGGUGCCUCGGAGGAAGUUGCUCGUGAACACAUCGAGGAUAUGAUGAGACAGAUGUGGAAGAAGGUGAAUGCAUACAGAGCUGAUAAAGAUUCUCCCUUAUCUCAAAAUACAGUUGACUUCAUGUUGAAUCUUGUGAGAAUGUCCCAUUUUAUGUAUCUACGUAGAGAUGGGCACGGUGCUCAAAACCAAGAGACUAUGGAUGUAGCUUCUACAUGGCUUUUUCAGCCCAUUCCCUUGGAGGACAACCACAUGGCUUCCACAGCACCAACGGCUGAUGAAUUCCCAGAGUGCAGUUUCAGUUGAUGUUAGCCAGACUUUUCUCUCUAUUGGGGGAUCGCUUUUCUAUAAUAUAAUAAACUCCCUCAUUCAUCGAGGUCUAUAAAUGAAAAGCAAAUGAUAUAUAUGUUGCUUUUAUUGAGAAUAAAAGUCGUCAGUAUAUGCAUAUACUUAAACACAAGAUGAGGAUGGAUGCAGUUAUACUCGAUUAUUCAAGCAUGGUUCAUAGCAUGUUAAACACAAGGGCUACUUUCAGUAUACAUGCAUCACCCAUUUAAAUCGCAUUUGACAAAUCGUACCCAUUUAAAUUAAAUGAGGAUAGAAAUUAGAUCUGUGGCAUUUAAAGAAAAAAGUUACAAGGAUCAAAAAGUAAAUAUAACAAAAAAAUGAGUUCCUAAUUAUUGGGUUAGCUUAAAGAAGGAGCGACUAAUUAUUGGAUUAGUCCAUUUUAAUUAUCUUCUAUUAGCAUAUUCAUUUCUAGAAACAAAUAUCCAACAAUGUCGAUUGUGUUUAUAAAAUAUGAGUGUAGAGACUUGGGUUCAAUCUUUCUAGUCUUCUCAAAACUUCGCCUCUAGCUACACAUUGCUAAAAUUCAAGAGUAUUGAAAAGGAUUAAAAGUUUUAUUGACUUCCCUUCUUAAGGAACAAGAUCGGGUAUUUAUACACGAGUAGAGGAACUAUAUAUGGAAGAAACAUUUUACAGAAAUUAUGGGAUUAAUUCUAAACUUAGUCGUUGACUAGCCGUUGGCUAAGAUAUGAAGAGAAUAUGGACUUGAAUAAUGGCUGGCCAUCUUUCUUUGGUGAGUUUGCAUGUCACGGGAUUGUGUGAGAUGAUUGUUGCAAGCCUUUGGCAAGAGCAAUACAGAUUGCCAUAUUUGUUUCCAACGGUUUGCAACUUGCCUUGUUAAUGUGGGAUUGAGUUGGUGUGCUGAUUUUUUCCAUGUUGGUGCGUGACCCAUGUGGCUGCAUGUGGUUCAUGUGUUGUGACUGUUCGAAUUCCACAUUUGGUGGGCAAUGUAUCUUAACAGCCCCCCUCAAGGUCGGCCGGGUCAUAGAGUGAACGCCGAGCUUUUGUCGAAAGAGAAAGAAAAGAUCUUUGCCCAAUGGUUUGGUAAGGAUAUAUGCAGCUUGCUGCAAGGAGGGAACAUGCGUGGCUUUAAGGGGGCCUUGAGAUACUUUUUCACGAACAAAAUGGACGUCAAUUUCGAUAUGCUUGCUGCGCGCAUGAAACACGGGGUUGCGAGUCAUAUAGAUGGCGCUCGUGUUAUCGCAAAGAAGGUGAGGAAUGUGUGAUAGUGAGACUCCAAUGUCCUGCAAUAAAGAAAGAAUCCAAGUUAGUUCAGCGGUAGUGGAAGAUAAAGCCCGAUAUUCUGCUUCAGCAGUGGAGCAUGCAACGAUGCUUUGUUUCUUGCUACACCAUGAGAUUAAGUUUGCCCCAAGGUAAACACAAAAGCCAGUCGUGCUACGUCUUGUUUCAAGGCAACCAGCCCAAUCGGAGUCCGAAAAGGCAUACAGUUGAUUGGAGCUUUGUUCAAGGAAUCGAAGUCCAAAGUCGAGAGUGCCUUUAAGAUAACGCAAAAUUCUUGUAAUAGCCUUGAGGUCUUGUUUAGUAGGGCUCUGAAAGUGUUGACAGACUUUAUUGACAGCAUGAGUGAUGUCUGGUCUGGUGAAUGUGAGAUAUUGUAGACUGCCGACAAGGGAACGAUAGUGAGUGGCGUGUAUGGGUUCUUGAUCGUCAUCAUAUGGUUGGGUUUUGACAGCCAUUGGGGUCCGAUUAGGGGUGCAAUCUAGUAAAGCAGCCUUGGUUAAUAAGUCACGAGUGUAUUUGGCUUGUGACAAAAAAAUGCCUCCUGGAAAGCGCCGAAUCUCGAUCCCUAAAAAACAGCUCAAUAAGCCUAAGUCUUUUAAUGCAAACCGAGUGCUGAGAUGACUGAUGAUGGAUUGAAUUAUAUCGGGAUUAUUUCCUGUAAUAAUUACAUCAUCUACAUACACCAACAACAAAAUAAGAAUAUCGUUAGCAUGAAAAAUAAAGAGGGAAGGAUCGGCUUUGCAGCUUGUAAAACCAAGCUCUAGAAGUGCUAAUGAUAAACAUUCAAACCAGGCACGUGGUGCUUGUUUGAGUCCAUAUAAGGACUUGUGGAGUAAGCAAACAUGGUCAGGAAGAUUUUGAUCAGUAAAGCCAGGUGGUUGCUCCAUGUAGGCAAUUUCUUUUAGUUGACCAUGAAGGAAGGCAUUUCGGACAUCCAGCUGUUUGAUAAGCCAUUUAGAACUAGUUGCAAGUGCUAAGACAAGCCUUAUGGUAGUUGGCUUAAUGACGGGGCUGAAAGUCUCGUUGAAGUCAAUGCCAGGAACUUGUGUGUACCCCUUCGCAACUAAACGGGCUUUUAACCGAUCUAUUGUACCAUCUUAUCUAUACUUGGUUUUAUAAACCCACUUCGAACCAAUAACAUUGGCAUCAUGAGGUCGAGGAACUAAGGUCCAUGUCUUAUUUUGAUGGAGGGCAGCAAGUUCUUCGGCCAUUGCUUGUAGCCAUAGAGGAUGCUUAAGAGCAGAUUUUAAUGUUUUUGGUUCGGUCACUAUGGCAUGAUCGGUUUGAAGAGCUAAGGUAGGAUUUUGUUUGAGCUUGUUGCGUGUCAGCAUAGGAUGUGUAUUUAGAGAUUCUGUUGUUUUGACAGGAGAGAUAUUUAGUUCAACGAACAACUUUCCUGAGAGAUCGUUUAAGGCAGAUGGAGCACGAUUGUCACUAUCUAAGGUUUGUUCGGAGGUCGUGUGGAUAUGUGUAUUAUCGGCAGAAGCAGCAGUCUUGUUAUUGGAUGAGGGGCUCUUUUGAGGUGAAUUUGUAGAGGAACUUUCGGGUAAAUAAGUGGGUAGUUCAUGAAGGUCUUCAAUUAUCACAAACUUUGUUUGGAGUGGGAGACAAUGGUUCAUUCGUAUUUGGAGAUGUGGCAGUGUAGUUUGGAUUAGCAACUUCAAUGUGCCCAAGAGAAGUGUUGUUGAAGGACUCUGUCCAAGUUGUUGGGAGCCAUUGUGACACAUUUGGAGUAGUGGGAACGCUACAAGCAUCCUGCAUAGGAGAAGAAUCUUUUAGAUUUUGAUAAGGAAAACAUAAUUCAUCAAAUGUUACAUGACGAGAAAUAUAAAUUCUAUUGUUUUGUGGAAAAAGACAGCGGUAUCCCUUGUGAGUGGGGCUGUAACCAACAAAAAUACAAGGGAGAGUUUUUUUGUCAAACUUCGUUUUAUUGUAAUCCCUCAGAGAGGGAAAACAACGGCAACCAAAAACUUUAAUUUCAUUGUAACUGGGAGUUUCCUUAAAAAGUAACUCAUGAGGUGUGUGCAUCUUAAUAAUUGUUUGUGGCAGUUUAUUAAUGAGAUAUACAGCUGUUAAAACAGUCUCCACCCAAUAUUUUAAUGGUAAUGAAGAUUCAAAUAACAUAGUAAGGGCAGUCUCCAUUAUAUGUCUAUGUUUCCUUUCGGCAACUCCAUUUUGUUGAGGAGUAUAAGGGCAUUAAGUUUGUUUGAUGAUUCCAGACUGUUGAAGAUGUUGUUGGAAAAUGAUAGAGCUAAAUUCUCCUCCGCCAUCACUUUGAAAAAUUUUGAUCUUUCGUUCCAUCUGAUUUUCCACCUGUUUUUGGAAUUUAAGAAAACACUCAAAAAAAUCAGAUUUUGAUUUUAAGGGAAAUAACCAACAAUAACGUGUACAAUCAUCCACAAACAAUACAUAGUAACGAAAACCUUGAUUAGAAGCAAUUGGAGCAGGACCCCAUAAAUCACAGUGAAUUUUAUCAAGAGGGAAAUCAGAAAUUUUAUUUGAUAAACUGAAUGGGAGUUUACAGUUUUUGCCUAAUUGGCAUGAAACACAAAUACUAGUGUUCUUAGUCCAAUCAGUUAUACUGAUAGACCCAUUAGCGCGCAAGACUUGUAAUAUUUUAGGACUUGGAUGGCCAAGUCUCUUAUGCCACAAGUCUUGGUUUUCUGAGUUUCUUCUUAUUGUUUGAAAAGCUAAGUUUCCUCCUUCAUUGAGCACGUACAAGUCCCCCUGCCUAGUUCCCUGAGCCAGUACCUGAUUCUCCUUGCUCUUUACAACAAAACCAAGAGAGUUAAAUUCCACAGAACAAUUUAUAUCAUCCACAAGUUUGCUUACUGACAGGAGGUUCUUUUUAGUUUGGGAACAACCAAAAUAUCUUUCAAGUUUAAUUUCCCAUGUGUGGUAUCACCGAUAUGAGAAAUAUGUAAGCUUUGGCCAUUCCUUACAAAAAUCUUAUCAGAACCUCCAUAGGGUAUAAAUUUCUUUAACUUACUAGUGCUAUUUACCAUGUGGGCAGUAGCACCUGAAUCAGUAUAAAGUUGUGGGUCAUUCUCGUCUUGCAGAUUCAUGGCCGCGACGGCUUGCGGUGCUUCCUCUUCAGGGGUAAAGUAGUCAUACGUGUGCCUACAAACUGCAGCACUGUGGUUAGUUUUACCACAAAUUUGACAGAUUAUACCUGAUUUGGAAUUGUGUUUUCGUUGAUCAACAUGUUCUGUACUGUAGUGUUUUGGUGCAGGUGGCAGAUUUGGGCCAUUAUUGUUGAACCUUGGUUGCGGCAGAGAGUUGUUAGAGGGUGAUUGAUUCAUAUUGAAAGAUUGAUUCAUAUUGCUGUGCCCAUUGUUAGAAGGAUAAUUUCCUCUUCCACGAAAGUUGUUGUUAAAGCCGCGUCCUUGUCCUUGUCCUUGUCCUUGAAAACUUUUCCCACGUCCACGUUGCCCAAAGAAGGCUUGCUGUGGAUCCGCUUCUUUGCCAUCAUUCUUCUGACCGAUCACAGUCUACUCAUGAUUCUGCAAGGCUGACAGGAAUAGUUUCAAACUUGGAUAAGGUGGCUUGGUUAGCAUAGCCAUUUUGAAGUCGGCAUACUUGGGUCCUAGUGCCCGUGCUAAUUGAAAGACUUUGUCAUCGUCCGUCAAGGGCUUUCCAAUGGCAGCGAGACUGUCACACAGUCCUCUAAAUUUGUUCAAGAAGUUAUCAAGCUUCAGGGAGCCUUUCUUUAAGGAGAAGAGAUUGUCUUUAAGCCAAGACUCUCACUCCUUGGUGGCUGGAAGCAUAUUUUCCUCAAUGGAGAGCCAAACUUCUUUCACUGUUUGUCCUCCAACUACCAGUGUAAGGACGUCUUCCACAUAACCAGGUAAGAAGCAACCCAUCAUUGUGUGCCCAAACUGAAAAGUCAGGGUUGGCAAUAGACUUUCCAUUACUGGAAAUUGUUUGGGGUGGUGAGUCAUCAGAGAUGUGAUUGUUGAGUCCUAGGUUACUGAUCAGGGGAAGGACUUGGGACCUCCAUAAGAGAUAGUUGUUGCUGGAGAGUUUAAUAUAUAUUAGAUUGGCACAUUGGUGGAUAGUUUGCAGGGAGAGUUUGGCCUCGGUUUGGAUAUUGGAUGAAGAAGCCAUAAGCUCUGAUACCAUGCUAAAAUUCAAGAGUAUUGAAAAGGAUUAAAAGUUUUUAUUGACUUCCCUUCUUAAGGAACAAGAUCGGGUAUUUAUACACGAGUAGAGGAACUAUAUAUGGAAGAAACAUUUUACAGAAAUUAUGGGAUUAAUUCUAAACUUAGUCGUUGACUAGCCGUUGGCUAAGAUAUGAAGAGAAUAUGGACUUGAAUAAUGGCUGGCCAUCUUUCUUUGGUGAGUUUGCAUGUCACGGGAUUGUGUGAGAUGAUUGUUGCAAGCCUUUGGCAAGAGCAGUACAGAUUGCCAUAUUUGUUUCCAACAGUUUGCAACUUGCCUUGUUAAUGUGGGAUUGAGUUGGUGUGCUGAUUUUUUCAAUGUUGGUGCGUGACUCAUGUGGCUGCAUGUGGUUCAUUUGUUAUGACUGUUCGAAUUCCACAUUUGGUGGGCAAUGUAUCUUAACAAACAUAAGUUAGGACUUAAAUCAAAAUUCAUAUAUUGAAACCUUUAUUUUUAUUUUUAUUUCAUUAUUUGUUUUAUGCCAAUAAGAAAAAUACAAAUAAUUUCUUUUCAUGAGCCUGACGGUACUGGAAAUUUACAAAGCGAUGAAGUUGAUUGUGACUGCUGCCAGUUAACCCAAGUCGAAAAGCCACAUGUAGCACCGACUCAAAACUAUUCUAACUAAAGGCUACAACUACUACGCACCAGUUCCAUUGAUAAACCCUAUAGAAUUAAAUAUAUGGACAAAAAUAAUAACCAUAGGAUUUAAAGCAUCGUACAAUUAACGGUUGAUGUUGAUUGAGGGAACCGGAAGAACUAGGACGUGGUGGUCCGGUUGAUGUUGAAGAGGCAAAUUGGCUGGGUAUUUUGAAGUCAAGUAUGACAAAUAUGAUUUAAAUUGCAUGCUUUAUGCCUACUGCAGAGCUGGUGCUAUGGAGAGCGUAAUGCAUGUUAUGGGGAAAUUGGACGAAUUAGUCCGGAUUACAAUACCCAUCAUACUCUAAUCAAACAUUUCUCCAAUAAGAAGUUUUAUAUGCUUGCUUAUCGGACUAUGAUGGACAUGCAUAGUAAAGGCCACCAGCCGGAGGAGGUAUGAAAGUGGUCAUAGACAAAUGAGCUUUUACUUCGGGAUUGCAACGCUAAAGACUUAUCACAGCUAUGCUGUUUUGCAGGAACUCUGCUCCUCCCUAAUUUUUCAUCUUGAUAAAAUGAGAGCGACACUCAGAAGCACUCUCUGUUCACAACAUGUUAAGAGGCAGCAAAAGAUCGAUGUGCAAGGCCAUUCAUGAGAAAAUUCUUCAUAUUUUAAUAUCCGGAAAACUUCCCAUGUCUUAUCAUUUUAGAUCGAUUCUUCAACUGUCAUUUUUAUGCUUUUUUUUAAUAAACAAUCUGUGAGGUGAUAACUCUAGGAAAUGAGAGUUAUUACAUCAAUUCUAGACUUGAAUCAAGGUCACUUAGAGAACAAAUAAGGUGUUUUUAUUACAUUUUAGUUACCUUUUGCAUAAACAUUCAUUUUAGUUGAGUCUUAAUAAGUUUUCCUUGAAUCAUAGUAAGUUGUGCUAAAAACAGGUUUUAAAUUGUAGGUGUUAAAUUCAUGAGAGGAUGUUGAGGCAUUAGAAGAGCAAGAGGAGGAAGGAAGAUGGCCACAAAAGAAGUAAAACACAAUCGGGAAUAAGGCAGUGUUGUAGCAGCUGUUAGAGCAACCAGUGUUGUAGCAAUCUAGGAGCAAUGCGGGAGAAAACUUAGGCGCGGGUCAGCCAUAAAAUCGCGAUCUGCAUGUUUCUUAAUUUAAACACAUGCACGCUCAUGGGCUUUGGUUUAACCUAAUUUGCAAUAUAAAAAGGAGAGGUGCACCACAUAGAGAGGCGGCAAGGAAAUUAUCAUUAGAAUGAUUAGAAGGAACGAAGAAGAAGAAGAUCAGAAUUGAAGAGUGUUGUUUCGGCAACAUUGGAGAAUCGUGCAAAAUUACUUGGCUUUGAUUUUCACCGUGCUCAACUUAUAUUUAUCUUCUUCCUUUAAUUGAUUUGAUGUAUUCCGAGACCAAUAUGUUUAUGUUUAUUUCUCUCAUUCAGAUUAUGAACUAAAUUUACUUGUAGUUGAGUGACAAAUAAUCCAAUGGGUUCUUGACUGUUCUUAUAUGUUGUAUGGUAUUGCUGUAGCAUUUUACUCUAAUAGCUUUUAUGAAUAUAACUAUUAUUUCGGUUAACCACCUAUUUAAUAGUUUUAGUUAAGAUAGAGCAGCAAAAGGGCAUAUCUUAGCGGACAUUAUUAGAGUAUUACUUAUUCUUAAGUCGAGUUUCCUGGAUUAGGUUAUCCUGAAUUCCAUAAGGGCAAUACUUGAAGUUAAGAUAUGUGACACUCUAGACAUAGGUGUUCACCUUGUAAGGUAGAAAGAUUAAAGGUUAUAAUGCCGUACCAUAAAUAUAUGAGCAACUGGUCAUUAUUAGUAGAUUUAAAGGUAUGAGACUUCCAACAUGCGAUAGCUGAGGAUGCCGAUUUAUUCUGCCCGGUGCUGCAGCACUUAUUCUAACAACUGGUGCUAAUUUGGUAAACAACAGUCACCCCAUUAGGAGAGUUUGAUCAUUCAACUACUAUAUUCUUAAGUGAAUCUUAGACACAGUUAAUCUAGUUUAUUUCAUUACAGUAUUGUCUUAUUUAGUUCUUAUUUCAAUUAUUGAUUACGAUAGAAAUUAUUUGACAAUUGUUUGUUUUGGUUUCAAGUUGAGUUGCGUUAUUGUGAGUGCUAUAGAAUUUUGAAUAACAUCAAUCCAUGUGGAGACGAUCUUGAAUACUUAUCACUUUAUUACUUGUUGUGUAUACUUGCACAUUAGCAUUGAUAGUUAUUGCUUAUAAAAUUCACCAACAAGUUUUUGGCUCCGUUGCCGGGGAUUGAUUGUUUAUUUUUGAAGUGUGAAGUAAAUCGUGAUAGCGCCGAAUUUGACUUGAUUCAUUCUAUUGAUUGGCAGAUCAGUACGUGCAUGCGCAAGGACAGAUCUGUGGUAUUUCAAUUCGAUCCUGAGAUUGAAAGGACUGUCAGGAGAUUGCGAAGAGAACAAAUAAAUUCAAAGACUGUUUCAGGCAUGAAUAAUUUACAGGAUGAGGGAAAUUUGAACCAUCACGGGCCCUUACAACCAGUCAACAUUCAAGAAGAACAUAAUGAACAGGCUAACGGGAGACAGCCAGGCAACAACAAUAUUCUUUACAUGGCUGAUGACAAAGACAGAGCCAUAAGAGAUUAUGCGGUGCUAACUCCUCAAGUUGUACAUCUUGGCAUCAUCAGACCUGAAGUAGACACUGUAAAUUUUGAGUUAAAGCCAGUGAUGUUUUAAAUGUUGCAAACAGUUGGGCAAUUCAACGGAUUGCCAAACGAAGAUCCUCAUCUCCAUCUUAAAUUGUUCUUGGAAGUAAGUGAUGCUUUCAAGAUUGCUAGAGCAACACAAGAUGCCUUAAGGUUGAGGCUUUUUCCUUAUUCCUUAAGAGAUCGAGCAAGAGCAUGGUUAAAUUCAUUACCAUCUAAUUCCAUCACUACAUGGAAUGAAUUGGCUGAUAAAUUCCUAAUGAAAUAUUUUCCACCAACAAAAAAUGCAAAGUUGCGGAAUGAGAUUACUUCAUUCCAUCAUCUGGAAGAUGAAAGUUUGUACGAGGCUUGGGAAAGAUUUAAGGAAUUGCUCAGAAGGUGUCCUCAUCAUGGUAUUCCUUGUUGCAUACAAUUGGAAACUUUCUACAAUGGGUUGAAUCCAAGUACAAGGUUAAUGGUGGAUGCUUCAGUAAAUGGAGCUCUGUUAUCCAAAUCUUACACUGAAGCUUAUGAAAUUUUAGAAAGAAUUGCGAAUAAUAAUUACCAGUGGCCUUCAGCCAGGCAAUUAGCAGCAAGAGGAUCAGUAGGGGUACAUAAUAUAGAUGCAAUCACAGCCUUAUCAGCACAAGUUACUUCAUUGACUAAUAUGGUAAAGGUCAUGACAUCUGCUCCAGCAACAGUAAAGCAAAUUACUGAACUCUCUUGUGUAUACUGUGGUGAGAAACAUGACUUUGAUAGUUGUCCUGGGAAUCCAGCUUCAGUAAACUAUGUGGGUAAUUUCAAUCGACAACCUCAGAACAACUCAUAUUCAAAUACUUACAACCCUGGCUGGAAACAACACCCAAAUUUCUCAUGGAGCAGUUAGAAUCGAAAUGCUCCAGCAUUAAAUGGACAGAAUAGAAACACAUAGCCACCUGGUUUUCAUCAGCAGAGUCAAGGGAAAAAGCAUAUCAGUCAGGAUCCAAUCACUUCAUUGGAAACACUGAUUAAGGAGUAUAUUGUAAAGAAUGAAGCAAUUGUGUAGAGUCAAGCUGUAUCCUUGAGAAACCUGGAGAAUCAAAUGGGACAACUAGCUACAGCAAUGAUCAGCAGAACUCAAGGAAGCCUACCUAGCAACACAAAAGACCCUAGGAGAGAGAGCAAAGAACACUGCAAAGUAAUUAGUUUGAGAUCUGGAAAGAAUGUUGAUAUCCCAGUUGAGAUUACCAAAAAGGGGAUAGAAUGCAAUUCAGCACAAAAAACCAACUCAAAAGGGAAGCCUGUUACAACAAACUCCCCAUCAAGACACUGAUUACAUGGGCCAAGCUACAGCAACUGCAGAAGAAAUUCAACCAGAACAUGCUAAAAAAGAAGUUGCAACACCAGUAGCCACAACCUACACCAACCUAAACAAACAAAGUUUGGUACCUCCUGAAUCUAACCAGCAGUUUAGACAUCCACCACCUUUCCCAAAAAGGUUCCAAAAGCAAAAACAGGACAAGCAGUUCAGCAAAUUCCUGGAAGUGCUGAAGCAAUUACAUAUAAACAUACCUUUUGUGGAAGCUUUAGCGCAAAUGCCAAAUUAUGUGAAAUUUCUAAAGGACAUCUUGGCAAGAAAAAGAAGGCUGGGAGAGUUUGAAACUGUUGCUUUAACACAGGAAAGCAGUCAUAUGCUCCAAAAUAAUAUUCCAGCAAAAGUGAAAGAUCCAGGGAGUUUCACAAUACCAUGCUCUAUAGGAACUAGGUAUGCUGGCAAAGCACUCUGUGACCUGGGAGCUAGCAUUAAUUUGAUGCCAUUAUCUGUAUUUAAGCAGCUUGGAGUAGGGGAAUGCAGACCAACAACAGUCACUCUGCAAUUGGCUGACAGAUCUCAUGUAUACCCUGAAGGAAAAAUAGAGGAUGUACUGGUCAAAGUUGAUAAAUUCAUCUUUCUAGUGGAUUUCAUUGUACUAGAUUUUGAAGCUGAUAAAGAGGUACCCAUUAUACUUGGAAGACCUUUUAUAGCAACUGGAAAAACUCUGAUAGAUGUGCAGAAAUGAGAGCUCACCAUGAGAGUGAAUGAUCAGCAAGUCACAUUUAAUGUACUAGAGGCUAUGAGAAACCCUGAUGAAGUAGAAGACUUCAAUUUCCUGAGUGUAGUGAAUUUUGUUGUAGCAGACAGAAUGGAUAGAUGCUGCAGUAAGGCAUUUGACAAAGUCAAUACCUUUGAUGAUGUAGAAGAGGAAGAUGUUGCAGCAAUUCAGACAGAUAGGAUGGAAGAAAAGCAAUCUGAUAGGCACACCAGGUUUAUUGAACAUCUGAAUCUUUCAGACAGGGAAGUAAAAAAAACUUUACCAUCUAUUGAAUCACCUCCUAGUAUUGAAUUAAAACUGUUACCUUCACAUUUAAAAUAUGCUUAUCUUGGUCAAAAUAACACACUCCCUGUAAUCAUCUCUUCUACUUUGGAUGCAGGUCAAAAACAGAGUUUAGUAGAUUUGCUUGGAAAAUACAAAAGAGCAAUUAGAUGGACCAUGGCAGAUAUAAAGGGGAUAAGCCCAUCAAUUUGCAUGCAUAAAAUCCUGCUAGAAGAUUGCUCCAGCAAUUCAGUUGAGCACCAGAGAAGGUUGAACCUUAUCAUGAAAGAAGUGGUGAAGAAGGAAAUCAUCAAAUGGUUGGAUGCUGGAAUCAUAUACCCAAUAUCAGACAGUUCAUGGGUGAGCCCAGUGCAAUGUAUUCCAAAGAAGGGAGGGAUAACAGUAAUAACUAAUGAGAAGAAUGAACUUAUUCCUACAAGGACAGUAACUGAAUGGAGAGUAUGUAUGGAUUACAAGAAGCUCAACAAAGCCACAAGGAAAUACCAUUUCCUACUUCUAUUUAUAGAUCAGAUGUUAGACAGACUUGCUGGAAAACAGUACUAUUGUUUCUUAGAUGGGUAUUCAGGCUAUAACCAGAUUGCUAUAGCUCCAGAAGAUCAGGAAAAGACAAUAUUUACUUGUCCUUAUGGAACAUUUGCCUUUAGAAGAAUGCCCUUUGGGUUAUGCAAUGCUCCAACAACUUUUCAGAGAUGCAUGAUGUCUAUAUUUUCUGACAUGGUAGAGCAGACUUUAGAAGUUUUCAUGGAUGACUUCUCAGUGUUUGGAGAAACAUACAAUGAUGGUUUGCACAACCUGGAAGAAGUUCUUAAAAGAUGUGAGAUGACCAACUUAGUACUCAAUUGGGAAAAAUGCCAUUUCAUGGUGCAAGAAGGAAUAAUGUUGGGUCACAAGGUAUCCAAGGAUGGCAUUGAGCUAUACAAAACCAAGAUAGAGGUAAUAGAUAAACUGCCACCUCCAACUUCAGUAAAAGGUAUUAGGAGUUUUUUGGGACAUGCUGGAUUUUACAGAAGAUUCAUUAAGGAUUUUUCCAAGGAGGCUAAACCAUUAUGCUCAUUACUGGAACAUGAUAAACCCUUUUACUUUGACAAAGAGUGUCAUCAAGCAUUUAGAGAAUUAAAGAAAGCUAUGAUCACUGCUCCAGUAAUCAUAUCUCCAGACUAGACUUUACCAUUUGAAUUGAUGUGUGAUGCUAGUGACCAUUCUGUGGGAGCAGUAUUAGGGCAAAGAAGGGAUAAGGUUUUUCACUCCAUAUACUAUGCAAGCAAAACUCUUACUCAAACUCAAAUCAAUUACACCACUACAGAGAAAGAAUUGCUAGCAGUAGUAUUUGAUUUUGACAAAUUCAGAGCUUACUUGGUGGGCACUAGAGUGAUUGUAUAUACAGACCAUGCAGCCAUCAAAUACUUAAUUUCAAAGAAACAUGCCAAGCCAAGAUUAAUCAGAUGGAUCUUAUUGCUACAAAAAUUUAAUCUGGAAAUUAAAUAUAGAAAGGGGACUGAGAAUCAAGUAGCAUAUCACCUGUCAAGGUUGGAAGCAGACGCAAGCACAUUGACAAGGAAAGACAUCACUGAAACUUUUCCUGAUGAACAGCUGUUGGUGGUACAACAAGCACAGAUGCUGCAGCGGUCAGAAUCUCUAUGGUAUGCAGAUUUUGCUAACUAUUUAGUAAGUGGAUUGUUACCACCCGAGCUGAAGUUUCAAGAGAAAAAGAAAUUUCUUCAUAAUGUUAGAAGCUACCAAUGGGAUGACCCACAUUUAUAUAAGCUAUGCCUAGACCAAGUAAUACGAAGAUGUGCUGCAGAAGGAGAGAUUCCCCAUAUACUGGAGUCAUGUCAUGCUGCAGCAUAUGGAGGACAUUUUGGUGGUCACAGAACAGCUGUUAAAGUAUUGCAAUCAGGUUAUUACUGGCCAACUAUUUUUAAAAAUGCUUAUGAGUUUGUUAAAUGUUGUGACAGGUGUCAAAGAACAGGGAACAUAACUAGCAGACAUGAAAUGCCAUUGACCAAUAUACUGGAAGUGGAAGUUUUUGAUGUCUGGGGAAUAGAUUUCAUAGGACCUUUUCCCCUAUCCUUUGGGAGCUUAUAUAUCAUUGUUGCUGUGGAUUAUGUCUCCAAGUGGGUAGAAGCUGCAGCAUUACUUGCCAAUGAACAGUGGUGGCUUUUCUUUAUAAAAAUAUUUUUUUCCAGAUUUGGCACUUCUAGAGCAAUUAUUAGUGACGAGGGUACACAUUUUUGCAACAAAGUCUUUGCUGCAGCAAUGGUAAAAUAUGGAGUCAGACACAAGGCAGCUACAACAUAUCACCCUCAAUCUAAUGGUCAGGCUGAAGUGUCCAACAGAGAAAUUCAAAAGAUCUUAGAAAAAGUGGUGAACCCAACAAUGAAGGAUUGGUCUUUACACUUACAUGAUUCUCUAUGGGCCUACAGAACAGCAUACAAAACUCCACUCGGCAUGUCCCCUUACCGAAUUGUUUAUGGAAAGGCUUGUCAUUUGCCACUAGAGCUAGAGCAUAAAGCACAUUGGGCACUGAACAAAUUAAAUUGGGAUAUUCAUGCUGCAGCAGAGCAAAGAAAGCUUCAGCUUUAUGAGCUUGAUGAAUUACGGCUAUUUUCAUAUGAAAAUGCAAGAAUUUAUAAAGAGAGGACAAAACACUGGCACGACAAGCAUAUUCAACACAGGCAACUUAGCCCUGGACAGUUAGUGUUGCUCCACAGUACAAGACUAAGAUUAUUUCCGGGAAAACUCAAGUCACGAUGGUCUGGCCCGUUUAAGCUGCUCAAAGUUUAUCCUCAUGGAGCUGUUGAUCUUUUAGAUGAACAAAUAUGUCAAGAAUUCAAGGUUAAUGGACAUAGGGUUAAGCACUACAUACAUCCAGCGGUAGAUUGUUCAAAGGAGGUGUUACUCCUUAAAGAACCUAGCUAUUGAGCAAUGAAAGAAGGUCAGACUGAAGGACCUUAAAUCAAGUGCUCCAUGGGAGGCAACCCAUUGGGGAGACAGCCACUUCAAACCAAUUAUGAUAUCCUUUGGUUUUGUAGACAACUCUCCCUCUUUACCAUCUUAUUUAAUUUUGUUUUUUCUAUAUUAGCCAUUUACUUCUAUCCUUUUACAUUAUUGCAUUUUUUAUUUUCACUCUAAUUCGAUCUAUUUAUUUCUUUUACUACUUUUAGAAUUAAUUUUAGUUUGAAGUAAGUGUGACAAUUGAAUUCCAUAUUGACAAGUGAGAGUGUAUGAUGGCAGAAUGCAGAGGUGAGCCACGUGUCAGAAGCUUUAGUGUGGAGUAUGUAUCCAUUGUUAGAACAAGCGAAUGGGUGCUGCAGCAACUAAUUUUACCGUUACAGUAAAUUAAAAGCUGGAGCCUUUCACUUACCGUUGGAGAUAAAAUCGUGACAGAUUGAUGCAUGGAUAUGGAUAGAAAAUUGCGGAAACAAAUCUCCGAAAUUAAAGCUUUAAUUUCACUGGCCGAUAAUUUUGGGGAUAUGCACAUUUAAUUCAAAUAUUUUAUUCCCUCAAUUAUCUCUAGUUACUGUAUUUAUCUUCAAAUUUAAGUCCAUUAUAAAAAAGAGUCACUGUGAUUAGUGCUCUACGCCACUAUUCCCCAUCUCCUUCGCAAGUACAACUCUCCUAAUUCUUACCUUCUCCUUCUCAUUUUACUUGCAGGCACAUUAGCUUCAAUUUGUUAAUGCUCAGCAAUGCCGAGGUAUAAGAAAAUAGCCGGCCGCCUCAAAGAUUCGUCAUGCUUCCAGAGCUACCACGCCGAAGAAAAAUAUGAAGAAUUCAUAAAGCCGCGUAAGAUUCUGGAAGAGAAAGGGUUUCAAUUUCCAGAACAACUCACUGGAAUUAUACAAACAAUUCAUAAUGCUGCAGCAAAGCGAGGAUGGUUAGAGUUUUGCAAUCACCCUCGUGAUCCUGUGCUUCAAGUAGUCAAAGCAUUUUACACCAAUUUGGUAAGCCCUAAUCAGCACAACAUUUGGGUAAGAAACACACUUGUUCUAUUAGAAUCCCGAGUUAUAAAUGCUUUUUAUAAUUUACCUACUGAAAUUAAUUGUGAGUAUGCCAAAUUGCGUGAUAAAUUGGCCCCGAAAAAGUGGACGACCAUUUUCACAACUCUUACCAUAGAAGGGGCAUCAUGGGCUAACGAGGAAGGGCGUGUAGUUAAUAGGAUAGAUUUGAAACCUAUUGCUAAGGUGUGGGUGAAAUUUUUUAAAUCUAGGCUUAUGCCCACCACUCACACUACUACGGUUUCGCAAGAGAGAUUGGUUUUGUUAUAUGUCCUUGUUCGAGGGCUUCCCAUAGAUGUGGGUAGCAUCAUUGCAAAAGAAAUCCGAGAUUGUGCAGUCAAGACUCACCGAACUGCUGCCUUACUAUUUCCCUCACUUGUCACUAGCAUUUGUGUAGUUUCAGCUAUUCGUCUUGACGCCAGAGAUGACCAUGUUAAGAAUGAUGGUGCCUUUACGGCACGUACAAUUGAGAGAGUUGCUGGUGAGAGUGCUGGAACAACCAUUGAACCAGCUAUUGUAACAGGAGCAAGACGAGUUAUUGGCUUAGAACAGACCAUCCAGGCACUCAGCACCAAUAUCACUCAAUGGGUGGAAGCUCAGCAGAGGGAAAAUAGUCGGUUUUGGGGUUAUCUACAGCACCUGGAUAACCAACUACACCAAUUUGCUCUGUACAUGAAACACACUCACCGGAACUUCCCUGAGUCAUUGCUCUAGCAGUACAAUUUUGACGCCAACACCACAAGUACUCCAGCAGCAGCCAGUGAAGAAGCCACUGCUAUAGAUGAACCAACAGAAGAAGCUGCCACUAAACCACAAGCAGAAGUCGACUCAGAAGAUGCUGAACCGUCUGACCCACCUGAGGACGAAGGUGACAAGUCUGAGACUGAUAGCUCACCCUCAGAGGCAGAGGACAAUUUAGAGAAAGAAAGUGAGGAACCAACCAUCCCAGCCCAGCCCAGCCUAAAACCAGAAAAAAACACAUUAUUCAAGAAGAGGAAGAGGAAGACCCUGAAGAGGAACCAUCUAUUCCAGUCCUUGCGAGCAAGGGAAAGGACAAGGGCAAAGCAAAAAUGGCAAUACCUCUAGACUCUACAGAUGAAAUGGAGCAAGUUGAUGCCGACCUAGCUGCUGCAGCAGCCAAAGUUACGCCUACACCUGAGCAAGCCAAACAACUACUGGCAAUCAUUGUGGCCAUCACAGCUGAGGGCCAGGCAGCUGAUGCAUCAACUCUAAUUCCUCCCCAGCAAACUCCUAGCCAGCCUGUUCGCACCAGCCCGCGACAGUCCAACAAAAGAAAAUGCAGUACUUCUAAAGGCCCUGCUACAGCAACCCCAUCCACAACUCCUCUCACCAGCCCCGCGACGAAAAAGGUAAAGACAUUGCCAGCUACUUCCCCACAAGCUUCACCAAAGGAUAAGCUGCGCAGUGCAUCCAAGAAGCGUUGAUAACAUCCCUUCAUGUGCUGCAAUCCCCAACACAGGGGAGUAUUCUGUCCUUACUAGUUCAUUUAAAAAAAAAAUUUUUUUUUCUUUCUUUUUUGUUUGUCAAUUUGUGUGGUAUUUUCUAAAGGUCUUCCAUAUCCUUGUCCAGUCGUGUGCAUUUGUUAUGUAUGCUUGUGAGGACACAACAUCUCUCAAGUUUGGGGGGGUUGUUUCUGAAUGCAUGUAUUUAUGUAUGUGUUAUGUGAAGCUCUGUUAUCUGUUAUUUGUGUAUGGAUUUGGAUACCUAAUGAAGAUAAAUUGAGUGUUAUUUAGUAUUUAUGAGAAUGCCAAGUAGAGAUAAGUUAUAGAUGAAAGUGAAAUUAUGUUCUGACACUUAGACUUUGGUUGAAUUGUAUGAGACUGCUAGAGCAAAGCCAAAAGAAUAGAAAAGAUCUUAAGUUUGGGGGGAGAAGCAAGUUUGAUUAACUGUGAUUUCUAUGAAAUACAAUUUGUUCCAAUGGCUCAAGUUGCUAACUAACCAGAUCUUAGUAUGUACCCCAUAUGCAGAAUUGUGUUCAAAGGUAGCAAGAGUUAUGAGCAAUGCUGUAGCUCUGUUCUUAAAAUUUUUUUUUUAAAAAAUCCUCUGUCUAAGGCAUUGAGUAGCCAGGUCUGUUCAUGAGCCCCAUGUUCAGCCUUGAGUAAAAGAUACCUUUAGAUAAGAUUACAUUAUAGUUACUGUUGCAGCAACUCUGAUCUGGGCAUGGUUUGAGUAAUUGGGUGUCAUCAUUACAAUUGAUUGACAUUCACAUGAAAGAUAAAUGUUACAGUGAGGAGGUUGAAUAUUCCCUAGUUUGUCAAAUCCUAAAAUUGUCACAGUUGAGUAUGUGAAAGUUUUGUUACCCCAUUUAUGAAUGAAGUAUUCUCACUACUGAAAUUCAUGCAGUCCCUUGGUGAUGUUAUAGCAUAUCUGGAAUUCAACCGAAAGAGCACACACACACUAUGGAUAGAAAGAAGCUUAAGUUUAGAACUGAUUUACUAUGGGCAUUUUGUAUGAUUGGGAUUGUGAUAUGAAGGUGGAAGAAUCCUUGCAAAUUUGAUAAAAGAGCUAAAGUUGUCUGCAUGUUUGUUUGCGGGAAAUGUUAGUAUGUGUCAUUACUUGAGGGCAAACAAUGGUUUAAGUUUGGGGGUGUGAUAACUCUAGGAAAUGAGAGUUAUUACAUCAAUUCUAGACUUGAAUCAAGGUCACUUAGAGAACAAAUAAGGUGUUUUUAUUACAUUUUGGUUACUUUUUGCAUAAACAUUCAUUUUAGUUGAGUCUUAAAAAGUUUUGCUUGAAUCAUAGUAAGUUGUGCUAAAAAAAGGUUUUAAAUUGUAGGUGUUAAAUUCAUGAGAGGAUGUUGAGGCAUUAAAAGAGCAAGAGGAGGAAUGAAGAUGGCUACAAAAAAAGUAAAGCACAAUCAGGAAUAAGGCAGUGUUGUAGCAGCUGUUAGAGCAACCAGUGUUGUAGCAAUCUGGGAGCAAUGCGGGACAAAACUUAGGCGCGGGUUAGCCAUAAAAUCGCGAUCUUCAUGUUUCCUAAUUUAAACACAUGCACGCUCAUGGGCUUUGGUUUAACUUAAUUUGCAAUAUAAAAAGGAGAGGUGCACCACAUAGAGAGGCGGCAAGGAAAUUAUCAUUAGAAUGAUUAGAAGGAACGAAGAAGAAGAAGAUCAGAAUUGAAGAGUGUUGUUUCGGUAACAUUGGAGAAUCGUGCAGAAUUACUUGGCUUUGAUUUUCACCGCGCUCAACUUAUAUUUAUCUUCUUCCUUUAAUUGAUUUGAUGUAUUCCGAGACCAAUAUGUUUAUGUUUAUUUCUCUCAUCCAGAUUAUGAACUAAAUUUACUUGUAGUUGAGUGACAAAUAAUCCAAUGGGUUCUUGACUGUUCUUAUAUGUUGUAUGGUAUGGCUGUAGCAUUUUACUCUAAUAGCUGUUAUGAAUAUAACUAUUAUUUCGGUUGAUCACCCAUUUAAUAGUUUUAGUUAAGACAGAGCAGCAAAAGGGGAUGUCUUAGCGGACAUUAUUAGAGUAUUACUUGUUCUUAAUUCGAGUGUCAUGGAUUAGGUUAUCCUAAAUCCCAUAAGGGCAAUACUUGAAGUUAAGAUACGUGACACUCUAGACAUAGGUGUUCACCUUGUAGGGUAGAAAGAUUAAAGGUUAUAGUGUCGUACCAUAAAUAUAUGAGCAACAGGUCAUUGUUAGUAGAUUUAAAGGUAUGAGACUUCCAACAUGCGAUAGCUGAAGAUGCCGAUUUAUUCUACCCGGUGUUGCAGAACUUAUUCUAACAACUGGUGCUAAUUUGGUAAACAACAGUCACCCCAUUAGGAGAGUUUGAUCAUUCAACUACUAUAUUCUCAAGUGAAUCUUAGACACAGUUAAUCUAGUUUAUUUCAUUACAGUAUUAUCUUAUUUAGUUCUUAGUUCAAUUAUUGAUUACGAUAGAAAUUAUUUGACAAUUGUUUGUUUUGGUUUCAAGUUGAGUUGCGUUAUUGUGAGUGCUAUAGCAUUUUGAAUAACAUCAAUCCAUGUGGAGACGAUCUUGAAUACUUAUCACUUUAUUACUUGUUGUGUAUACUUGCACAUUGGCAUUGAUAGUUAUUGCUUAUAAAAUUCACCAACAUGAGGCCUGGAGUAGUUAUAUUCUGUUAAGAGUGAAUGACGUGGCGUGCUGAGCUGGCAUUAGUGGGACCAUCUGCUGCUAAAGUCGUUAUUAUGUAUAACAACUCAUGCUUUUACUCUUUAAGAGAUAUAUAAGAGAAAUUGCAGCGUGCAGACUGGGGUCAAGAGAGUGAUGAUAUGAUAGUCUUAGUGAGAGAGAGAAAAAAAAUCUCAAUAGAGAAGAUUUAAUCUCUGUAAUCUCUUUUCAAAAAAAAAAUCUCUGUAAUCUCAAGAAUCUUUUGUAACUCAUAUCUUUCUAAUAAAGUUUCAAAGCAGAGCUGAUUUCAACUGUGGAUGUAGGCAUCUUGUUGCCGAACCACGUUAUAUGAUCUUGUUAUUUUUCUUUCCUUUUCUUUUAAUCUCUUGUUUGCUCGUUGUUCUGGUUUAUAUCAGUGUCUGUUUUCUUAGUUUGAUUCAAUCUUGGAAAGACUUUCUUUUGUUCAGAACUUAACAAACUGGUAUCAAAGCUUGGUAGUUUGCUGAUCUUGGAUCUACAAUGGCUACCACCAGAAUUGAUCUUGAAAAGUUCAAUGGGGAGACAACGAGGUAUUGGUGAGAUAUAUGGCAGCUAGGGGGAUUUGUCUCAGUGAAAGGAGUCACAGAUGGUGGGCAAUAAGUGGUGCCUGAGUUUUGGUUACGCUUGUGCAUACUGGUGCCUGAGGGGUUUGGUGGCAGCUGGAGGGUAAGAGGCUGCUGACAGCUGUUCGGAGUACAUAAGGUUCAGCGGUGGUUUCGUCAGCAAGUAAUCGCCACCAACAGAGGCAUGCAAUGUGGCGACGACGUGGAGCAUAUUUUGAAAGGUUUGUUACAGUCUAAGGUGGCGUUUGUUUUUUUAUCUGAAAUCUGAAUAGACCUGAAUUAAUCUGAAUUCUGAAUAGAUCUGAAUGUCUGAAUCUGAAUAAUAUAUUUAUUUUUUCGUCUGAAUCUUAGAAAAUAAGUAUUAAGUUGUUUGUUUUUUUCAAUUGAAAAAGCUAAAAAUAUGUACUUUUACAUUUGUAUCCUUAUUAAAUUUGAAUGUCAAAUAAAUAAUAUAUUAAAAACCACAAUAUUUUAACAUUUAUAAGUAAAACUAUAUUCAAGUGAAUACAUAAUGAUUUUGGAAUUUUAAUAGAUAAAAUACCAUAAAUUUCAAAUUUUAUCGUAUAUAAUAUAAGAAAGAAAAAACAGGGAUAUUUUCAUGUGGGGUAAAUGUCUAUGGGUGAGUUUUAGGAUAGACAUGAAAAAUAAAUUAUAAAACAUGGAUAUUUUUUACAUUAGUAAGUAAUUGACUUAAUUCAGAUUUCUCCAUUAAGGUGGCGUUUGUUUUUUAACUUAAUGACUUAAAGUGACUUAACUUAAUUAAUUAAGUUAAUUAGAAGUGUUUGUUUUUAUAACUUAAUGAGACUUUUUAGAUUAUUUUGACUUAAUAAAAUAAGCUAAUUUUUUUGGCUUUUUACUUAAUGGAGAAAUCUGAAUUAAGUCAAUUACUUGCUAAUGUAAAAAAUAUCCCUGUUUUAUAACUUAUUUUUCAUGUCUAUCCCAAAACUCACCAAUAGAUAUUUACCCCACAUAAAAAAAUCCAUGUUUUUUCUUUCUUAUAUUAUAUACGAUAAAAUUUAAAAUUUAUGGUAUUUUAUAUAUUAAAAUUCUAAAAUAAUUAUGUAUUCACUUGAAUAUAGUUUUACUUAUAAAUGUUAAAAUAUUGUGGUAUUUAAUAUAUUAUUUAUUUGACAUUUAAAUUUAAUAAGGAUACAAAUGUAAAAGGACAUAUUUUCAGCUUUUUAAGUUGAAAAAAACAAACAACUUAAUAUUUAUUUUCUGAUAUUCAGACGAAAAAACAAAUAUAUUAUUCAGAUUCAGACAUUCAGACCUAUUCAGAAUUCAGAUUAAUUCAGGUCUAUUCAGAUUUCAGACAAAAAAAACGCCACCUAAGUAAAAAACUAAAAAAAUCGGCUUAUUUUAUUAAGUCAAAAUUAUCUAAAAAGUCUCAUUAAAUUAUAAAAACAAACACCUCUAAUUAACUUAAUUAAUUAAGUUAAGUCACUUUAAGUUAUUAAGUUAAAAAACAAACGCCACCUAAGGUUUAUGGUUUGAAGUGUUAAUAGUUGUUGUGAGGGCUGCUGAUCAGUGGGGAUGUCGCUAGAAAUUAGAGGAGGUUCUGGUGGUAGAGAAUCACCGCCAUUGGCGGACGGUGUGGUCAUAGGAAUUAUCGCUUUCUAUAAUACGAUACUUGAUGCUUUUCAACCGUAGUUAUUCUCUUUUCAGGACAAUUUGGAGUCAAUUUCUCAUCGUGCUAUUAAGAAGUUUGCACUUGCAUUUCUGAAGUUGGGCAACAUUAACUUGGUCAAUGAUGUAAUGAAUGCAGUCCAUGCAACUGACUAUAUGAUUGAUCAAGUAAGCAAUCAAGAAUUUAAGCAAACACAAUCUCGCAUGCAUGCAGACACAGACACAUACACAUGAGUACUAGAAAUAAUAAUUUAGAAAUGUCUUUUAAUUCCUUUUCUUCUAUUUUCUCGGGGAAUAUUUCAUAUAGCAAUAUCAUGCUAUAUAGCGAAACCUGAGAAGAAGAGAUUGCUACUCAAAUUGCCAGAAUCGAUGACGGGUCAAGGUUAUGUUGUUGAUUCAUUAAUAGGAAGCCUGAUACUAAAAAGCUCACAGUUAUUCGGAUGGCAACUCAUUGUUGAUGUAUUGUCCUAGCAACAUAAGAUGUAAAAAUCGUUAAGAACUCUGAAAGAACGAGCAAUAUUACUUAUGGUUUACCAUAUCAUGCCAUAAGCUAGCAUAUCUCUCUGUUAUGUAUUAAAACUCUAAUAUUUUACUAUAUAGAGCAGUAAACCAAGAAAGGAGGGAAAAAAAGAAAAAAAGAAAAAAUCAGACACAUUAGAAAAUUUAGAAUUGAAGGUGAUAAAUCCUACUAUACGUGGAAAUGAUAAAUUUACCCUUCAUCUUCAGGCUCCGAAGGCUUCGAAUGUAGGACUUUCACUUGCGAAAGACGUUUUAUUUCUACGUGCAAGUUAGCAUUUGGUUUCGUUAGAAAAUUUGUCAAUAAAAUGUAAUGAAUCUAUAUCAGAGUUGUCGCAAGAAUGUUUUUCUGGAAAUCCACGUAUCAUCUUCUCUUUCUCUCCUUGGAUGAGAGAGUAUCUUUAUUCCCUUAUUUUUCAUUUUUCUAAUAGAGUUUAAAUCCCCUUAUUUUAUUUAUUUUUUUGUAACUGCCAUAUCACAGUAAGUUACUAACCAUUACAGAGCUAUAACUUCGCUCGAAAUGGAAAUAUUGAGAUUCCUAAUAGUAUUUAUUCUAAUUAUUAGUUGUUCCUAAUAUUACUAUCGCUAGCUUGCAAUUAAUUCAGCUUAAGUUGUCAUUUUCCUAUAAGCAAACAGGAUGGUCCAUCAUGCUUAGUUGUAAGGAUACAAAUUAGGAAUGACAAUGGGUCAGGUUAGGCUCGGGCUUUGCCAAGCCCGAGCCUAAUCUUGUAAUUAAAAUAAGGAGUCCGAGCUCAAAAAAGUCUGAUCCUUUGAAUUAAAGCCCGAGCCCAACCAUAAUUUUGUUCUGAUGAGGUGAGAUUCAUGGAAAGAGAGAGUGACUGAAACCCACAACUAUUUCCUUGAUUAUUAUCGCUUGUUGCAGCAUAUAUCUCAACAGAAGAAGAAGAAAAAGAAGAAGAAGAAGCAAAUGGAGUUUGCCUUAGCGAAAAAUUGAACCCAGCAACAAAAGCUGCAGUCUUUAAAGGAACAUGGUGAUGCUGAUGAAGAAAAUGAUGAUGGUAAAUAACAUCGUCGUGGUUAUGGAUAUAGCUAGGGCUUAAGGUUUGUGUUUGUAGGUGAUGAUGAUGUUGAAUGUACUGGUGGUGGAUGAUUGAAGAUGGGUGGCUCGUCAGAUCUUCAUCAAUGAUUUCUAAGUCAAUGUCUCCAUUAUUAUGAACAUUGAAGCAGCAGCUUGAUACUAUAUUGACAAUUUGACAUUGAUUCUAUUAUGUUGUUUUGGUCAUCAGCAAGGUUAGUUGAUAUAGAGAUUGAGUAACAAAUGACCCUAAGAAAUCUUCAAGCUUUGGACAUGAUCCUCAUGACUUGGCCCACCACUACUGUAAUUCUCAUAUCCCCAAUCUAAACUAAAGUGAAUCCAUAAAAAAAAUCAUGGCGAAAAACCCGAUCAUAAUCUUUUGUGAAUGUGUGAUGCGUGUGUAUGACUGCUUUUUUAGAAGGGUUAUGGUCGGGUCGAGUUGGGGGCAGGUAGAACCUGAACUCCGACCCGAAUUUGGUUGGCCCGAAUACUUAAGCCCUAACCCGACCCUUAAUCCUUAAAUUUUGAUCAAAACUUGAAAUUUUCAGGGCAGCUCAAUCGCACCAAAAAUGGAGUAGGAUUUUUUUUCCCAUCCCUAAUACAAACACCUUUAUAGUUUAGUAACAUGGAUAUAGAGACAAACAUAUUCUCAGAAGUAGUAUACAAACCCUUUUUUGGACAUAUAAAAUCUUUUUGUUGUAAGGAUACAAAUGUUAUUAUGUUAGUACUUGAAAUGCAAAAUGCAAUAUUUAAUAAUGUUAAGAAUUUAGAUCUAUUUUAACAAGUGUAGGCAAACUAAAACACUAGAUAAAUUAAUUUCCCUUAAUUUAUCAAUCUUGAAAUUACUGCUCAUAGAUUACUAUUCAAGUGAUACUAUUUUACGACUUACUGUUUACACAAUAAUGAUUAUAGUUACUAUUCAUAUGAUAUUGUGUAUGAGUCACUAUUUAUCUUUACAGUUCAUCUUAAUUGUUUAUCACACUGUUCACAUUGUUGUUCAUUCACCCAAAAUCUAUUAAAUAUGCUAGAAGUAGUAAACUACAGAAAUUAAAGCAUACAAAGCAUUUUUGCAUUGUUUGGAUCACAAUCCUACAUCCAAGUGGCACGUCUGGGCAUCAAGCAAUUUACUAAGUAAUGAAAAUAUUACAACCUAUUGAAUUCUUUCACAAUUUCAGACUCCAUCUUACACGGUCACCUUGUUAAAUGUAACUUAGUCAACCUUGCUUAGCGAACACCACUCGUCUUCAAUUAUGUUUGCUGCUUCCUUGAGAUCUCCUCAUCACAAUAAACAACCCCUUCAUUCUGAAGAGACCAAAGUAAAUAAUAAAGAAUGUCUAAUGAAAGACUUGAUAUGAAGAAAAUUUGAUGUGAGGAAGACUAAAACAUUAUAAAGAUAUGUAACAUCAUAUGCGGCUAGAUAAGGUUUCUUCUUGUUCUCUGUGUUGGCUGCUUCUCUAAUAUAAAAUAUGAUAUGUCUUUCAAUUUUCAAUAUGUGAAGUACUUCCCUUCAUAGAGGUGUAGGAUUUUACCCACACCCUAGUAGAGGAGUGCUAGGAUAUACUUUCUUAAGAGUUUAAUAUUCCAUAAAUACUUGAUAUACUUAUCAAUAUAGUAGUUAUUUUUAUUUGGAACUCUUUAGUAUAAAAUCCUACUUACACGCCAAUUUACUUCUGUACUCUAAAAAUAUUCUUCAGUAGUCCAUAUAAUCUAAUCUAAAUAAUUCCUAAGACUAGACAAAUUCCUAAUAAAAGGAAUAAAUAAAUUGUAAUAUUAUUGACACAAUGAUGCCAAUAAUAAAAUCCCUAACAAUCUCUCCAUUUGGCAUCUCCUUGUAGUCAAAACAUAAACUAGCCAAUUUUCUAGUCUUCAAAUGGCAUGCGUAGAAGCAAGGUAGAUCAUGAGCAAUAACAUACACAUAGAUAGAUCAUAAGUAAUAGAUAGAUCAUAAGUAAUAACCUACAUAUAGAUUAGAAGAACACACAAUGGAUUAACCAAAAAAAAAAUUAUUUGUCACCAAUAUUUCAGGAUAAAAUUCUUCUCUAGUAAAUAAAUGCUCAUGUCUAAGAUUCAAUUGAGAAAAGUAACUCUCCCCCUGCAAUCUCAUAUCAAUGUAUUUAGAAAGCAAUAAUAUAUGUCAAAGAAAACAAAAUAAUUAAUAAAGAUCACAUGCAAAUAAAAAAAGCCCCCCUUAGAGAAAGAAUGAAUAAACUCCCCCUACAAUUGAAAUCAAAUUGAAAUUGAGUUUGAAAAAAAUAAAGAAUUUCUGUCCCAAAAAAAAAAUCACUCUCCCUCUUUUAGGAUGCAAAGGAAGAAAUUCAAACCUACUAUCCCCCUGUUUGACAAAAGGUGCUAAAGAAAGGUAGAGAACAUAAAUGAAAAUUAAAAGAAGUUCUGGAGAUAUAGGCUGCUAUUUAGGUGAGAAAUAAUGACGAAAACGAGUUAAGCAAUAUCCCUUAAAGCAUCACCAAAUGACUUUUCUAAUUUAAUUCUUCAAAUAUUUAUUUACUUACACAUGUGACAAAUAGAAGAAUGAAAAAAUUAACCAUCUCCGAAAAGACUCUUCUAAUAUAUAAUUUCAAUCAAACUUUUUUCUCCACCAAAAUAUAACGUUAUAACACAUUUCUCCAUUCAAGAAUGAAAAUACAUAAAAAGUAAUAUAAUACUAAAUUGAAAGCACAAAAGAGCUCUUUAAGUGAGAUUCUUUAAAUAAGAUUAUUUCUCUCUCUCUUCAAUAUUAUUUUAAUCAAGCUUUUUUCUCUACCAAAAUAAUAACAUUUAUAACAUAUAUGCCCAUUCAACAAUUAAAAGAUAUUAAAGAGAGAGAAGGACAAUCUUAUUAGAUGAAUCUCAUUUAGAGAGCCUUUGGAAUACUUUUUUAUUUAUUAUGUGCCUCUUCAAAUGAUAUGUAAAAUUUUAGUCAAAGAGCCUUUUAGUGAUGAUGUACUUGUAUAGAGAUAUAAACCUAGACCUUAUAGAAGCAGGAAAGUGUAAAUAAUAAAAACUCAAAUAGGUCAUAGAAUCCUUGUAUAACUAUGUUAACUAAAAUAUACCUAAAAUAAAAAUCAUCAAUAUGGAUUAUUUUUUAGAAAAGUCGUAAGAAUGGCAAAAAUAAUGCAAAAUCAUGUCAAAAGGAUUGCAUUAUCAAUCACGUCAGAUUUUGGGAAAGAUCUUAAAUACAGGACAGUUGCGUGAUCAAUAAUAAGUUCACUUACAAGACAAUUACGGAAAUGUCCAUAAAGAUUACAAAAUGUAUGAACAGCCCUAUAUGGAUAAUUUUCAUCAAUUUAACCCCUAAAUCAUGAAAAGCCCUAAAAAUGAAAUGCAUGCAUACAUAUUUCAUGCAAGCAUCCAUGCAAAAAUGACCUGAAUGCCCUUUUGAUGAAUAAUGCACAGAAAAUUCUGUGAUGUAAUAGUUAAAAUUACUGCAUCAAUAUUAUGAAAAACAUAAAUUUUAUAAAUUACAUAUAAGAUUAGUAUAUAAAAAGUAAAACAAGUAAAUAAAUAUAAAAUUGGUAAAUCUAUGUUUUAAAAUUACAAUCAAAACAACCACUUAUAAAAUUAACCUUGUAAAUCAACAUUAAAUUUUAAUUUAAAAAUAGUUUAUUAAUUAAUUUAUUUAAGCCAAAAAAAAUCAUCAAUCGAAAACAAUUGGAAUAAGUUUUAUAAAUUGGUCUAACCAUAAAUUGAAUUUCUAUGCCAAGACAUUUAUUAAUUUUUUUCAUUUUCUAUCAUAAUAUUUGUUUAAUAUACAAGUUAAUUAAGCAAAAUUAUUUUUCUUUUGGAUCAAGUCAAAAUAAAAUAAAAAGACAUUCUUACAUUAUUAGAUAUAUAUGAAACAUCAAUAAAAUUGGAUCCAAUUUUUAGUUUUAAACAUAUUUCAUGUAGUUUCAAACUUUACUUCUUACUUACAUUAAAAGAUCAUUUAGAAUUGUUGUCGAGGAGGUUUAGAAGGAUCAAAAUCACUUAGCUAAAAAUAUGAAUUUUUUUUUCAAAAUUUGAUUUAGAAAAUAAAAUUUAUCCUUAAUAAAAUUUCACAUAUAUCAUCACAUAUAUUACAUAAACCUAAAAUUAUCAUUAUUCAAUUCCGAAAUAAAAACAGUAAACAUGUAAGGUAAUUAUUAUUAUAAUGAGUUUUUAUUUUACAUUUGUAAGUUUAUAUUCUUUUAGUAACCCUUAUAAUAUUUACUUGUUUUCCAUUUUAUUUGUAAGUCUUCUAUUUCAUUUAUAUAAUUUACACUUAAUGUUGAUUUACAAGUUUUAUGUUACAUCUAUAAGUGUGUGAUUUGUUUACUGAUAAUACAUCAUUUUAUCACUCAUAUGUUAAUUUUACUUGUUUUUUUAUUACUUAAUUUAUGUUUUAUUUUACACUUAAUUUUAAUUUACAAGUUUUGUGUUAUAUCUGUAAGUUUAUAUUUUGUUUAUCAACAAUACAUCAUUUUACCACUCUUGUGCUAAUUUACUUGUUUUACAUUCAAUUUAUAGGUCUUAUGCUUUAUUUACUUAAUUUAUCUUUUAUUUUAUAUUUAGUGUUAAUUUAUGAUGCAGGGCGGAAGCCAUACUAGAUUUUGUUCUAGUGUACGUUCUUGAAAACUUAAGAAAGUGAGCUCUCGCAAAGGAGAAAAUAUCUCAAUUGAGAAAUACUAAAUAUUAUUAAUGAAAAAACUUAUGUCAAGAAAUAAGCCUAUUUAUACUAAUUAGGAUUAUCUUAUCCUGAUAAAAUUAUGAUUCCUUGUAAGUAAAAAUAAUAUGACUUUAAUAAGAAAAUAUAAAGUAAUUCCUCAUUAAACUAGAAAACUUAUACUCCCAUUAUACUCUAAUAGGAUAAAUCCUAAUAGAGUAUUAAGUAUUUAAUUGACUCAAAUACUUUAAUUUUUGAUAUAUUCCAUCUUAUAUGCUUCUUACAUCAGUUUCCUCCUCUUCGAAAAACACUUGUCCUCACGUUUUGUUGAAAAUAAAGGACAAUCUGGAGGAUGAAGCUUGUAAUGGAGGAGUAAUUGAUCUUGCAAUGCAAAAAUGUAGCACUUUGCAUAAACUUUUCUUGAAACUCAAAAGUACCAAAACUUCAAUUUCUUCAUGUUUUUUAGUAUGGCUCUUCUAAAAAUUGUAGACUUGUAGGAGAAAACCAUUAAAAGUUCUCUUUUAAUUUGAGUCACAGGUAAGUUGGGUAGGCUAGCUUCGGGAUAUGAUCAAUUUGAUGCUGAAUAAUCCUCAUAGGAGGUAAUUUGUUAGGAAGCUCUUUAGGCACGAUAUCCUAAAAUUAGAGAGUAGCGAUUGGACUUGUUCAAGCAUCGAUUCUACUUCAGCUACCUCUUUUGGUACUAAAAGAUAGGUUCACUUGACUUUUAACUUCAUUGAAGCAAGGAUAAUCUUCAUGUUGUCUUUGUAGAACCUGUAUGUAUUAUCUUUUCAUGAUGUAUUGUAUUCAUAUCAAACUGCCAUGGUCUCCCAAGAAGCAUAUGGUGAGCAUUCAUGUCAACAAGAUCACAAUUACUUCAUCUUUGUAUCUUUCGAUGGAAAAAAAGAAUACAACACUGUUGAGUAACCUUGGUCUCUCCAACAUCUUUUAUCCAUCCAAUGCAAUAAGGAGAAAGAUGUUUGUGAGUUUUAAACUGUAACUUGUCAACUAUAAUCUUUGAAACUAUAUUCUCGCUAUUACCUCUGUCAAUAAUCAUAUCACAUACCCUCUCAUUGACUGUGCACCUUAUUUUGAAGAUACUAUGUCUAUGAGUGUCUUCGUCUUUCUUUGGUGUGUAUAACAAACGUUGUGUUAUUAGUGAUACUCAUGUGUCUUGAUAUGUCCACUCUUCCUCUUCUUCUAUUUCGUCGUUGUCUUUUUAUGGUUCAUCCUUAGGCUCUUCAUUUUCCUCUACAUGAGUUGCCAAAUUGGCUGUUUGUCGUCUUUGUUCUGGAAAUUUGGUUUGAUGUAUGGCCUGGUUAACAAGGAAAACAUUUGUCGCCUCGAGGAACUGCAUAAGGAUUACUACUACUUAAUGAAUCUUUCGCUGGCCAUAUAUUUUGCCUAUUACAAUUUUAUGUUGGCCUUCUAACGUUUUCUACAUGAGUUAUUUCCUUGUUAAUUUUGGACCUCUGCUCUUGUUGCUGGCCAGGAAUGAAUGAGCGUGAGGUGGAUUGAUUACGAGUCUUUUGUUUUUCAAGUUGCACUCCCACCUUUUUAGCUAGUCGAAUGGCGUUCCGCAAUGUAUGUACCGGUUGCAACCCAACUUGAUCUUCUAUUUCAAAACGUAAACCAUCCAAGAAUCGACCAACUAUUUAGGCUUCUGUCUUGUGGAGGUUAGUUCGUUCCACAAGCCUUUGAAAUUUAAGGGCAUAUUCUAUGAUUGUUUUGGCUCCUUGACGACAAUUUAUGUACUCACGAAAUAAAAUUGUUCUCUUAGCAGGUGAUGUACGUGAUGCCUUAUCUUGACCUUUCCUUUUCCUUGUAGCACAUGAGAAGUUUGCAGAUUGUCCCACCAAAUUGUAGUAAUGCCUUUGAGUUUAUACACUAUUGCUCUGACUUUCUUUGGUUCUGAAAAGUCUAUUGUUUCAAAGAAUCAUUCAACAACUGAUAGCCUAUUAAGAAACUGUUCAAUGCAUAAUUGUCCACUGAAUGAUGGGAGGUCAAUUUUGAUGCAGUAGUCAUUCUCAUGUGUUUCUUGUCGUUCAUUUUUUAUCUCCUCCUCAUCUGAAUCAUCUGAACUUGGAAAAGGUGGAGUAGCUUUUGUAUUCCCAUUAGAGCUACCUAUUUCUUUUGUUCCGUUGGUUUUCUUAUGCUCACCAAAAUUAUUUCCUAAAUCAACAAUGUCAAUACUCUUUGCUUCCUGAAUACUUCUUUGGGCAAGGAUAAUCUCUUUUAAUUCUUGUCUCACGCCAAGUAAUGAUUCUUUCAUCGUCGUAACAUGGCUUUGUAUUUACAGUAGGGCUUUCAUUGUUUCGUGCCAUGCUUCUGCUGAAUGGGUUUGUGAUUAUUCGAAUCACUCUAUCCUCCUUGUGAUUCGAUCUUCCAAUUGAACACCGCUUUCUUUAUAAACUAUUGCGUUUUUUUUUUGUUCUUUUGUUCUUUUUGUUUUUUUUGGCUUUUUUUGGGGUUUUUAAAAUGAACAAAAAAUUAUAAGGUAAGAGUGUAAUAAAAGAAAAGUAAUGGGCAAAAGUAUAAAUAAAUAAAAAUUUGUGUUGCCAGCGACGAUGAUCAGAAAAUGGAAUAAGGAUUGUCGAAUCUGGAAGAUUUAAGGUCGGUGAGUGUGAUGGUGGUGGUGGUGGUUUGACUCAAAUUGUUGUGAUUUGAUCGAAAAAUUGAAUUGAAGUGGCGGUUAGAGGCUAGGUUUCAGUUUUCAGUGAAUGGGCCAGUGGUUGGCAGCAAGAGUAGGCUGGAAAGAAAGGGCUGAUAAUGGUGGAUGAAUUGGUGGUAGUGUUGGCUGUUAAAUCACGAUAGAUUUUGGUGAAUCGUGUGGUGGUUUGUGUGGUAGUUGAGCGGUUAUUUGGUGCUGUUUACGGUGGCUAUGUUGGUGGGUUGGUGACGUUAGUACCUUGGAUAUGUUCGGUGGCGUGUGGGCUUUUGGUUGGGAGAGAGGAUCGACCAAAAAGAAGAAAAAUGGUGGCGGCAGUAGCCUUGUGUGGCGAUUGUAAAGGUGGUUCGGGUUUGGAUUUUUUUUUUUUUUCAGAUUUUUUAAAAUUGACGGAAUUAAUGGAUAAUGGAGGAAGAAUUUGUAUAUGGAGGAUGAUUGAUGGGCAGGAAAGCUCUGCUUGACACAAAGAAAGAUUGUGAUACCACUUGACACAGAGCGGAAGCGAUACUAGAUUUCGUUCUAGCAUACUUUUUUGAAAACUCAAGAAAGAUGACUCUCACAAGGGAGAGAAUAUCUCAAUUGAGAAAUACUAAAUAUUAUUAAUGAAAAAGCUUGUGUCAAGAAACAAACAUAACAAGCCUAUUUAUACUAGUUAGCAUUACCUUAUUCUUAAUAAAAUUAUGAUUCCUUAUAAGUAAAAGGAAUAUGACUUUAAUAAGAAAAUAUAAAGUAAUUCUUAAUUAAACUAGAAAACUAAUACUUCUAUUAUAAUUGGAGCAGGAUAAAUCCUAAUAGAAUAUUAAAUAUUAAAUUGACUUACACUAUAAUUUCUGAUAUAUUCUACCUUAUAUGCUUCCUACAUCAAUUUAAAAGUUUUAUACGAUAUUGAUAAGUUUUUAUUGUAUUUCCUAAUGAUAUGUCAAUUUACCACUUCUAUGUUAAUUUUGCUUAUUUUACUUUUCAUUUAUAAGUCUUAUGUUCCAUUUGCAUUAUUUGUAUUUUAUUUUACACUUAAUGUUGAUUUCCAUAUUUUACGUUAUAUCCAUAAGUUGUUUUUUGUUUUAUUUACUGAUAAUACAUUAAUUUACCACGCUUAUAUUGAUUUGCUUGUUUUACCUUACAUUUACAACUCUUAUGUUCCAUUUGCACCAUUUAUGUUUUGUUUUACAUUUAAUAUUGAUUUACAAGUUUUAUAUUUAUAUCUAUUUUUUUUGGUUUACUAGCAAUAAACCAAUUUACUUGUUUUACCUUUCGUUUGCAAGUCUUAUGUCCCAUUUAAAUAGUUCAUAUUUUGUUUUACACUUAAUUUUGAUUUACAAGUUUUGUAUUAAAUUUACAUUUCUUAUUUUUUAUUUACAUAAUUUAUAUUUAAUUACAAUAUUAAUGUUAAGAUUCUAAUCAUUGUAUUAUAGAAUAACCCAUAAGACACAUAUUAAAAACUUCAUGUAAUAAGACGCAAUGAUUUUUUUUUGAAAUUUUAAACAAAACAAACUAAUAUGCAAAUAUUUUAAAAAUUCAUAAAUAUUCAUACAAUACAAAAUCAAGAUAAUCAAACUUUAAUUACUCAAAUCAAUAGAAGAUUAGUGAAAUUUCAAUUUUAAUAUGUGUGUACAAAUCCUUCAGGACUCAAUCUCGAUUUUUCUCAAAAUAAAAAACUUUUGUAACAAAAAAUAGAAUGAACAAGUCAAACUAAUCUUAUCAUCGUGAUCUCCAAAUUGAUCACUUCAAUGUAACAAACAAUAUGAGAAGAGAUUGCAGUAAGAAAAUUCUUCCUUCUAUUACAUAUGUAAACUUUUCAAGAUUUUCUUCUUCAACACUUACAUCUUUUUUUUUCUUUUCCUUUUUAAGUGCUUAUAGUUAGUAGUUUUUACUCUACUUCUUAAGUAACCUUUUUCCCAUGGUAGUUCGUCAUCGGUCAUAUUUGUGAUAUGCAAACUCAGAUUACUCGAGCAUAACUUCACUCUUAGGAGUUAUAGGUAGCUAUUUCUAACUGAGGUGCCGUACAUCUUGAAAUCUAUAGUAGAGAUAAAAGUAAAAAAUAUAUAAUUAAUGUUCAAUCCAUUUAAUCUCAACAUCAAAAGUCUCAAAAUUGAAAAUCAAGUUAGAAUGAAGACUUCAAAAAUAUAUGUGCACAAAGAUAAGUCUAAAUUAAACCAAUCAAAAAUUGUUUCGAGCUUUCAAGUCAUUGAAUCAAGACUUUUAUGUACAUAGUAAUUUGAAUAAAGAGCACAUAUGCAAAAACACAUGCAAACAAUGUCUUAACAAUAUCAUGAGAAGCAAAAUUACAUGACAUAUAGAAGAUGUUGUACAACAUGACUAUAUGGAACCGAUACCUAAAGUUUUUUUGUUUUAAGGAAUCAAAUCUAGAUGCACCCAAAGCUUUCUUAAAGAUAUCUGCAAGCCAAUUUUCUAUUUUAAUAUAGUCUAGUGAUAAAGUUUUUCUAUCAGCUUAGUCAUGAAUAAAAUGAUAUCUAAUAUCAAUAUGCUUAGUUCUAGAAUGCUGAGUAGGAUUGUUAAAAAUAGGACUUGUGUUAUCACCAUUUACUAUAAAAAUAUCUUGAACAAUAUCAUAAUUUUCAAGCAUUUGCUUCAACCAAAUUAAUUGAGUACGACAACUGUUAGUAACAAUGUAUUCAGCCUUAGCAGUAGAUAAAGAAAUUGAGUUUGUUUCUUAAUGUGCUAAGAUACAAGAUUGUUAUCAAGGUAAAAACAAUCUUAAGUGGUACUUUUUUUAUCAUCAGUUUUACCUGCCUAAUCAGCAUCUAUAUCCUAUGAGGCUUGAAUUAGUAUCUUUAGAAUACCAAAUACCAUUAUUAAUAGUACUAUUACAAAAUGAAUGAUAUAUUUAACAGCAGAUAAAUGUGAUUCCAUUUGAUUUGCUAGGUGCCCAGCACAAACAACUAUAUAGAACGAAUAUCAAGUCUCUUGUAAUCAAAUAAAGUAAGCCACCAAUCAUACUUCUAUAAAGACUUAGAGAAUCAACCCCUAUCAUCUUUUGUGCUCAUAAGUGGUGUUCUUAUGUGUUAAGCCGAUUCUAGUCCCAAUUUUUUCACCAAAUUGUUGGCAUACUUAGUACUUACUUUGAGAAAUGAAAAUGCCAUUUCCAAGUUGUUCACUUUUAAUCUUAAAAAAUAGGUUAAUUCGUCGACCAAGCUCAUUUCAUAUUAAUUCUUCAUUUUAUCAACGAGUUCCUAAACAUGCACUAGAGAAAUAGAGCAAAAAAGAAUAUUAUUUAUGUAAAUUUGACCAAUCAAUAUUCCAGGAUUAAGAUUUUCAAUAAAUAAAGUCUUUGAAAUAAUAACUAGGCAACCCAAGAGGGAGGGUGAAUUGGGUUUUUAAAACUUAAACUAAGCAAACUACACAAUAAUUUAAUCUAAUGCUUUAAUGAAAUAAAAAACAAUAAAUUUAACAAUGGUAAAAAAUAAAAAGAGUAAGGGAGGAGAGAGCAAACAAAAAUACUUUUACGUGGUUCGGUAAUCCCCGCCUACGUCCACGCCUCAAAGCAAACAAAGCUUGAGGAUUUCACUAUCCAAGCGUCCCAAGGUUUCAAACGCUUACAAUUGACUUCCAAGGUGUCAAUGGACCUUUACAACAAGAGAUUGUCCCCAAUCUCUUCACCCAAGUGUAUCCCAACACUUUUAACCUCUCAACUUAAUUUUACAAAAAUGAUUACAAAUAAAUUUCCCUCACACAAUGUAUUUGAUUACAAAUGAAAGCUCAAUGUGUGUGAAUAAAUGAAAUGAAUACAAAUUUUAUGCUCAGAUUGCAGAGGAUGGCUCAAUGAUAACAAUAGUUGUAUCUCUUUGAUUGAAUUUGAUUUGAGCUAAUUUAUAGUUGAAGAAGAAAACUAGCAGUUACUGACUUUUUGGUUAUAUCCGGCUUGCCACUUUAUGUUACCGUUAUGUUCAAAGAUUUGAAUUUUUGUACAACCGAUUUGCCGCUUUAACUCCAGAGAGCUUCUGCUUGAUAACCGGUUUGCUGCUUUUGUGAAUUCGGUUAGCUUUUUUAUUCCAGAGAGCUUCUACCCAUAACCAGUUUGCCGCUUUGAUAAAUUCGGCUAGCCGCUUGCUACAGUGAAACUACUAUUUUCCAAAAUUAUAAUUUUACCCUAACACUUUAUAAAAUUAUACUAUGGACCAAAUAUUUAUAAAACUUUACAAAUAUGUCCAUUUUCAGAAUUUUAAAACAAUACUUGUUGAUUUCAAAGUUCUCAAAACUUUUCAAUUUAAACCAUAAACUUGAAAACAACUAAUUUCAUAAAAUCAUUUUCUUGUUAUAAAAACAUAAUAUGUAGUUCUUUAUUUGUUCAAAACAUAUAGUUUGUUAUUAUCAAAAUCACCAUUUUAUAGCCAUAUAGGCUAACAAUCUCCUCCUUUUUAAUGAUGAUAAAACACAUUAUAAAAGUUUUAUUUAGUUAUGAAAAAACUCCCCCUUAAAUAAAUGCAAGAUUAAAAACUGAUUUAAAAAGCUCCCUCUGCAUGAAUGCAUAUUUUUCAUAACAAACAAUUAUAUGUCAUAUCUCUCCCUUCAUCAUCAAAAAGAGUAGAAUGCUCCCCUUGAGUAUAUUAUAAGUUUAAACAAUUUGCCAAUGAACUAAAUUAACAACUUUAAAUACAUGUAUUCUUCUCCUCCUUCAUCAUAAAAAAGAAAACUUAGUGGAAAAGAAAAAGAGUAGCAAAUUUGUUACCCAUGUUGUCCAAAUAGAAAUUUCAACAAAAUCUCCCCCUAUCAACAAGCAUCACCUCAAAUACAAGUUUAGUAAUAUCACUCCCAAAUUAUCAUAAAUCAUGAUACAAACCAACUUCAUACACAAAUCAUCACACAAUCCAUCAACCAUAAAAAGAUCAUGAACCAUCAUUCCAUCAAUUACCAAAUUAGCAACUCAUAAAAUAAAAUCAUCAUAUAAAACAACCAUGUAAUCACAUCAUCAUCAUAUCUCAAAAUCAUCAAAAUCAUCACCAUAAUCAUAUAUCAACCAUCAAAAGAAUGCUCAAAGUGCAUGUUAUUCUCCCUCUUUUGACAUCAUCAAAAUGGUAUAUUACUUUGUCUCCCCCUUUCGAUAUCAUGUAAAGCAAGUAAUGCAUAUUCAACAAUACAUCAAUAAAGUACAAAAAUGCAUCCAUUUACCAAUCAUACAUCGUAUAAGAUCAAACUUCAUCAAAUACAAUGUAAUCAUCAAAGGACAUUUUUUAUCAUCAAAACUUAAGCAAAGCAUAAGUACAUAAUGGCAAUAUAUAGAUCAUCAAAAUCAAACAAAGGCAUCAUGAUAAGUUGCCAUGCUACUAUCAUAUAUAUUUAUCCAUGUAUCAUGAUUACACACAAUAAUAAUUCAAUUAUGUAAAUGUAAGAGCAUGCUUUUUUAAAUUCAAGCUAUUAUCCAUCCAACAUGAUCCAUUCAACAAAAUUAAUAUGGCAAGAAUUGUUACCAAAACAAUUAAAUCAUCUUACCAAUCAUUUUCUCUUAUAUCAUGCUUAAGUGAUUAUUCUCACAAGCUUUCAUUGAGGAACUCUCCACCAUUUCUUGAUUAUAGUACCUACAAAAAAGUAUUCAAGUUGUGCCUUUUGGUACCCAAAUACUCUUGGGUCCUUGAGUGUUAACAAUGGUUCCUUUUGGAACCCAACCACAUUUUACUCCAUAAUAUGUAUUUCUUUUAACUGGACAUCUAUACUUUAUGUGACCAUUUUGAUUACAAUGGUGACAUACAACUUCAUUAUUAAUGGAGGUACGCUUUACAAAAUAAUUCGUAUAAUACUUUUGUUUCAAAUUUGGCUUAUAUCCAAUACCUCAUUUGUCAAACAUACAUUUUUGUGAGUUAAGCAAGUUAUCCAACAUCUUUUGCCCAUUUGUAAAUUUUAAGACAACAUCACUAAGUUCUAUAUUCUUUUUCUUGAGCAUUUCAUUUUCUUUCAUCAAUUCAACAACAUGUGAUUUUUCAUGCUCAUGCGAAAUACGUUGUUUGUCUUUAAAUGAUGCAAUUUUGUCAUGCAAUGUUUGAUUAUCUAACUCAAGUCCUUUAAUCUUUUAAUUUAAUGAAUCGUUACAUUUUUGUAAAGCAUCCUUUUCAUUUGAAAGUUCUACCAUUUUCAUUUUAAGACGUACAUUCUUUUUACCAAUUUUUAUCCAAUUAUCAUGCAAUUCCUUAAAAGCAUCAUAUAACACAUUCUAGGUAGGAUCACUUGCCUCAUCAAGUUUGUCAACCGAUUCAUCUCCAAUUGCCAUAAGUGCCAAAUAUGACACUUUAUGAGAUUCCUCCUCGUUUGUAGUCUCCUCAUACACAACUUCAAGUUUUCUCCAAAUUUCAUAAGCAUUAGAACAAUUUGAAACUCUAUGAAAUUCUUUUUUAUCUAAGGCACAAAAUAAAACAUUCAUAACCUUGGAAUUUAAAGACAUCUUUUCGCUAUCCAACUCACUUAAAACAUUCUUCCUAGGAAUGAAUGAACCAUCACAAACUAUUUCCCAUAUUUCAUAGUCCAAGGCUUAUAAAAAGAUUCUCAUCCUAGUUUUCCAAUAAGGAUAGUCAUUACCAUAAAAAAGUGGAGGCUAGUGGUGGAUUGGCCUUCCAUGAAGGUUCAGCUAAUUUGAGUUGUUAUGGAUCUUUAACUCUAGACGGUUAAGUCUACACAAGAGCACCUCGCUCUGAUACCAAAUGAAAUAAUAACUAGGCAACCCAAAAGGGGGUGAAUUGGGUUUUUAAAACUAAAGCUAAGCAAAGCACACAACAAUUUAAUCUAAUGCCUUAAUGAAAUAAAAAAUAAUAAAUUUAACAAUGCUAAAAAAUAAAAAGAGUAAGGGAGGAGAGAGCAAACACAAAUAUUUUUACAUGAUUCGGCAAUCCCCGCCUACGUCCACGCCUCUAAGCAAACAAAGCUUGAGGAUUUCACUAUCCAAGCCUCCCAAGGCUUCAAACACUUACAAUUGACUUCUAAGGUGUUAAUGGACCUUUACAACAAGAGAUUAUCUCCGAUCUCUUCACUCAAGUGUAUGCCAACACUUACAACCUCUUAAUUUGAUUUUACAAAAAUGAUUACAAAUAAAUUUCCCUCACACAAUGUGUUUGAUUACAAAUGAAAGCUGAAUGUGUGAAUGAAUGAAAUGAAUACAAAUUUUAUGCUCAAAUUGCAGAGGAUGGCUCAAUGAUAACAAUAAUUGUUUCUCUUUGAUUGAAUUUGAUUUGAGCCAAUUUAUAGUUGAAGAAGAAAACUAGCCGUUGCUGACUUUUUAGUUAUAUUCGGCUUGCUGCUUUGUGUUACCAUUAUGUUUAAAGAUUUGAAUUUUUGCACAUCCGGUUUGCCACUAUUCAUUUUUCGGUUAGCCGCUUUUACUGCAAAGAGCUUCUACUUGAUAACUGGUUUGCCGCUUUUGUGAAUUCGGUUAGCUGCUUUUAUUCCAGAGAGCUUCUGCCCAUAACCGGUUUGCCGCUUUGAUAAAUCCGGUUAGCCGCUUGCUAUAGUGAAACAUCAAUUUUCCAAAAUUAUAGUUUUGCCUUAAUACUUUAUAAAAUUAUACUAUGGGCCAAAUAUUUAUAAAACUUUGCAAAUAAGUAUAUUUCUAGAAUUUUACAACAAUACUUGUUGAUUUCAAAGUUCUCAAAACUUUUCAAUUUAACCCAUAAACUUGAAAACAACUAAUUUCAUAAAAUCAUUUUCUUGUUGUAAAAACAUAAUGUGUAGUUCUUUAUUUAUCCAAAACAUGUGGUUUGUUAUUAUCAAAAUCAUCAUUUUAUAGCCAUAUAGGCUAAAAGUCUUUUCAAGUGCUCUAUCUUGCAGCCUUUUGCAACCAAGAAAUUGGUUAAUCUUUCAUACUAUACCCUAAAAACUUGUUUUAAUUCAUAUAAUGCCUUUUUCAAUUUGGAAACAUAAUUAGAAUGGUAUAGAUUUUCAAAGCCUUUGGGUUGUGACACAACUUAAAAGUGUUGAUUACUCUUAAGUAUAAGAGUUUCUAGGUAUAAUAUAACCCGGUGAUUCUGGGGUCGAACUAUAGGGAAUUAAGAAUCUAGUACUCAAUUAUUAAACAAAAAUUGAUUAUAGAAAAUAAAUUAAUAGUCUAAAAAGAGCUAAGAUUAUGGGAUCCAUUCUUGGUAUUCAAAUUAUGGUAAUAUUACUCUCUCAUAUUUAUUUUUUACUUUUAUUUUACUAGAUUAAAUAUUAAAUGGCUGAAUUAUUAAUUAACCACUUAUGGAUAAAUAUUGGGAUAAAGUAUAUAAUGUGCCACAACUGAAUUAGUGUGUCGAAAUUAUGUUUAAAUACCAUAUAGCUCCAAAGUAGAUCUACAAUCAUAGUUUAAAAUGAAAUGAAAAGAAUUUGUUAAGGAUACAAAUAAAAAAAAAAACGUAAGCUCACUUGAGAAGGCAAUUAAUUCUAUGGUUUGAGUCCCUAAGCUUCACCUUUCAUCUAAGUUUAGAAAUUUAGCCAUUCAUGUUUAAAAAUAAAACACUCAUUUUAUUUAAGAAUCUUAUAAUGUACAAUACAAGAAGAUUUAAAAUAAAAGAGAAGAGAAGAGAUUUUUCCUAAAAUUAACUCUUGAUUAACACUUAAAAAGCUCACCCCUAAAAUCCGCCAUACAAUUCUCUCUCCUUUCUUUCUUUCUCCCCAAUUCUUGCACACCCUAAUUUGUGAGAGCUCUUGUCUUUAAAUGGAAAAUUUUGAGUGAUCAAAUGUGGGCAUUUAUAUGAAAUUUUUGAGGAGCUUACAAUCACAACCUUAAGAUGGGAUUUAAUAGUACAAUCCAAGGGUCUGAAAUUGCAACCAUUAUAGAUAAUUGGAUUUAACAUAAUAAAUGGCUACAAUUAAAGUCAAUAUCUAAUCCUCCUUUGAACAUGAGCUCAGACACAUGGCACAAUCUCAUUUGUUAAAAAAUAAUGUUGGUUCAAAGGGAUUGCAAUUCUUCCAAGGGUUUUUAAGUCUCCAAAAUCCAAAUUUCUCCUCUAAAUUUUCAAUCCGAGCAUCAUGAUCUGGGGAUUUCAUACAAAGCAUAUAUAUCAUACUUAAAGACUAACAAAAAUAAUAAAAAAAAUUAUAGAAUAGGUUAUGGAUUUGCAAAUGUGAUGAAUUUGCUAUUGCUAUCAACACUAUAAGUGAAAAAUGAUGAUUUUAACAUUUAUUAAAGGUUCACUUUAUAAGUUAAUCACAUCUCUCAACUAGCUUAUUCUUAGUUCCUAGCAAUUAAAUUACUAACCAUAAUAAGUAAAAUUAAUGUAUAUGCUUGUAAAUGUUCUUCCCUUCUUCAAACAAUUUUAUAGGUAAACUUCCCUUUGAAAAGUAAAAUUAAAAAAUAAUUUGUAGAGUGGAUAUCAAUAACCUUCCUUUGUGUUCAAUUAUAAAUAAAUACAAAACUUAUGGGAUUUCAUCAAAAGAUCACAAUAUUUUAGUUUUACAAGUUCAUUAGGGUUUCUAUCAUUAGUAGUGAAUUAUUUAUAAAUAACUUAACGAACAAUAAAUCUCCAACCCAUGUAGUGAUUUUUGGGCAAGUAACUCUUAGACUAGUUGGCCUUAGGGCACUAGGUAUUGAACACCGCUAUAGGCUUAGUCACUCCGAUUUCAGAUAUAGCCAAAUUCAACACAUUUUUUCUUUUUAUUUUUGCAUUUCUUUUUACACGAGCAAUCAUUUCUAAUUAGGAAGAUCCUCAGUUACUAGGUAAAAUAAUGUUUUAUUGAUUUUUUUAAUUUUUAAACCAUUACCAUUUUACGCGAGCAGUCACUAUUGAUUAGGCAAGAUGCCUUAUUACUAUGUAAAAAUUUGAGUUUUUUUUUUUUAAUAGAACACAAGUUUUCCACUAUCUUAGAUGUCACCUCUAACAAACCAACAUAAUUAAAUAUUAAAUAUUUCAACUUCCAACACAUAAGUAUGUGUCAUGGGGGGUGUGUGUUGUGCUGGAAUGGUUUAGUACAUCCACCAAAUAAUUAAAUGGAACAAAAUGGAUGAGUAAAAGCUAUUAGAAAGAAGAACUCACAAAUUUAAUUAAUUUGAAGAGAAAAAAAUAAAAAUUAGCCAUUAUUAGAAAAUACAAAAUAGUAAAAAUGAUGCUUCUCAGGAGGAAUAAAAAGAACUCUUUAUUCCCUAGUCCGCAAACAAAGAAUGGUUAUUUUUUUUAAAAGAACACACAAAAAGAUAUCGAUAAGUGGAAAUAUUUUUCUUUCUUUUUGAAAAGAAAACACACAAAAAUAAAUAAAUACACAAAACAUAGGAUGUCAACUAUCCUUUUCCCCCAUCAGAUCAAGACAUUGUCCUCAAUAUCUAAAGAAAUAGAUGGUAAACUUAGAAGAAUACACCUGAUAAAUGUGAAGGAAAAUAAAUACCUAUAAACAAAUAAAACUACUAUAUAAGAAAAUUGAAAAAAGUUACACAUGAAGAUUUAGAUCCAGAAAAUAAAUACCUGUAAACAAAUAAAACUAGUAUAUAAGAAAAUUGAAAAAAGUUACAAAUAAAGAUUUAAAUCCAUCAUUUUGCCUUUUGGUCACUAUCAACAUAUGAUCAAUUAGUUGAGAAAUGAGUUGGUUGGUUUCAAGCUACUGUUCUUACAUUCAACCAAUUAAUUCUGUUGCGGUUUUAAAGUAGACAAGGAUUCUUCGUGACGUAGGCAAAAUGAAAUUGUGCUUCACAACACUAUCAAGAAAUAUCAUGAAGAGACCAUAAUAAUAAUUCACAUCCAAUGGCUCGAUAGGAUUGUAGUGGAUGUUUAGUUGUGCUCAUGAUGCAAUUGUAAUAUAAUUCUUCUGAGGUACCAAGUCAGCAUACCAGAAGAAUAAAAACAUCAACAUGUUCAAUCUUUGCAAUGAGACAUUCAUGCAUACCUGUAACAACGAGCUCUUCUCCAUUUGUUCUUCAAAUGAUCCCUCUAACCAAAGCUUUUGGGAUUAUACUCAAAACCUAACUUCCUCCAGUGUUUACAGCUUAUGAGACAUCCCUUAUUAGUCUAGGAUCACAAUUUUCAUAUAUUUAAUGUACAUUUCUAUUAAACAGUAACUUCCUAAGGUCCUUGGCAGCUUUAACAAAAUCUAGGGCAUGUCCAUAAGUUCAUCCAAAAAAUAGACAAUCAUUUUUAAGUUUCCAAUUAGAACCAUUGCCAUUAUGAUUCCUUUUCUUUUAAGGAUUUGGAUCAUGAAAGAAAGAGAUAUAUAUAAAAGGGUAUUUACAAAUCUAGGAGAAGUAAUGCAUCAAUGAUAAUAAUUGCAAAGGUUGAUAAUUGUUAAACAAAAUAUCUGAAACAAUAGAAAGGAUAAAGUAGUCAAAUGUUGUGGAAAUUUUCAAAUGAAAAGAGUUAGAACCAAAUAAUAAAAUAAUAACAAAAAUGUACUAGCAGUUUUGAUUGUGACUCAUAUCUUCCUCUGAUUUUAUGUCUGGUAAUAAAUUGAACAUCUUUUAUGAAUGGGGGAUAGGUUUUAAUCCAAUUUUCUUAAAAAUUGACAAAAAAGAUCUUUUAAAGUCAGAUUGCCAAGAUUAAAUUCUGCAUGUUCGUUUUGAAAUUGUGUCAUUAAUCCUUGGAUCUCGUUUUGUACAUAUCCAUGGGCUUGUGUCUCAAGAGUUGAUAAUAUAUUGUCAUGAAUCAACUUCCAACUGAAGUCAUGCCUAACAAAUUGAAUCUUGUCCACACGAUUAUCAGAUAAAUACCCCAAGGAGUCACAACCGGUGUCAUAAGCCAAGUGGGCAUAUUUAUAAUAGACACCUAACCCUUUAGCUUUGCGCUUUUCUGCAUAGGUGCUCUUCCUCAAGCCAGGCAUGUGAGAGAUAAAUGAUAAAUUAGAGAUUUUGCCAGCUACUUAAACUUAAGCUUCAAUAAGCCAAUGAAUAUCUUUAAAAAUUCCAUACAUCAUUAAUAACUUCAUUCUUUUAAAUUGUGAUUUAUAAAUAUUGAUAAGAGUGUAUAGAGAGAGCGAAGGAGAGAUUGAAUGUAGUUUCUUGAUAAUCUCUCCCAUGCUUUUUAACAAAGGGUUUCAAUGAUUGUGGGUAAACUGAAGAACCAACUAUAAAAGUUAGGAAGUACUGUUAUCUGCUAUCUGAAGGAGUAAAAAAGUUAACCUAAAAAGACACAAAACACAAAAGACAAAACAAAAGCAAAAUCAAACACUUUUAUUGCCCCAUACGGAUAUACAUUUUUCAAUCUUUGUCCAUUCACUUUGAAUUUAUUACCGUUCUUUGGAUUCUCAACUUCUAUUGCCCCAUAUGUAUAUAUACUUUUCACAAUAAAAGAGUCAUUCCAUUUUGACUUUAACUUUCUUGGAAAUAAAUACAGAUAAAAAUUCAGUAGCGACACUUUUUGACCGACCUCAAAUGUUUUACAAAAAUUCUCUUAUCAGGAAAAGCCUUGGUUCUUACCUUAAUAAUUCUAAAAUUCUCAUAUACAUCAUUUUGAGAUCCUCAAGUUCAUUUAACCGUAAGUUACACAUAUUACCAGCAUUAUCAAGAUUUGAAUUAACAAUUUUAAUAGCUCAAAAUUAAAUUCAAUUGAUAAGUGUCAAUGUUUACCAUAACCCAACCGACAGAAUAACAUGUCUAAAGAUGUCUUAAAUGCAGUGAAAUAGGCCCAAAGUGCAUCAAUAAGUCAAUGAGACCCAUCUUUAGGGUUUGGGUUAACCAUCUUUUCCAAAGUUUGCUGUAUCUCUUUAUUUGCUACUUUAACUUGACCACUUAUUUGAGAGUGAUAAAGAGUAAAAACCUUAUAUGUAAUGCCAUAUUUCUUCAUUAAUAUUUAAAUGACUUGUAAUAAAAAUGCUUACCUUUAUUAAUGAUAAUGGCUCGAAGGAUUCCAAGUUUGCUUAAAAGAUUUUCUUUUAAAAAAUGGAUCAAAGUUUUUUAAUUGUUGUGUUAAUAAGGAAUCACUUUAAUCCAUUUUAAAACAUAGCAAUAGCAAAUAAGAUAUAUACAUAUCCAAAUGAUGAUGGAAAAGGGCCCAUAAAAUCUAUUCCCUAAUAGUUAAAUAUUUCAAUGACAAAGAUGAGUUUAAAGGCAUCAUAUUUUUCUUUGAGAUGGACCCAACAUUUGACAAUUCUUACAUGUUUUAUAAAAUGCAUAUGAAUCUUUAAAUAAUAUGUGCUAGUAGAAUUCAUAUUGCCAAUUUUUUACAGCUAUCUUCUUCAGAGAAAAGUAGCCAUCACAUGCUUUUGAAUAGCAAAAUUUAACAACACUGUUUACUUUAUCGUCCGAAAUCUAUCUAUAAAAAAUUUGAUCAGUACAGUACUUGAACAAGAAUUGAUCAUCCUUGUGAAAGCUUUUCACCUCUAUUAAGAAUUUCUUAUUAUCUUGGAAGUUCAAAUUGGAUGACAUUUUACCUGUUGUAAAAUAAUUAACAAUGUUAGCAUACUAAGGCACAUUAUGUAUAGAAAACAAAAACUCAUUAGGAAAAGAAUCAUUGAUAGGUAUUGUGUUAAUUGAAAGCUCAUUUGUAAGUCUUAACAGAUAGCCUGCAAUAACAUUUUCGCCACCCAUUUUAUCUUUGAAUUCAUCAUUUUAAUCUUGGCAUGGCAUCCUGUUUAGACAUUAAAUAUCUAAUAGCAAUAUGAUAAAAAAAGACCAUAAUAGAUGAACUAAUUAAAUUUGUUUGAAAUUUAUUAAGUGUAAAUAUUACAGCAAGUAGUUCUAUUUCAGUUGUAGUAUAAGUCAUUUGGGCACUAUUAAAAAUUCUACUUGCAUAAUAGAUAACAAAUAGCUCACCUUUUUUUUUCUUUGUCCUAAAGCAGCUCCAACAUCAUAAUCGCUAGCAUUACACAUUAGUUCAAAAAGUAAAGGGCAAUAAGGGGAUUGCAUUAUAGGGGAUUAUGCUAAAAGACAUAUUAUCUUUUCAAAGUCUUUUUGACAAUCUUUGGUCCACUCAAAUAGUGUAUCUUUUAUAAAGAGAUUACAAAGUGGUCUAGAUAUGAUACUAAAGUCUCUUAUAAACCUCCUAUAAAAUUCGGCAUGUCCUUAAAAGGAACGAACUUCCUUAAUUGUCUUUGGUGAAGGUAAUUUUGAGGUGAUUUUGAAUGAACUUCCUUAACUGUCUUUGGUGAAGAUAAUUUUGAGGUGAUUUUAACUUUGACUUUAUCAACUUUGAUUUCAUUUAAAGGAAUUACAUGGCCCAAGACAAUUCUAAAAAUGGUCAUGAAACAACAUUUUGCCUAAUUUAAAAUAAAUCCUUUUUCUUUACAUCUUUCUAAAGCUCUUUCUAAAUUAUUAAGAGAUGUAUCAAAAAAAUUUCUUAAUAUAGUUAAAUUGUCCAUAAAAAAUUCUAAACAAUUUUCAACAAUCUCACUAAAAAUGCUUAGCAUGCAUCUCUGAAAUAUUGUGGGAGAAUUAUAGAGUCCAAAAGGCAUUCUUCUAAAUGUAAAUGUUUCAAAUAGGCAUGUGAAUAUUGUCUUUGCUUGGUCUUCUAAGGCUGUAGAAAUUUGCUGAAAGUUUGAGUAGCCAUCAAGAAAGUAGUAGCAGAAGUGUUUUGCUACUCUCGAGGAUUUGAUCUAAAAAUAAAAGAGGAAAAUGCUCCUUUCUAUUGGCAUUAUUUAAUUUUCUGUAGUCAAUGCACAUAUGUUGACUAGAUGGAACCCGUGUUGAGAUUAGUUCACUUUUUUAAUUUUUUACAGCGAUCAUUGCAGAUUUCUUUAGUACUACUUAUGUUGGACUUACCUAUUUACUAUCAGAGAUAAGAUAGAUAAUUCUUACAUCUAGUAGUUUAAAGAUCUAAUUUUUUACCACUUUUUUCAUAUGGGGGUUAAGUCUUCAUUGUGGUUAACGUGAGUUAUUUUGGCAUUUUCAUCUAAAAGUAUUAUGCGAAUACAAAAAAUUUCUUCAUUCUUAAAGAACUCAGUGAUCUCUCUUUAAACAAAAAAUUCUGCAAAAUCUUUAAAGUCAUCAAUAAUAACAUUGGUAGAUUCCAUAAUAGUUUGAGUUCUCAAAUUUUACAAUCGAAAAGCUUUAUUAUUAUUUGAAUAACAAAGAAAAAUGCCCUCAUCACUUUUUUAGUCAUACUUGCACAAGUAUUCACGAUCUUUCAAGAUGUAACAUGUAAUACCAAAGAUGUGAAAAUAAUUUAUAUUAGGUUCCUUACGUUUCCACAGUUCAUAAGAGGUUUUUUUAGUGGUUGGAUACAAAAAUAUUUAGUUCUUUUGCUGAAAGACAUUUAGUCAACUUAUUGGAGUUCAACAUCACACGUGCCAUCUCCUCUAAGGUUUUGUUCUUUCUUUAAAAAUUCCAUUUUGUUCAAGAGUAGUAGGUACUGAAAAUUCAUGUAUUAUACCAUGUUUAUCAAAAUAUUUUGCAAAAUUAGCAUUUUCAAAUUCGUUUUGAUGAUGACUUCUAAUUUUCCCAAUAUUAUGAUCUUCUAAUACAUAAUUUUUUAAACACAGCAAACAUAUCAGAUUUUUCUUUAAUAAAAUCAGCCCAUGUGCAUCUGAAGAAAUCAUCUAUGCAAAUAAAAGCAUACCAUUUUUCAGCAACACUUUUCACUUGCAUUGGACUAAUAAAAUUCAUAUGAAGGAAAUCAAGUACUUUAGAUGUGGUAAUAUGUUAAACAACUUUGUACGAUGUGCGAUGUUUUUUGUUGUUAGCCAAUUUGACAAGAAUUACAAGCUCUAGAUUGUUUCUUUUUGAGCUUAGGUCUUACAAUUUCUGCACUCACGAGUUAGUCAAUAAUUUAUAAUUAAAAUGACCAAGUUUUUGGGGCCUUAUUUCAAUUUGAUCAAUAGUAGUUUUAUGACAAGUAAUAAAUUGGAUCAAUUUAUAAUAAUGAUUCGAUGGUCUAAUUCCCUUAAGUAUAUACUUACCCUUGUUAUUAAACACUUGACAUUUGCUGCUAUUAAAAUUUAUCAUUAAGUUUUGAUAAUAAAUUUGACUAAUACUCAAAAGAUUAGCUCUCAAGUCUUCAACUUGUAAAGCAUUUUCAAGUCUAGGAGCACAUGACUUUUAAUACUGUCAGCAAAGGCCACAUGUUCUCAACUACAUUCUUCAUAAUUUAUUAAAGCACUAUAAUUACCAUUCAUGUGUCUAGAGCAACCACUAUCAAAACACUAUAAGUUAUUAAUAGAAGAUCGCAGAGAUGUAAAUGACACAUAUGCUUUUAAUUCAUAUUUCCUAAUCAAAUUUGGUUCAAUAAAGUUACCUUGAACAUUAAACUUAGGUUUAAGAUUAUAUCUAGGUUUACCAAAUGAAGAAAAAUUAAACGACACAAUUUUCUUUAUGUAAUUCAUGAACUUGAAGCAUCUAGCUCUUAUGUGUCCUUUAAUAUAACAAAGUGACAAGUAAGAACAAAACUUUCAUACUAACCAUGUGAGCUCAAUGUAUAAUGUGUCACAUAUUUACCUUUCAUUUCGUCAGAGAGUUUUGCCAUAGGUGGCGAUACUUUGGUUGUUGGUGAAGAGGCUUUACCAAAAAUAGUAUUUGAGCUUAAAGUAAUUCCUUUAUGAUACCCAAGACAAUAAUGAUCUAAAGUAGCUUUUCCCAUAGUCAAAAUCUUAUCAAAUUGCUUUGUUCUAGAAUUCAUCGUUCUCAAAGAUUUUUUAGUACUUUCUAGCUCAGUCAAAACUUCCUUCAAUUUCUCUUCUUUUCCAAAAACAGUAGUUUGAGGAUUGAUUACUUCACUUUCAAACCUUAACUUUUCAACAAUUUUUUUUUUAUAAUUCAGCAUGAAAUUUUCUUGCAUCUUUGUUUCAUUUUUACCCAUUCAAAAUAGGUGUAAUCAUCACUACUAGAAAAUAGUCUUCACUGAUACUUGUCUUGUGACACUUUAUUUGAAAGUAUUAGUAUGUACAUACAUUUGGACCAUUUUCUGCAUUUAACAGAUAAGUAUCACUAAUUACUAAUACUAAAGUAUCAAUAGCUUUAGCAAUAGCGAUCAAUGAUACUGAGGUAUCAACAAUAAAAAAUUAUCAUUUGAAAAGUGGCUGGUAUGAGGCGGCUAGCAGGUUGAUGGUGCCACUAACGGUGGCCAAAAGAGAGACAACGAGGUGUUGGUGAGAUAUAUGGCAGCUAGGGGGAUUUGUCUUGAUAAAAUGAGUCACAGAUGGUAGCCAAUAAGUGGUGCCUGAGUUUUGGUUGUGCUCGUGCAUAUCUCUCUGUUAUGUAUUAAAACUCUAAUAUUUUACUACAUACAGCAGUAAACCAAGAAAGGAGGGAAAAAAAAAAAGGAAAGAAAUCAGACACAGAUUAGAAAAUUUAGAAUUGAAGGUGAUAAAUCCUGCUAUACAUGGAAAUGAUAAUUUUACCUUUCAUCUUCAAGCUCCGAAGGCUUCGUAUGUAGGUCUUUCACUUGUAAAAGGCGGUUUACUUCUAUGUGCAAGUUAGCAUUUGGUUCAUUAGAAAAUUUGUCAAUAAAGUGUAAUGAAGCCGUAUCAGAGUUGUUACAAGAAUAUUUUUUGGAAAUCCAUGUAUCAUCUUCUCUUUCUCUCCUUGGAUGAGAGAGUAUCUGCAUUCCCUUAUUUUUCUUUUUUCUAAUUGAGUUUGAAUCCCCUUAUUUUAUUUUAUUUUUUUUGUAACCGCCAUACCAGUAAUUUAUUAACAAUUGCAGAGUUAGUGUGACACUUUAUUUGUAACUGCCAUAUCAUAGUCAGUUACUAACCAUUACAGAGCUAUAACAUCACUCGAAAUAGAAAUAUUGAGAUUCCUAAUAGUAUUUAUCCUAAUUAUUAGUUGUUCCUAAUAUUACUAUCGCUAGCUGCAAUUAAUUCAGCUUAAGUUGUCAUUUUCUUAUAAACAAACAAGAUGGUCCAUCAUGUUUAGUUGUAAGGAUACAAACUAGGGAUAACAAUGGGCCAGGUUAGGCUCGGGCUUACCUAAGCUUGUAACUAAAAUAAAGGGUUUGAGCUCAAAAAAGUCCGAUCCUUUGAAUUAAAGCCCGAGCCCAACCAUAAUUUUGUUUUGAUGAGGUGAGAUUCAUGUCAAGAGAGAGUGACUGAAACCCACAGCUAUUUCCUUGAUUAGUAUCACUUGUUGCAGCAGAUAUCUCAACAGAAGAAGAAGAAGCAAAUGGAGUUUGCUUAGCCAAGAAUUGAACCCAGCAAUAGAAGCUACAGUCUUUUAAGGAACAUGCUGAUGCUGAUGAAGAAAAUGAUGAUGGUACAUAAUAUCAUCGUGGUUAUGGGUAUAGCUAGGGUUUAAGGUUUGUGUUUGUGGGUGAUGAUGAUGUUGACUGUAGUGGUGGUGGAUGAUUGAAGAUGGGUGGCUCGUCAGAUCUUGAGCAAUGAUUUCUAAGUCAAAGUCUCCAUUAUUAUCAACAUUGAAGCAGCUGCUUGAUACAAUAUUGACAUUCCAUUAUGUUGGUUUUGGCAUCAGCAGGGUCAGUUGAUGUAUAGAUUGAGUAACAACAUGACCCUAAGAAAUCUUCAAGCUUUGGACAUGAUCCUCAUGACUUGCCCCACCACUACCAUAAUUUUCAUAUCCCCAAUCUAAACUAAAAGGAAACCAUAAAAAAAUUAAAAAAAUCACGGCAAAAAAACCUAUCAUAAUUUACAUGACUUACUCCUAAUUAUAUUUCUACAUCGCCAGGUGCGAACACCUAAAUCGUCCCCAUUUUGCCAUAACCUAAAAAAGCUAAAGAUUGAAGCAUUACCUUAGGCUGUGAUAACUGUGCCGCCUUGUGAAUGGCUGUCACUGUUGUGUGAUGGCUGUCAGUGGUGGCGGUGACGAUGUCUAGGUAUGGGUGAUGGUGGCUGUGAGUUGUGGAUGGCGAAUGGCAAUUUUAACUGCGGAUUGUGGUGGAUCAUGAAUGGCUGAACCUCGGUCGAUGAAAGAAAAGGGAAAAUAUUUGGCAAACAAAACGUUGUGUUUUUGCCUUUAAUGAAACGAUGCGUUUUGAGUUUUCGGAGUUUGACCCAUGGUUUGACCCGAUGCAAAUAUCAUUUUCAAUGUAUUUAUUAUUAUUUUUAUUUUUCAUGUGACUUAUCAAAUUUUGAUUUAAUGGUUAAUAAUUGUUUCAUAUUGCGUCAAAAAAGAGAGGCUCCCCGACAUGCCCUAUACCAACUAGUCUAAUUUUUCAUAAGCAUGUCGCUCAUGCGCUGCACCACAGUGUAAUGCAGCAAAAUCAAGAAAAAAAAAGUGAAAUAUGCUAUUUCUCUUUUAAGAAAAAUUCUCGAAUACAUAAGAGGUAACAUAAUUAAAUUUUUUUAUAUAAACACCAGUUAUAUAUUAGUUCUUCAAAAUAAAUGUACUUAUACUAUAAAAUUAUUUGUUUUUUAUAUAAAUGACAUAGUACUUUAAAAGAAUUCUAAAAUUUCUCUUGUGCCUCGCUUGUCAUUUUCAACUAUUAGUCAAUGAGAUGGCAUUUUACAUGCUGAUAUGGUGCCCCGCAGAAACUCUUUUGUUUUCAGAUUGAUGAUCCCAAGGAAAUGGCACAAAUAUCACUUCUAAUGGUAUUUUACAGUAAAGUCCGGCUGUACAGGAAUUCUCUUUCGACAAAGGCUUGUUUAUUCCCAAUAUUUUUAGGUUAAUGUCCUUUUAGUCAUUAUAUUUUAAAAAAAUUCUCAAAACAUCCCUACUGUUAAAUUAUUAACACCACUGUUAGGGUUACUUUUAAUUCUCUUUGGCUUACUUUUACAUAUUACUCUCUUACAAUAAUGUUUAUUUUUUGGACAUUAAUAAAAAAAAUUAGAUUAUCAAUUUAAUCCCAAAAAAUUAAUGUAGAAGACUCUACUAAGUUAUAUAUUAAAUUUUUUACUGAUGUCCAAAAAAAUUGGUAACUUAAUUUUUUUACAAUAUUAAUUUUUUUGACAUAUGUAAUCUUCUUGGAAAAUUAAUAUAUAUUAUUUUUAUUUUUAUUUUAUUUUUGUGGUUAAAUUAAUAAUUUAAUUUUUCCUUUUAAUUAAUGUCCAAAAAAAUCAUUGUAAGAGAGAUAAUAUUAUAAAAGUAAGCUAAAAAAAAAUAAUGACAGAUAUGUCAAUUGUUUAAUGACCAGGAGUUUUGAGUUAUUUUUAAAAAUAUAAGAACUCAAAAUAUAAGAAUUAAAUGAGUUUCGACACAUUCUUUUUAGUGCUCUAUGACUCUUAUGGAAGUAUAACUUUGAUUAUUAAACACACGCCUCUGCACGUUUUUGUUCACCGUAGGACUGCCAUAAACAAAUAUCGACAUCGUUGAUUAUUAUAAACACAUGCAUUGGCACGUUAGAAUUCCCUCAUGAAAAAAUAUGACUACUUUUUGCGUUCUGGUUUGGUUCAUAGUUCCUAUUUUUUAUCCUUGGCCGCGAGGCUCAUAUUCUUAUUGAUCCUAGAUCCACACACUCUUUUGUUUCCCGUACUUUUGCUAUGCACAUAGGGGGAGAGCCCGAACUAUUAGAUUGUGGUUUAGUUGUUCGUACACCUACCGGAAAGUCAUUACUUGCUGAGAGUGUGUAUCGAGAUUGUAUGAUUGGAAUGGUUGAACAUGAAUUUGAGGCGAAUUUAAUUUCCUUAGACAUUCAUGACUUUGAUGCUAUUUUGGGCAUGGAUUGGCUUGAAUCUCAUUAUGCUACAGUGGAUUGUUUCAAAAAGGAUGUUGUGUUUAAAAAGCCAGGGAAGACUGAGGUGAUAUUCUGUGGGGAGCGCAAAGUUCUACCUUCAUGUGUUAUAUCUGCCAUUAGUUCAAGACGGUUGCUAAGAAAAGGAUGCUCGGCUUAUUUAGCUCAUGUGAUAGAUACAGAAGCUCGAGAAUUGAGAUUGGAGGAUAUUGCAGUAGUCAAAGAAUUUCCAGAUGUAUUUCUAGACGAACUUCCUAGGAUGCCACCUAACAGGGAAGUUGAGUUUUCUAUUGACUUAGUCUCUGAAACAUCUCCUAUAUCUAUGGCACCAUACAGGAUGGCUCCAGUAGAGUUGAAGGAACUGAAGGUUCAAUUGCAAGAGUUGGUGGAGAAACGGUUUAUUAGACCUAGUGUGUCCCUGUGGGGAGCUCCAGUCUUGUUUGUUAAGAAAAAUGAUGGGACUUUUAGACUCUGCAUUGAUUACAGGCAGUUGAACAAAGUUACGGUACGCAAUAAGUAUCCACUUCCGCGUAUUGAUGACUUGCUUGAUCAACUCUAGGGGGUAAAAGUAUUUUCUAAGAUCGAUUUGCGCUUGGGUUACCAUCAGCUUAGAAUUAAAGAUGUUGACGUUCCUAAAACAGCAUUUAGAACUCGUUAUGGGCACUAUGAGUUCUUAGUGAUUCCAUUUGGGUUUACAAAUGCUCCAGCUGCUUUUAUGGAUCUCAUGAAUAGGGUAUUUCGCUCGUACCUGGAUCGGUUUGUGAUUGUAUUUAUUGAUGAUAUCUUGGUGUAUUCUCGAAGUGAGGAGGUGCAUGCAGAGUAUUUGCGGACUAUUUUACAGACUUUGAGACAGAAGCAGUUGUAUGCCAAGUUCAGCAAGUGCGAGUUCUGGUUGGACAGAGUAGUAUUUUUGGGCCAUGUGAUAUCAGCUGAAGGCAUUUAUGUCGAUCCUCAAAAGAUUGAAGCAGUUGUGCAAUGGGAACGACCUACAAAUGUCACAGAGGUUCGGAGUUUCCCUGGAUUAGCUGGUUACUAUCGUAGAUUUGUGGAGGGAUUCUCCAAGAUUGCUACUCCUCUGACACGGAUAACGAGAAAGAAUGCUAAAUUCCAGUGGGAUGAUGAUUGUGAAAAGAGUUUUCAAGAACUUAAGACACGUUUGACCUCAGCACUAGUUCUUACACUUCCAUCUGGUAAUGAAGGAUUUGUGGUUUACAGCGAUGCCUCUAGGCAGGGAUUGGGUUGUGUGUUGAUACAGCAUGGGAAAGUGGUGGCUUAUGCUUCUAGACAACUUAAGAAGCAUGAGCAAAACUACCCAACACAUGACUUAGAGCUAGCAGCAGUGGUGUUUGCACUCAAGACAUGGCGGCAUUACUUAUAUGGGGUAACGUGUCAGAUUUUCACUGAUCAUAAGAGCAUGAAGUAUUUGUUUACUCAGAAGGAGUUGAAUUUGAGACAGAUGAGGUGGAUCGAGCUGAUUAAGGACUACGAUUGCACUAUUGAUUAUCAUCCGGGCAAAACAAAUGUGGUAGCUGAUGCACUAAGUAGAAAGUCUCCCAACUCUAUUGCUCACUUGCGAGUGAAAUAUAUGCCUCUGUUGAUUGAGUUGAGAUCUUUGGGAAUCGAGUUGAACGCUGACAAUUGUGGAGCUUUGAUAGCUAAGUUUCGAGUUAGGCCGACUUUGAUUGACAAAGUUUACCAGAUGCAAGCUCAGGACCCACAGUUAAUGAAGUUGAAAAAGGAUGUGCAAAAAGGUUUACGAACCAAUUUUACGGUGAGAGGCAACGGAGUCUUAGUCAUGGGUAAUAGACCCUGUGUACCUGAUAUUAAAGAUCUAAAAGAAGAGAUUAUGGAAGAAGCUCAUUGUUCAGCAUAUGCGAUGCAUCCUGGUAGUACGAAGAUGUACCGCACCCUAAGGGAUCAUUAUUGGUGGCAGGGCAUGAAGAGAGAGAUAGCAUAAUUUGUUUCUCGAUGUUUAGUCUGUCAGUAGAUUAAGACUAAACACCAGAGGCCUGCAGGGUGUUCUCAGCCGCUUCCUAUUCCUGAGUGGAAGUGGGAGCACAUCACCAUGGAUUUUGUAGUAGGACUUCCACGUACUAAGAAAGGACAUGAUAGUGUUUGGGUGGUUGUUGAUCGACUUACAAAAUCUGCUCACUUCUUACCAUUCAAAAUCACCUAUUCGAUGGACAAGUUAGGGAGUAUUUAUGUGGCUGAGAUAGUUCGACUUCAUAGAGUACCUGUGUCCAUAAUCUCAGAUAGAGAUUUUCGGUUUACUUCUAAGUUCUGGACCAGCUUGCAAAAUGCUUUAGGCACCAAGUUGAACUUUAGUACAGCUUUUCAUCCACAGACUGAUAGACAGUCAGAGCGUACUAUUCAAACUCUGGAAGAUAUGUUGCGAGCUUGUGUUAUGGAGUUUAAAGGUAAUUGGGACAAUCAUUUACCUCUGAUGGAGUUUUCUUACAACAACAGCUAUCAAGCUAGUAUUGAGAUGGCACCAUAUGAGGCUUUGUAUGGUAGAAAAUGUAGGACUCCAGUAUGUUGGGAUGAGGUUGGUGAACGGAGGUUAUUCGGUCCAGAACUAAUCCAGGAUACUAAUGAGAAGAUACAAUUGAUCCGGGAUAGAUUAAAAGUGGCCCAAGAUAGACAGAAGAGCUAUGCAGACAAGCGUAGACGGGAACUUGAAUUCGAAGUUGGUGAUAGAGUUUUCAUACGGAUAUCUCCUUGGAAAGGGGUGCUUCGAUUUAGGAAACGUGGGAAGCUAAGUCCACGUUACAUUGGGCCAUAUGAGAUCAUUGAGCGCAUCGGUCCAUUAGCUUAUCGAUUAGCUCUACCACCCGAGUUAUCCAGAAUCCACGAUGUGUUUCAUGUCUCAAUGCUUCAGAAGUACAUAUAUGACCUGAGUCAUAUGUUAUCGAAGCAGCCAAUUCAGUUGAAAGAAGAUUUGACUUACAAAGAGGAACCAGUGGAGGUACUGGAAGAUAAACACCAAGUUCUGCGUUCUAAGACCAUUCCUCUAGUAAAAGUACGGUGGAGGAAUCAUACAAAGGAAGAGACUACCUGGGAACACGAGGACUUAAUGCGAGCUCAGUAUCCCUAUCUUUUCUUAUUAGGUACGUAAAUUUCGAGGAUGAAAUUUUUAUAAGGGGGGAGGAUUGUAACAUAUGUGAAUUAAAAAUGAAUAAAAAGAGGCGGUUAAGAAGUUAACAAAAGAAGAAGCUGGAAAACAAAGCAAAACAGAGCCACACGUGUGUGAGAGAGUGAGAGAGAGAAGCUGUCAACUAGACCCGAAAACCUGACCCGGAACCUGCGAACGUGACCCGGCCAUAUCUCCCAUUUCCGGCCACUGUUUCGGCCGAGCUUGGUACCAAUUUGAAGCUUAGAAGUCGGCCGUUGUUCCCCUGCCAUCCUCGUCGCCGAAAAGCAACCGGAACACCGGCAAUCGAGGCUUGGAAACCCGCGACUGUUUCGCUUUGUUCCGCUAGGAUUUUCACCGAUUUUGGGUGACACCACCAGUUGGAUUUUUGUUCCCCGCGACUCCCUCUUCCAUUUCCGACCAUCCACUGCCGCCCGGGACAUCGUUUUGCCGUUGAUCGGUCGUUGAAAGACUUACGGCUUUGGGAGCUCGAUCCGGGGCCAUCGCCGCGUGUGGGAGGUCACCACCACCACCGUUGCACUCAGUGUGGCUAGAACUUUCAGACUUGAGUUUUUCGGCCAGCAUUGACCAAAUUCCGGUGAUUGUUUAUCGGCAAGGGCAUUUCGAUAAUUUCACACUCUGAGGGCAAUUUUAUAAUUUCUGAGCCUGUGGAUAUUUUAGUAAUUCCUAGAAUUGAGGAUUGGGUGUAAUUACGAUUUUGAUGGUAAUUCGGUGAUUUACAAUUUUAGAGUAUUUUAAUAAUUUACGAACUCGAGGGUAUUUUAGUAAUUUUAUCGACGCGGGAGUUGUAAAUUAUGGAUAGAUGUUCGUUUCGAGUUUAUUGCAUAAAUUUAGUCUUAAUUCAGAUUUACGAAAAAUAAUUAUGUCAUUUCCUUGAUUUAGGAGGAUCCGCGAGCGAGAACCGGUCCGCGGACGUGGACGAUAACCGAACGUGAACACCGUUACUGUGAGUGGAAUAUACAAAACCUAUUUUCAUAGUUAAUUAUGAUAGUAAUGCAUGUUUGCGAAAUAAGUAUUUUAAAUGUUAUGAUUUAAUGAUUUCUCGAAAUGGAUUUUAUUCACGCAUUGAUGUUAUAUUAAAAUAUUUGGUUAAUGAUUUUUGUAUCGACUUUGAAUAAAGCAUGAUAAUAUUUUAAAGAUAAGAAAAAUGGAUUCAAAUGUGGUAUGAUUUAAAGUAUGGUUAAAAGGUAUGUGAAUAUGAGUAUAAUGAUUGUUUUUAAAAUCAUUAGACAGUACCCUUCCCCUCUAGAUACAAUGAUGCAGAUGAUAUGAAAUGAGAGGCCUUUGGGGCCCGUCUGAACACACAUAGAGGCUUUGGGCCAUGUGUUUGGGCGCUUUUGCCUUUUGGGGGCAUAUGCAUGAGGUAUGAUGAUUACAAAGAUACAGAUAUGAGAUACAGACAGAUAUUGAGAUACAGGCCUUUGGGGCCCGUCUGAGCACACACAGAGGCUUUGGGCCGUGUGCUUGGGCGCUUUUAUCCUUUGGGGACUAGAUUAUGCAUGCACAUAUAUGAUGAGAUAUGAGAUGGUAUUUCCCUGUCUAUCCGUGUAGCUCCAAGGCGUGACGGUACCCAGAUAGUACGUCAUUGCCCGUCCGUUGAGGUCCAGAUAUGAUGAGAUUAUUUCCCUGGGUACUUGUUUGGUGAUGAUUUUCAGAUUUGUGUAUCCUAUAUGAUAUUGUGAUAUGAUUUCCAUGGUUAUUAAUCUGAUUUAAAUGUUAAAUGAUUUAUUACUGGUUUCUCGCAUAUGAUUUGAUGAAAUCGUGUUUGGAAAUGAUAUGAUUAUCUCUUUUAAAGUGCUAUCCACUCACUAAUCUCACUGAGUUUUAAACUCACCCCUUUUUUUAUUAUAUUUCCCCCCCCCUCACCAGGAGGUUGCAGGUACACCAGACCGACCCAGCGAUUGUAAAUAGAUUUUGAGUCUUGGCCACGUGAUGGUGUUAGAAGAUAUAAAUGUUUUUGUUAGGACAUCUUGGUUAUCUCGUCCUGUUGGGAUUGUAUAAUUUUGUUAUAUUAUUCUUUUGGGAUUAAGAAUAAACUGAGAUAUUAAUAUUAGUUAUAAUAUUAUCUUUUGAGACUCUGGAGAUAUAAAACUCAGCAUUUUGGUUGAGGAUGUUGAUCACUGGAGUUUGUUGUAUAUUGAAUUAUAUUGGGAGUGUUAUAUUCAUAUUUGUAGAUUGAGAGUGUUAUAUAUAUAAAGGAGACUCUGCCGAAUUUUCGGUAGAAUCCUUACUAAUUAGAUUAUUAUUAAGUCUGUUUUGAUGUGAUUAGAUUGACUCGCCCGGGGGGAUUCAGGGCGGGUCGUUUCAUACGGUUUCCCCUAUCACGCUAUAAGCUACCAUAUCUCUGAUAUGUGUUAAAACUCUAAUAUUUGACUGCAUAGACAGUUAAUCGAAGAAAAAGAAAAGAAAGGGGAGGGGGGGUGGUGUUGGAAAAGAAAGAAAUCAGACAGAUUAAAAAGAUCUAGCAUUGAAGGUGACAAAAUUCUACUAUACUUGGAAAUUAUGAAUUUACCCUUCAUCUUCAACCUCCCAAGGCUUCCAACGUAGGUCUUUAACUUCCAAAAGACAGUUUAUUGCUACGGGCAGGUAAGCAUUUGGUUCAUGAGAAAAUUUGUCAAUAAAGUGUAAUAAAGCUGUAUUAGAGUUGUUGCAAGAAUGUUGUUGUCUAGAGACCUACCUACCUAUCAUUUCUCUCCCCUUGGAUGAGAGAGUGAUUCGAUUCACUUAUUAUUAGUAUUUUUUUUCCUUGAUAAGAGUAGCUUGGAUCCGCUUAUUAAUCAGCCUAAAUCUCGAAUUAUAGUCCCAAUUAUUCGUAAAUGCCAGAUCAGGUAAGUUAUUAAUCAUUACCAAAAAAAAAAAUGAAAUAUUGAGAUCCCUAGUUUUAUUAUUCUAAUUAUUAGUUGUUCCUAUUAUUACUAUCGCUAGCUGGCAAUAAGCUGUCAAUUUCCUAUAAGCAAACAAGACGGUCGUUGAGCGUACUUGUAAGGAUACUGACGCCUCUGUGGUUUAGUAAAGGAACAUGGAGACUCUCGUCGUAUUUUCAAAAAUGGUAUACAGACCUCAUUUUAGACAAACAAAAGAAGUUUUUUUUUUUUUUUUUUUUUUUUUUUAAAGGCAAACUUUGGGGUUCAAUGUGAGACGGUGAUUGUUUUUUAACACAAAAGAUAUUUAAAAAAGUACGUCCCGAAUAAUUGCUAUUUGUGGAGGCUCGUCCUACACGUUUACAAGAAAUUGUUAGAACUUGUAGAAAAGGACGAAAUCUCUAGUCAUGGAGAGCAUUGCCAUUUAUGGCUCAAUGUCCAAAAUGAAUUUAGUGAUUCAACUGAGAAUGAUACUUUAGACUUUUGUAAUUUCAGCAUUUAUUUUUUGAUUUAUUGAUUUCAUCAAUAAUACUGGGAAUUCCAUGCUUUUGACUUUCAAAUGGAGUCUCAAUCAUGUGGUAGGUCGUAAAAACUUUUAUUCUUUUUCUGUAAUAGAUAAUUUGACUCUCGUACAAUAAUAAAGAUCCCAAAAUGUACAUUAUUAGUCACAUAUAUUUCUAUUAUUGAUCAAUAUGAGGAUCAAUAAAAGAUGCUUUACUUGAAUUAGAAGAAAUUAGUGAAAAUUCUAAAAUAAAUAGUGAAGUUAAGUGUUUAGCAACGUAUGAAUUAAAAGAUUUUGAAUUCAUAUUAGGUGUGAUUAUUUAGUUUGAUAGUAUUUGUUGUUAUUAUUUGCUGUAAGUAAGAUCUUGCAAAAAGAAGAUGUGCGUAUUGAUAUUGCCAUAGACCAGCUUAAAGGUUUUUUUAUUUUUCCCUUUGAAAGCCAUAGAGAAAAUGGAUUCACAUCUAUUAUGAUUUUAGCAAAAGAUAUUGCAAGUGAAAUGGAAAUAGAACCUAGAUUUCAUGAGAAAAGUAUAAUUCACAGAAAAAAAAAUAAAUUUGAUGAAAAUGUUAGUGAACAGGGAAUUUUGUCUCUUGAAGAGUCUUCUAGAAUUAAUUAUUUUGUAUAUAUAGUAGAUCAAGCUAUUUCAUCAAUAAGAAUAGAUUUGAAUAAUUUCAAAUGUAUGAUAAUAUGUUUGGAUUUUUGUUUAAUUUCAAAAAAUUACAAUUGUUAAGUGACUAUGUUUUAAAAACUUAUUGUGUUAAUCUCAAAAAUGCUUUAAAACAUGAUACACUAUCUGACAUAGAUGGUUUAGAUUUGUCUUAAGAGUUGAGAAUUUUAAACGAAGUUUUUCCAGGUGAAAAAAUACUACUUAAUUAUUUAAAAAAAUUGAUUCUGUCCGAAAUGCAUAUAUUGCUCAUAGAAUAUUGUUAACAAUAUUAGUAGCAGUUGCUUCUGCAGAAAGAAGUUUUUUAAAAUUAAAAUUAAUAAAAACUUAUUCAAGAUUAACAAUGUUGCAAGAAAGGUCAGCUGAAUUAGCUAUAUUGUUUAUUAAGAAAAAUAUAUUAGUAAAAUUAGAAUAUAAAAAUUUGGUUAAUAAUUUCGAACCUCAAAAAAUUAAAAAAAUUAGCUUUAAAAAUUAUAAUUUUGCAAAAUUUUAAUAAAAAUAACUGAAUUUAUUUAUUAAAAAUAUAAUUUGCAAAUUUUUAUUAAAAUAAUUGAAUUUAUUUAUUAAAAAAUAAAUCCAAAAAUUUAAAUAAUUUAGGGGAUUUUUAUUAAAUUCAAAAAUUUUGCAAUUAUUUUUAUAAUUAUAUUUUUAUUAAUAUAAUUGUUAGUAAAAAAUAAAAACUUUAAUUUUGGGAUUUAUGUUUUAUUAAAUUUAGGGGUAUUUUAUGAUUAUAAUUUUUUUAUUUCUAAAAAUUUUUUAAAAUAAAAUGAUCUUUUAAUUUUUUAGAGGUAAACUUGUUAUUUCGUUUAAAUUAUGUAACAGUGUUAAUGCAAAAGUAGCUAAUUGAUACAAAUUUAAAAAGAAAGGUGGUGCAGAGAACAUGUUAAAAUUUUGUUGUGAUUGGAUGAACAUAAGACAAAAUAAAGGUGGUGCAAUUUCAAAAACUACUAUCCACUCACUGAUCUCACCGAGUUUUAAACUCACCCCAUUUUUUAUUAUAUUUCCCCCACCCCCCCCCCCCUCACCAGGAGGUUGCAGGUACACCAGACCGACCCAGCAAUUGUAAAUAGAUUUUGAGUCUUGGCCACAUGAUGGUGUUAGAAGAUAUAAAUGUUUUUGUUAGGACAUCUUGGUUAUCUCGUCCUGUUGGGAUUGUAUAAUUUUGUUAUAUUAUUCUUUUGGGAUAAACUGAGAUAUUAAUAUUAGUUAUAAUAUUAUCUUUUGAGACUCUGGAGAUAUAAAACUCAGCAUUUUGGUUGAGGAUAUUGAUCACUGGAGUUUGUUGUAUAUUGAAUUAUAUUGGGAGUGUUAUAUUCAUAUUUGUAGAUUGGGAGUGUUAUAUAUAUAAAGAAGACUCUGCCGAAUUUUCGGCAGAAUCCUUACUAAUUAGAUUAUUAUCAAGUCUGUUUUGAUGUGAUUAGAUUGACUCGCCCGGGGGGAUUUAGGGCGGGUCGUUUCAUACGGUUUCCCCUAUCACGCUAUAACCUACCAUAUCUCUGAUAUGUGUUAAAACUCUAAUAUUUGACUGCAUAGACAGUUAAUCGACGAAAAAGAAAAGAAAGGGGGGGGGGGGGGUGGUGUUGGAAAAGAAAGAAAUCAGACAGAUUAAAAAGAUCUAGCAUUGAAGGUGACAAAAUUCUACUAUACUUGGAAAUUAUGAAUUUACCCUUCAUCUUCAACCUCCCAAGGCUUCCAACGUAGGUCUUUAACUUCCAAAAGACAGUUUAUUGCUACGCGCAGGUAAGCAUUUGGUUCAUGAGAAAAUUUGUCAAUAAAGUGUAAUAAAGCUGUAUUAGAGUUGUUGCAAGAAUGUUGUUGUCUAGAGACCUACCUACCUAUCAUUUCUCUCCCCUUGGAUGAGAGAGUGAUUGGAUUCACUUAUUUUUUUUCCUUGAUAAGAGUAGCUUGGAUCCGCUUAUUAAUCAGCCUAAAUCUCGAAUUAUAGUCCCAAUUAUUCGUAAAUGCCAGAUCAGGUAAGUUAUUAAUCAUUACCAAAAAAAAAAUGAAAUAUUGAGAUCCCUAGUUUUAUUAUUCUAAUUAUUAGUUGUUCCUAUUAUUACUAUCGCUAGCUGGCAAUAAGCUGUCAAUUUCCUAUAAGCAAACAAGACGGUCGUUGAGCGUACUUGUAAGGAUACUGACGCCUCUGUGGUUUAGUAAAGGAACAUGGAGACUCUCGUCGUAUUUUCAAAAAUGGUAUACAGACCUCAUUUUAGACAAACAAAAGAAGUUUUUUUUUUAUUUUUAUUUUUUUAAAGGCAAACUUUGGGGUUCAAUGUGAGACGGUGAUUGUUUUUUAACACAAAAGAUAUUUAAAAAAGUACGUCCCGAAUAAUUGCUAUUUGUGGAGGCUCGUCCUACACGUUUACAAGAAAUUGUUAGAACUUGUAGAAAAGGACGAAAUCUCUAGUCAUGGAGAGCAUUGCCAUUUAUGGCUCAAUGUCCAAAAUGAAUUUAGUGAUUCAACUGAGAAUGAUACUUUAGACUUUUGUAAUUUCAGCAUUUAUUUUUUGAUUUAUUGAUUUCAUCAAUAAUACUGGGAAUUCCAUGCUUUUGACUUUCGAAUGGAGUCUCAAUCAUGUGGUAGGUCGUAAAAACUUUUAUUCUUUUUCUGUAAUAGAUAAUUUGUCUCUCGUACAAUAAUAAAGAUCCCAAAAUGUACAUUAUUAUUCACAUAUAUUUCUAUUAUUGAUCAAUAUGAGGAUCAAUAAAAGAUGCUUUACUUGAAUUAGAAGAAAUUAGUGAAAAUUCUAAAAUAAAUAGUGAAGCUAAGUGUUUAGCAAUGUAUGAAUUAAAAGAUUUUGAAUUCAUAUUAGGUGUGAUUAUUUAGUUUGAUAUUAUUUGUUGUUAUUAUUUGCUGUAAGUAAGAUCUUGCAAAAAGAAGAUGUGCGUAUUGAUAUUGCCAUAGACCAGCUUAAAGGUUUUUUUAUUUUUCCCUUUGAAAGCCAUAGAGAAAAUGGAUUCACAUCUAUUAUGAUUUCAGCAAAAGAUAUUGCAAGUGAAAUGGAAAUAGAACCUAGAUUUCAUGAGAAAAGUAUAAUUCGCAGAAAAAAAAAUAAAUUUGAUGAAAAUGUUAGUGAACAGGGAAUUUUGUCUCUUGAAGAGUCUUCUAGAAUUAAUUAUUUUGUAUAUAUAGUAGAUCAAGCUAUUUCAUCAAUAAGAAUAGAUUUGAAUAAUUUCAAAUGUAUGAUAAUAUGUUUGGAUUUUUGUUUAAUUUCAAAAAAUUACAAUUGUUAAGUGACUAUGUUUUAAAAACUUAUUGUGUUAAUCUCAAAAAUGCUUUAAAACAUGAUACACUAUCUGACAUAGAUGGUUUAGAUUUGUCUUAAGAGUUGAGAAUUUUAAACGAAGUUUUUCCAGGUGAAAAAAUACUACUUAAUUAUUUAAAAAAAUUGUUUCUUUCCGAAAUGCAUAUAUUGCUCAUAGAAUAUUGUUAACAAUAUUAGUAGCAGUUGCUUCUGCAGAAAGAAGUUUUUUAAAAUUAAAAUUAAUAAAAACUUAUUUAAUAUUUACAAUGUUGCAAGAAAGGUCAGCUGAAUUAGCUAUAUUGUUUAUUAAGAAAAAUAUAUUAGUAAAAUUAGAAUAUAAAAAUUUGGUUAAUAAUUUCGAACCUCAAAAAAUUAAAAAAAUUAGCUUUAAAAAUUAUAAUUUUGCAAAAUUUUAAUAAAAAUAACUGAAUUUAUUUAUUAAAAAUAUAAUUUGCAAAUUUUUAUUAAAAUAAUUGAAUUUAUUUAUUAAAAAAUAAAUCCAAAAAUUUAAAUAAUUUAGGGGAUUUUUAUUAAAUUCAAAAAUUUUGCAAUUAUUUUUAUAAUUAUAUUUUUAUUAAUAUAAUUUUUAGUAAAAAAUAAAAACUUUAAUUUUGGGAUUUAUGUUUUAUUAAAUUUAGGGGUAUUUUAUGAUUAUAAUUUUUUAUUUUUUAAAAUUUUUUAAAAUAAAAUGAUCUUUUAAUUUUUUAGAGGUAAACUUGUUAUUUCGUUUAAAUUAUUUAACAGUGUUAAUACAAAAGUGGCUAAUUGAUACAAAUUUAAAAAGAAAUGUGGUGCAGAGAACAUGUUAAAAUUUUGUAGUGGUUGGAUGAACAUAAGACAAAAUAAAGUUGGUGCAAUGAUAAAUUUCUUUUUUAAAAAAAAAAAUACAAUCCAUAAUGCAAUUUUCUCCUAUAAAAAUUAUACUGCAUAAGUGAGGCUAAAAAAAUAAAAUAUUAGAUAAAUGAACUUUGUGAAUGCUACCAGUCAGGUUGCAUAAAUAAUGCAAAUGUUGAUCGGUCAACACCAUAAGCCUCCUCUCCUCUUGGCGCCUACCAGAAAACAAGAGAUUAAAUAUUGUAAUCGAAAUUGGAUCUAAAAUUUAGAACAUAAGAAAUUUAUAGCCUUAUCAUGAUUGUGUCUAUAGAAGUUAAAUCAUUGGAAAAACCUAGAUUAUUCCUACACACUCUGUAAUGAACUUAACUUUGUUGAAGCUAUCAUUUUGGAAAACAUGGUUGAACCUAUUUCAAUGUCAUGUUUCAGAAGUAAGAACUUGAGAAAGAGGAAUAAUUAAGCGAACAACAUAUUCAAAAAAUUUACUCUUUUCCCACUAAUUUAAUUCAGGGUCUUCUUAAUUUUCUAAUUAAAAUCUACAUGUCAAAUGCAAUUUACAUGAAUUACGCCUAAUUAUAUUUCUACAUUGCCAGGUGCGAACACCUAAAUCGUCCCCAUUUUGCCAUAAUCUAAAAAAGCUAAAGAUUGAAGCAUUACCUUAGGCUGUGAUAACUGUGCUGCCUUGUGAAUGGCUAUCACUGUUGUGUGAUGGCUGUUGGUGGUGGCGGCGACGAUGGCUGGGUAUGGGUGAUGGUGGCUGUGAGUUGUGGAUGGCGAAUGGCAAUUUCAGAUGUGAAUUGCGGUGGAUCGUGAAUGGCUGGACCUCGGUCAAUGAAGGAAAAGAGAAAAUAUUUGGCAAACAAAACGCUGCGUUUUGCCUGUGCGUUUUGAUUUUUCGAAGUUUGACCCAGGAUUUGACUCGAUGCAAAUAUCAUUUUCAAUUUAUUUAUUAUUAUUUUUAUUUUUCAUGAGACUUAUCAAAUUGUGAUUUAAUGGUUAAUAGUUGUUUCAUAUUGUGUCAAAAAAGAGAGGCUCCCCGAAUAAGCCUCGCACCAACUAGUCGAAGUUUGUAUGCGCAUGUGCUUAUGUAUUGCACACUGAAUCAUUGUGUCAAAAAGGAGAGGCUCUGACUCCCUAACAUGCCCUGUACCAACUAGUCUAAUUUUUCAUAAGCAUGUAGCUCAUGCGCUGCACCACAGUGUAAUGCAUCAAAAUCAAGAAAAAAAAGGUGAAAUAUGCUAUUUCUCUUUUAAGAGAAAUUCUAAAAUAUAUAAGAGGUAAUAUAAUUAAAUUUUUUAUAUAAGCACCAGUUAUAUGUUGGUUCUUCAAACUAAAUGUACUUAUACUAUAAAAUUAUUUAGUUAUUGUAUAAAUGACAUGGUACAUUAAAAGAAUUCUAAAAUUUCUCUUUCUGCCCCCCUUGUCAUUUUCAACUAUUAGUCAAUGAGAUGGCAUUUUACAUGCUGAUAUGUUGCCUAGCAGAAACUCUUAUGUUUCGAGAUUGAUGAUCCCAAGAAAAUGGCACAAAUAUCUCUUCUAAUGGUAUUUUACAGGUUGUUGACCAAAAGUUGCAUGUGUUUUGGAAGACCAAUGGUAUUUGCAUUUUGUUUGCAAAUUCUAGUAAAGUCCGGCUGUACAAGAAUUCUCUUUGGACAAAAGCUCGUUUAUUUCUAAUAUUUUUAGGUUAAUGUUCUUUUAAUCACUAUAUUUUAAAAAAUUCCUCAAAACAUCCCUAUUGUUAAAUUAUUGACACCAUUGUUAGGGUUACUUUUUGUUCUCAUAUAAUAAUGUUUAUUUUUUGGACAUUAAUAAAAAAAUUAGAUUAUCAAUUUAAUCCCAAAAAUUUAAUGUGGAAGACUCUACUAAGUUAAUAUAUUAAAAUUUUUACUGAUGUCCAAAAAAAUUGGUAAUUUAAUUUUUUUACAAUAUUAAUUUUUUGACAUACAUAAUCUUCUUAGAAAAUUAAUAUAUAUUAUUUGUUUAUUAUUUUUUUGCGGCUAAAUUAAUAAUUUAAAUUUUAUUUUUAAUUAAUGUCCAAAAAAAUUAUUGUAAGAGAGAUAAUAUUAUAAAAGCAAGCUAAAAAGAAAAAAAUAACGACAGAUAUGUCAAUUGUUUAACAACCAAGAAUUUUGAGUUAUUUUUAAAAAUAUAAGAACUCAAAAUAUAAGAAUUAAACGAGUUUUGACACAUUCUUUUUAGUGCUCUAUGACUCUUAUGGAAGUAUAACUUUGAUUAUUAAACACAUGCUUCUGCACGUUUCUGUUCACCGUAGGACUGCCAUGAACAAAUAUCGACAUCGUUGAUUAUUAUAAACACAUGCAUUUGGCACGUUAGAAUUCCCUCAUGAAAAAAUAUGACUACUUUUUGCGUUCUGGUUUGGUUCAUAGUUCCUAUUUUUGAUCCUUAAUUUUUAUGACUUCGACAAUUAAUUUCUGUAGUUGAAGUAAUAUUAAAUUGUACUAUAUAUGUACACACACACACUUGCUUAUUACUGCGGAGGACUUGGGAUGUUUUAUUUGUAUGGAUUAAUCUUAACAUAAUUCUGAAGUGGUUUUAGUUACUGCAAGAAAUUGAACGAAUUAAAUUAAAAAUUUAAAGAAAUAAAUAAUAGUUUUUAUUUUGCGACAUAUUAUAAUGAAAAAGAUCAUCUACUUGUGUUGGCUUUGUUUAGUUUUAAAAAGCUUAUGUCACUUAAAGUCAUCUAUAUUAUUAAUCAUUUAUACUUUCUAUUGUUUUUAUCUUUACAAUCAACCUCCGAAUGCACAUUACUGUAUUGUCAACAUGCUCCAAGAAAAUAAGGUUUAGACAACAUGACUAUAACAACGUGUUAGAGUGUUCAAUCUAUUCAAUUCAUUUGAUCUGUAAAAAUCCCCUCGAUAAAAAUCCAAUCCAUGAAUUGACAGAUUAGAUGGAUUGAAAAAUUUUAAAAUCCACAAUUGAUGAAAUGGAUUUGCUUCUCCAAAUCCCUGAAAAUCAGCAAAUCCGUGUGUGUAUAUAAUUUAAAGAAUUUAAAAUUUAAAAAUGUUAUACUACUAGUAAAUAGGUUAAAAUCUAGUUAGGGUGGACGUUGACAACAAUUAAUUAUAUAAGCUUUCAAAUUUCAACUUUUGUAUUGAUUUAAUUCUAAAACUUAAGUUGAUUUUCUUCCACUGAUCUAGAAACAUCAGGAUUUUUUAUUUUGGUGUGCUAAAGUUCGAAACUUUGAAUGGCAUCCUUAAAAAACGAAUGGUCUUUCAGUAGUUGUCGUCGUGUGUCAUCACCUCCAACCUAUCCUACACCGAAGCUGAAACCAACUACUCCAGUGUUUUCAUAGUUUUUUAUUUAAGAGAGAAUAGGGAGUAAAGCUGAAAUGGUAUAUGGCUUCCGGAUUAUAUUUGUUUCAAAACGUAUGUUGAUUGAUUUAAUAGAUGUUGGGGUGGCGGUAUAAAGACCCUAUUAACAUAGCAUACCUAAACCCGUAUUUAAACUAUUGAUUUAUUUAGAUCUUGUUUAAAUUUGAAUUUGAUUGGCAUGCAGUAAAAUUAUUUUUAUAAUUAAAAUUUUUAUUUAAUUAUUUUAUGAAUUGAAUAGAAAGAAAUUUUUUUUAAUCCGUAUUGAAUUCGCAAAAGUGGAAUGAAUAUGGAUUAUAUCAAAUCCACUUCUAAUCUGAAGAAUUAUGAAUUGAAUUUAGAUUAAUUUUACUAAUUCAUGGAUUGAAUGGGAUUAAAAAUUUAUAACGAUUUUACACUAGUUGUCAAUUAUUAGAAUUUUUUCACAACGCGCUUUUGUAGAAUGUUGUGAGAUUGAACAUCUAUUGAAGAGUUUUUAACAACAUUCUUUCGCUUGUUGUCAAAUAUUAAAAUUAUUUUACAACACACAUUCACCAACCGCUGUUAAAUGGAAGUUUUUUGAAAUUAUUACAAAUUAUCACAAUCUACAAUAUAUUAAAAUCCAUUAUCUCCAAUCAACUUUUUGUUGAUAAUCAUUUUAAAAUUUAUUAAUUUGUUUUCCGCAAAAGUACUUUAUAACUGUAACAGAUAGAAUUUCGAUGUUAGUGCUCAACAUUAAGAUAUUGUUUGCAACUUUGUAUGCCUUUUUUUUUUCCUUAAAUUUACUUUGUAUAUUCUUAUUUCUACAUAAAACAAGAUUUUAAUGUAAUAAAUAGAACUUUUAUUAGUAGAAUUGAAUUUAUGAAUUUCUUGUCAUUUCUGCGUGCAUUUAUUGUGUAGUUUAUUGAAAGACUCUUUAAAAAAUUUGUAUGCAGGAAAAAAAAAGAUAAAUAAAUAAAGAUUAUACAACAUUCAUCGGAAUGUAUGGAUGAUGUAUGUGUCUUCUGGUACAAUAUUGACCUCGUUCGCACAGUAUGAUGUACUCCUUUUUUUUUCCCCCCAAAUGAAUAAAAUAAUUUUGUACUAUUAAGACUUAAAAAUUAAACGCUUUCAAAACUCAAAUGAGUACGAAAAGUAAAUCACAUGAACUUCUCCUCUGCCUAUAUAUAUAUAUAACCUCGUACAUCACCACAAACCAUAGAUUAAUUUGAGAAUCUUUGCCAAGUAUAACUGUAAGCUAGCUUACUCUACAUCUAUAUAUCCAAUGUCUUCUUGCAUUAAUGCCUCAACCUUGGUUACCUCUGUAAAUGGUUUCAAAUGUCUUCCUCUUACAACAAAUAAAGCAGCCAUCAGAAUCAUGGCCAAAAAUAAGCCAGUCCAAUGCCUUGUCAGCGCCAAAUAUGAUAAUUUGACAGUUGAUAGGAGAUCAGCAAACUACCAACCUUCAAUUUGGGACCAUGAUUUUUUGCAGUCACUGAAUAGCAAGUAUACGGUAUUGAUUAUUAUUAUUAUUAUUAUUAUUACGCAUUAAUUUCCUUUGUUCAUUUCAAAUUGGGCCCAUGAAUAACUAAAAACUAAAUGCUGUGCGUGUACAGGAUGAAGCAUACAAAAGACGAGCAGAAGAGCUGAAGGGAAAAGUGAAGAUAGCGAUUAAGGAUGUAAUCGAGCCUCUGGAUCAGUUGGAGCUGAUUGAUAACUUGCAAAGACUUGGAUUGGCUCAUCGUUUUGAGACUGAGAUUAGGAACAUAUUGAAUAAUAUCUACAACAAUAAUAAAGAUUAUAAUUGGAGAAAAGAAAAUCUGUAUGCAACCUCCCUUGAAUUCAGACUACUUAGACAACAUGGCUAUCCUGUUUCUCAAGGUACAUUUCAUUAAUUCGCUUCCUUCUUCAUGCACAUGCAUGAUCUGAAUACUUGAAUCGAUCUCUCCGUUUUUUUUUUCUUUUUUUUUUAAAUGUAAAGAAAUGGACGAAACCCAAAUCAGUUUUUUUUCUCUAUCUGUCUAAUUAAUAGAUGGAUCAAAAAUUUUGACGAAUGUAACGUUUUUUGGUUGAGUGCUGCAGAGGUUUUCAAUGGUUUAAAAGACGGCCAGGGAGGCUUCAUUUGUGAUGAUUUCAAGGGAAUACUGAGCUUGCACGAAGCCUCGUAUUACAGCUUAGAAGGAGAAAGCAUCAUGGAGGAGGCCUGGCAAUUUACCAGUAAACAUCUUAAAGAAGUGGUGAUCAGCAAGAGCAAGGAAGAGCAUGUAUUUGUAGCAGAACAAGCGAAGCGUGCACUAGAGCUCCCUCUGCAUUGGAAAGUGCCAAUGUUAGAGGCAAGGUGGUUCAUACACGUUUAUGAGAAAAGAGAGGACAAGAACCACCUUUUACUUGAGCUCGCUAAGUUGGAGUUUAACACUUUGCAGGCAAUUUACCAGGAAGAACUUAAAGACAUUUCAGGGUAUCCAUUUGAUUGCAUAACUCAUAUAUAUAUAGACAGACACACACACACACACACACAUCAAAGAUUUGAUUUUAUAAUUUACAUAACUUGUACAAUUUAAUCACAUGUAUAUUAAAUUAUUCUUAGGUGCAAACUCCGCCUUUUACAGAAGUUUAAAGGCAUGAGCUGUACUUUAUAUAGUGCAGACAUUGCGCCAGAGUAUGACUCUAUAUAUCGGUGUAUUGUAAAGCCUUUAUACACUUUAUAAAGUGCUAUUGUCUGCAUUACAGAAAGACUCUUCAGAAUUCCAGAUUGAAAGCUGACUCUAUAUAUAUAGAUAUAUAUAACAUGUAUCGUAAUAUUCGUUUCAAUUUCCCUAUGAAGGUGGUGGAAGGAUACAGGUCUUGGAGAGAAAUUGAGCUUUGCGAGGGACAGCUUGGUAGCAUCCUUCUUAUGGAGCAUGGGGAUAGGGUCUGAGCCUCAAUUCGCCUAUUGCAGGAGAAUAGUCACAAUUGCAAUAGCUCUAAUUACAGUGAUUGAUGACAUUUAUGAUGUUUAUGGAACUUUGGACGAACUUGAGCUAUUCACUGCUGCUGUUGAGAGGUUUGUUGGCAAACUAAUGUUAUAUUUAAUCGAUUGAUUCAAUUGCAAGCUAGCUGCCUGCUACUUCUCAAAUUAGUAGACCAUUUAUAAUUUUUUUUUUUUCUCUUUUCUACAGGUGGGACAUCCAUUAUGCUUUGAACCACCUUCCGGACUACAUGAAAUUGUGUUUUUUUUGCGCUUUACAACUUUGUUAAUGAAUUUGCUUAUUACGUACUCAAACAACAGGAUUUUGAUAUGCUUCGGAGUAUUAAAAAUUCAGUAUGUAAAAUGUUAAUUUCACCUCUCCCGCCGUUCCGUUCCUUUGAUUUAUCCUUUUUAAAUUACUAUGCUUUUGUCUCAAAAGUAAUAAAUUGUAACUAGCUUUAUUUUCUAUGUCAUGUGCAUCAGUGGCUGGGCUUACUACAAGCCUGCUUAGUGGAGGCAAAAUGGUACCAUAGUAAGUACACGCCAACGCUGGGAGAAUUCUUGGAAAAUGGAUUGGUAUCAAUAGGAGGCCCUAUGGGUACAAUGACUGCAUACCUUUCUGGGACAAAUCCAAUCAUUGAGAAGGAACUAGAAUUUUUAGAAAGUAAUCAAGAUAUAAUUCACUGGUCGUGCAAGAUUUUUCGUCUUCAGGAUGAUUUGGGAACUUCGUCGGUAUGUUUUCUUUUAUUUUCUUUUGAUUUUUAAGAAGAUAGAAAUUGAAUUAAUCCUCUAUAUACGAAUUGAUUGUGUAUUUUUUUCCCCAAUAAUUCAUCAGGAUGAGAUACAGAGAGGGGAUGUUCCGAAAUCAAUCCAGUGUUACAUGCAUGAAACUGGUGCCUCGGAGGAAGUUGCUCGUGAACACAUCAAGGAUAUGAUGAGACAGAUGUGGAAGAAGGUGAAUGCAUACAGAGCUGAUAAAGAUUCUCCCUUAUCUCAAAAUACAGUUGACUUCAUGUUGAAUCUUGUGAGAAUGUCCCAUUUUAUGUAUCUACGUGGAGAUGGGCACGGUGCUCAAAACCAAGAGACUAUGGAUGUAGCUUCUAUAUGGCUUUUUCAGCCCAUUCCCUUGGAGGACAAACACAUGGCUUUCACAGCACCAAAGGCUGAUGAAUUCCCAGAGUACAGUUUCAGUUGAUGUUGGCCAGACUUUUCUCCCUAUUGGGGGAUCGCUUUUCUAUAAUAUAAUAAACUCCCUCAUUCAUCGAGGUCUAUAAAUGAAAAGCAAAUGAUAUAUAUGUUGCUUUUAUUGAGAAUAAAAGUCGUCAGUAUAUGCAUAUACUUAAGUCAGGCUCAUUCCAAUUCCUACAAGAUGAGGAUGGAUGCAGUUAUACUCGAUUAUUCAAGCAUGGUUCAUAGCAUGUUAAGCACAAGGGCUACUUUCAGUAUACAUGCAUCACCCAUUUAAAUCGCAUUUGACAAAUCGUACCCAUUUAAAUUAAAUGAGGAUAGAAAUUAGAGCUGUGGCAUUUAAAGAAAAAAGUUACAAGGAUCAAAAAGUAAAUAUAACAAAAAAAUGAGUUCCUAAUUAUUGGGUUAGCUUAAAGAAGGAGCGCCUAAUUAUUGGAUUAGUCCAUUUUAAUUAUCUUCUAUUAUCAUAGUCAUUCCUAGAAACAAAUAUCCAACAAUGUCGUUUGUGUUUAUAAAAUAUGAGCGUAGAGACUUGGGUUCAAUCUUUCUAGUCUUCUCCAAACUUCGCCUCUAGCUACACAUAAGUUAGGACUUAAAUCAAAAUUCAAAUAUUAAAUUCUGUAUUUUUAUUUUUAUUUCAUUAUUUAUUUUAUGCCAAUAAGAAAAAUACAAAUAAUUUCCUUUCAUGAGCCUGACUGUUGACUCUGUGGUACUGGAAAUUUACAAAGCGAUGAAGUUGAUUGUGACUGCUGCCAGUUAACCCAAGUCAAAAAGCCACAUGUAGCACCGACUCAAAACUAUUCUAACUAGAAAUAAUUAAAGGCCACCAGCCGGAGGAGGUAUGAAAGUGGUCAUAGACAAAUGAACUUUUACUUCGGGAUUGCAACGCGAAAGACUUAUCACAGCUACGCUGUUUUGCAGGAACUCUGCUCCUCCGUAAUUUUUCAUCUUGGUAAAGUGAGAGCGACACUCAGAAGUACUCUCUGUUCACAACAUUUUAGAUCGAUUCUUCAAUGACCAUUUUUAUGCUUUUUUUAAUUAAAAAUACCCAAAGUUGGUGGGGUUAGGCAGGACCCCUUACCUGUAAAUUAUUGAAUAUAAAUAAAAUUACACAUGGAGGAGGACACAGAUCAAAAUCUACAGGAGGGCGGCUAAACAAAAGCUUACUAACAAGGGAAAGUUUGAAUGGUUAUGCCAUGGACUAGAUUUCUGCAGCUGAAAAGUGGAUAACAGGUUUACCAUGAAAUAUUAAAACCAGCUUUUCCCAAAUUGAAGAUUCCAGGGGGCCAGCAAUAGCAUCAACAAAAGACUUAGCAUUGGGGUUGAGGAUAACUGCAGGAUUAGUAAUAGAUGCAUAAGUAUAAUGGAGCGAAGAUGGAUGGCGUGAUGUAUGGUGUUAGUGAAACUGAUUAAAUGAGAAGAAGCAGAGCAGUCGUAUUCAUGCUGUUAUUAUAUGCUUGACAGUAGCUAAUCAGCUCACUUAAGUUGACGUGGAUUAGUUAGUUAUUUGUGUUAGCUCCCGCGUGUCUAUAACAACUUGUAACAAGCACAGAUAUGCUUGAAUAUAUAAUUGUGUGUAAGCUGCACUGAGUAGAUUAAUUAGAAUAUUCUAUAAGUUUCCAUAAUGAAAAUCUCUUUCACUUUCUUUUAUUUUCUUUAGCUUUCUCGACUGCCAAACACUAUUACUUUAGUUUUCUAUCAUGGUAUCAGAGCCAACAAUGGCAAAUAUUACACAAUCCAAUGCUUCCUUUAGCUUCAUUACACCAGUUAAGCUGGAUCAAAACAAUUUCAUUUUGUGGAGGACUCAAGUCUUGACAUCAAUCAAAGGGAAUAGUCUCGAAAGGUUCGUUAAUGGUGAUCGAAAAUGUCCAGAGCAGUUUCUUUCACUCUUCAACACUGAAGAAGCUUCAGGAUCAGACGUUAGUGAGUCUAGAUCUGUAAAUCCAGAGUUCGUUGCUUGGAUGAAAACAGAUCAACUCCUCUUGAGUUGGAUGAUGUCCUCUAUCCAGCAAAGUCUACUGUCUACGGUAAUUGAUUGUACAACUUCAAAACAACUGUGGGAAUCACUUAGCAGUAUGUUCAUUUCUCAAUCACAAGCUAGAAUUCAAACUCUUAGAAUGCAAAUUCAAACUGUUAAGAAAGGACCUAUGAGUAUGGCUGGUUACUUUGCUAAAAUAAAAUGUAUAGCAGAUACCUUAGCCUUAGCAAGGAAACUAGUUAAGCUUAAUGAUUUUGUUAUGCAUGUGCUGAAUGGUCUUGACUCCUCAGAUUGUGAAUCUUUGAUAACUACUGUUCUAGCAAGGGAAGGAACUAUUACUCUAGAUGAUUUGUAUUCACUGCUUCUAAAUCAUGAAAAUAGAAUUGAACAAAAGAAAUGAAAAAUUGCUAGUGAAGUCAUGCAUCAUAUGUCUGCAAAUGUUGCUCAAAAAGGUCAAUAUUCUGGCAAAAAUAAUAAUGGUUAUCAGAAAAACACUGGAGGUAGUUUUGGAAAUGAUAACAGUGGCUUUCAGAACAACAAUACUCCUCAGUUUCCUGGUGCUAGAAACUCUUCAGAUAUUAUCUGUCAAAUUUGCUUCAUUCCUGGACAUGGAGCAAACAAAUGCAGAAACAAGUUUAAUCCUUCAUUUGUUCCUCAGAAGAAUUUUGGCAAAGGAAAUUUCAGAGGUCAAUAUGGCAGAGGCAGGUCAUUCAAUGAUUUUGGUAGAGGUUUAAUGUUUCUUAGACAAAAUUUUAUGAAUCCUUAUGUGCCAAGAGGAGCAGCAUUUCAAGCCAAUAUGGCUUACUCAGAUCUUGCUUUCAUAACAGGCUACACACCUUUUAAUCCCUAUAACACUUUUACUCUUGGUUUCACUUAUGGUGUUUCUCCAUAUUUUCCUGGAAAUGUCACUAAUGGAAUGUCUAGUACUUCAGCACUACCAGCUCAAGCUCAAGCUACUUGUGUUGCAAAUCCUGAGAUCAUUGAAGAUCCUUCCUGGUAUAUUGACAGUGGAGCAACCAAUCAUAUCACAAAUGAUUUAGGGUCCAACAUAAGCUUUCAUUGGAUACAGCUCAAAUCAUAAGGGUUACCAGUGUCUUUACUCAUCUGGAAGAGUCUACAUUUCUAAUCAUGUGGUCUUUGAUGAGAAGUUUUUUCCUUAUGUCUCUGGUAUUGAUUCCUCUUCAGUCCUAGUGUCUUCUCAAACAGCCUCUGAGUGUCCUUCUUCUGUUAUUCAAAUUUCAGAUCCUUUAGCAACAACUUCAGCAUUUGAUUCUGCAGCUCCAGUAUCAACUACUUCUCAACCUCAGGUAUCAUCUCCAUCUUUUUCUCUGCCCUCAACUUCAAAUAUUUUACCUCAUCCAAAUGCUACACCUCUUUCUCAACAGCAUUCUUCAUCUUCCUUGAAUGAUAAUCCACCACAUAUUCUCCCUGCACCACCUCAUAUUGGUCAUCCUAUGCUAACUAGAUCUAAGCAUGGUAUCUUCAAACCAAAGUCUUAUCUGAACCUUAUUCUGUCACUCAAGCUUUAUCUGAUCCAUUAUGGUUCAAAGCUAUACAAGAAGAGUUCCAAGCUUUGCAAGCUAAUCAUACAUGGGAACUGGUGUUGCCUAUUGCUCCUGUUAAGGUUGUUGGAAAUAAAUGGGUCUUUAGGAUAAAAUAUAAUCCUAAUGGCUCUAUAUUAAAGUACAAAGCAAGGCUGGUGGCUAAAGGUUUUCAUCAGAUUUAUGGUGUUGAUUAUACUGAAACCUUUAGCCCAGUGGUAAAAGCUUCUAUUGUCUGGGUUGUUUUAAGUAUUGCAAUCAUGAAUAAUUGGAUGCUUCGACAAGUAGAUGUGAACAAUGUGUUUUUAAAUGGCAUUCUUGAUGAAGAAGUUUAUAUGGCACAGCCUGAAGGGUUUAUCAAUUCUCAUAAACCAUAGCAUAUUUGCAAGUUAAAGAAAGUACUAUAUGGCUUGAAGCUGGCUCCAAGAGCUUGGUUUGCUAGAUUCAAAACAACCAUGCUUUCUCAGUGGCAAUUUCAGAAUUCUAAGUCAGACAAUUCACUUUUCUACAAGAGAGAAAAUGGUCACUUGCUUUUGGUGUUGGUAUAUGUCGAUGACAUUAUCAUCACAAGUUCUAGCUCAGAUAAAGUUCAGCAAGUUAUUCAAGAUAUGCAGAAGACAUUUGCCUUGAAAGAUCUUGGAGAACUCAGUUAUUUCUUAGGUAUUGAAGUUUCAAACUUGCAGAAUGGACUUCAUUUAUCUCAAGCAAAAUUUAUUGCUGAUGUUUUAGCAAAGCAUGACUUGGUCCAUUGCAGUCCAGUUCCUACACCAAUGUCUACAGGUCAGUAUCUCACUAAAGCCUCAGGGACUGAUAUUCCAAAUGUUUCUCAGUAUAGAAGUCUUAUUAGGGCACUACAAUAUGUCACACUUACUAGACCAGAGAUAGCUUUCACUGUAAACAAACUUAGUCAGUUUUUAUCUAAUCCUAAAACUUCUCACUAGGAUGCUUGCAAAAGACUAUUACGGUAUCUCAAAGGCAUAAUUCAUUUUGGACUCCAAUUUUAUAACUGUAGAGCUAUACAAAUAAACUGUUUUUCAGGCUCAGAUUGGGCUUGUGAUCGAGAUGAUCGGAAAUCAGUGGCUGGUUUUGCUGUGUAUCUUGGUUCCAAUUUGGUUUCAUGGUCUUCCAAGAAACAAUAUACUGUCUCACGGUCUAGUACAGAAGCUGAAUAUAGAGCUCUAGCUCAUGCUACCUCAGAGGUUAUUUGGAUUCAAUCUCUGCUUGCUGAACUUUAAAUCAAGCUGAGCACAACCCCAAUUAUGUGGUGUGACAACCAAGGUGCAAUUGCUUUAGCCUACAAUCCAGUGUAUCAUGCAAAAACAAAGCAUGUAGAGUUGGAUAUUCAUUUUAUCAGAGACAGAGGUGCUUCAAAAGAAAUCACAGUGUGUUAUGUGCCAAGUGAAGAUCAAACAGCAGAUGUAUUGACCAAGGCUCUUACUUUUACUCAAUUUCAUCACUUGCGAAGUAAGUUAAAUGUUCAUCCUAGAUGCUCCAGUUUCAGAGGGGAUGUCAGUGAAAUUGAUGAAAUAAGACAAGAAGAGGAAGAUCAGAGUUGGCAUGGCUGGUCAAAUGAGAAAGAUCAGAGUAGACAUGACAAGAAGAGAAAUCCAGUUCAAGAGGGGAUGUUAGUGAAACUGAUUAAAUGAGAAGAAGCAGAGCAGUCAUAUUCAUGUUGUUAUUAUGUGCUUGACAGUAGUUAAUCAGCUCACUUAAGCUGACGUGGAUUAGUUAGUUAUUUGUGUUAGCUCUCACGUGUCUAUAACAACUUGGCUAACGAAUUGUAAUAAGCACAACUAUGCUUGAAUAUAUAAGUGUGUGUAAGCUGCACUGAGUAGAUUAAUUAAAAUAUUCUAUAAGUUUCCAUAAUGAAAAUCUCUUUCACUUUCUUUUAUUUUCUUUAGCUUUCUCGACUGCCAAACACUAUUACUUUAGUUUUCUAUCAUAUGGGAUACUUUUGGCCAUUUGUGCUUCAAAUAAUCUAUGUGCCAAAGCUCAGAACUAUUUUAACCAGAUGAAAGUUGAAGGCCAUUCGCCUAACGUAUAUCACUACAGCUCUUUGCUUAAUGCUUACUCCUCUGGUGGAGACUACAAGAAGGCUGAUGAAUUAAUUCAGGAUAUGAAAUCUUCAGGGUUAGUACCAAAUAAGGUUUGUUUCAUGUUUAUAUGGCCAUCCUAGUUUCAGGAGUUACUGGUGCAUUACUUAACAGUUGAGUUUUGCUCAUCUUGAAAUAGGAAAAAUGAAAAUUGAUGUAUACAUGUGAAUUUGGUAGAAUAGAGAAUUUGUACCGAAUUUCAAAUGACAAAAGAUCCGUGUUCUUCAAAAUUUAAGUUAUGAUACAUAGUUAUCACGGUGAAUUGAGCCCUACCCAACCUCAUUCUGUCUAUGCUUUCAAAAGCAAGUGUAAUUGUUUUGGUGCAGCAAAAAUGUAAUAGUAUUAUGGUACUUGGAUGCUAUCCUAAUUAGAGGAUGCUAUUUUAAAGUUAAGGACCAUGGGGUUUAUUCCCAAAGAUUAGUUGGUUUGUUUGGCCUUUUUCAGUGGAAGCAAGAAGUUAAGGGAUCAAGUCUAAAGGGAUACUUUAUAUUUGAUGACAAUGCUAUAUUUGCUGCAGGAUUUGAGCAAAAAUAAAAACAGUAUGAUUUGAUUAUGCUGUCAAUAAAAUCCUGCAAGAUUGUAGGAAACAUUUGUUUUUGAAUUUUAUGAUAUCAGAUAUAUGUUAAAGAUAUAUAGGCAGAUUUUUUGGCUUUGUUUUUUUCUUUUCUUGUAUAAAUUCAAAUAUUGCAUCAAUGAAUGUAAUGCAAUCAACAGCCCCAAUUUCUCUGUGUUCUCUUUUCUUUGUUUAAAACAAACAAAGUGGUAUCAGAGCCCUUAUUCUUAAGGGACCUGUAACGUGAUUAGAGAGGCUUCCUACACUUCAAUAUGGCAGGAAAUGGUUUCUUAUCUGCUCCUGCAGUUUUCACAGGUGAAAAUUAUCAAAUAUGGGCUGUGAAAAUGGAAUCUCACCUGGAAGCAUGUGACCUAUGGGACUUGGUGGAAGCAGAUCCGGAGGAUCCACCAUUAGCUCGUAUGAGGAAUAACAGGGAUGAAAGAAAAAGGAGAUAUAAGGCCAAGACAUGCAUUCACUCUGCAGUUUCAGAGACAAAUUUUACAAAGAUCAUGACCUGUGAAACAGCGAAACAUGCAUGGGAUCUUUGGAAGCAAGAAUAUCAGGGGAAUGUCAGGAUAAAAAAAAUGCAGGUCUUGAACCUAAGAAAGGAAUUUGAAAUGUAGAAAAUGAAGGAGACAAACAGUUAAUGACUAUAAAGACAAGUUGAUGAUGAUUGCUAAUAAAAUUAGAAUGCUUGGGGAAGAGUUUUCUGAUAGAAGGAUUGUAGAGAAGAUUUUGGUGACCUUGCCUGAGAGAUUUGAAUCUAAAAUCUCUUCACUUGAAGAGUCUAGAGAUAUGUCAACAAUAACAUUGGUAGAGCUUGUCAAUGCACUACAAGCUCAAGAACAAAGGAGAGCUUACAAAAAUGAGGAGAUGAUUGAAGGAGCAUUUCAAGUGAAAAAGGCUGAUCAAGCCUAGGGAGGCAGCAAAGAAAAGAAACAAUGGAGUAAGAAGAAUUACAAGAAGGGGGAAAGUAGCAUCAAUGAAGGCAACAAGGGCAAGGGCAAGCACUCCCCGUGUCCUCACUGUAAGAAAACCUCUCAUCCACAAAAGAAAUGUUGGUUUAGGCUUGACAUUCAAUGCAGGGCAUGCAAGCAAAUGGGGCAUAUGGAGAGGGUGUGUAAAAAUAAACAACAAGAAAGACACCAAGCUCAAGCAGUAGAACAACAACAAGAUGAGCAACUUUUUGUUGUAUCUUGUUUUUUGAGUAACAGUUCGAGUGAUGAUUGGCUCAUAGACAGCGGAUGCACAAAUCACAUGUCUUUCGAUGAAUCUCUUUUCAAAGAAGUAAACAAGUCAGAAGUGUCAAGAGUUAAAGUUGGCAAUGAGCAGUAUAUUGAAGUGAAAGGUAAAGGGACAGUUGCAAUAAAAAGCUCAGCAUGUAUCAAGUUAAUUUCUGAUGUAUUACUUGUUCAUAAAAUUGAUCGAAAUCUGCUGAGUGUGGGACAAUUGCUUGAGAAAGGUUAUUCUGUUGUUUUUAAGAAUAACAUGUGUGUCAUUACUGACCCAAAUGGUGUAGUGUUGUUCUGUGAAAAUGAACAGCAAAAGCUUCAGCUUAAGUUGGAACAAGGAUGAAUGUAGUGCAUAUCAAUGUACUUUGAACCAGGCUAAGUUAUGGCACAAGAGGAUGGGGCAUUUUCAUUAUUCUGCAUUAGAUUACAUGCAGAAAAAUGAUCUUGUGCAAGGAAUGACUUUCAAUGGAGGAGGAGCAUCAGUGUGUGGAGUCUGUCAGCUGGGACAACAAGCUAGAUUGUCAUUCCCUAUUAAUAAGGCAUGGAGAGCAGUUGAGAAGCUUCAGUUGAUCCACACAGAUGUUUGUGGACUUAUGAGGACUGCAUCCUUAAAUGGUAACAGGUACUUUAUGGUUCUUAUUGAUGAUUUUAGCAGAAUGUGUUGGGUUUACUUUCUCAAACAAAAGUCUGAAGUUGCUAGUGUGUUUUCGAAGUUUAAAACAUGGAUUGAAAAUCAAAGUGGCUGUAAAAUCAAGGUGAUUAGGUCUGAUAAUGGGACUGAAUAUACAACUGAUAAAUUUGCUAAGUUUUGUGAAGCUGCAGGGAUUGAACAUCAGCUUACAACAACCUAUACACCUCAACAAAAUGGAGUCAGUGAGAGGAAAAAACAGGACAAUCAUGGAGAUGGCUAGAUGUCUGUUGUUUGAGAAGGAAAUGCCAAAACCGUUUUGGGCGCUGAGGCUGUUAAUACUGCUGUAUUUCUGCAAAACAGGUUACCAACAAAGGCUUUAAAGGGAAAAACACCUUUUGAAGCCUGGUUUGGUUUUAAACCCCCUAUUCAUAACUUGAGAAUUUUUUGUUGCUUAUGUUUUACUCAUGUUCCAGAUGCAAAAAGAGAGAAGUUGGAUCAAAAGGCAGAAUAUGGAGUUUUUGUAGGAUACAACACUCUCACCAAAGGUUGUAGAGUUUAUCAACCUUUGACGGGAAGAAUCAUAGUGAGUGGAGAUGUUAAAUUUGAUGAAGCCGGAGGAUGGAAUUGGACAACAGCUGAACCAAAACAAGUUUAUGCAGAAGAAAAAGCACCAGAAUUGCAAGAUGAUGAUAUAAUUAAUGAUGAGCCAAUAAGAGGUACCAGACCACUUACAAAAAUUUAUCAAAAGUGCAAUAUGGUUGUGCUUGAACCUGCAGGGUAUGAUGAGGCUGCUAAAGAUCCAAAGUGGCUUGAAGCAAUGGAAGAUGAGAUCAAGAUGAUUCACAAGAAUCAAACUUGGGAGUUGGUGGACAGACCACUACACAAGAAGACUAUUGGUGUGAAAUGGGUUUAUAGAACCAAACUCAAUGUUGAUGGUUCUGUAAACAAAUUCAAAGCAAGGCUGGUUGUAAAAGGGAAUGCUCAACUAUUUGGUGUUGACUUUUUUGAAACUUUUGCACCUGUAGCACAGCUGGACACCAUCAGAUUGCUUCUAGCACUUGCAGCACAAAAGCAGUGGAAAAUCUACCAGUUUGAUUUCAAAGUCAAGAUUUGAGUUGUUGAAGAAAAGAAUUGGUGUCUGCAGCAAAAAUAGCAAGGAGGAGUGAUGACAAUGCUAUAUUUGCUGCAGGAUUUGAGCAAAAAUAAAAACAGCAAGAUUUGAUUAUGCUGUCAAUAAAAUCCUGCAAGAUUGUAGGAAAAAUUUGUUUUUGAAUUUUAUGAUAUCAGAUAUAUGUUAAAGAUAUGUAGGCAGAUUUUUUGGCUUUGUUUGUUUGUUUCUUGUAUAAAUUCAAAUACUGCAGCAAUGAAUGUAAUGCAAUUAACAGCCCCAAUUUCUCUGUGUUCUCUUUUCUUUGUUUAAAACCAACAAUAUUUGGGUUGAAACGAAACUAUAAAAGAAUAAAAAAGCACCAUGGGGGUUUGGAUUUCAUGCUAUAAGAGAUUAUUGUAAAGGAAUGAAUUGGUGCUUUUCAAUAUAUGCCAAAUCUAUUUUCAUGGGUAUCUAGGUCAAAAUAGCGCAUAAAGUAGUGAGUUUCUUGUUAUCUCUUUUCUUUUUGUUCUGUGCAUUUUCAAUAAUUUGCUUUGUUUCUAUUUGCUGUAAACACGUGUUGGCAAUUGUGUGCUUUUCUUAUGUUUUCUUUUUUAGGGUAAAUCAUUCUUUUUGCAAGUAAUACUGACAACAUUGCUGAAGGUAGUCGUCAGAGGAGGUUUGUUUGAAAAAUCAAGGCUGAACUGGACACUUUAGGCUAUGCUGAAAAUGAGGUACAUUGAUGAAUUUUUACCUUUCAUAUGUAUGUUCAAAUAUCAAUCUUGUUGAAGAUAUGAUAUUUAGUUUUAAUAUUUUGUUUCGGAGUAGAAUAUGUUAUUUAUUACCUUCAGGAUCAUAGCAGAUCCUGAUAAGGAAGUUGGGAAUUCAGACAGAAAUGAGCAUAACAAAUUGGGCUGAAGUUCAACAUGUUCAAAAUUUUUUGUUUCUUUGCUAAACUUUAUUUUUUUAAUUCAUAGGUUGGUAUUACGAUUUAUAAUAACGCAUGAUUCGGCUAGGUCUGCUUAUUCUUCUUUUAAUUUAUUUUUAUUUAAAUUCUAAAUUUUAAUUUUUUAAUAGAAAACUGAAAUGAUUUAAGGUGAAAACGAAAUACGAAACUGAACCAGACUGGUGGGUAAUUUAUUAUAACAGUCAUAAAUUUCCUUAAGAACACUGCUCCUUUUUGAGGUUUUCGGGUGAAAAACAGACUUCCAAACAUCCACAUUGUUGAUUCAUUGUUGUGUGGUGCAAAUUGCAACUUGAUUUGUUUAUAAUGAUUUUGCUUGCCCCAAUGUUGGCACAAGUUCUUCUUUAUGUAACGUAUGGCUUUGUUCACAUGUGUCUAUAUUCUCAUCUACAAUUUUUUUUUUUGAAAGAAUUCUUUGGAAUAACUCUUCUGCAGCUUAAGGUACACAUGCCAUUUUGCAGAUGCUCUAUUGUUUACUUAUGGAUGGUCUUUCUAAGGCUGGUCGUUUAGAUGAAGCAAGAGUAGUUUUUAACGAAAUGCAGGAAAAAUGCGUUAAAUCUGGUAUGUUUCCCAUUUGAUAAGGGACCUUCUAGCAAGCUGUUAGUUUCAAAUAUUUAUUAUUAUUAUUUUUUCUCUUUACCUUAGAAACAAGAACAUUCUCAAAAAUUAAAUCAUUCAUUUGACCAUUGUUGACAAAUGCAGUGUUGUACAUGUCAAUUCAAUGCCAUGCCAAAAGAAUGGGGAUUACUUUGGAAAUUAAGUUAAAUUUCUUUUUCCUUAAUCUAAAAGAAAAAUAAACUAUCUGAUUAUAGUUAUAAAGCUUUAUUUUCACCUUAAACUCACAUCCGUUUUAGUUCUGCCUUUAAUUAUUUCUAAUGCCCCCGAGAAAAUCUAACUUCUAUGUUUGUUGGACAUGCUAUGAACUCCCUAGUUGCAUUUUCCUAGAUUUGAAGGCUAGGGAGAAACAUUGUUAUUCCUAUAUGAGAGGUGAGUAGCCUGUAUAAUUUGAUUAGUUCACGUCUGUUUUACUUGAAUCAAGAAUAGAGCGGCCUAAUCUGAUCUCUGUCUUUGUUGGCAUUAUUUAUGCGUUGAAGAAUGCUGUAUUGAGGUAUAUUCAUUGUAUUUCGCUAAAUAAAUUUUGUUAAACUUGACUUGGAAGUCUGAAAAAUACUUGCGAUGUUUUCUUACCUAAUAGCUUAAGCAUAUGGAUCAAGGGAUUUUACUAACUUGUGUUGCUCUAUCUCAAUUGAUUUUGAAAAAGAUAUCUCUUUCAAAUCAAGGUCCUUACCUUACCGCUUAAGCUUUUAGGUUAAGCACAAGUUUUGUUUCCCUCACGGAGAUGGCUAUGCCCAUAGUAUCAUGAUUUCAGCAUUCUGCCGAGGUGGGUGUUUUGAAGAGGCAAAGCAGCUGGCUGGGGAUUUUGAAGCCAAGUAUGACAAAUAUGAUGUUGUUCUGUUAAUGGUGGACAUGCAUAGGAAAGGCCACCAACCUGAGGAGGUACGUCACAUAAAUUUAUUACUUCUUGUCAAGGAUUUACUCUAGUCCCUUGCAAUUCUAGAGGCCUUCGUUACUACUGUGAUUUUAGAUAAUGAAAGUGGUCAUAGACAAAUGAACUUUCACUUCGGGACUGCAACGCGAAAGACUUAUCACAUAUAUGCUGUUUUGCAGGAACUCUGCUCCUCCCUAAUUUUUCAUCUUGGUAAAAUGAGAGCACACUCAGAAGCUCUCUCUGUUUACAACAUGUUAAGAUAUAGCAAAAGAUCGAUUUGCAAGGCCCUUCAUGAGAAAAUUCUUCAUAUUUUAAUAUCCGGAAAGCUUCUCAAAGGUGCUUAUGUAGUGGUUAAGGUCUGCUAUAUUGUCUUACCAUUUUAGAUUGAUUUUUCAACUGUCCUUUAUAUGCUUAUCAAUCUAAAUAUUGAUUUUUCAACUGUCCUUUAUAUGCUUAUCAAUCUAAACUACUCUCUUUUCAGGACAAUUCGGACUCAAUUUCUCAUCCUGAUAUUAAGAAGUUUGCAUCUGCAUUUGUGAGGUUAGGAAAUAUUAACUUGGUUAAUGAUGUAAUGAAGGCAAUCCAUGCAACUGGCUACAGGAUUGAUCAAGUAAGCAAUCAAGGAUUUGUAAAACAAACACAAGCUCGCAUGCGCACGCGCGCACACACACAAGAGUGGAAGUAAUAAUUUAGAAAUGCCCUGUAAUUCCUUUUCUUCUAUUAUCUCAGGGAAUAUUUCAUAUAGCAAUAGCACGAUAUAUAGCAGAACGUGAGAAGAAGGAAUUGCUGCUCAAGUUGCUAGAAUGGAUGACGGGUCAAGGUUAUGUUGUUGAUUCAUCAACAAGAAACCUGAUACUCAAAAACUCACACUUAUUCGGACGGCAACUCAUUGCUGAUAUACUGUCCAAGCAACAUAUGAAGUCAAAAUCGUCAAGAACUCUGAAAGAAUGAGCAAUUUGAUAUUAAUUAAUGCUCGAGUUCUAGAUAAAGAAAUGAAUAUGGCUUACCGUUUACCCUAUCAUGCUAUAAGCUAGCAUGUCUCAGUUAUGUGUUAAAAGUUAAAACUCUAAUAUUUUACUACAUAGAGCAGUUAAUCAAAAAAUAAAAGAAAAAAGAAGGGGGGAGGGGGGGAGUAGUUGUUGGGAAAGAAAGAAAUCAGACAGAGAUUAAAAAGAUAUAGCAUUGAAGGUGAUGAAAUCCUACUAUACUUGGAAAUUAUGAAUUUACUCUUCAUCUUCAAGCUCCUAAGGCCUGCAACGUAGGUCUUUAACUUGCAAAAGACAGUUUAUUGCUACGCGCAAGUUAGCAUUUGGUUCAUGAGAAAAUUUGUCAAUAAAGUGCAAUGAAGCUGUAACAGAGUUGUAGCAAGAAUGUUUCUCUAGAGACCUACCUAUCACUACAAGAAAAAUGACCUAUAAUGACAGUUACUCAUGUGACAGUUUUUGGCUAAAAGGCUUUAUAUCUUAUAAGUACGACAUACAUGUGACAUAAAUUUUUUCUAUAAAAAAUUUAUGAUAAAUAUAUGAUAGAAUUUACUGUUGUCAAAUACUUAUGACCAACUAAUGAUUUAUAUUUUCUCUAUCAAGAAAUUAUGAUAGAAUUUUAUUUUUACUUUAGAUUUGACCGAAAUUUAAAAAAUUCUAAGUAAUAAAAAAAUAUAACAAAGAAAGAAGUGAAACAACGUUGUUUCAUACCUUUAUUAGUAUUUCAACCUCUUUUUUACCCCAAGUGUUAAGGCCACACUCAUUACUCUAAAACUUCUCUCUCGAAUGUAGCUCGCUUCUCACUGACAAUGACAACCCUUACUGUCGUUGGCUCGCCGCUGACCCGCCACAGUCUUUCUUUGCCCCAGUGGAAUCAAAUUCAGUCCUAAAUCGAAACCAAAACUUUACCUGUCGACAACAGCCGAAACCCUAACCAUCAAGAAUCCCUGAAAGCCACACUCAUUCGCAAGCAAGCUUUACCUAUUUCUCAGCGAUUUCUAGCAAGUGAUAGUGAGCUUCGCCGUUAUCUCAACUAUCUUCGACGCGAGCUUCAAAGUUCUCAUCUCUUUUAAACCCUAAGUAUGAUUUUUUUUUGUGGGUUUCAAUUUUUAGUUUUUUUUGCAUUAUUGUUUUGUGAUUAUAAAUUUAUAUAUAGUAUAGGAUGUUGUUCCGACUCUUGCAUUAAUGAUAUAUUUUUUACAUAUGGGUUUUGCAUUCCAUGUGUUUGUUGAAGGUUCUAUUACAUUUCUGGGUAAUCUUGUGUUUAAGUAUUACAAAAAUUCAUUAUAGAAUUUUCUCAUUUAUUAAAUUUUAGAAACAUUUCUUGAGCUGCUUUAUUAAUCGGCUAAAUUGAUUUAGACGGGGAUGAGUAGAACAGUGAGGCCGGAACUGAUAGCUUUAUACAAAUGAACUUCUCCAUUUUAGGAUUCAAGAAAUUUAUAAAUCUAGUUAAUAAUGUUCGUUUGGGCUUUUAAUGAUAGGAUUACAUUUUAUUCUACAAUUCAGCCUUCUUUUGGAUUGAAAAGUCUUGUACAACUUGUGACAAUUGAUUAAGUUGCUACUCAAGUAAUGCCCUGUGUUUGCAUUUUGGCUCAUAAUGCUUGAUCCUUCAAUGGGAAUUAAAAGAAUAUUGAAAAAUUGCUGCAAAAUCUAAUUAAUAUUAUCUGCAAAAGUUUCUUGAAUAAUUUGCGGAGUGAAUCUCUUAAUCGUCAUUAGUAAUUUAGUUAACUGCAGACUUUGAAGUUUCCAAUUAUUUAUUCAUUGAAUAUAAUUUUUUCACUAGUGCAACAUCAGGUGGAAUUCUUAAUAAAGCUAUUGAAGCAGAGGAAAAGACGCAUGGAGACUUCUUAAGGCUGGUGAUGUUUCUUUCUUUUUCCUUUGAUGCUCUUGUUGGUGUUUAUUCACAAUCCUGUUAGUCUUAAAAUAUAUUUCAAAAAUUCUGAUAAAUCUUCCUCAUUUGUUUGUUGGGACUAUACAUACCAUAACAUAUAAACGGAUACUUGGAAUUGUCAGCCAAGACAAAAACUUAUUUUUGCUACAGAUUUUUCCAAGGGGGGUGCAGAAUUUUGUAGGUGAGGGGGCUCGAGAGAAGUGAGGGAAUCCCUAUCCCGUGGCAUCAAAGUUGAUGAUGAUGUUCAUGUAAAUUUGGGUAAGGAAACUUUGUUAUGUUUAUUUUUAUUCUGAAAUGUGAUAUCAAGCUUUUCAAGUUAGGAAUUGCUUAUAUUAGUUGUUCUUUGAUUCUUGUUUUUCUUUUUAGUCUCUUUUUUGGGUAUGCAAACAUUGAUUGAUAAGUUUGCUGAGGCUGAGCAUGCAAUGCAUUAAUCUUAAAGAGUUAUAAUUCUAGCAUUCACUCAAAUUCUUGGUAUAUUCUAAUUCAAAACAGUAUUAAACAUUAAUUAAGGCAUGAGAUGAUUACCAGUAGGAAGGCAUGCUAAAGAGAACAAAACUUAAAGAAUCAUGAACUUAAGUACAUAUAAAUUUGAUUUGGCCUAAGAAUUACAUAGCUAUUGAUUUUAAUUUUAUUUAUAUAUCAUUACUUAUUGACAGGAAACUGCAUAACGCAAAGAUUACUGUGGAUGCUUUGUCUAUGUGGUAGGUGUUAUACACAACUAAUAGUACUAUAUAAUUUAUAUUUUUAUUUAUUUUGUUGCAUAAAUUUCUUCAAUCCUUUUUAAUGCCUUACUUUAGAGAAGGGAAAAAAUGGGUCUGGCCUUGUUCUUCAUUGAAUAUUUUCAUAUUCAAUUAAUUUCAUGUGUAAAUACUUAUUUUUCUGGAUAUUUUCGAUUGAUGAAAUGGGGUACAUUUUACUUGGCUUAGGGGCUGCUGGAUUUUGCUGCUAGAAAAAGACCACAUUUGCGAUACAUUUUCUAUUGCUGAAUGUUGCCGAAUGCCAAGUGCUUCACUCAAUUCUUCUUAAUGCAGCCUUAUAUACUUACACUUUUGUUUAGACCUUAUGGAAUUCUUAUAAUUGAUAUGACAACCUCUACUAUGCAUUACUUGGAUUCAAUAGUUAGUGUAGCACACAUGCAUGCAAUUAGAGCGGCUAGCUGCAUGUUACCAAAAAGCUGUGCAUAUCAUAAAAGAAGCUCCAUCGCAUCACAUCAGUGAGCUUUCAAAAAAGUCUGUGGUAAUUGCAAGGGAGAUGUUUUAAGAUCAUUUUACCCACCAUGUUUUGAUGAUGUUAUAUUUACUUGUGCAGUUACCUAGCUUGUUACACUUGCUAUGUGGGAAUUUGAUGAAGAUGGUGGGUAUUGCUGGAGUUGGCCAUCUUUUUUCUUUGAUGCAAAAAUAGGUCAUGAGUAUUGGUGCAUCUUUGCACGUUUUUAGCUUCUUCUUAGAUUGGUAUUUGCUGUAUGCUUCACUAAAACUGCUAGAAUGAAUUUUUUUUUUCCGGUCUGAUCAGUGUUGUUGGCUUUGUUGUGUUGCUGGAAACGAACUGAUCAUGGUUCAUUAGUCUCAAAACUGCUAGUUUUCUACAUGUUGCUGAAAUUUGGUUUUUACUUCUAUUUAUGUUGGACUUGUCACUUGUAUUUGGUUAAAUUAUGUUUGUUGACAAUUAUCAAUAAUUAUUCAGUGUUAUUCAUUUCAUUUUCUUUGUUAGUGAAUUUUUAAUUGCAAUAUUCAUUUUAACAAUCUAAUUAAUUAACUAAAUUAUGAAAUUUUAAUUUCUAAAUCAAUUGCAAGAUUUUUAUUAAAAUGAUAAGCAUUUCAUGGUAGUAACAAAAUAGUAAUUUUUAUUAAUUAUAAAUUUAAUUUCAGAAUUAAUUGUAAAAAAAAUUCAAUUAGUUAUAAUUUUCAUUUUCGCGCCAAAUUUAAGAUUUCUUGCUAAAUAUUCAAAAUAUAGCAUGCGAAAUAAAAAAAAAAGGUCAAAUUCAAAAUUAUUAUAUUUCCCUCUAAAUAAACUUAUGAUAGUUGUGUGACUGGUUAUAUCCAUCACAAGCUAUGACGGGUAUUGUUCUGUCAUCAAUUCUUGACGCUGGCUACAAUGAUGGUAUGAACAACUGUCAUGCACCCCCUACUAUGACAGUUUUACCUGUCAUAGUAGAUCCUUUUUCUUGUAGUGUAUCGUCUUCUCUUUCUCUCCUUGGAUGGGAGAGUGUUUGGAUUCACUUAUUUUUUUAAUUUUUUUUUAUCUUUCUGGUAGAGUCGCUUGGAUCCCCUUAUUAAUCAUCCUAAAUCUGGAUUUAUGGUCCCAAUUAGUUUGACACUUUUAUUUGUAACUGCCAUAUCAAGUAAGUUAUAAAUCAUUACAGAGAAAAUUGAAGCACUGAGAUCCCUAGUUUUAAUAUUCUAAUUAUAGUUGUUGCUAAUAUUACUAUCGCUAGCUUGCAAUUAAUUCCGCUUAAGUUGUCAAUUUCCUAUAAGCAAAAAAGAUGGUCAUUGAGCGUACUUGUAUGGAUACCUCUGUAAAGGAACUUGGAGACCCUCAUAUUUUCUAAAAAAGGAUGCAGACCUCUUUUUGGACAUACAAAAAAGUUUUUUUAGACAAACUUUGGGGUUCAAUGUGGGACGAUGAUUGUAUUUGAACACAAAAGAUAUUUAAGAAAGUAUGUUCCGAAUAAUUGCUAUUUGUGGAGGCUCGUCCUAGAAGUUUACAAGAAAUUGUUAGAAGUUUUAGGAAAGGACGAAAUCUCUAGUCAUAAGAGAGCAUUGCCACUUAUGGAUCAAUGUCCAAAUGAAUUUAGAGGUUCAACUCAGAAUGACACUUUAGGCUUUUAUAAUUUCAAUAUUUAUUUUAUAAUUUAUUGAUUUCAUCAAUCAUUCUAGGAAUUCUAGGUUUUGAGUCGCAAAUGGAAUCUCAAUCAUGUGACAGUGUCAUGAAAACUUUUAUUCUUUUUCUAUAAUUGGGAGGAGAUAAUUUUUCUCUCCUACAAGACUCGUGAUAAUAAAGAUACCAAAAUGUACAUUAUUAGUCAAAUAUAUUUCUAUUAUUGAUCAAUAUGAGGAUCAACAAGAGAUGUUUUACUUGAAUUAGAAGAAAUUAGUGAAGAUUCUAAAAUAAAGAGUGAAGCUAAGUGAUUAGCAACAUAUGAAUUAAAAGAUUUUGAACUCAUAUUAGAUGUGAUCAUUUAGUAUGAUAUUAUUUGUUGUUAACUCUAUAAGAUCGAUCUUGCAAAAAGAAGAUAUGCAUAUUAAUAUUGCCAUAGAUCAGCUUAAAGGUAUUUUUUUCUUUCUUUGAAAGAAAAUAGAGAAAAUGGAUCCAUGUCUACUAUAAUUUGAGCUAAAGAAAUUGCAAGUUAAAUGGAAAUAGAACCUAAAAUGUAUAAUAGAUCAAGCCAUCUCUUCAAUAAUAAUAGAUUUGAAUCAUUUAAAAUGUAUGAUAAUUUAUUUGGGUUUUUGUAUAAUUUCAAAAAAUUACAACUGUCAAGUGACUAUGUUUUAAAAACUUAUUGUGUUAAUCUUGAAAAUACUUUAAAACAUGAUACGCUUUUUGAUAUAGAUAGUUUAGAUUUGUUUUGAGAGUUGAGAAUUUUAGUUUUGAGAGUUGAGAAUUUUAAACAAGUUUUUCAAGGUGAAAAAAUACUGUUUAUUUAUUUGAAAAAAAAUUGAUUAUUUUCCAAAUGCAUAUAUUACUUAUAGAAUAUUAUUAACAAUACUAGUAACAGUUGCUUCUCUAGAUAGAAGUUUUUCAAAACUUAUUUAAGAUUAACAAUGAUGCAAGAAGAUUAAAUGGACUAACUAUAUUGUUUAUUGAGAAAAAUAUAUUAAUAAAAUUAGAAUAUAAAAAAUUGAUCAAUAAUUUUGCAUCUAUAAAAACUAAAAAAAUUGAUUUUAAAUAAAUAAGUUUUAGUAAAAUUAAUACAUAUAUUUAACCUUAAAUUUUUUAAAAAUCUAAUUGAAACAAUUCCCCUAAAAACCCAUAAUUGAUUGAGCCGUUACUGUCUACAAGACUCGUAAAAACAAAGACACCAAAGUGUACAUUGUUAGUCACAUGUAUUUUUGUUAUUUUUAUUUUUCAUGAGACUUCUCAAGUUGUGAUUUGAUGGUUAAUAAUUUGCUUCAUCUUGUGUCAAAAAAGAGAGGCUCCCCGAACAAGCUCACACCAACUAGUCUAAUUUUGUAUGCGCAUGUGCUUAUGUAGUAUGUACUGCACACUGAUGAAGUACGUUAUCAUUGUGUCAAAAAGGAGAGGCUCUGACUCCUUGACACGCCCAAUACCGACUAGACUAAUUUUUCAUACGCACGUGGCUCAUGCACUGCACUACAGUGUAAUGUGGCAAAAUUAAGAAGAAAAAAAUAAAUAUUGAGAAAUUUUAAAAUACAUAAAAAAUUAUAUAAUUACUAUAUAUAUAUAUAUAUAUAUAUAUUAUAACUACUAAUUAUAUAUCAGUUCUUUCAAAUAAAUAUACUUAUAUUAUAAAUUUAUUUAUUUAUUGUAUGAAUGGCAUAAUAUCUUAAAGGUAUUUUUAAAAUUUCUUUAUGUCCUUGUCAUUUUCGACUACUAGCCAAUGCGGUGGCAUUUUACAAGCUGAUAUGGUGCCUCACAGAAACUCUUUUGUUUUGAGUUUGAUGAUCCCUAGGAAAUGGCACAAAUAUCUCUUCUAAUGGUAUUUUACAUGCUGUUGAUGAAAAGUAGCAUAUGUUUUGGGAGACUAAUGGUAUUUGCAUUUUGUUUGCAAAUUCUAGUAAAGUCGGGCAAUACAAGAUUUUUGAAUAAAAGCUUGUUUAAUCUCUAUAUUUUGAGGUUAAUAUCUUUUUAGUUAAGAAAUAUAUCAAAAUAUUUCUAAUAUUAAAUUAUUGAUACCCUGACUUUAUUAGUUGUUCCCUUUUCGCUUGCUUUUACAUACUAUCAUAUUACAAUAAUGUUUAUUUUUUGGAUAUUAAUAAAAAGAAAAAAAAAUUAAAAUACCCAUUUAAUCCCAAAAAAUUAAUGUUGAAUACUCUACCGAGGAGUUACUAUAUUAAUUUUUUUAUUAAUGUCCAAAAAAAUUGGUAAUUUAUUUUUUUUUACAUUAUUAAUUUUUUUGACAUACAUGAGCUUCCAGAAAAAUUAAUUUAUGUUUUUUAUUUUUAUUUUACUUUUAGGGUUAAAUUGAUAAUUUAAUUUUUCAUUUUUAUUAAUGUUCAAAAAGAAUUAUUGUAAGAGAGUAAUAUUAUAAAAGUAAGAUAAAAGACACAAAAGGUAACGGCAGAGAUGUCAAUAUUUUAACGACAGGAAACUUUGAGGUAUUUUUAAAAAUAUAGAUAUUAAAACAGAUACAAAACUCAAAAUACAGAGAUUAAACAACCUUUUUAUGCAUUCUUUUUGGUGCUCCAUAACUCUUAUGGAAAUAGUUUCGUUGAUUAUUAAACACAUGCUUCUACACGUUUCUGUUCACUGUAGGACUAUUAUAAAGAAAUACCGACAUCGUUGAUUAUUAUAAACCCAUGCAUCGGCAAGUUAGAAUUCCCUCAUGAAAAAAUAUGAUUAUUUUUUGCCUUCUGGUUGGGGUUCAUAGUUCCUUCUUUUCAUUCUUAAUUUUUAUGACUUCCACAAUUAAUUUUUGUAGUUGAAGUAAUAUUAAAUUGUACUAUGUGUAUGCAUGUGUGUAUAUGUUGCUUAUUACUUCGGAGGACUUAGGAUGUUUUCUUUGUGUGGAUUAAUCCUUAUAUAAUUAUGAAGUGUUUUUUAGUUACUGUAAGAAAUAGAACGAAUUAAAUUAAAAAAAGAAAUAAAUAUAUAGUUUUUAUGUUGCGACAUAUUAUAAUGAAAUUCCUUUAAUAAAAACUAUCACCUAUAAUCCAGAAACAUUCAUGUUGUAUCACUAAAUAUUUAUGCAAAAGCGUACUUGAAUCUAUAAUGAUUAAUUGUCCUCUGGAGUUGCGUCGUUGGCUAUGCAGAUCUACACGUUCUCCUAAAAAAUACUUUAAAUUUCUCAUUACUCUCUCUGAUGAUGGGAUGUCAGAAAGAAUAGAAAGAUAUAUGUGACCUGUGGACCAUAACCACUUAUAUAGACAAUUUUUUUUCCUGUUGUCAUUAGGUUAUAUGCCCACACCUUAUUAGAUACAUUAAAACUUAUAAUACCGAAAACCUUAAUGGAUUACUUUUAAUUGGGCUUAACCUUAUAUGACAGUUUGCGACACAUAAUUAUUAACACAUUAGCCCAAUGUUGGAUUAACGAUCUGACAAUGCUAGAUUAAAAAAUCCACCAAUCUCCCAUUUGGGCUAUAUGUGUAACCUUAUAAUUAUGCUUUGCAAAAAUAACUGUACGAGCUCAACCUUACUGUCAUUAUCAAAAUGUAUCUAUAACUAAUUCGAUUAAUUAAUCAUACCAAUAUAGGUUCAAAGCAGCCUUUGUUACAACUAUCGUAAUUUGACCCAUCAAUGGUCACUAUGCCAAUACAAUUGAAUGACAUGGAUCAUAAUGUGGAUGUGUAGCAUAGAAAUUUCAUGCAAUGUGAUAUUGACAUGCCUAUUUCCAACUGGUCCAUCUUAAACCUUAGUGAAAUCAAGCUAUACCAAAAAUCAGAUUGUGAAUAAACUAAAACUUUAUUUCUGCAAAAAAUGACCCUAAAUAUCCAUAAACUAAAAUAAUUGAAAAAUAUCUAUAUUAUAAGAGCAUCCAAAAUCACAAACUCCCACUAAAUCUGAAAAGUAUAUUCAUUUUGCUUAAAAGAAUAUUCUCAAAAUAUUUAAAUUUUAUGACUAGUAUCAAUAUAUACUAGGGAUAAAAUAGAAAAAUGAUAUUUAAAGCUAACAUCAUCAUAACUACCAGGGGGUUUGGACCUAUUUGAGGCUCCGUUUGGUAUAACUUUUAAAGUGGAGUUUAAUUGAGUAGAGCUUUUAUUAGUAUAACUUUUUAUAAGUAGAGAUUUUACCCAAAAAAAAUUAGUUGUUUGGUUGACAAUGAGAAUUUUUAUUAAAAAUUAUAAAAUUACUUUGAUAGAUAAGUUUUUAAAGUUAUGUUAUUAAAAAAAUAAAAUAUGAUUGUUAAAUAAGCAAAAGGUAUUUUGGAUAUUUUAACAUUUAAAAAAAACUUUUCAACCUCUAUUCCCAAAGGCCAAAAUUCAAGUUUUUACUAAUAGAGGUAAAAUAGCUUAUAUAAUUUUUAAAAACUUCAUGAAAAAAAAAAAAACAACAACAAAUAUUUUGAUAAGAACUUAUAAAAUUAAAUAAGCACUUAUGACCAUUAGAUAAGUCAUACUAAGAGCUUGUUUGGUAUGGCUUAUCUAAUGGUCAUAAGUGCUUAUUUAAUCCCAUAAGCUCUUAUCAUAAUUUUUAUUGUUGUUUGGUUGUUUUUUUAGUAGAGCCUUUAGAGCUUAAAUAAGUUAUUUUGCCUCUAUUAGGAAAAGCUCAAAUUUUGGGCUUUUGGGAGUAGAGGUUGAAUUUUUUUUUUAAAUGUUAACAUAUCUUCUACUUAUUUGACAAUCUUAAUUUAUUUUUUUAUAACAUAACUUUAAAAAAUUGUCUAUUAAAGUAAUUUCAUAAAUUUUUAAUAAAAGCUUUUAUUGACAGCCAAACAACUAAAAUUUUUAGGUAAAAGCUCUAUUUGUAAAAACUCUACUAUCAAAAGCUCUAUUUAAAUAAGCUCUACUUGAGUUUUGCUUAAUUUGUCUAAGGCAAAAGGACACCUACACCCCCAAGGUUUGCGGAAAUGUCACCAAUAUCCCCAAGUUUUCAAAAAAAGAUACCAAAACCCUCUCUUGACCAUUAUACGCUUUACCUCUAUUAUCUCAAACAAAUUGACAUAAAAUUUUUAAUAAUUGCAAAUACUAUAUAAAUAAUGUAAUCUAUGUAGAUGACUAAUGAUAUGAAAAUAUUUUAAUAAAUUUAAAUAUGUAAAUUAUUAUAUUUAUUUAAUAAUAAAUUGUAGAUAUUUUAAAUAAAUAUUUGCAUUAAAUACAUUCUACAAUUAAAAAAAAUCUCACAUAGCAAUAAUGUUAAAAUUAUCAUUUUACAUAAUAUUCAAAAUAAUUCAAGUUUAAUACUUUUAUUUUAAUAUUAUGAUUCUAUUUAUUAUAAAAUUUACUUUAACAUAAUAAAAUAUAUCUAAUAGAUUGUAAAGUAUUAAAAUAUUUUUUGAAUUUUGAAAUUAUUUUAGAAUGUAUAUAUUAUUACAGUUAUUUUAAUGUUAUAUUCUGUUCAUUAUCAAAUAUUAGAGACAAUAUUUUUUGGAAUAAUGAAGGUAAAGGGUAUUAUGGUCAAAAGAAGGUCUUGGUAUCCCAUUUUUGAAAACCUAAAAGUGUUGGUGACAAUUUCUUCAAACUUUAGGGGUGUGAAUAUCGUUUUCCUUUUAUCUGAAUAACAAGGUAAUCCUUAUUUUCCCUUAUUAUAAUCUACAUAUAUAUUAAAAUUUGAUAUCUAUUAAGAUACGCACAUUUGUAGUACAAUCAGAUGCCUUUUAAGCACUAACUCAGAAAUCUACUUUCACUAUUAUUAGGGUCACAUGUGUAUCCUAUCCAAUCUACCUUUUGUUGAUUAUAUUUUGAAAUAAAUAAAAUUCGUUUUUCAUAAAGUACUUUAUAAUUGUAACAAACGAAAAUUUAAUUAAAUUAAUUUCAAACAAUUUUUUAUCUUCUUUACAAUUUUGAUUAUUUUGAGUAUUAAUGCUCAACAUUACGAUAUUGACAUAUUGUUUGUAACUUUCCAUAUUCGUAUUUCUAUGUAAGUAUGUAAAACAAGUUUUUAAUGAAAUAAAUAAAGCUUUUACUAGUAGAAUUAAAUUUAAGAUUUUUUUAAUCAUGAGUGCGUGUAUUUAUUGUGUAGUGUAUAGAAAGAUUCUGUAAAAAUUUUGUACGGAAAAAAAUCAAUAAAUAAAGAUUAUACAACAUGCAUCCGAAUGUAUGCUUGAUGUAUGUCUGCACGUAAGAUUUCUCACAAGACGAAAAACUUCUAGAAUACAUUGAAGGUAUAAUGCCAACCAUAUAAUAAACAAAUGAUGAUAUGACAUAUAUUUAUUUAUUUCAAAGAACCACCAUGCAAGUGAUAGUUAUAUUAAAUUCAAUUAUAUAUGUCAUACAUACGUUAAUUAGUUUGAUUACAUUUGAUGUAUUAUAAGGAUGUACUCUUUUUCUUUUCUGAAUAUAAUAUCUUUGUCGUAUUAAGACUUACAAAUUAAACGCAAAUGAAUAAGAAAAAUAAAUGAUAUGCACUGCUCCUCUGCCUAUAUAUAUACAUAUAUAUAACGUUGUAGAUCACCACAAACCAAAGAUUAAUUUGAGAAUAUCUCCUAAGUGUGAGCUUGCACUGCAUCUGUAAAUCCAAUGUCUUCUUGCACUACUCCCUCAACCUUGUUUAUCCCUUCAAAUGGUUUCAAAUGUCCUCCACUUGCAACAAAUAGAUCAGCCAUCAGAAUCAAUACUAAAAAUAAGCUAGUCUGUUGCCUUGCCAGCGCCAAGUAUGAUCACUUGACUGUUGACAGGAGAUCAGCAAACUACCAACCUUCAAUUUGGGACCGUGAUUUUUUGCUGUCAUUGAAUAGCGACUAUACGGUAUUGAUUAUUAUUACUAUUACAUAUUAAUUUCCUUUGUUCGUUUCAAAUUGGGACCACGAAUUCUCUGCAGUCAUGUACAACUAAAAGCUAAACGCUGUGCAUUUACAGGAUGAAAUAUACAAAAGACGAGCAUGUAAAGAAUCGUGGAAGUGCUCAAAAUUGUAUAUUAUUUGUUGCUGUGUACAAGAUCCUUAUAUACAAAAAAUACUAGAAUCAUCUAAGGCAAGUACUAAACGGUCAAAUAAUAGAAAAGGAAAGAAUAUAAAGGAGAAUGAAUAUUACAAUGAAGUAAAUAUGCUAAGUUAGUGGCUAAGAUCAAGGACCGAUUGAUUUUUGUUCUAAUACUCCCCCUCAAGUUGGGAAGUGAAGAUCCGUAACUCCCAACUUGCCAAGAAGAUAUUGAAACUGAUCUUUACCAAGAGCUUUGGUAAAAAUGUCAGCCAAUUGUUGUCGUGAAGGCACAUAAGUUAAGGAAAUGAUUUUGGCAUGAAGCUUUUCACGAACAAGAUGGCAGUCUAUUUCUAUGUGCUUGGUGCGCUCAUGGAAGAUGGGAUUAGUAGCAAUAUGAAGCGCAGCUUGAUUGUCACAAUGUAAAGUUAUAGGCAUUGGUUGGGUCACAUGGAGAUCACGAAGUAGAGUUUUCAACCAAACCAAUUCACAUGUUGUUGUCGCCAUGGCUCAAUAUUCGGCUUUAGCUGAAGAGCGUGAUACAACUGGUUGCUUCUUGGUUUUCUAAGAAAUAGGACUGUUGCCGAGCAUGAUAAAAUAUCCUGUGGUGGAUCGACGAGUCAUAGGGCAACUUGCCCAAUCUGAACCUGAGAAGGCUGAGAGUUCCAAAGAGCUAGUGGAGGACAAGAGGAUAUCAACGCCUGGAGAAGAUUUGAUAUAACGUAAGACACGCAGGGCAGCAUCAUAAUGUGGUCGUCUUGGAGUGUGCAUAAAUUGACUAAGUGUGUUCAUAGCAUAUGUAAUUUCUGACCGGGUGAUUGUCAAAUAUAAGAGACGUCCUACGAGUCGUCGGUUUUGGCCAGGAUUUUGACAAAGCGUUCCUUGUUCGUUGGAGAGCUUCAAGUUUUGUUCCAUUGGAAAAGAAGAUGGCCGUGUGCCUAAUUGUCCACUGUCUUGAAGUAUAUCUAAAGCAUAUUUCCGUUGAUUUAAGAAAAUCCCUUGCUUUGAACAAGCCACUUCAAUUCCUAAAAAAUAUUUCAAGGUUCCCAAGUCUUUAAUAUGAAAUUGAGCCUGCAAAAACAUCUUCAAUGCAGUUAUAGUGUCAAGAUGGUUACCAGCGAUUAUUAUAUCAUCAACAUACACAAGCACCAAUGUAAAAUGAGAAUCGUGCACAUUAGUAAAUAAACAAGAAUCAUCAUAAGAUUGAAUGUGACCAAUUUUUUAAAGAGCGGAUGAGAAUUUUUCAAACCAAUUUCGAGAAGCUUGCUUGAGACCAUAAAGGGACUUGUUUAACUGACAAAAUUGAGAAGACUCCCCCUGUUUACGAACUCCUGGAGGUAAGGUCAUAUAAAUUUCCUCAUGCAAGUCUCCAUGAAGAAAUGCAUUAUGAACAUCCAAUUGAAAUAAUAACCACCCUCAAAUAGCUGCCACUGCCAAUACACAUCUAACAGUCACAAGUUUUGCAACAGGUGCAAAUGUCUCGUGGUAAUCCAAACCUUCAGUUUGUGUGUAUCCUUUAGCAACAAGGCGUGCUUUGUAUCUCUCAAUAGAACUAUCAGCUUUUAUUUUAAUUUUGUACACCCAUUUACAACCAAUUGGUUUCUUUCCGGGAGGUAGAUCUUGUAUUGUCCAAGUGUUAUUUUGCUCCAAAGCAUUAAUCUCUAUAUCCAUAGCAUUGCGCCAAUGAGCAUGUUGAACGGCUUGAGAAUAUGUAGUUGGUUCAACAUCGGGAGAUAUGGCUGAAAGAAAGGCUACAUGAUCACUAGAAAACUUGUCAUAUGAUAAAUACUUAGAUAAUGGAUAUAAAGAAUUUACCGAGGGUGGAUGAUUAGUAAAAGUAUUAGAGUUGCCAAAUGUACCAUGAAGUGCAGUAGAGAAAAUAUAAUUCUGAAGAUAAUGUGGAUGGCAAGACUGUCGUUGGGACCGUCGAAGAGGUGGAGAAGGGAUAACUAUUGAAUCAGAUGUACCUUGGUGGAGUGACUUCUCAUUGGAAGAAGUUGGAAGGAGUGGUGCAUUUUCAUUGGUAGGAAGUAUGAUAGAAAGAGGUAAAGCAUUGGUAUUUUCUUGUUGAUUUGUGAUAGUUUUGAAUGGGAAUUCAGUUUCCACAAAAGUAACAUCACGAGAAAUGAAAGUCUUUCUAUUAAUGAUAUCAUAAACUUUGUAUCCGGGAUACCCAAAUGGGUAACCAACAAAUAUACACUUGGUGGCACGAGGAGCAAAUUUAUGACCAUUAGCACUGUUGGUAUGAGCAUAACAAAGACAGCCAAAGACACGAAGACGAUCAUAGUGAGGUUUAGUCUUAAAAAGCAUUUCAUAAGAAGAUUGACCACCAAGAUUAGGAGUGGGUAUACGAUUAAUCAAAUGGGUUGCAGUUAAAAUACAAUCUCCCCAGAAAGACAAAGGUAAAUGUGCUUGAAAACAUAAUACACGUGCAACUUCUAAAAUAUGUCGGUGUUUGCGUUCCGCUACCCCAUUUUGUUGAGGUGUUUCAACACAAGUGCGUUCAUGCAAGAUGCCAUGCUCAUGAAAAAAAGAUUGCAUCUGAUUUGAUAAAAAUUCACUUCCUUGAUCAGUACGAAUUUUUUUAAUUUGUGUGUGAAAUUGUGUCUUGAUCAAGAAGUAAAAGUUUUUUAAUAACUGAAAAGCUUCAAACUUGUGCCGCAUGAGGUAAACCCAAGUACGUCGGGUAUGGUCAUCAACAACAGUAAGAAAAUAAUGUGCUCUCAUAUAUGUAGAUGUGCAAUGAGGCCCCCAAAUAUCACAAAAAAUUAAUUGAAAUGGCAUAUCUGAACGUUUUUUAUUCAACUGAAAUGAACUUCUAGUGUUUUUUGAAAGUUGACAAAUUUCACAACAAGAAUUAAAUGAUGCAAUAUCAAAAAUAAAAGACAAACGCUGCAUUCGGUCUUUAGAAGGGUGACCGAGUCGCAAAUGCCAAAGAUUGGAAUUGGGUUCCUUUGCAACAUUCAUUACUGAAGGAAGGGAAGAAUGACCAUUGAUAUGCUCAUAAUAAUAUAGUCCAUCCCGAACUUCACCCUUUCCAAUCAGUUUCUUCGUUGAAAGGUCCUGAAAAACACAAAAUGAAGGGAAAAAUAUAGCAGCAUAGUUCAAAUCCUUGGUUAGCUUGCUUACAGAUAAUAGAUUAAAAUUAAAAUGAGGAACUAAUAAGGCAUUAUUUAAAGUCAAAGAGGAUGAUAAUUUAAUGGAUCCAUAUUUUGUUGUAGGAAUAGUCGUGCCAUUUGGUAGUCUCAUGGGUUUGACAUGAGACAUGGGCACAAAAUUUUUAAAGGAAGAAAUAUUAGGGGUCAUGUGAUCAGAUGCCCCACUAUCAAUUAUCCAAGAAUCAUUAUGCGAGUUAAUAGCAGAAUUGCAAGAAGGAAGGAUUUUACCAGCUAAGUUUGCAGUAGAUGGUUGCUCAUUUGUUGAAAGUAUAGAUAAUAACUGUUGAUAUUGUUCAACUGUGAGACCGAGAAUUUGGAUAGUAGGCUGAGAUGAUGAAUUCUUGUCUGUUGGAAGGGAAUGAUCGUUUAGUUGUUGUGGCUUUGUGGUUGCAGGGGCAGCUACAUGCGAUCGAUUUGAAUGUUUCCAGUUUGGUGGGUAGCCAACAAUUUUGUAACAUUUGGCUUUUACAUGCCCAUAUUUUUCACAAUGAUCGCAAAAAGGUCUACCCCGUCCUUGUGUCUCUUGUACUCCAUGCAAAUGGCUAGGAUGUGAAUGAUUUUGACGAUUGGUCAUUUGAGUCUUAUUAUUGGCUGUCAAAGCUGUUGAUUCAAUGGAUGGUUGACUGGAAACAUGGAGAAGUCGUUGAUGUUCUUCCUGAUGAAUAAUUGAAUAUGCUUUUCCAACAUUUGGAAGCGGCUCCAUGGCUAAGAUUUGACUUUGUACAGAAGAAUAUGAGUCAUUGAGACCCAUUAGGAAUUGAAACACCUUUUCAGUCUCUAGUAAUCCUUGCAAUUCAUUUGAAGAAAUAGUGGUUAAUGUGGACAAUUCAUCCCAAUAAAAUUUGAAAGUAUUAAAAUAAAUCACUAAUGGGUUUUGCUCUUGCUGGUGAUUGCAUAUGGCUCUCUUAAAUUCAUAAAUCUGUAGAUUAUUACUUUGUGAAAAACGUUCUUCCAACCCAAGCCCAAGAGAGCGUGGAGUAUCACAAUAAAUGAGGCUGCUGGCAAGAUUUUUCUCUAUUCCAUUGAGCAUCCAUGAAAGGACCAUGUCAUUGCAUCGCUCCCACGUUUUUAAAUCUUGUGAGGUCGAUGAAGGUUUUAGUAUGCUUCCAUCAAUAAAACCCAAUUUGUUUUUAGCAUUCAAUGCCAUCUUCAUGGAUCUUUUCCAUGUUUAAUAAUUAUCACCUGUUAGCACAUUAGAUACAAGAAUGGCUCCAGGAUGAUCAGAUGAAUAAAGAAAGUAUGGUGAAGAAACAUCGGUAAUGAGGGAAUUUGAUGUUUCGGAUAUUGGAUUUAAACUACUAGACAUGAUUGUCAAAGAUAAAAACAGAAAUGAGCAAAACCUUGCUGUGAUACCAUGUAAAGAAUUGUGGAAGUGCUCAAAAUUGUAUAUUAUUUGUUGCUGUGUACAAGAUCCUUAUAUACAAAAAAUACUAGAAUCAUCUAAGGCAAGUACUAAAUGGUCAAAUAAUAGAAAAGGAAAGAAUAUAAAGGAGAAUGAAUAUUACAAUGAAGUAAAUAUGCUAAGUUAGUGGCUAAGAUCAAGGACCAAUUGAUUCUUGUUCUAAUAGAGCAGAAGAGCUGAAGGGAAAAGUAAAGACAACGAUUAAGUAUGUAACCGAGCCACUGGAUCAGUUGGAGCAGAUUGACAACUUGCAAAGACUUGGAUUGGCUUAUCAUUUUCAGACUGAAAUUAGGAACAUAUUGCAUGGUAUCUACAACAAUAAUAAGGAUGAUAAUUGGAGAAACAAGAAUGUGUAUGCAGCCUCCGUUGAAUUUAGACUACUUCGACAACAUGGCUAUAAUGUCUCUCAAGGUACAUUUCAUCAAUUCACUUGCUUUGUCGUGCACAUGCAUGAUCUGGAUACUUGAAUCUCUGUUGUUGUUUUCUUCUUUUUUUCCUCCUAAAAAAUAUAGAAGAAUAGACAAAGCCCAAAUCAAUUUUUUGACUUGCUAUCUCCCGAGAAUUUGAACUUGACCAGGCCACUAGGACCACUCAAAUUAUUUUCUAAUUAACAUACACAUAGAGUACUUCUUUAGUAAAGGCAUUCACACUUUGUUAAAGUGAGGAUGCACACUAAAAUAUAAAAAAAACCUAGAUUUUAAUGCAAUGUGUUUUUUUUUAUGUUAUUGUAUUAAAAUUUGUGUUUUUUUGUCUAUUAGUAGUAUCCUCAUUUUGUUAAAAUGAGGAUGUCCUCACUAGAGAAUUAUUACACACACACACACACACACACACGCAUAUAUAUAGACGAAGCUACAGUGCACGGGUGCAUGGUACCCCUAAUUUUAAUAAAUUACUUUGUGGUCCCUCUUAUUUGUUGAAAAGUGAAAAAAUUAGAAGUUUUAAAAUUUUAAGAGAUGAGUCCAAUAUAUUUCUAUUAUUUACACUUAGAGUAUAUUCCUAUUAGUGUAAGUGUAAAUAAUAGAAAUAUAUUGUUAUUUGUUCAUAUUAUUAUUAAUAAUUUAAUUUUUAUAAUAUAUUUAAAUUAUUUAUAAUUGAUUAAAUAUAUUUUAUGUUGUUUCCAAAAAAUAGAUUAAUAUUAUUGAUAAAUUAAUAUACUUUUAUUGUAUAUUUAAAUUAUUUAUUAUAGAUUAAAUCAAUAUUAUGUAGUUUUAUAAAAAAAUAUUUUAUGUUCUAAAAAGUUUUACAAGUUAUUGUCCUUAUAUUAUCAUUAAUUCUAAGAGUCAAAUUGGGUCAAUGGAUCAAAAUAUAAAAAUUUAAUAUAAUUUAAAAUUAGGUGUCAAUUUUUUUUUUACUCUUUUGCUUUUUAAAAAAACAUCAGGGACAUCAAUGUUAAAAAUCAGAAAAUAUAUCCAUAUUAUUGAAGCAAGUUCUAUGUUUGAUCUAAUGGACAACUCAUAUAUAGACAAAAUGAUGGGUACCAUGCACCAAAUGCACGGUAGCUGGACCCUAUAUAUAGUGGAUUUCCAAUAAGCGAUUCCUGACCGUAUUAAAAUUAGGGAUGAGAUAAAAAAUAAAAAAAAAUUACAAAUUUCAAUAUACUACUAGACAAGUUACAUUGUAUUGGAGUCUAUGUUUUUUUGUUUGUUAGUUUAUUCCUGAAUUUAAUACGGUUAGGGAUCCCUGAUUGGAACAUUUAUAUAUAUAAAUACCUAAAAAUUUUGAUGAAUCUAAUUUGAUUUGGCUGAAUACUGCAGAGGUUUUCAAUGGUUUUAAAGACGACAAAGGAGGCUUCAUUUGUGAUGAUUUCAAGGGAAUAUUGAGCUUGCAUGAGGCCUCGUAUUACAGCUUAGAAGGAGAAAGGAUCAUGGAGGAGGCCUGGCAAUUUACCAGUAAACAUCUUAAAGAAGUGAUGAUCAGCAAGAGAAAGGAAGAGCAUGUAUUUGUAGCAAAACAAGCGAAGCGUGCACUGGAGCUCCCUCUGCAUUGGAAAGUGCCAAUGUUAGAGGCAAGGUGGUUCAUACACGUUUAUGAGAAAAGAGAGGACAAGAACCACCUUUUACUUGAGCUCGCUAAGUUGGAGUUUAACACUUUGCAGGCAAUUUACCAGGAAGAACUCAAAGACAUUUCGGGGUAUCCAUGCCUUGACUGCGUAACUCAUAUUUAUACAUAUAUCAAAGAUUUCAUUUUAUCAAAUGCAUAACUUGUACAAUUUAAUCAUGUGUAUUAAAAUAUUCUCAAGUGUAGACUCCACAACUUUUACAGUAAUGUAAAGGCAUGAGUCUGCACGUUAUAAAGUGCAGAUGUUUGCAGUAGAGAAUGACACUAAGGAAUCUUGGACUAGAAGAUGACUCUAUAUAUAAAUUAUUGGAAAGCCACGAGUCAUGCGCUUUAUAAAAUGGGAAUGUUUGCAUCAGAGAAAGAGUCUUCAGAAUUCCAGAUUGAAAGCUAACUCUCUAUAUAUAGAUAUAUGUAACGUGUGUCCUAAAUCGUAAUAUUCGUUUUAAUUUUCCCAUGAAGGUGGUGGAAGGAUACGGGUAUUGGAGAAAAAUUGAGCUCUGCGAGGAACUGGUUCGUAGCAUCCUUCUUAUGGAGCAUGGGGAUAGGAUCUGAGCCUCGAUUGGCCUACUGCAGGAGAAUACUCACAAUCUUGAUUUCUAUAAUUACAGUGAUUGAUGACAUUUAUGAUGUUUAUGGAACUCUGGAUGAACUUGAGCGAUUCACCGAUGCUGUUGAGAGGUUUGCUGGCAAAUUAAUGUUAUAUCUAAUUGAUUAAUUCAACUGCAAGUUAGCUGCAUGCUGCUUCUCAGAUUAAUAGACCAUUUAUAUGAUUUUUUUGUGUCCCCCUUUUCUACAGGUGGGACAUCAAUUAUGCUUUCAACCACCUUCCGGACUAUAUGAAAUUGAGUUAUUUUGCUCUUUACAGCUUUGUUAAUGAAUUUGCUUAUUACGUGCUCAAGCAACAGGAUUUUGAUAUGCUUCGGAGUAUAAAAAAAGCAGUACGCAAAAUGUUAAUUUCACCUCUCCUGCCGUUCCUUUCCUUUGAUUUAUCCUUUUUAAAUUAUAAUGUUUUUGUCUCGAAAAUUAUAAAUUGUGACUAGUUUUAUUUUCUGUGUCAUGUGCAUCAGUGGCUUGGCUUAAUACAAGCCUACUUAGUGGAGGCGAAAUGGUACCAUAGUAAGUACACACCAACACUGGGAGAAUUCUUGGAAAAUGGACUGGUAUCAAUAGCAGGCCCAAUAGUCACAAUAAGUGCAUACCUUUCUGGUACAAAUCCGAUCAUUGAGAAGGAGCUAGAAUUUCUAGAAAGUAAUCCAGAUUUAGUUCACUGGUCAUGCAAGAUUUUUCGUCUUCAAGAUGAUUUGGGAACUGCAUCGGUAUGAUUUUUUUUUUUUAAAGAAGACAAAAGUUGAAUUAAUCCUCUAUAUAUGAAUUGAUCGUACUUUUUUCCCCCACAAUAAUUCAUCAGCACGAGAUACAUAGAGGGGAUGUUCCGAAAUCAAUCCAGUGUUACAUGCAUGAAACUGGUGCCUCGGAGGAAGUUGCUCGUGAACACAUCAAGGAUGUGAUGAGACAGAUGUGGAAGAAGGUGAAUGCAUACAGAGCUGAUAAAGAUUCUCCCUUAUCUCAAACUACAGUUGACUUCAUCUUGAAUCUUGUGAGAAUGUCCCAUUUUAUGUAUCUAGAUGGAGAUAGGCAUGGAAUUCGAAACCAAGAGAAUAUGGAUGUAGGUUUUACAUGGCUUUUUCAGCCUGUUCCCUUGGAGGACAAACACAUGGCUUUCACAGCAUCUCCUGGCACCAAAGGCUGACGCAUGAUGCGUUUCCAGAGUAUAAUUUCAGUUGACGUUGGCCUCAGAUUUUCUUCUGAGUUUCUUUUCUUUCUGAUGAGGAGGUCUCAUUUUGAUGGUUUUAAUAAAUUCCCUCGUUCGUCGAGGUCUACAAAUGAAAUAAAAAUGUUACUUUUAUUGAGAGUAGAAGUCGUCAGGAUAUGAGAACUAUUUUCUAGCCAACGCAUGAGAAUGUCAGAAUUUGUUAUGUAUGCUAUUAUACUUUAUAUUCAAGCAUGGUUCAUAGCAUGUUAAGGCACAACAGAUACUCAGUAUACAUGAACCAUUUAAAUCGCAUACGACAAAUCAUACCCACGAAAAAUGAUAAUAAGCAGCGAACAGUGACAAACGCAACAACAAUUAAGGAUGGAAAUCAGAGCUGUGCAAUAAAAAAGAAAAUCACAAGGGUAAAAAAUUUAAUAUAACCAAUUAAAAACAGGAGUUCCUAAUUUUUGGAUUAGCAUAAAGACAGGAGCACCUAAUUAUUCGAUUACCCCAUUUUAUCUUUUAAUGUCGUAUGAGUUUAGAGAAUAUGAGUGUAGAGAGUUGGGUUCAAUCUUUCUCACUACUCAAAAGGAAAGGACUCUAGUGGAACCGACUUGGUACACACUGCUAACUGCCGAGAAAAUCAAAUCAUGAAAAGCUCAAGUUACAAACAGUGCUCAAAAGAAAGCACCAAACUGGUUUCAUAAAUUAUUAUGUGACCUUGAAGUACUGAGGUUAGUAAAAUUAUGAUUAAAUUAAAAAAUAAUAUUUGGGGUAUGAUAAGAUAAAAGGAGAGGUCUAAAAUUUAAAUGACUUUGCUCUUUAUUGAAAUAGGGUUCGGACAUUCAGUGGGCUGUCUUAGUCAAUGGGCUGUUUAAUCAUCGAUUGGUCGUUUGCUGUUGGUGGAGGCUCAUCCAACACGUUUAAAAGCUUGUCGAACAUAACGAAUCUCUCUAGUCAAGUAAAAAUUUUUGUAUAGCCCUCUAAAAGCUCUAAAAGCUUCCACUGCACAUGAAUUUAAAUUAAUUUAAUAUUAUUUUUCUUUUAUUAUUUCUUUUUUGUUAAUGAGAAAAAACAAAUAUUUUCUUUUCAUGAUAGCCUGACUUGAAUGACUGGCUUUAAACCUUAUUGGAAAUUUACAAUGCGGGAUGAAGCUGACUGUGAGGGUUGCUCACGCUGCUAAUUAAUCAAGUCAAACAGCCAGGUCGUGCUAUAUUACAUCAUGUGGAAUAUACAACAACUCUUGAACUAUCAUCCAAAAUAAAAAAAACCACGACAUAUGAAAUAAUGAAAUAAUUAAAUUGUCAUAGAUAACAACUCGUGGGUUUGCUAAUAUAAAACAUAGUCUAAGCCCAAAAAACCACAUAUAGCACUGACUGAAAAUUAUUUGUUCUAAUAACAGUGAUCGAAUUUAACAGCUACUUGUCAUUAUUUGUUGAAAGAAGCCUUUCUUGUUGAACAUGCGCGUGCAUGUGUCAACUUUUGACUUUUGGCAUAAUUUGUUGAGUAAGUGGAAGACAUGAGUAAGUGAGAGGGUAGCACACAAAUUUGACUUCCGCAUCAAAAUGGAGAGUUAAAUGAAAAUAUAUAUUAUUUUAAAGCCCACUAUUUUGAUUUUUGGGCAUUGCUUGGCCUAUGAAUAGAGGCUUCACUUUCAUUUACCCUCUUCAUUCAUCCCAUUUUCUUCAAUUCUCAAUCUAAUUGAGAAGUAAGAGAGCCAUGAGUUAGAGAUUGAGAAUGCCCUGACAGCUUUAAGUUGUUGUUUUAGUGAUUUGAGAGUUUGGGUAUAGUGGGGUUUUAGGUUGUGAGACAAAAUACUACAAUACUUGUAACACAUUUUCACUAGUAAAAUAUUCUCUUUUAUGUUUGCCCGUAGACGUAGGCUAAAAGCCGGACCAGUUAAAUUCUAGUAUCCCUAUGUGAUCAUUGUUUCUUAAUUUCACUUUAGUUGUGUGUCUACUUCACCCGUUAAUUUCCUAAUAGUGAUAUCAGAGCCAUUGGUUGUUUUUUUUUUUUUUUUUGGAGUCGGGAUAGUGAUAAUAUAUAUGAUACUAUUCACGUGAAACGGCGAGAGCGAUCCAAGAAUUAUGUGGUUCAAAGCAGGGAAUAGUGGUAUGAGUGGAAGUAAUUGCGUGGUCUUGUACAUGCCUAGAAAAGUUCUAUCACAAAGGCAAUAAGAGCUUAAGGAGCCUGAGUUUUAAAUUGGACCGUCGUGACCCAUAUAGUCUUUCCUGAGAACUUGCCUGAUGUGUAUUUUCACACGUGCGAUCACUUAUAACUAUACAAGGUGGUACACUAACUUGUGCACGGUAUUUAUCAACAAAAUAACAGUAAAGUUUGAAAUUAAGAAGUUCAAUAGAAGUAAUUUCUUGUUGUGGAAAAUGAAAAUGCAAUCAAUCUUAAGGAAAAAUAAUUGUUUAGAAGCAAUUGGAGAAAGAACUGCUGAAAUAACUGAUGACAAGUGGAAUGAGAUGGACGGUAACGCAAUAGUUGAUCUUCACUUGACACUUGCGGAUGGGGUGUUAUCCAGUGUGGUGGAAGAAAAGACAGCAAAGGAUAUAUGGAAUACUCUCACAAAACUGUACGAGGCCAAGUUGCUACACAAUAAGUUCUUCUUAAAGAGGAGACUCUACACUCUUCGAAUGGCAGAAACCACAUCGGUGACCAACCAUAUUAAGACUCUAAAAACUAUGUUUUCAUAACUUACAAUGUUGGGUUAUAAAAUAGAAGAAACUGAACAUGCGGAGCUUCUACUACAAAGUCUACUUGACUCGUAUGAUCAACUCAUCAUCAAUUUGACGAUCAAUAUCCUUACAGAAUACCUAGUCUUCGAUGAUGUUGCAGUCUCUCUUUUAAAGGAAGAGGGUACGCAUAAGAACAAAGAAGACAAGCAAGUAAGUUUGUAGCAAGUGGAAGCACUAAUGAUGGUGAGAGAGAGAUCAGUGGAACAUGGUCCCAGUGGGUGUUAUAAUCAUGGCAUAUCAAAGUCAAGAACUAAGAAGAAAAUCAAGUGCUACAAAUGUGGCAAAAUAGAGCAUCUCAAGAAAGAGUGUUGGAGUAACUAAAAGAGAAGAGAGGGUAAAGAUCCUGAGUCAUUAAAUACCUCAGAUGAUGGUGAUGUUUUAUACAGCUAGGCAACAAUGGUUGCAGAAGGAAGAAAAUAACUAUUUGAUGUUUGGCUUACAGACUUAAGAGCCACCUGCCACAUGACCUCUUAGAGAGAAGGGUUCCAUAAAUAUGUACUUAUCUUAGGGGGAUUUAUAUACAUGGGUGAUGAUCAUGCCUUGGAGAUCGCUAAUAUUGCUACUGUCAAAAUAAAAAUGUUUGAUGGUAUAAUAUGCACUAUUCAUGAGGUACGACAUGUCAAAGACUUGAAAAAAAUCUAUUGUCUUUUAGACAAAUAAAUAGUCUUGCCUGUAAAACUCAUGUGGAAAAUGAGAUCAUAAAAAUUGUCAGUCGUGUGCUUGUGUUAAUGAAGGCGGAAAAGAUUAGUGCCAAUUUAUUCAUGCUUAAGGGGGAAAUACUGCAGGAAGCUAAUGUGUGGUCGUGUCAAAUGGAGAAGAGUAGGCAACGAUGUGACAUCUUAAACUCAACCACAUGUUCGAACAAGGUUUGAAGAUUCUCUUUGAGUGAAAGUUGCUUCCGGGACUUAAAUCAAUGAACUUACUGUUUUGCGAGUACUGUGUUAUGUUGUGCAAAUUUUAUUGAACUCGCAAGUGCACGAAUCUAUUGUAGAAUAGAUCAAUGGUGACGAGUGUCGAUCCCACGAGGAGGUGGAUUUUAAUUGUGUGUAGAAUUAAUUUUCUAAAUGGGUGGUUGGAUUUGUGGUGAAAAUGAUUUGGAUUAUCCUAAAAUUCGAAUUAAAAUGGCAAGAAUAAAUUGAAGUGAAAAUUAUAAUAAUUGAAGUGCUUGGGUAUCUGGAUCCGCAUCAACAUGCACCAUGGGCUAAAUAUUCCUUAUUAGUGCCAAUUAAAUCAUGAGGGGGGAAUCCACACCUCAUGAACCACACUCUAAUCAAUAUGGUGCUAAGGGCUUAUCGUGCCAAAUAAUAAUAACCAUGUACUAGAGAGCCGGUGAAACCAAGGCGGUAUCUAGACAAGAUUAUUAUUAUUUGUCGACGAGAAGUCAAAGCAUCCACAAAAACUAGAGGGGAAUAGAAAAUAAAUUUACCAAAAUAAAGCCCAUGACACAUGUUGAGACUUCACCUUCAACCCAAGCUUGAAAGAAAAUUAGCUACUCAUAAUUGAACUAGGGGCAAAAAGAGAAUUUAUUAAAAUACGUAGAAAAUACAAGAUGGAGAAGGAAUUACAAAAAAUGGAGUCCAAAAAUGGAUUCAGAGAUAUCAAAUUAUGGGGGGAGAGCCCCCUUUUUAUAGAUACAUUGAGUAAAUCAUGGCCAUCAGAUCAAAAAUAUUUCGGACGCUCAGGAUUGCGCCACGUCAUCUGUCAACAGUACGCGGUUUGAACAGUAACACGGUUUGACCCGGGUUGAACAGUGACGCGGUUUGGUUGAAAAUAAUCCUAUGUAAUGCAUGUACCGUACGCAAGAUUUCUGGUCCACUGAUAUGCUGCCACGUCAUUGAUCAGCAGUGCAUAAGAAUUUUAUUCCAACAGGAUUGUGACACCUCAUCAGUCAAUGCCACAUCAUCGGUCAAUGCCACGUCAUCGAUCCGUCUAUGUGAACAGUGUCGUGAACAGUAACGUAGACAGUAUCGUACAUGUGAAUAGUAUCGUACAUGCGAACAAUGCCAUUUUUCCUUUUAUGCUCCUCCUAAGGUUUUCGACCAUCCUGAGUUCAAAAGUGAUGUCCGUUUUUCCGUCUGAUCUCUCGUUCACUGUGAAAUGACUGUGAUGCCCCCUAAAAUACAUAAAAUACUUAAUUAUAAUACAACACACAUAAUUAAAUGACAAAAAGUUUAAAUACAUAAAAGUAAGGGUGUUAGUAAAACUUGAAGUGUAAAAUGACGAUUUUCUCCUUUAUAAAUAUACAUUUUCUAACACUCAACACACCCCCCAACCAGCUUAUUGCUAGUUCUUAGCAAAUAAAGUGAAAACAAAAUUCAAAUCCAAAAUGAUUUAUUUUAAUUUUUUAACAAUCAUGUUUAUUCAAUCAGACUAAUGAUAGUAAUCAAAUAAAAGUAUAAGCAUUAUCUCCAGUCUAAAGAAACAUCACACCUACAUCAACCAUCCACAUGAAUUAGCCCAAUGGACUUUGUCAUAGCUACUUUCAAGAAUGACAUGUCAAACCCCAAAAUCUCACUGGAAUUAGUGACACUCUCACAAAUAAAUUAAACCCAAUAAAAAUAGUUACUCCAAUGAAUGGUAAUUGAGAGAAAAUAAUAAAGAAAUGAUGUCACAUGCUCUCACCAAGAUGAAAGAAAUAUGCCCUCAACUUAGAAAUAAUACGAUCUCAAGUCAAACAAAAAUGCUAGUCAACCCACUUUAUUUAUCUUUUUUUUUUCUUUUUUUUUAUUUUGCAUCACUACAUCUUUUUAGCCCAUAUAACUAGCUUCUACUUCAGACUAUAGUUCCCUAAAAUCAAGAAGGACUUUUAUUAGGACGUAACGUAGGCUAGGGACAUGGCUAACAAAGGAGGGAAAAUAAGGAAAACAAAGUGUAUGUUUGAGAAAAAUGUAGAAUUUUUUUUUUUUUAGGAGUUGCAAGGUAGAUUUCACCUAUUAUUGUUUUUUUUUAAACAACAAUUUUUUUCUUUUUUUUUUUUGGCACAACUUCACUGAACAAAAUAAUUAUUUACUCAAACAUAAAUAUGUGAUGAAACAUGUAAGAUAUUGGGUAAUACUACAAAUCGGAGUGGGUCAAGAUGAUAAGUUUGACAAAGAAAAAAAAAAAAUAUAUAUAUAUAUAUUUUAAAGGCUCAAAAGGGUUAACUAUGGAUAUUUCAUAAGAGGGAUGGCUAGAAAGGCUCAAACGGAUCAAAGAUGAUCUUUCCAUCAUCUUUUAGGGCUAUAAAUAAUCUUCCAUAUAGACUAGUUAGAUGGGCCUCCAAAUGUAGCAACACACAUUUUUUUCUCUUUUUUUUUAUUUUACAAUUUUUUUUUAAGGGUUAACUCAAAAGAAAUCUAGAGAUCGUGUAUAAAAUAAUAAACUGCUAAAAAAUUGGCCUUGUCUUGCUUGGUCCAAUGCUCUGGAAGUUGACCUGUAACAAGAUAAUUAACGAUAUCAGCAUACCAUGGUAAUACUUCCACACUCAUCAAUUGUUCAUCUGGGAAUGACUCAUUCAAUGGUAAUGUUUCCAUAAUUGUGUCAAAAUGGAGACGAGAGAGAUGGUCUGCCACAAUAUUUUUUGUGCCUUUCUUAUCUUUAAAUUCCAAGUCGAAUUCCUGCAAAAGUAACACCCAACGAAUUAGUCUAGCUUUUGCAUCUUUCUUUGUGAGAAGAUAUUUAAGAGCAACAUGAUCCGUAAAUACAAUUAUUUUACAACCAAUGAGAUAAGAUCGAAAUUUUUCUAAUGUAAACACUACUGCUAGCAUUUCUUUUUCAGUAGUUGAAUAGUUCAACUGUGCAUAAUUCAAUGUCAUACUAGCAUAGUAAAUAACAUGGGGAAUUCGUUCAACUCUUUGUCAUAACACUGCUCCUACUGCAUAAUCAGAUGCAUCACACAUGAGUUCAAAUGGUAAGCUCCAGUUUGGGGGCUGAAUGAUGGGUGAUGAUGUCAACAACCGCUUUAAUUUUUCAAAUGCCACAAGACAUGAAUCAUUAAAGACAAAAGGUACAUCCUUAGCAAGUAGAUUGCAUAAGGGUCUAGAAACUUGGCUAAAAUCUUUAAUGAAACGUCUAUAAAAACCAGCAUGCCCAAGGAAAGAUCUUACUUCUCUGACUGUUUUGGGUGGAGGAAGAUUAGAAAUGAGAUCCACCUUGGCUUUGUCAACCCCAAUACCUUUGCUUGAAAUGAUGUGACCGAGAACAAUACAUUGUUUUACCAUAAAAUGACAUUUUCCCCAAUUUAAGACCAAGUUCUUCUUGAUACAUCUCUGUAGAAUUAGUGUUAGAUGAUGUAAACAUUGAUCAAAUGAAUCACCAAAGAUAGAAAAGUCAUCCAUAAAGACUUCAAGAAAUCGUUCAACCAUAUCAGAAAAAAUAUUUAACAUGCAUCGUUGAAAUGUAGCAGGUGCAUUACAUAAUCCAAAUGACAUUCUCCUAUAUGCAAAAGUGCUAAAAGGGCAAGUGAAAGUGGUUUUCUCUUGAUCUUUUGGUGCUAUGGGAAUCUGAUUAUAUCCUGAGUAACCAUCUAGAAAGCAAUAAAAUUCAUGGCCUGUUAAUCUAUUAAGCAUUUGAUAGAUAAAUGGUAAAGGGAAAUGGUCUUUACGUGUGACAGAAUUCAACUUUCUAUAAUCAAUGCAAACACGCCAUCCUGUAGUUACUCUAGUGGGUAUCAAUUCAUUAUCGGCAUUCAUAACUACUGUGACUCCUGACUUUUUAGGGACAACUUGUACAGGACUGACCCAUGAACUAUCAGAAAUGGGGUAAAUGAUACCUGCAUCUAAUAGCUUAAGGACUUCAGUUCUAACAACUUCUUUCAUGUUAGGAUUUAAUCGACGUUGCAUUUCCCUAGUAGGUUUAACAUUUUCAUCAAAGUGAAUGUAAUGCAUGCAGUCUACUGGGUUUAUACCUUUUAUGUCUGCUAUGGUCCAUCAUAAUGCUCCUUUAUGCUCUUUUAAAACAUCCAACAACUUACUUUUUUGUUCGUCAUUUAGGGAUGAUGAGAUGAUUACCGGCAUAGUACUUUCUUCUCCCAAAAAUGCGUAUUCCAAUGUGUUGGGUAAUGGUUUGAGCUCGAGUUUCGGUGGUGAUUCUGAUGAUGGGAUGAGUUUCUUCUCUGAUGGUGCUAGUUGUUCAACUCUUGACUUCCAUUUAUUAGUGUCCAUGGAUGAUGCUGAGUCAAGUAGGGCGUUGACCUCAUCGAUCGAUCUGUCAAUAUCAAAAUCCAAACCAAAGUGAGUUAAACAUGUUUGUAAAGGAUCAUCACUAAGGUUUGAAAGAAAAGUAUUAUCAACUAUUGUUUCUAUUAAAUCCACAUCAACAAUUCCAUCAUCUGCAUUGUGAGGUUGUUUGGCAAUGUUGAAGAUGUUUAGCUCCAUAGUCAUGUUGCCGAAGGACAACUGCAUAUUUCCAGUCCUGCAUUGAAUGUGAGCAUCCGCAGUUGCCAAGAAAGGUCGGCUUAGAAUAAUGGGGAUGUGCUUCCUUGAAUCCUGUAUUGGUUGAGUGUCAAUUACAAUAAAAUCAACAGGAAAAUAAAACUUGUCUACCUGGAUAAGAACGUCCUCCACAAUACCACGAGGUAUUUUCAUGGACCGAUCUGCAAGUUGUAACAGCACUGGAGUUGGGUGUAAUUCUCCCAGUCCAAGUUUCACGAAAACUGAGUAAGGUAACAGAUUUACACUAGCUCCUAAAUCCAACAAAGUAUUCUUAAUUGUGUGGUUCCCUAUACUACAUGAGAUAGUGGGGGAGCCUGGGUCUUUGCAUUUUAGAGGAAUUUAAUAUUGGAGUAUAGAACUAACGUUUUCUGUUAAAAAUACCUUCUUUUGAACAUGAAUAUUUCUCUUUUUAGUACAAAGGUCUUUAAGAAACUUGGCAUAAGAUGAAACUUGUUUUAUAGCAUCAAGCAAAGGGAUGUUAACACUUACCUGUUUGAAGAUUUCAAGAAUCUCACCUGUGGAUUUUCCCUUCUUUCCUUUAGCUAACCUCUGAGGAAAUGGAGCUUUGGGAACAUAUUCUUGUGAGUUGGUUUCUUCUCUCUCCUCCGGUGAUGAGUCCUCAACAUUCACAUGUACAAUUUGAUUUUCUUUUGUCACUGGCAUCUCCACUUUGUUGUCGACUUCUUUUCCUUUUCGCAAGGUCAUGAUUGCUUUGACCUCUCCAUGCUGCUGUGGUGAACUGGUACUUGCUUCAUGUACUCCUUUAGGAUUACACACUAGUUGAAUUGGAAAUUUACCUUUUUCAACAGUCAUUGCCAAGGUCUGAACAGAAGAAGCAAGUUGUCCCACCAUCUUGUCCAGGCUUGAAACUGAUUGGGCUUGUGAGUUGAAACAUGCUCUCAACUCAUUUCGUAGUCCAUUAAUGGUGCGAUUCUGUUGCUCAAUCGUAGAGUGAGUAACAUUCUUGAAAUUAUGGAAUGCAUCCUCCCAUGGUCUGGGUUGAGAGUAGUUUUGGUUUUGAUUGUAUGGUCUAAAUGGUGGCUGAGAGGCUUGAGGAAUUUGAGGAAUUGGUUGCAUUGGUAGAGCUGGAGCUGCUGGUCCAUUCUGUUGGAAUCCUUGAGACCAUGAAAAAUUGGGGUGGUCUCUCCAUCCAGGGUUAUAUAUGUUGGAGUAUGGGUUGUAAUUUGAUGGUUUUCUCAUUACACCUAUGGCAUUGGCUUGAUCUGAGUAUGAGUCAUGGUCAUGUGGUUCUGUUGAUUUAGCAGUCGAUAACGAUGCUAUUUGUCGAGCGAGACCUUCAACCAUCUCUUUAACUUCUUUGAUUCCCGAAGUUGACUCGCUAAUGUGAACCUCAUUCACUCCUUUAAUUCUUUUAGUAUUCCUGAGUGACCGACUACGUUGUUGGGAAUUAUCCGCUUGUCGCUGGAAGAAUUCCCAAAUCUCUGAUGCACUUUUUGACAUUAGCUCUCCUCCACUUGUUGCCAUUAGCCAUUCUUGCACAUUCGGCAAUAAUCCCUCCAAAAAGUAUUGGCAUUGGUGCCAUUUCUCGUACCCAUGAUGUGGACACUUCAAGAGUAGCCCAUUGAAUCGCUCCCAUGUUUCGAAAUACUGCUCGUCUUCUCUCUGGGCAAACUCUAAAAUUUCCCUGCGAAUAGCAUUGGUUUUAUACACUAGAAAAUAUUUAUUAAAAAAUUUUGUUACCAUUUAUUCCCAUGAUGUGAUGCUAUUAGCAGGCAAUGUAUUGAGCCAUGAACGAGCUCUAUCCUUUAAAGAAAAUGGGAAUUGUCUAAGUUUAACAUCAUCAUCUGAAAAAUUCUCAUAUCUAAAUGUUUGACAAACAGCAUGAAAAUCAUUCAAAUGAUUAUAUGGGUCCUCAUUUUCUAAGCCAUAGAAUGCGGGGAGACAAUUUAGCACACUAGGUUUUAGUUCAAAACUCCUAGCAGCUACAUUUGGGUAUCUUAUACAUGAUGUGCUCAAAUUAGCUAAGGGACUAAAAUUGUCCUUAAAUGGCCUCUCCUGUGGUGCUUGUAAAUCCAUUCCAAAUUUAUUUUUAACGUGCUUGUGUGUGCGAAAUAUUUUUUCUAGUUCAAGGUCUAUAGGUUCAUGAUUAUGUAAUAAUGACCUACGACCAUACAUGUAAGAAACACAAAAAUAAAUGGGAACAAAACAAAUAAAAAUAAAGAAGAAGGAGAAAUUACGUUACUAACCUUAUCACGCUGUUAAAACCUUUCUAUAAAAAUACACAAAAAUAAAUACGUGAAAUAAAUUAACUAAAAAAAAAAUUAGUAAGAUAAACAAAAAUUACAAAGAAGAAAAAAAAUAACUUGAAAUUAAAUUACAGAAUUUUAAAGAAGAGAAAAAGAAAAGAAAUACUAACCUCUAGAUGCAGAUUCACUUUUUUUUUCUUUUUUUUAAUAAGAAAAAAAUACAAGAAAACAAUUAAAAGAAAUUAUUCACAAAAAUUAAUUCUACAAAUUAAAAUUACUUACCUCCCCGGCAACGGCGCCAAAAACUUGUUGUGCAAAUUUUAUUGAACUCGCAAGUGCACGAAUCUAUUGUAGAAUAGAUCAAUGGUGACGAGUGUCGAUCCCACGAGGAGGUGGAUUUUAAUUGUGUGUAGAAUUAAUUUUCUAAAUUGGUGGUUGGAUUUGUGGUGAAAAUGAUUUGGAUUAUCCUAAAAUUCGAAUUAAAAUGGCAAGAAUAACUUGAAGUGAAAAUUAUAAUAAUUGAAGCGCUUGGGUAUCUGGAUCCGCAUCAACAUGCAUCAUGGGCUAAAUAUUCCUUAUUAGUGCCAAUUAAAUCAUGAGGGGGGAAUCCACACCUCAUGAACCACACUCUAAUCAAUAUGGUGCGAAUGGCUUAUCGUGCCAAAUAAUAAUAACCUUGUACUAGAGAGCCGGUGAAACCAAGGCGGUAUCUAGACAAGAUUAUUAUUAUUUGUCGACGAGAAGUCAAAACAUCCACAAAAACUAGAGGGGAAGAGAAAAUAAAUUUACCAAAAUAAAGCCCAUGACACAUGUUGAGACUUCACCUUCAACCCAAGCUUGAAAGAAAAUUAGCUACUCAUAAUUGAACUAGGGGAAAAAAGGAAAUUUAUUAAAAUACGUAGAAAAUACAAGAUGGAGAAUGAAUUACAGAAAAUGGAGUCCAAAAAUGGAUUCAGAGAUAUCAAAUUAGGGGGGAGAGCCCCCUUUUUAUAGAUACAUUGAGUAAAUCAUGGCCAUCGGAUCAAAAACAUUUCGGACACUCAGGAUUGUGCCACGUCAUCAGUCAACAGUACGCGGUUUGACCACGCGGUUUGAACAGUAACACGGUUUGACCCGGGUUGAACAGUGACGCGGUUUGGUUGAAAAUAAUCCUAUGUAAUGCAUGUACCGUAUGCGAGAUUUUUGGUCCACUGAUAUGCUGCCACGUCAUCGAUCAACAGUGCAUAAGACUUUUAGUCCAACAGGAUCGUGACACCUCAUCAGUCAAUGCCACAUCAUCGGCCAAUGCCACAUCAUCGAUCCGUCUAUGUGAACAGUGUCGUGAACAGUAACGUAGACAAUACCAUACAUGUGAAUAGUAUCGUACAUGUGAACAGUGUCAUUUUUCUUUUUAUGCUCCUCCUAAGGUUUUCGACCAUCCUGAGUUUAAAAGUGAUGUCCGUUUUACCGUCUGAUCUCUCGUUCAUUGUGAAAUGAAUGUGAUGCCCUAAAAUAUAUAAAAUAUUUAAUUAUAAUACAGCACACAUAAUUAAAUGACAAAAAGUUUAAAUACAUAAAAGUAAGGGUGUUAGUAAAACUUGAAGUGUAAAAUGACGAUUUUCUCCUUUAUAAAUAUACAUUUUCUAACACUUAACAUGUUACAAGCAAGCAUAAUAGAUUGAAGUUUAGCAGAUCUGAUGCCAAAAGUAAAUGCAUUCUAAUCCUGGUUUAUUCUGAUGUUUGGGAAUCACUGGAUAUGUCUCUGGGAGGUACAAAGUACAUGGUGACUUUCAUUGAUGAUUAUUUCAAGAGAUGUUAGGUGUUUCUAAUCAAGAAACAGUCAGAUGCAUUUUUAGUGUUCAAAGAAUAGAAAACGCAAGUGGAACUUGAAUUCGGGAUAAAGUUGAAGUGUUUGAGGACAAAUAAUAGUGGAGAGUAUACAGAUGAUGAGUUCCUUGCAUACUGUAAGUAAGAAGGUAUUUAGAGAUAGUUCAUGGUGGCACUCCUUAACAGAGUGGAGUAGCGGAGCUAACAAAUGAGACUUCUAUAGAAAGAAUAAGAGCUAUGUUGAGGACUGCUAGUCUACCAAACUCAUUUUGGGCAGAAGCAGCCAAAAUCGCUUGUUAUAUGGUUAAUUAGUCUCCAUUAACAACAAUUGAGUUGAAGACACCAAUGGAGAUGUGGACUGGGAAGUUAGCUAAUUACUCUCAUUUGAAUGCAUUUAGAUGUCCUGUAUAUGUUAAGUACAAUACCCACGAAAGAAUAAAGUUUGAUCCAAAAUCUAAGAGAUGUAUCUUCUUGGGAUAUGUUGAUACAGUGAAGGGAUAUUGUUGGAUAAUUUCUAUUGCUAUGGGUGUCAAUGUGCAAGUGUACACAACAAGUAAUGUACUAAUGAGUAUUUAGAUCGUCUCUAUAGGGAUUGAUGUUAUCAGAUUUGCUACAGCAAUCUUAACAGUGCAAUUUUGUUCUAAAUUAAAAUAAGACAAUUUAUGAAACUAAUAAACUAAUUAAACUAAAAAUGUAAUAAAUAAAAUGCAAUUAAGAAAAUCUCACGUCAAACACAAGGAUGCAACCAAUAAGAAUAGAGUAGUUGAGUGAAUAAACUCACUUAAUGACUUUGACUAUUUUUCAAUUAUAGUAUUGUUGCUAUAGCAUUUACUACAGCACAGGGCAAAAUCCCUCAUGCAUUCUCAGUUGUCGCCUGUUGGAUAUCUUAUAUCUAAUGCAACCUAACAGUGACCAAUUGUUAUGCUAACAUUAGAUAUAACAUUUAAUGUUCUAAGUUCUAAUUACCCUACAAGAUGAAUCUGUAUAUUAUCUAGUUCUUCACUAAUUUUUGAUUAAGUAUGACCCUAUUCAAAUUGAGAUUCACUCAACUUGGGAAACCCAAUCUAAAACCAAGUAUUGUCUUAAUUUGAUCCACUGAGUUAGACUUUUUUUAGGCUCUUCCACUAGGUCAGACCUUUUUUAGACUCUUUCUUAGCUUGUAUCCACAAAUGAUUGGUCAGCCGAAAUAGAGAAUUGAAAUAAAUACAAUUAAGACAAAAUGCUAUAGCAAACACAGAGCAACACACGUAUAUCAGUCAAACAUCUAUUAAGAUCGUUUAUCACUUAACUACACUAAAAUUUAGUUCAUAAUUUGUGAUAGAACAACAAAUACAAUUGUUAUAGCCAUCCAAUACAUUCCCAUAAGUAAAUAGAAAACCAAAAAAUAAGAAUAAGAACUGAAGUCUGCUUGGUCUUUGUGAUUUCACCUCUGUUUCCUUCUUGAAUCUAUUGUUACAGCCCUCAAAACUAUCUUUUAAUUUCUACUUUCUUAUUAUUUAUGUUCGGUGAUCUCCUUGGGUGACAACUCUCUCUUUUUCUUUUCAUGCGUGUUUCUUUUAUAACACAGAAUUAGGGCAACUAAAAGUGUGUGGCACGUAUCCUCCAUUUUAGAAACUUUAGAUUGCAAUCUUUUAGUUGUUGCGUGCGAAAUCCAGUCUGUCAUUGCUUCAAGAUUGCUACAACAACGGCAACAGCAUCUACACUGUUCCAGACUUGUUUUAAUUCCUCUGUACCUAAGUUUUUUCAUUGUCUCUGUAAGUCUGUUGCGGCAUGCAUUUCUUCCUUAAAACUUGAGCUUUUAGGCAGCUAUAAUUAUUUAUAUAAUCUAAAUACAAAUUAUUCUAAAACAACUCAAUUUAUUAAAAAUAAACUAAAAUGGAUGCUCAUGCAAAUUGUAACUAAAAUGAAAUAAAAGCACAUAAUUUAUUCUCUAAGUAUUAUUAAGUUAAGUCUAAAAGUGUCAUGAUAACUCUCAUUUCAUAGAGUUAUCAGGUAUCGUAUGUGGGAUCCUACUGCCCACAAGAUAGUCAUCAGCAGAAUUAUUAUCUUUGUAGAAGAUUGAGUACAAAGAAAAGAUGAGAAUGAUAGCACUGUAAAGAAAACGUCAGAGAUUGUACUGGUAUAUAUGGAAAAUAAUUUAUAAAGAAAAGAUUCAGGUUUUUCUAAAGCAACCCUAGAGCAUAAGGAACAAGAAUCAGUCGAAUCCGAGGCUCUAGAACUUUGUCGGUCAACUUAUGAGAGACGAUCACUAGUGUGGCACUCGAAGUAUGUUAUAAAGAUCAAUAUUGCGUACUGUCUUCUAACAAAGGAUAGAUAGCCAUCUGAUAACUCUAUGAAAUGAGAGUUAUCAUGGCACUUUUAGACUUAAAUUAAUAAUACUUUGAGAGUAAAUGACAUGUUUUUAUUGCAUUUUAGUUUAUUUUGUAUGAAUAACUAUUUUAGUUUAUUUUUAAUAAAUUACAUUAUUUUAGAAUAAUUUGCGUGGAUAAAUCAUAUGCAUAAUUGUAGGUGUUCGGAAGCUCAAAUUUCAAGGAAGGAAUACUGAUGCAAUAGGCUUGCAAAAAUAAGGAAAGAACAUAGCUACAAAAGAAUUGAAACAAAUCUGGAAUAGUGCAGUUGCUGUAGCCGUUGCUGUAGCAGCCGUUGCUGUAGCAACCAUUGUUGUAGCAAUCCUGGAACAACGACAGAGAAAAUUCUGUGUGGGAUACUUGCAGAAUUGUGAUCUGCAGUUUCCUAAUCUGACUUAUGCGCACCCUACGCUUCCCUUUACCCUAAUUUUUAGCUAUAAAAGAAGCACACAUAAUAAGGAAUAGGGAGAGCCGUCACCCAAGGAGAAAGACAGAAAGAAACAAAAGAACAACAAGAUUCAAGAGAGAGAUUAAGGGCUGCACAAGAGCAAAAAUUGUAGAAAUCAAUUGAGAGCUCAAUCCUUCUUAUCAUUCUCUUGUUUUCGUGUUUUCUAUUUAUUCAUGGGGAUGUGUUUCAUGGCCGAAACUUUGUUCUUUAUUUUUCUUUUGCAAACCAUGAACUAAAUUUAUUUGUAGUUGAGUGAUAAACAAUCUUGAUGGUUUAUUUACUGAAAAUAUGAGUUGCUGCAUGUUUGUUGUAUCAUUUUGUUUUGAUAGCAUUUAUUUUUAUUCAUUAUUUCGAUUGAUCACUCAUUUAAUAAUACAAGUUAGGGGAGAGCCACAAAAGGGCCUAUCUUAGUGGAACAUAUCAGAGCAAUACUUGGUCUUAGAUUAGGUUUCCUGGAUUGAGUUUUACUUGAGUCCAAAAGGGCCAUGCUUGAUCUAAGAUUAGUGAUGAAUUAGACAUAGGGAUUCACCUUGUAUGGUAAAUAGAACCUAAGCGUACUGUAAUGCUACAUCUUAUGUUGGCAUAACAACUGAUAACUGUUAGGUUGCAUAUAGAUAUAAGAUAUCCAAUAUCCGACGGUUGAAGAUACAUAAGGAUUCUGCCCAGUGCUGUAGCAACCAAGCCAAACAUUAGAAAAAUAGUCAAAACCAUUAAGAGAGUUUAUUCACUCAACUACUAUAUAUUCCCAUUGAUUUUAUCCUUGAGCUUGACGUGAUAAUUUACUUUGUUGCAUUUUAUUUAUUGUGUUUUUUAUUUUAAUUAGUAUAUUAAUUUCGUUAAUUAUUUUUUCUUAAUUUAGAACAAAAUUUGCACUGUUAAGAUUGUUGUAGCAAGUCUGAUAACAUCAAUCCCUGUGGAUUGAUGUUGCCGGGGAUUGAUUGCACAUUGACACUAAUAGCAUUUGAAUUUAUACCCAACAAGUUUUUAGCACAGUUGCCGGAGAUUGAUUGUUCAUUGUGAUUUGUGAAAUUAGUUUUAACGGUGCUAAUUUUUAAUUUUAUUUUGAUUUGUUUAUUUUGUUGACAUAGGUGAUCUAGCAACCCUUGCAUGGGCAAAUAUAAAUAUGUUAAAUUCCAAUUUGAUCCAGAAAUUGAAAGAACCGCAAGGAGAUUAAGAAGAGAGUGUCGGGAAUUACAAACUGCUGUAGUAAUGGAUGAUUUGCAAGAUAUAAGGAAUUUGAACCCCUGAGGAGAAAUACAACCAGUAAUUGCUCAAGGAGGUCAAGAAGGUCAGAAUGGGUAGAAUAUUCAUGGGAAACCAGGCCAUAACAAUAUUAUUUACAUGACAGACGAUAUAGAUAGAGCCAUUCGAGACUAUGAAGUGUUGACUCCUCAAGCCAUGCAUCUUGGAAUAGUUAGACCCGACGUUCAAGCUGACAAUUUUGAGCUUAAGCCAGUGAUGUUUCAGAUGCUGCAAACAGUGGGGCAAUUUAAUGGACUGGCAUAAGAAGAUCAUCAUCUACAUCUUAAGCUAUUUUUGGAAGUGAGUGAUGCUUUCAAGAUUGCUAGAGCAUCGCAGGAAGCAUUGAGACUCAGACUUUUUCCAUUUUCUUUUAGAGAUCGAGCAAGAGUAUGGUUGAAUUCUCUACCACCAGAUUCUAUCACUGCAUGGAAUGAUUUGGCUGACAAAUUUUUGAUGAAAUACUUCUUGCCAACCAAGAAUUCAAUGUUGAGGAAUGAGAUCACAUCUUUCCAUCAACUUGAAGAUGAGAGCUUGUGUGAUGCAUGUGAGAGAUUUAAGGAGUUAUUCAGAAGAUGUCCUCAUCAUGGCAUUCCUUGCUGCGUACAGUUGGAAACUUUCUAUAAUGGUCCCAACCCAAGCACUAGAUUGAUGGUGGAUGCUUCAGCAAAUAGGGCCUUGUUAUCUAAGUCUUACAAUGAGGCUUUUGAAAUUUUGGAGAGGAUAGCCAACAAUAAUUAUCAGUGGCCAUCAACCAGACAAGCUACAGCAAUAAGAGUAGCAGGAGUCCAUAACGUAGAUGCCUUGACAGCAUUGUCAGCCCAAGUAACUUCUUUAACAAAUAUGGUAAAGACUAUGACUACUGCUCCAGCAAUUGUUAACCAAAUUUCUCAUGUGUCUUGCGUUUAUUAUGGAGAAGGGCAUUUAUUUGACAAUUGUCCUAGUAAUCCAGCUUCGGUUAACUAUAUGGGCAGCUUCAACAGACAGAACUAGAGUAAUCCAUAUUCAAACACUUACAACCCUGGAUGGAGACAACAUCUGUACUUUUCAUGGAGUUAUCAAAACCAGACAGUACCCAGUGGAUUUAUCAGAAAAAUCAAGAGCAAAGAAGCAUCAACAAUGAUAAACUCAACUCUCUUGAAGAUUUGAUUAAGGAUUAUACUGUGAAGAAUAAAGCAGUUGUCUAAAGUAAUAUUGUAUCUUUGAGAAACUUGAAAAAUCAAAUUGGACAGCUUGCUACAGUAUUGAGCAACAGACCUCAAAGUAGUUUACCCAGUAAUACAGAGGACUUAAGAAGAGAAGGGAAAGAGCACUGUAAAUUGAUUAACUUGAGAUUUGGAAAGGAUGUUCAUAGUCCCUGUUGGUGUACCAAAAAGAAGAGCUGAGUCCAUUUCAAUCCAGAAAGAAACUCACAUUGAAAAAGAGCCACAAUCCUUCAUUUCACAGCACACUGGUGAGACCAGUCAAGCUACAACAUUUGUCGAAAAUGAUGAUCCAACACUUGUGGAUAACGAGGUUGUAGCACCAACCCAGAACAUGGCAAAAGAGAAGCAGUCUGCACAACCUAUUGCAGCACAGCAGUUUAGGCACCCACCACCUUUCCCUCAAAGAUUUCAGAAGCAGCAACAAGACAAGCAGUUCAGCAAAAUCUUGGGAGUGCUGAAACAACUACAUAUCAAUAUCCCUUUUGUGGAAGCUCUAGAGCAAAUGCCAAACUAUGCGAAAUUUUUGAAGGAUAUCUUGACAAAGAAAAGAAGAUUUGGAGAAUCUGAGACAAUUGCUCUAAUACAAGAGUACGCCCAAAUGCUUCGGAGUAAGAUACCGCAGAAGAUGAAAGAUCCUAGAAGCUUUACAAUCCCUUGCUCCAUAGGCACUAAAUACAGUGGUAAAGCACUUUGUGAUCUGGGGGCUAGCAUCAAUCUCAUGCCUUUAUCAAUGUUUAAGCAAUUGGGAGUUGGUGAAUGUAGACCAACAACAGUGACUUUACAACUUGCUGACAGAUUUCAUGCAUAUCCAGAAGGGAAGAUUGAAGAUGUGUUGGUGAAGGUGGAUAAAUUUAUUUUUCCGGUAGAUUUUUUUGCGUUAGACUUUGAGGCAGACAAAGAAGUGCUAAUCAUUCUAUGGAGACCUUUCUUAGCCACGGGAAAGACUUUAAUUGAUGUUCAAAAAGGAGAAUUAAACAUAAGGGUGAGUGACCAGCAAGUUACAUUCAAUGUGCUGGAUGCCAUGAAGAGUCCCAAUGAGAUUGAAGAUUGUAAUUUUAUCAGUGUUGUGGACUUUGUUGUAGCAGAGAGAUUACACAGUUGCUGCAGUAAGGAAGAAAUCAAUGUUGUAACAUUUGAAGAACUUGAUGAUGAAGAUCGUGGAGCAGUUAACAUAACAUGGUCAGGGGAGAAGCAACCCUUCAGAAUUUAUGAGCAAAUCCAACAAAGGGAACUCACUCCAAACCAACAAGAAUUCAAGGUUAAUGGGCUGAGAGUGAAGCGCUCUAUGGGAGCUGAUGUGAACAGCCUAAAGAAGGAUCGGUUCUUGAAGGAUUCAGGUUGAGCGAACAAGAAAGGUCAAGCUGAAAGACCUAAAAUCAAGCCCUAAUUGGGAGGCAACCCAAUAAGGGAAGUUGUUUCAAGUUUUUAAGGCAUUGAAUUUAGCUUUUAAAUUAUUUAAUUUGUCUUUUCGAUAUUUUAAGUGUGCAUCUAAUUUUUUAUGUCUUUGUGUUAAAUUGCAGCACGUAAAAAAAAUGUGGGCAAAAAGAGCAAGAGGGAAUUGCUGCAGCAUCACUUACAGCAUGACAUAUAACAGAAGAUUCUUAAACAACAAAGGCAUUUCUUGCUUUUGCAACAGCAAAUGGAUUGAUAAGAUUUUAUGAUAAGGAGCGUUUGAGAAGUGGAUCAAAGAAGAAGUGACCCUUUACAGACUGUGCUGCAGCAGUGCUUCCAGCAACAGGGCAGUACCCCCUACCAGCUAGUUUAUCUUACUUUUUUCUGCAAAACUUUUCUUUCAUUUAGUUUUAAUUUUUUGAUUCAUUCUGCAUGUCCUUUUAUUUAGUGUAUGCAUUUCUGGUUUAUAUGGUUUUGUUUUGUGUGCUUGUGAGGACACAACACCACUCAAGUUUGGCGGGGUUGUGUUUAUGAGUGCAUGUGUUUAUGCUUGUGUUGUGUGUUGUGUGUUGUGUGAGGCUCUGUUAUCUAGUAUGUAACACCCUAGUUUGAAUUCCAAGGGCAAAUAUGUUCACAACUCACAUAUGAAUUUAAAUAACUCUAUACAAACGAUAGAAUUUGAGCCUCAAAUACAAAAACCAGCGGAAUAAUUUAAAAAUUUAGCCAAACCAUCUACCAUCUUCAACUUCUCACUCAUCACAAAUCAAUCUUGACUUCUGAAAACUGAAUCACAAUAAACUAUAAUGAGUAUAAAACUCAGUAAGCAAACUAGUUUUUUUCUUAUACGAAAGUACAUACAUACUUAUACAUAAUGCAGAUGAAUGAUAUGUCAUGAUCUUUUGGAAAUAUUGUAAAACAAAUUCAGCAAAAUCUCUUUCUCUCGCUUUCAAACUUUCAUAUUUUCUUUCAAUAAAAUACGUAUCCUGCAAUGUGGCACUUUGUGCUGCGCGUGGCACUUUAGGGCGCUUUGGCCCUCAAGAGGUGGCCCCCACAGUCUCAAGAGGUGGCCCCCACACAACUUCAAGAGGUGGCCCCCAAUGCAAAAUCUCAUAAAACAAAAAUCCCAUUUGCUAAAAUCCACUUUUUCAUUCAUAGAAAAUUCAAUGCAUUUUCGUGCUCAUGCCAAUGAACCAUCACACAUACAUAUGCCCAUGUACAUAAUCACGCCCAAUAUAUAACAACACAUCACAUAAACACAUGAGACACAUAAAUCCAUAUUUGUACAUAUCAAAAUAGGCUUUUCACACAAGUCAAACAUAUAUAUUGUUUAUUGUGAUUCAUUUAAAAGUCUAGUUUACUUACCUCUUAGCAUCCUCAUGUAACAAAUUCGUAUUGAUAUCAUCAACCUAAAAUCAUCAAUAAAUUUCUCAUAAGAUAUAAUCGAGUCUCAAUCAUAAACUCUAAUGUCCUGAAAUAUCUCAAUUUAAACAUCUCCUAAACUCAACCUCAAAUCUCCUCAAUAAUCAACCCUCAAAACAGAACAGUCCAUAAUCUCUGAUUUUUUAAUAAAUUAUUCCCUCAUUGGAAAACUCUCAAAUUUUACACACCAUAUGCUGACAUAUUGAAAGUUCAUUUAAAAAAAUUUCAUAACUUGAUUCCUUUCAAAACUAUUGAAAAUAAUUGACGUUUUAGACAUCAUCAAUGUUGUCAAAUAAUUUUCUGUUUUGCACACACUUGCUUUAAAAAUACAAAACAAUUUAUUGAUUUAUCAUAAAAUCAUGAAAAUUUACAUAAUCAUACAGACAUAUAUAAAAAUCACUGAUCAAAAUUUCAUAAUUUUUGAAGAAGUCUAGUUAUGGUAAAAAUAAUUUCGUAAUUCACGUUGUGCACUGAAAUCAGAAAUUUUCAGGCUUUCAGACUUGAAUUUGAAAAAUCGUAACUACUUGAAAUCUUAUCUAAUUAACUUGAAACAAGUUUCAAAACAUUCUAGACGAUGUCUACUUUAACAUAUCCAAAAAUCAGAAUCAAAAUCAAUUUGUACAAAUUACUAAGAUUUUCGUAAUAAUUCACUGUCAGCAUAUUUAUGCAAAAUCUUAAGUUUCUACUUCUAUUGCAAUCAUGCUUCUCCAUAACGAAUUAAUAAAAACCAAGAAUUAAAACUUACCUCCAAAUCCAAAUCUUCUCUCAACAAUACCUAAUUCAAAUUAUGCAAUUUGAUCUCAUGUGUUGUCAUGGCAGAACAAAGAAGAAGAAGAAGACUUUCUUCUUCUCUUUUUCUUUUCUUUUCUCUCUUUUCUCUCCAUCUCUCUCUCUUUUGGGCUUUUUUUUUUGUUUUAGCCGAUUUCUCCUUCUUCCUCUCUCAUAAUGGAAAAGACAUUUUGUUCUAUUUAUACUAGGGUAUAAGGGAUCACUAAAAACUAAAAAGACUUAAAUACCCUUAGGAGAUUUGGAGUAUUACAUAGUAUUUGUGUAUGGAUUUGAAAACCUAAUGAAGAUAAAUUGAGUGUUAUUCAGUAUUUAUGAGAAUGCCUAAUAGGGAUAAUUAUAGUUGGAGGUUGAAAUUUUGUCUCGACACUUAGACUUUGGUUGAGUUUUAUGAGAAUGUUGUAGCAGAGUCAAGAAAACAAAAAAGAAUAGAAAAUAUCUCAAGUUUGGAGGAAAAUUUUUGUUGAACUGUGCUUGUUAUGAAAUAAAUUUUGCUCCAAUGGCUUAAGUUACCGAGUAACCAGGGCUGAGUAUGUACCCCAUAUGCAGACUUGAGUCCAAAGGCAACAAGAGUUAUGAGCAUUGCUGUAGCAUCUAUAGCUGAAAAAAAACACAAAAAAGGUCCUCUGUAUGAGAUAUUGAGUAGCCAGGUCUGUUUAUGAGCCCCAUGUUCAUCCUUGCGUUAAAAAUAUUUUUAGAUAAGACUAUGUUAUGAGUAUUGCUACAGCAACUCUGAUAUGUGCAUUGGUUGAGUAAUUGAGUAUCUCGACAUUCACGUGAAAAAUCAAUGUUACAUUGAAGAGGGUUGAAGUAAAACAAAAAAAAAAAAAUUAUUAUUGUUGUAGCACAGUUUGAGUAUAUUUGUGAUUUUUGCUCCCCAAUAUGUGAAUAUAUUUGUGUUCUACCUCUGAAUUAUAUGCAAUGUUUGUGUAAUAUUGUAGCACCUAUGGAAUCUGAUCAAAGUGGCACACACACACUUUGGACAGAAUGAUGCCUAAGUUUAGAAUUGGACUGUUAUGGCUAUUUUGCAUGAUUAAGAGUGUGAUCUGAGGGUGGAAGAAUCCUUGCAAAUUUGAUGACAUAACUAAGUCCUUUGUUGCAUGAUUGUGUAGUGUUGUUGUCAUUACUUGAGGACAAGUAAUUGUUUAAGUUUGGGGGUGUGAUAACUCUAUGAAAUGAGAGUUAUCAUGGCACUUUUAGACUAAAAUCAAUAAUACUUUGAGAGUAAAUGACAUAUUUUUAUUGCAUUUUAGUUUUAUUUUGUAUGAAUAAAUAUUUUAGUUUAUUUUUAAUAAAUUGAAUUGUUUUAGAACAAUUUGCGUGCUUAAAUUAUAUGCAUAAUUGUCGGUGUCCGGAAGCUCAAAUUUCAAGGAAGGAAAGCUGAUGCAAUAGGCUUGCAAAAAUAAGGAAAGAAUAUGGCUACAAAAGAAUUGAAACAAAUCUGGAACAGUAUAGUUGCUGUAGCAGUCGUUGAUGUAGCAGUUGUUGCUGUAGCAACCAUUGCUGUAGCAAUCCUGGAACAACGACAGGAAAAAUUCCGCGUGGGAUACUUGUAGAAUUGCGAUCUGCAGUUUCCUAAUCUGACUUAUGCGUGCCCUAGGCUUCCAUUUACCCUAAUUUUCAGCUAUAAAAGAAGCACACAUCAUAAGGAAUAAGGGGAGCCGUCACCCAAGGAGAAAAACACAAAGAAACAAAAGAAAAACAAGAUUCAAGAGAAAGAUUAAGGGCUGCACAAGAGGAAAAAUUGUAGAGAUCAAUUGGGAACUCAAUCCUUCUUAUCAUUCUCUUGUUUUCGUGUUUUCUAUUUAUUCAUGGGGAUGUGUUUUAUGGCUGAAACCUUGUUCUUUACUUUUCUUUUGCAAACAAUUAACUAAAUUUAUUUGUAGUUGAGUGAUAAACAAUCUUGAUGGUUUAUUUACUGAAAAUAUGAGUUGUUGCAUGUUUGUUGUAGCAUUUUAUUUUGAUAGCAUUUAUUUUUAUUAUUAUUUCGGUUGAUCACCCAUUUAAUGAUACAAGUUAGGAGAGAGCCACAAAAGGGCCUAUCUUAGUGGAACAUAUCAGAGCAAUACUUAGUCUUAGAUUGGGUUUCCUGGAUUGAGUUUUACUUGAGUCCAAAAGGGCCAUGCUUGAUCUAAGAUUAGUGAUGAACUAGACAUAAGGAUUCACCUUGUAUGGUAAAUAGAACCUAAGCGUGUAAUGCUACAUCUUAUGUUGGCAUAACAACUGAUCACUGUUAGGUUGCAUAUAGAUAUAAGAUAUCCAACAUGCGACGGCUGAUGAUACAUAAGGAUUCUUCUCAGUGCUGUAGCAGAUGCUGUAGCAACCGAGCCAAACAUAGAAAAAUAGUCAAAACCAUUAAGAGAGUUUAUUCACUUAACUACUGUAUAUUCCCAUUGGUUUUAUCCUUGAGCUUGACGUGAUAAUUUACUUUGUUGCAUUUUAUUUAUUGCGUUUUUUAUUUUAAUUAGUAUAUUAAUUUCGUUAAUUGUUUUAUCUUAAUUUAGAACAAAAUCUGCACUGUUAAGAUUGUUGUAGCAAGUCUGAUAACAUCAAUCCCUGUGUAGACGAUCUUGAAUACUCAUCACUUUAUUACUUGUUGUGUACACUUGCACAUUGACACUAAUAAUAUUUGAAUUUAUACCCAACACCAUCAACUUUCCAUGAUGCUUUAAACAACUCAUAUGUUACUUUGUGGAUGAUAGCAAUGUAGGAAGAAAUUGAAGCUCUACAUAAGAAUAAGACAUGGGAACUUAUACCACUACCACGUGGAAGAAAAGUCAUUGGAAAUAAAUGGAUCUACCAGAUCAACUGUGAUGGCAAUGAUCAAGUGGAGCGAUAUCGUGCAAGAUUGGUGGUGAAGGUAUAUGCUUAGAAAGAAAGUAUUAACUUCAACAAGAUAUUUUCUCCGAUAGUUCGACUCACGACAGUUAAGGCCUAGCAACGUUUGCUAUAUUCUACCUACACUUAGAGCAAUUGGCUAUGAAAACUACAUUUCUUCAUAGAGAACUUAAAGAAGAAAUUUAUAUGUUCCAACCAGAAGGUUUUGCUGAAACAGGUAAGGAGAACUUAGUUUUCAGGUUAAACAAAUCUUUAUGCGGUCUUAAACAGGUGCCAAGGUGUUGGUAUAAAAGAUUUAAUUCCUUCAUCAUGACCUUUAGAUACAAUAGUAUAUGUUUAGACCAUUAUGCAUACUACAAGAGGUUUGACGAUAAUGAUUUUAUCAUUCUGCUGUUGUGUUUGGAUGACAUGUUGGUAGUAGGGCACAACAAAUAUCGAGUCCAAGAAUUAAAGGAAUAAUUGAAUAAGGAAUUUGAAAUGAAGGACUUGGGACCAACAAACAAGAUUCUAGGGAUACAAAUUUACAGAGAUAGUAAUAAUAGGAACAUUUGGCUUUCUCUGGAGAAAUACUUGAAAAACAUUUUGCAGUACUUUAACAUGCAAGAUUGUAAGCCAAUUUCUACCCCACUUCCUGUUAAUUUCAAGUUAUCCUUAAAAAUGUGUCCUUGCAAUGAAGCAGAGAUGAAAUAGAUGUCUCGAGUACUGUUUACUUCAAUAACAAGAAGUUUGAUGUUCGUUAUGAUAUGUACUAGACCAGCUAUUGUACAAGCAGUGGGAACAGUCAGUAGAUAUAUGGUGAAUCCUAGUGGAGAGCGUUAGAAAAUUGUAAAGAGGGUUCUUAGAUACAUUAGAGGAACCUUAGAUGUUGUAUUAUGUUAUGGAGGAUGAAAAUUUAUUGUGAGGGGCUAUGUGAAUUUAGAUUUUAUAGGAGACCUUGAUAAAAGAAAAUCCACUACUGACUAUAUAUGUUUACACUUACAGGAGGAGCUAUAAGCUGGGUUUUAAAACUGCAAACUAUUGUGGCUUUAUCUACAACAGAAGCAGAAUACAUAGUAGCUACACAGUCUUGCAAAGAAGUUAUUUGGAUACAAAGGUUAUUGAAGGAGCUCGAGCACAAACAAGAGAAUAUUUCUAUGUUUUGUGACAAUUAUAGUGACUUGCAUAUUACAAGGAAUCCUGUCUUUUAUUCUAGGACAAAGCACAUAAGUGAUUAGUAUUAAAAAUUGUAUGAUUAUCAAGCGAUAAAAAUAUUAUUUUGUCCUUAUAUUAUAAAUUAUAUUUGUGUUUAUGCAAUAUAUUAAGAAUUAUUAAUUAUGUCUUAACUAUAUUUAAUUUUGUGUAUUUUUGUGUGUUUAUUAAGUAAAAUAUUAAAUUCGUUUAACUCGAGGCUCCAAACAGAUAAACGGAUGGCAAAUUCAGAUUCCGAAGGUCCGAAAACCUUAAGAUGAGUCAAAACCGACUUAAAAUUAAGGUUGUGUAAAAUAGUUGACUUUUCCUACUGAUCGAGCACUGAUUGGAUGAUAAAAUGAGCUUACAAUAGAUGUGAGUGCAUUGAAUAGCUAGUAAUUUUGACUAAAUCUCAAUCGUUCAUAAUUCAAUGGCCAUAAUUGUGCCACAUGGCAAUGGUUGGUGAAGAGUGUUGUAGGAUCUGAAUCUUUGUAUUCGAGUCAACCCGAUCCACCCAUUAGCCCACCAAAUCUCAACCAUUUUUUGACCAAAUCGGACGCGUCAAAUGAUGUCACGUGUAAUGUUAACUUUUGAAGUUUGACUAGUCGUUGGAUCGUGAUCUAAUGGCUGUGAGGAGGGCAUGCAUAAAGCUUAUGAUGGGCCGCAAAACACUGUCUUAACUAAAGCUUAUGAUCGUGUAAUGUUUAUUUUUCUAUAAACAAAGCCUCAUUUUUAUGUUUUUGAUCAUCUGUCUACAUCUCUCUUCUUCUGAAUUUCUCUUAAUUUCCCUAUAAUCUUGUUUUUCAAGUGUGUUUUUAAUAUUUUGUAUAAUUAUUUUUAUAAAUAAAUUUAGUUUUAUUUUCAAUUUUAGUUGUUUUUAUUAUUUUUAAUUAUGAGUAAUUUAAUUUUAAUAAUUAUUUUUAUUUCAAUUAUGCUUAACUAAACAAUAAUAGUUAGGGUAAGGUCAAACUCUUAGGAAAUAAAUAUGAUUUAAUGAAAUUCUAUUUUUAUUUAUAUAAAUUAAAUUAUUUUCUAUUUAAUUUUAUACAUAUUUUAUAUUUUGAAAGUUUGAUGUAUUAUACACAAAUAAGGGAGUUUGGCACAAUAAAUUCUCAAUAUCUUAAUAUAAGGUAUGGUAAAAUGAUAUUUUGACUUAUUGUAGACAAAUUAAAUUUUGGUACAAUAAAUACUUUGUCCGUAAUAAAAUUAAUGGAAAAAUAAUAAUAAUUUAUAUAAUUAAUCUUUUGAGCAAUAAAUCUAAAAAAAUGACAAAAAGAAUUUAUUAAAUUUUAUUUACUACUAAGUGUGGAUCCAUAACUCUAGUGGAUCUAUAACCCUUACUAAUUCAAUUUCAUAGUUUCAUUUAAAUUAAGUUGUAUAAGUUUUAUUUUCAUUUUUAGAUAAAGUAAAUAAACAAAGUAAAUGUUUUCUCUGUGGAUCGAUCUCGGACUCACUGAGCUAUAAUAUAAUAAGACACUCUUAUACUUGAGAGUUAGAAAUCACUUUUAAAAGUUGCCAAAUUUUUUGCGCCGUUGCCGGGAAAAGUUUUUAUUUUGUUUUUUUUUUUGUAAAUUUUCAUUGACACCCUUUUCCUCUUCUUAAAUUGUGUUUUGUCCAUAAAAUCUUUCAGAAUCUUUAGUUUCACCCCAUAUGGCUUUGUUCUAAGCCUUUAAAAAUUGUUGUGUGACCAUAAAAUUAUAAAGAAUUUGUAAAAAGAUCCCUAGACGAAAUUUCUUAUAUAAUUAGACUUAGACUUACAGCUUGGAAUUAUUUGGACUAAGCAAAUUGAAUAUUGACUCUUAAUUUUUUUUAGUUAUUUAAUUUUCAUUUUUAUUUUAUUUUCUUUUAUUUUAUUAUAUUAUAUGGUUGGUUUGACAGCCUAAAUUGUUAUUUAAUUUUCAUUUUUUUAUUAUUUUGCAUUUAUUUUAUGCUUUAUUUUAUAUUGUUAAUUUAUAUGGUGGGUUCAACCACCUAAAUUGUUAUUUAAUUUUAAUUGUAUUCUUUGUACACUUAUAUUAUUUGCAUAUUAAUUUUCAUUUUCUUUUGUGCAAUUUUCAUUUAGUUCUAUUGUUACUAAUUUGUUUGAAUAUUACCUUUGUGACAUAAUCAUUGCAUGAGAUGUUGGUCCUGAACUUCAAGUGGCAGGUUAAUUCAUAGAUUUCAAUCACCACCAUCAAUUAUAGAUGAGAUCCAAGAUGAAAACUUUUUGGGCGAACCUAAUCUUCAGAUUGACCAGGGAGAUAACCAUUCUCAACAUAAUGCACGUGAUCAAAAUCAACCAAGAACUCUGAAAGACUACAUGAAUCCAACUAGAACUAGAGCACCGCCGUGUAUAGUAUUUCCUCCAGAAGCAUCUCCAUUCAACUUCAAACCAGGUAUUAUCCAACUUUUACCAAUAUUUAAUGGUUUAGAAUAUGAGAAUCCAUACUUACACAUAAGUGAUUUUGAGGAAGUUUGUAAUACAUAUACAUACCAAAAUUGUAGCACGAACCUAAUUAGAUUAAAGGUUUUUCCUUUUUUGUUAAAAAAUAAAGCUAAAACUUGGUUACAAAACCUUACAUCUAGAUCAAUAAGAACUUGGAAUAACAUACAAGAACAAUUUUUGAAAAAAAAUUGUUUCCACCUCAUAGAACAAAUUCUUUUAAAAGACAAAUUACUUCUUUCACUAAACAAAAUAGAGAGACAUUAUACCAAUGUUGGGAUAGGUUUAAAGAAUUGCUUAACAUAUGUCCACACCAUGGUUUUGAAACUUUGCGAUUGGUCACUUAUUUCUACGAGGGCUUAAUACCCAAAGUAGACAGGUUGUUAAAAUGAUGUGUAAUGGUGAAUUUAGGGAUAAAAAUCCUGAAGAUGCACUAGAUUACCUUGAACAAUUAGCUGAAAAUGCACAACAUUAGGAUAUUGUUGGAACUUUUGAAUUGACAAAUAAACCACAAUCAUCUCCAUCUAGUGGAGGAAUCCAUAACCUUAGGAAAGACCAUGAUUUACAAGCAAAAUUUGCAUCCCUAGUUAGAAAAUUGAAGCUUUGGAGCAUAAAAAGAGUGAUCAAGUAAAAUCUAUUCAAGAAAUUGUAUGUAAUACUUGUAGUUCGAAUGAUCAUUUCACUCAAGAUUGUCUCGCUCUGCCUGUACUUAAAGAAUGUCUACAUGAUCAAGCUAAUGCCAUUAACACUUUUAAUAAGUCAAACCCAUAUUCACAGACUUAUAAUCCUGGUUGGAGAAAUCAUCUAAAUUUCAGUUGGAGGAAUAAUGAUAAUGCACAAUCUUCACAAGCACCACCUCUACAAAAUUUCAAAAUGCUAAGCCUUAUGCACUAUAUGUUCCACUACCAUGGAAAAAUCUUGAAGACACAGUGCAUUCAUUCACCAGAAAGCAAGAUGUUAUUAACAAUCAAAAUGCACAAACAUUUUCUGAUUUGAAAGAUGAUCUUGCUAAAAUUGCUUCUGCACUCACAAUUAAAAAAAAGGAAAAUAUCCAGCUCAACCACAACCAAAUCCUAAGAUUCAACAAAAUCCACCCAUGGACCAAGUCAAGUCAGUUAUAACUCUUCAUGGUGGUAAGGUUAUUGAUAGAUCUAUUCCUGAACCUUCGUGGUGGUAAGGUUAUUGAUAGAUCUAUUCCUGAACCUUGUGAAGAUGAUGAAAAUUCAAAGAGUAAGGAAGGAUUAAAUGAACUUACACCUAGUGAAUAAAUAACUAGUGUUCCACAUGAACCACCAUUUCCGCAUGCAUUGAAUAAAUCAAACCACUCUUCUAAAAUUUAUGAAAUUUUUAAGCAAGUGAAAGUUAACAUUCCUCUAUUAGAUGCAAUUAAGCAGGUACCUUCAUAUGCCAAAUUUUUGAAAGACUUGUGCACUGUCAAGAGGAAAUUAAAAGUAAGAAAGAAAGCUUUCAUGGCUGAACAGGUAAGUACAAUUUUGUCUGCUUUACUAAAUCUUGGUGCUAGUGUUAAUUUGCUUCCAUAUUCAGUUUAUCUUCAACUUAAUCUUGGUGAGUUAAAAUCAACUUCAACUACACUUUUGCUUGUCGAUAGAUCAGUUAAAGUACCAAAAGGAAUAGUGGAAGAUGUUUUAGUACAAGUUGAUAAAUUUAUAUACCCUGUGGAUUUUAUUGUCUUAGAAAUUAAACCUAUUAUGAAUGAUUAUAAACCAAUUCCUGUAAUUUUAGGUCGACCAUUUUUAGCAACUGCUAAUACUUUGAUUAAUUGUAGGAAUGGUUUAAUGAAUUUAUCCUUUGGAAAUAUGACUUUAGAAUUGAAUGUUUUCAACAUGUGCAGGCAACCUAAUGAAGAAAGUGAGAAUGAAGAUGAUAUUGAUGAACAAAAGGAAUUGCUUGAAUCUUGUAUAGAGAAAAAUAUUCAAAAAAAAGGAUUUUUUUAAACUCUGAUGUUUGUUUAAUUAAUUCAAUUGAGUCAAAUAAGCAAUUUGAACUUGAUUUUUUGCAUAAUUAUGAUGAAGAGCCAAAAUUUGAGGAGCUUGCAAGUAUUGAAAAGAUAGAACAACAAGAAGCACUUAAACUGGAAUUGAAACCUUUGCCUAAAGGAUUGAAGUAUGCUUUUCUUGGAGAAGAACAAACUUAUCAUGUUGUGAUUUUUUCUACUUUAACAAGCGACUAAGAAGGUAAGUUAUUAACUGUUCUUAAAAAGCAUAAAAAUGCAAUUGGAUGGACUUUAAAUGAUAUUAAAGGCAUUAAUCCCUUAAUUUGCACACAUAGAAUUAAUUUGGAAGAAAAUGCUAAAACAUGUCAACAAUCUCAAAGAAGAUUAAACCCACUCAUGAAAACGGUAGUUAAAAUAGAAGUCCUUAAAUUGCUUGAUGUGGGAAUUAUCUACCAUAUUUCUAAUAGUAAAUGGGUAAGUUCUACACAAGUAAUGCCCAAAAAAUCUGGAAUCACUGUUGUUAAAAAUGAAAAAGGUGAAUUAAUUCCAACACGAAUUACAUCUAGGUGGCACAUGUGCAUUGAUUAUAGAAAGUUAAAUGAAGCCACUAGAAAAUAUCAUUUUCCAUUACUAUUUCUUGACCAAAUCUUAGAAAGAGUAGUUGGACAUCCUUACUACUGCUUUUUAGAUGGAUAUUCAGGUUAUUAUCAAAUUCCUAUAGCACUUGAGGACCAAGAAAGACCUCAUUUACAUGUCCUUUUAGAACAUUUACAUUUAAAAGAAUGUCAUUUGGGCUUUGUAAUGCUCAUGCAACAUUUCAAAGAUGUAUGCUAAGUAUUUUCUGUGAUAUGGUGGAACAUUGUUUGGAGGUCUUUAUGGAUGAUUUGACUGUGUUUAAGAAUUCUUUGAAUGAUUUCCUUGAUAAUUUGGAGAAAGUUUUAAAAAGAUGUGUUGAAAAAGACCUUUUGUUGAAUUGGGAAAAAUGUCACUACAUGGUUACUUCUGGAAUUAUUUUGGGUCAUAUUGUAUCUGUUAAAGGAAUUGAAGUUGACAAAGUAAAAAUAGAAGUCAUAUCUAAAUUGCCACAACAAAAAACAGUUAGAGAUGUGCGAUCCUUUUUAGGACAUGUAGGAUUUUAUUGGAGGUUUAUAAAAAUUUUUAGUACCAUAUCUAAACCACUUUGUAACCUCUUAUUAAAAAAUGCACCAUUUGAAUGAACUAAUGAUUGCCAAAAAUCUUUUGAGGAAAUAAUUUUUCUUUUAACAUCUGCACCUAUUAUGAAAUCUCCUUAUUGGUUUUUACCUUUUGAAUUGAUGUGUGAUGCAUGUGAUUUUGCUGUUGGUGUUGUUUUAGGACAAAAAAUGGAUGGUAAGCCCUUUAUGAUUUAUUAUGCGAGUAAGACUUUGAAUAAUGCCCAAAUGAAUUAUUCUUCAAUUGAAAAGGAAUUACUUACUAUGGUAUUUGCAUUAAACAAAUUUCGUUCAUAUUUGCUUGGCUCCAAAUCUGUUGUUUUUACUUACCACGCAGCUGUGAGAUAUUUGAUGAGUAAACAACAUGCCAAACCGAGAUUAAUUCGUUGGAUUUUGUUGCUUUAAGAAUUUGACCUUACUAUCAAAGAUAAAAAGGGUGUCGAAAAUGUCGUUGAUAAUUUAUCAAGACUCACAUCCAAAUUCUGCACUGAUAUAACACCCAUUAAUGAUUUUUUCCCUGAUGAAUUUUUAUUUUCUAUUACUUUAAUGCCAUGGUAUGCUAACAUUGUUAAUUUCCUUGUUACAAGUAAAAUGCCUUUGCAAUUGAAUGCUCAAGAGAAGAAGAAAUGUUUUGUUGAAGUAAAGAAAUUUUAUUCGGAUGAUCCUUAUUUGUUCAAAUAUUGCCCAUAUAAAAAUUUUCUGCGACGUAUUCCUAAUAAUGAGGUCAGGAGUGUCGUUAAUGUUUUUCAUUAUGAAGCAUGUGGUGAACACUUUUCAUCAAGAAAAAUUACAGCUAAAAUUUUGUAAUGUGGAUUUUAUUGGCCUACUAUAUUCAAAGACACAUAUAAAUUUUGUAAAACUUGUGAAAAAUGUCAAAAAUUGGGAUCAAUUACUAAAAGAAACAUGAUGCCCUUAAAUCCUAUACUUGAGAUUGAAAUAUUUGAUUGUUGAGGAAUUGAUUUCAUGGGUUUGUUUCCAUCAUCUUUUGGAUUUGUGUAUAUAUUAGUUGCAGUUGAUUAUGUCUCAAAAUUGAUUGAAGCAAUUUCUUGUCGAAAUAAUGAUAGUAAAAAUGUAGUUAAAUUUUUAAGAGAAAACAUUUUAAAUCGAUUUAGAAUCCCUCGAGCCAUUAUUAGUGAUAGAGGUAAGCAUUUUUGUAAUAAGUCAUUUGAGUCUUUAAGGGAGAAAUACAAAAUUACACAUAAAGUUGCUACCCCUUAUCAUCCUCAAACAAAUGGUCAAGUUGAAUUAACAAAUAGGGAGAUAAAACAAAUUUUGGAAAAAAAGGUUAACCUAAACAGAAAAGAUUGGUCUCUUAGACUUAAUGAUGCAUUUUGCGCCUACCAUACUGCAUUUAAGACGUCAUUAGGAAUGUCACCCUAUCGGCUAGUUUAUGGUAAACCUUGUCACUUACCUGUUGAACUUGAACAUAAAUCAUUUUGGGCUAUUAAAGUUUUUAAUUCAAAUUUGGAUGAUGUUGGUAAUGUGCGAAAAUUGUAAUUGAAUGAACUUAAGGAAUUAAAGAAUAAUGAAUAUGAAAAUUCAAGAAUUAUUAAAGUAAGAACAAAAGCUUUUCAUGAUAAAAGAAUUUUUCAAAAAAUAUUUGAGAUUGGUCAAAAAGUGUUGCUUUAUAAUUCUCGUCUUCAUUUGUUUCCAAGGAAGUUAAAGUCAAAGUGGAGUGGUCCAUUUGUUGUAAAAAAUGUACAUUCAUAUGGGGCCAUAGAAAUUGAGAAUCCAAAGAACGGUGUCAUAUUUAAAGUUAAUGGUCAAAGAUUAAAACCAUAUUUGGAACAUCAACCACGUGAAGAAGACACCGAAAUCAAUUUGGGUGACCCACCAAAUCUUGAUUAAGUCUUUAAUUUUAAUGAGUGAUUCAAUUUUUUUUGUUUUACUGUUAUUUUGUUGUUUUAUUGUUUGAUUUUUUUCUCGAUUGAUGUGCACCAUACAUUUUUUUAGCAUUAUAUUUCUUGUAUAAGCGUGUUUGUUUGACAAUUGUAUUUCUCUUAUCAAUUUUGAUUAGAUGUCAUGAGUACCUUAAUAAGAAAGUUCUUGCUCACACAUCUUUAAAAUAUUUUGCGUGUGAAAUCUCACUUGAGAGGCCUGAUACAAAGCUGUAAAUCACAUCCACUUUGGGAUCUGCAACCACUAACAUUAGUGUCCUACGUUAAAGACCUAGAAAGACAACUCAGAGCAAUAGAGAGUGGUAUAUAUGAAUUUCAAUUGGAGCUUGAGGUUAACUCAUAAAAAGGACAAAUGUAAGUUCCUUUUUCUUUUUUCUUUAUGUGAUUUCGUUUUUUGUUUUGUUCACUUUUCAUGUUUGAUUUGAUUUUGCAGUUUUGAUUCUCUUUAUUUUAGUGUGUUUUGAUUUAUUUUCCCGUAUAAAUGGCGGAUAACGGUACCCCAUGACUGCUUAAGUCGGUAUCUUCAGUUUCCCACAAUAAUUGAUCCCCAAAAUCAAACAUGGAAGAAAUAUAACAUAAAAUGCAUAAGCAUUUUCCCUCUCUCCCUCAGAAUGCCCUCAGGAAAAUUUACAAAGCUCGUUGUGAACAACUGCGUUUGUUAAUGAUCAAUGGCAUUCCUUCUGACGUUCGUUGGUUAAUUGAAGCAAAGGUCUGAUUAGCAGGUGAGUUUUCUGCUCCAUUUGUUUGUUACAUGUCUGGUUUUGAUAAAAACAUAUUUGCUAAAAAAGGAAGAGCUAAAAGACUUGUCUCAGAAUGUCAUAACUGUGUACGACUUAGUUGCUGACGAGAAAUUUGUAAAUCUUUAGGAAUGGUUUCUGAUUGUGAAGAUAAAAUUAAAUUUGUUAAAGAUGGAUGAGUAAAGAAUCGUUGGAUGAUAUCUUACAAUCUCUUGAGACACAUCGAAGCGGAUAUGUGCAACGUGAGAUUCAUAAUUUGUGGAUACUAUUCCAAAAAAAAAGUGCACAGUUUAGUUUUAGGAAUCUGACUCAAAAAGAUAUUGUUUACAAAUUUAUAAGAAAACUAGAUGGGAAGCCUAUCCUCGACCUAUAAAGGGAGUUCAAGUCAUUACUGGAUGUAAAAUUAGUGGAAGAUGUUAGCCACAACCACAACUACCAGUAAAUAUCCUUUUAUUUUACUGUUCUUUUAUCAUUUGCUUUAAUGGUGUGAUUUUGUAUUUAAUAAUUAUUUAUUUUAUGUUUGCUUUUUCGAAUCACCAUUUUCUUAUUCUAUUUACUGUUUACUUUUGAAUUAUUGAGCCACGACCUUUACACGUCAUUUGACAAAUAUGCCAACCCAUUUAUAGUUGUUUCUCAUUAUUUUUGUCACCAAGAUCUUUAAAUAUGAGCUUCUUUUUCAAACACUCACAACUUGUUUUUCAAGAUUAUUCUAAUGGCAGCAUCUUCUAGUAAACAAUUCAAAAAUAUUUGUGUGCUUUCUGGGUUUCACUGUGGAAAGUACAAGGAGUUCGUUCAGGCAGUUGUAGAUCUUGGUCAUGUCAUAGCAGAGAGGAAACUACACCUUGUAUAUGGAGGAGGUGAACGAGGGUUAUCAAGGCUUGUCUCAAAAGCUGUUUUUACUCGAGGAAGCCAAGUACUAGGCAUUAUUCCAAAAGCCAUUAAACCUCUAGGAUGCCUAUUUGGCCCACCAAUUAAAGAAGAAUUAGUGGUAUCAAGUAUGCAAGAGAGAAUAUCAAAAAUGUUAAAUCAUGCUGAUGCUUUUAUUUUCUUGCCAGGAGAUCUUGCAACUCUUGAGGCACUGAUUACAUUUAUAUCUUAGGCCAAUUUGGACAUUCAUAAAAAACCCAUCAAUUUGUUAAAUGUUAAUAAUUGUUAUGAUGGCUUGCUAACUUUUAUUAACAAUGCCAUUAAAAAUCCUUUUGUUCCACACUCUGUAAAAAAAAAACUCUUUAUUUGUGCUUUCACUGCUAAUGAGUUACUUGAUCUUUUGCAAGCUUAUGCAUCAGAGCUAGAUCCCAAGACUUAUGCACUGGAUUGGUCGACUGAUGAUGGUAGCAGUAGCAGUGAUAAGAAGUGUUGUUGGGUAUAAAUACUAAUGCUAUUGGUGUCAAUGUGCAAGUGUACACAACAAGUAAUAAAGUGAUGAGUAUUCAAGAUCGUCUCCACAGGGAUUGAUGUUAUUAGACUUGCUACAGCAAUCUUAACAGUGCAGAUUUUGUGUAUAAAUUAAGAUAAACAAUUUAUGAAACUAAUUUACUAAUUAAAAAAAAAAACACAAUAAAUAAAAUGCAACAAAGUAGAUUAUUACGUCAAACUCAAGGAUAAAAACAAUGAGAAUAUAGAGUAGUUGAGUGAAUAAACUCUCUUAAUGGUCUUGACUAUUUUUCUAAUGUUUGGCUCGGUUGCUACAGCAUUAGGCAGAAUCCUUAUGUAUCCUCAGCCGUCGCAUGUUGGAUAUCUUAUAUCUAUAUGCAACCUAACAGUGAUCCGUUGCUAUGCCAACAUAAGAUAUAGCAUUACACGUUUAGGUUCUAUUUACCCUACAAGGUGAAUCCUUAUGUCUAGUUCAUCACUAAUCUUAAAUCAAGCAUGGCCCUUUUGGGACUCAAGUAAAACUCAAUCCGAGAAACUCAAUUUAAGAUCAAGUAUUGUUCUGAUAUGCUCCACUAAGAUAGGCCCUUUUGCGGCUCUUCAUUAGCUAGUAUCAUUAAAUGGGUGAUCAACCGAAAUAACGAAUAAAAUAAAUACUAUCAAAACAAACUGCUAAAGCAAACAUGCAGCAACACAUAUUUCCAGUCAAUAAACCAUCAAGAUUGUUUAUCACUAAACUACAAAUAAAUUUAGUUCAUGAUUUGCAAAAGAAAAAUAAAGAACAAAGUUUCAGCCAUGAAACACAUCUCUAUAAAUAAAUAGAAAACGAGAAAACAAGAGAAGAAUAAGAAGGAUUGAGCUCCCAAUUGACCUCUGCAAUUUUUCCUCUUGUGCAACCCUUAAUCUCCCUCUUGAAUCUUGUUUUUUUAUUUUAUUUCUUUGUGUUUUUCUCCUUGGGUGACGACCCUCUCAUUCCUUAUGAUGUGUGCUUAUUUUAUAGUUGAAAAUUAGGGUAAACGAAAGCCUAAGGCGUGUAUAAGUCAGAUUAGGAAACUGCAGAUCGCAAUUCUACAAGUAUCCCACGCGGAAUUUUCUCUGUCGUUGUUCCAGGAUUGCUACAGCAACGGUUACAGCAAUUGUUGCUACAGCAAUUGCACUGUUCCAGAUUUGUUUCAAUUCUUUUGUAGCUAAGUUCUUCCUCAUUUUUGCAAGCCUAUUGCAGCAGCAUUCCUUCCAUGAAUUAUAAGCUUCUGGAAACCUACAAUUAUGCACACAAUUUAACCACGAAUUACUUUAAAUUAAGUAAAACUCAUUAAGACUAAACUAAAAUGAAUAUUUAUGCAAAAUGUAACAAAAAUGCAAUAGAAACACAUCAUUUACUCUCUAAGUAUUAUUGAUUUAAGUCUAAAAGUGUCAUGAUAACUCUCAUUUUAUAGAGUUAUCAAGUGCAAAUUAGAUUUAACUCUCUGUUUGUAAAUAUUUUUCGUUGUAGUGUUCAUGUGAUGUCUUCUAAACUCUUUCUCUUUCUUUUUAAAACAUUUAGGAUAAUGUCUCGUUCAGGUUGGGGGGAGGGAAUAGGGAUGGCAACCAAACCCGGACCCGGAUUGAACUCGAAAAAUUCGGUCUUGGUUCAACCCGCACCGGAACAAUUUUUAUGCGGAAUUCGGAUUAGUUUUUCAGAACCUGUAUAUUUCCGGUCCGAAUCUGGGUUCAGGUGAACCCGCAAAUUUGGAACCCGGAUCCAGAUAAUAUUUAUAUUUAAUAAAAAAUAUUAAUUUUUUAGAAAUUAUUAAAUAUAAAUAGAAAAUUUAAAAAAAAAAAAACCCUAGCCCUCUCAAUCUCUCAUCUGUUCCUUUCUCAAUCUCUUAGACUCUCACUCAUUCCUCUCUCUCACUCUCACUCUCUUCAACUCUAUUGUAAUUUCUCUUCUCUCAUUCUCUCAUUUGUACUUCUCUCAAUCUCUCUCACUCGUUCCUCACUCAAUCUCUCUCACUCUCUCUUCAACUCUCCUGUAAUUUAUCUUCUUCAGAUCAGAUCCUUCGCGGCGUGGCUGUUAUCACCGUCACAGUGCGGCUGUGUUCGUUUCAUCACUCAUCAGCAUCAGCAUCACUCGUCUCAUCUCUCACUCUGUCGCAGCCAGCAAAAGGGGGUGGAUUUCGCGACUAUGUCCUGUGUUCAUCAGCAUAUACUUAAGCUGCCGCUGUGAAUAUUUGUGAGUCUCGCCUCUUCUCUUUACAAUUGAUGCUCUAUUACGCGUUGAUUAUUCCCUCUUUACAAUUUAAUUAUAUUGUCUUGACAAUUUACGUGCUGUUAUGCUCUAAUUAUACUCUCUUUGGAAUUUAAUUAUAUUGUCUUUGUAAUUUAUGUGUUAUUAUGCUCUGAUUAUACUAUCUUCACAAUUUAAUUAGAUUGUGUUUGCAAUUUUAAUAUCUAUACUUUGUAACUUUAAUAGCUAAACUCUGUGAUUUUUAAUAUCUAUACUCUAUUAUGCUUCAAUUUUAUUAUUUAUAGUUUAUUUAUUUUUUAAUUAUUUUUUAUUGUUGCUGUUAAUAGAAUAGAAAUGGUGUCUCUAAAAUAUUUAUAGCUUUUACGGUUAGACAUAGCAUAUAAAUUGGAAGAAGUUACUGGAAUUUAUGAUGUCUUGACAUAAUUUUUGUACAGUGAAAAAUUGAUAUGGAAAAUGAACAAAGAAUCAACUUGGAUGCCUCUGAAAAAAGUGAUGAAAGUGUUUGUGUGAGAGUUAGGACAGAAUCAGAAAAUAAUAAUGAUACAGUUGUUGAAUUAGAACCAAAUUCAACAGCAGCAGUUCAGGGGAGUAGUCGUGGCCGUAGAGAUAAUAGUAAUCCUGUCACUUCACAAAAAUGAGGUGGUGGUGGUAGAGUAGUCUCUGAUGCUUGGAAUCAUUUCAAAAAAGUUAAGUUGGGUGAGGAAGUUCAGGCGAUUUGCAAUUACUGUGGGUUAGUUAUGCAAGGACAUUAUUCGAGGGGUACUAAUCACUUAAUAAAGCAUGUUAAACGUUGUCCUAUAAGGUCAUUCAAGAAUGUAAGCAAAUGCACCUAUCUUUUUCUUCUAAAGAUGAUGGAACCACUUCACUUAGUAAUUAUAGCUCUGAAUCAAAAUGGAAUAUGGCUAUAGUAAAACUUUUUGUGGCUAGAAUGAUUGUACUACAUGAGCUCCCCUUGGCAUUUGUUGAGUACGUUGGGUUUUAUGACUUGUUGAAGCUACUCCAACCUUCUAUUGAGACUAUUAGUAGAAACACCACCAGAGCUGAAAUUUUGAAGCUUUAUGAUGUUGAAAAGAAAACGACAAUGGGUAUUUUCGAAGUUUGUGAGAGUAGAAUCGCAAUUACUACAGAUAUGUGGACUGCUAGUAACAAAAAAAAAAAAGGAUACAUGGUUAUUACGGCACAUUACAUUGAUAGCUCAUGGGUGUUGCGAAGUCAUAUUAUGAGGUAAUAUUCUUGAAACUUUUUUUUUUUUUUUGGUUUAAGCAUAAAUUAAUGUCCUGUCUAAUAUUUUAAGGGAAAAUGACAAACACACCCCCAACGUUUAGGCAAAGGGACAAAAAACCCCAUAACGUUUCAAAAUAGACAUUUACACCCCAAUUUAUUAUAAUUUUACCAUUAUACCCUUCUAGCAUAUAAAAUAAAAUUACUAGAUUAUACAAUUUGUCUAUCUAUUGUUAAUAAAAUUAUAAAUAUACCCUUAUUGCCUCAUUCUUCUAUUUAAAUUUUUAUCAAUAACCAAUUUUCAAAAAAGACAUCUACACACUUUAAAAAAAUUGUAAAUAAAUUAUAAUUUUAAAAAUAAAAUUGGUUAUUAAUACCAUAAUAAAUAACAUAGAAAAUUAGUUAUAAAUAUACAAGUUUAAAUGAUUGACAUGUGGAGAAUUGUUAAAUAUAAAAGUUUAAAGUUUAAAUAAAAUUGGUUAUUAAUAACCAAUUUUAUUUUUAAAAUUAUAAUUUAUUUACAAUUUUUUUAGGUGUAUAGAUUUUUUUUUUUGAAAAUUGAUUAUUGAUAAAAAUUAAAAUAGAGGAAUUGGGCAAUGAGGGUAUAUUUAUAAUUUUUUUUAUAAUAUCCAACUUGUCUAUUUAUAAUUUUUAUUAACAAUAUAUAGACAAAUUAGAUAAUCUAAUAUUUUUUUUUAUAUGCUAGAAGGGUAUAAUGGUAAAAUUAUAAUAAAUUGGGGUGUAAAUGUCUUUUUUGAAACGUUAGGGGGGUUUUUGUCCCUUUACCUAAACGUUGGGGGUGUGCUUGUCCUUUUCCCAUAUUUUAAUUAUUUUUCACAUUGUUAGGUUUAUAUAUGUGCUAGCUCCACAUAGUGCUGAGGUAAUGUGUAAUGAGUUAUAUGAUUGUUUGAUGGAUUGGAAUAUAGAUAGAAAGUUGUGCACUGUAACUGCUGAUAAUUGUGCUGCAAAUGAUUCUAUGAUUGCCUUGUUGUUGGGCAAAUUUUCUACUAGUUCAAUGAUUAUGGGUGGCAAAUUCUUUCAUAUGCGUUGUUGUGCUCAUAUAUUGAACUUGAUAGUUAGAGAUGGUUUAUCUGUGAUACAAAAGGGAGUUGAGAAAAUUAGAAAUAGUGUUCAUUAUUGGACAACAACACCUACUAGAGUUGAAAAAUUUGAGAAUGCAAAAAAACAAUUAAGUAUUAAGGAAACCAAAAACUUGGUACUUGAUUGUAAAACUAAAUGGAACUCCACUUACUUGAUGCUUAGGACUGCAUUGUUGUUUAAAGAUGUAUUUGAUCGUUUAAAGGAAUAUGAGAGAAAUUAUACAUCUUUACCUAGUGAGUCAGAGUGAAAUUUGUCAAAACUUAUGUGUGAGUAUCUAAAAAGCUUUUAUAAGUUAACAGAACGUUUUUCGGGGACACGAUAUCCGACAUCUAAUUUAUUUUUUGCCAAGAUUUGUGAAAUUAGAUUGUCAAUUAAUGCAUGGUUGCAAUCACCAAUUGAGGGGAUAAAAAUAUGGCCACUAGGAUGAUUGCGAAGUAUGAAAAAUAUUGGGAUGAUAUUCAUGGAGUUCUUGCAGUGGGGACUAUGUUAGAUCCUAAGCGUAAAAUGUUACUGAUUAACUUUUUAUUUCCUAAAAUAUAUGGGGAAAAAGCUGAAUUUGAAAUUGAAAGAGUGCGUAAGUUAUUUGUUGAUUUAGUGCAUGAGUAUAAAGUUACUGAUUAACUUUUUAUUUCCUAAAAUAUAUGGGGAAAAAGCUGAAUUCGAAAUUGAAAGAGUGCGUAAGUUAUUUGUUGAUUUAGUGCAUGAGUAUAAAGUUACUGAUUAACUUUUUAUUUCCUAAAAUAUAUGGGGAAAAAGCUGAAUUCGAAAUUGAAAGAGUGCGUAAGUUAUUUGUUGAUUUAGUGCAUGAGUAUAAAGUAAAGCAUCUAUCAAAUUCAAGUGAGGGAGUUAAUGGUGCCAAUUCUCAAGCUGCUACAUGAGGGGAUUCUAUUAUGUUGGACUUGGAUUUGGAUGAAAUGACUGAUGAGUGGGCAUUAUUUAGAAAUGAAAACACAUAGAAUACUCAUUCCAAAUUAGAAUUAGAGCUUUAUCUUGAGGAGAGUACUUUGCCUUCAACUAGUCAAUUUGACAUUUUGUCAUGGUGGAAGAAUAAUCAAGGCAAAUAUCAUAUACUUGCAAAGAUCGCAAGGGACUUUUUGGCCAUUCAUGUAUCAACAGUUGCUUUGGAGUCCGCUUUUAGCACUGGAGGUAGACAUUUGAGCCCUCAUCCCUAGUAGACUUCACCCAUCCACAGUGGAGGCAUUAGUGUGCACUCAAAAUUGGUUUUGGCUUGAACAAAACCUAAAAGGUAUGAAAGUUUUAUUUAUUAGAAUCAAAUUAUUUUUUAUAUUGUUCUUAUUAUCAAAUUAUCACUAAUUGGUUGUCUUGUUCAUUAUGUUUAUGAUUUACACAUUUUUUAUAGAUGGAAUUUUAGAGGAACCAAUACUUUCUGUUGAGCAUUUGAUUGAUGAAGUUGGAUGAGUGAGCAACAGUCAAAUGAAGUGGAUGAUUGAAAGUUUAGUCUUUAGCACUAGUGGUUUGAAAUUUGAACUUUAAAUUGUAGAAUUAUGUAAUGGAUUUGUAUUUGUGGAUGUUUAUUACUUUAAAACUUUGAAUUUUAGAUUUUAUAUUGUGUUGUAAUUGUUUUAGAACCUGGAUAAGUUAUAUGUUUUGUAUUUGAAAUUUUGUUGAACUAAAGUAAAGCAAUCCGGAAGCAAUCUGGUUCUGGUUUGUGUUCUUUUUGUUUUCCUUUUUCCAGCAAGUUAACAACUUAAGUAAAGCAAUCUGGGUUGAAAACCCAGAAUCUGGAAACCCGGAUGUUUCUAGGUUGAACCCGGACUGGACCCGGAUUGACAAAAAAUGGGUUCAAUGCGGGCCCGGUAAUGAGAAAUUUGUGUCCAGGUCCAGAUUCAGAACGGCCAAACCCGAACCCGGACCCAGAAAUUGCCAUCCCUAGGAGGGAAUAGUUGAUAAUUGUGGAAUGUCUUAGUCCUAGUGUUGUUUUUACAAAGUUUUGCUGUAAAGACUAACUUUGGACUAAAUUUGAGUCGAAGAUGGUUGGAUAUGGAGAGUCCAGUACCUCUAAAAACGUAUCUUCUUAAUCUUAGAGUUUUAUUAAAAAACAAAGUAACAUAUGUGUGUUCUUUGUCAUCUUCUUUUAAGCUUCUGCAUCGAGUUCAAGUGAGAUCUCCCCCUCUUCUUCUUUUAUUAUAUAUAUAUUUUUUGCAUGCAUAUCUGUAAUAUUAUAAAAUGUUGAGAUAAUGUUUAGAUUAAGUUGGAGGGUGGGGAUAGUUGACAUGUGUUUUUAAAUAUGUGUGUUUGUUUUUCUCUUUUCUUUUUAUUUUAGAAAAACAAAUUUGUCUAGGAUGGUUGUCUAUGUUGUAUUAUAUUUUGAUUUUGAAAUUCAUAGUAAGUUGUUUUUGUUUCUUUUUCUUUAAAUUACUCAAAUUUGUGAACUCUUCAAUUAGCUAUUAAGUCAUUUAAUUGUUUACUCAUUUAACAGGUAUUAUUGAAUCAUUCUUAACACACACACUAUGACACAUACUAGUGGGUUGUAAGUUAAAAUUUUUGCAACAUUUAGUUCUUUUGAUUUGUUAGGGAUAAUAUCAAAGGUAGUAAAAAGUGCAUAUUUUAAAACAAAAAAAAAGAAAAAAAUUUGAAUAUGUUUAAUUUUGUUAUAUCUAGAACCCGAGUAAUUAAGUCUGUAGGGGUAUUUCAACACCUAGUGUCCUAAGGCCAACUGGUCUGGGAGUUACUGGCCCAAAACUCGCUACAUGAGUUAUAAAUAUAUAGUUUGCUUAUUAGAAACCUGAGUAAUUAAGUAUGUAGGGGUGUUUCAACACCUAGUGCCCUAAGGCCAACAGGUCUCAAAGUCACUGGCCUCAAGCUUGCUACAUGGGUUAAAAAUGUAAUAUUUUUAAUUUAUAUGUGUGAAUAAUCUACUGCCUAAAGAUAUAAUUUCUAAUAAAUUUUUGAACAAAAAUGUUGUUUUUCUUUUAAUGAAGCCCCAUAAGUAUUGUGUUAAUUACUUGAGCACAAAAUAAGGUUUGAUGAUAUUCUGGAUAAUGAGUGAACGACAAAGAGGUAAGGAAAUAUGGGAGAGUUUAUUUAUUUGAUAGUUUAGAGGAUAAAUGAACAACUAUUAACUUGCAUGUGAAUUUUAUAAAUCUUAAUUUAAUAUAACUCUUUAAUUGCUAGGGGCUAGCAAUAAGGUGGUUGGGGGGUAUGAUUGGUAUUAAAAAUUGUUUGAUUAUCAGGCGAUAAACAAAUUAUUUUGCGCUUCUAUUAUAAUUUAUAUUUGUGUUUAUGCAAUAUAUUAAGAAUUAUUAAUUAUGUCUUAACUAUAUUUAAUUUUGUGUAAUUUUGUGUGUUUAUAAGGCAAAAUAUUAAAUUCGUGUAAUUCGAGGCUCUAAACAGAUAAAUGGAUGACGAAUUUGGAUUCCGAAGGUUCGAAAACCUUCGAUGAGUUAAAACUGUCUUAAAAUUAAGGUUGUGCAAAAGAGUUGACUUUUUCUGUUGACCGAGUACUUAUUGGAUGAUAAAAUGAGCUUACAAUAGAUAUGAGUGCGUUAGAUAGCUGGUAAUUUUGAUUAAAUCUCAACCGUUAUAAUUCAAUGGCCACGAUUGUGCCACAUGGCAAUGAUUGGUGAAGCAAGUUGUAGGAUCCGAAUAUUUGUAUUCGGGUUGACCCAAUCCACCCAUUAACUCGCCAAAUCUCAACCAUUCUUUGAUCGAAUCGGAUGCAUCAAAUGAUGCCACGUGUAAUGUUGACUUUUGAAGUUUGACCAGCCGUUGGAUUGUGAUCUAAUGGCUGUGAGGAGCGCAUGCAUAAAGCUCAUAAUGGGCCGCGAAACACUGGAUUAUGAAUUUAUUUUUCUAUAAAUAGAGCCCCAUUUUUAUGCUUUUGAUCAUCUCUCUUCUUCUCAAUUUCUCUCAAUUUCCCUUUAAUCUUGUUUUUCAAGUGUGUUUUUAAUAUUUUGUAUAAAUUGUUAUACAUAAAUUUAGUUUUAUUUUCAAUUUUAGUUGUUUCUAUUACUUUUAAUUAUGAGUAAUUUAAUUUUAAUAAUUAUUUUUAUUUCAAUUAUGCUUAACUAAAUAAUAAUAGUUAGGGUAAGGUGAAACUCUUAGGAAAUAAAUAUGAUUUAAUGAAAUUCUAUUUUAUUUAUAUAAAUUAUUUUCUAUUUAAUUUUAUACAUAUUUUAUAUUUUGAAAGUUUGAUUUAUUAUACACAAAUAAGGGAGUUUGGCACAAUAAAUUCUUAAUAUCUUAAUAUAAGGUAUGGUAAAAUGAUAUUUUGACUUAUUGUAGACAAAUUAAAUUUUGGCACAAUAAAUACUUAAUCCAUAAUAAAAUUAAUAGAAAAAUAAUAAUAAUUUAUAUAAUUAAUGUUUUGAGCAAUAAAUAUAAAAAAAAAUGACAAAAAGAAUUUAUUAAAUUUUAUUUACUACUAAAAGUGAAUCCAUAACCCUAACUAAUUCAAUUUCAUAGUUUCAUUUAAGUUAAGUUGUAUAAGUUUUAUUUUCAUUUUUAGAUAAAGUAAAAUAAAAAAGUAAAUAUUUUCUCUAUGGAUCGACUUCGAACUCACCGAACUAUAAUAUAACUAGACACUCUUAUACUUGGGAGUUAGAAAUCAUUUUUAAGUUGUGUCAAUUAGGGUACAAUAUCAAUUCGUUCGAGAGGUAGUGGAAGACGGAAAUGUGGAUUUACAGAAAAUUCAUACCAAGGAGAACCUAGCAGAUGUUUUGACAAGCCAAUCAAUGCUGACAAGUUUGUAUGGAGUAGAUCCUCUUAUGACUUUGUAGAGACGUAAGCAACAUGAUAAUGACGAAAAAGAAUGAAUGGCGUAGAGUCAUGAUUGGUUCUUAAUCAAGUCUCCAAAUGGGAGAUUUGUUGAACAUGUGCAUGCAUGUGGCAAACAAUUGCUCGUGGAAACUUUUGACUUUUGACACAAUUUGUUGAGUAAGUGGGAGGCUAGCACAAAACUUUUGACUUUGGCACCAAAGUAGAAUGUUAAAUGAAAAUAUAUAUCAUUUUAAAGCCCACAAUUAUUCUUUUUUUGGUCAUUGCUUGACUUAUAAAUAAAGGCUUCAUUUGCCCUUUUCAUUCAUCAAAUUUGUUUUUUUCAAUCCUCAAUCUAAUUAAGAAGUAAAAGAGCCAAGAGUUGGAGAUUGAGAGUGUCCUGAGAGCUUUAAACUCUUGUUUUAGUGAAAUGAGAGUUUGGGUGUAUUAGAUUUUGAGUUGUGAAACAAAAUACUACAAUAUUUGUUACUCAUUUUCACUAGCAAAAUAUUUCCUUCUAUCUUUGCCCAUGAAUGUAGGCUAAAAGUCAAACCACGUAAAUUCUGUUGCUCCUAUGUGAUCACUGUUUCUCAAUUUCACUUUAAUUGUGUGUCUUCUUCACCCAUCAAUUUCCCAACAUUUCUCUAUCCAAUAAUUGAUUCCAACAACGAUCGAAUUUAACCGCUUUCUUGUUCCUUCAAUUGAUAUACCCACAAAAAUGUCAUCUUAAAUUGCCUUAUUCGCAGCAGUAUAAUGAGUAGAAAAUGCAUCAUAUAUUUAUAUUACAAAAUUACGAAAACAAAAAUUUAAAGAGAAAAAAUAACAAAUAUUAAUUUGGCUUGUCUUUUCAAAAAAAGUUAUGAUUAAUUAUAAGCAAAAACGUUACAACAGAGCAUAUAAUAAUAAAAAGAAAGAAAAUAAAUGAAUCAAACGUGCAUUUUAAGUGUCUUGCUAUUGUGCAACUCCACUGUUGUAUUUCUUCAUUCUUUGAAGUCUUGACAAACAAAUAAUUAAUAAUACAACAUAAUUUGAAUUAUAAUCUGAUUUUUUGUUUUGUUCUUUCUUUUUAUAUUUAAGUAUCUGCCAUUGACGAUUGCAUUUCAGUGGAAAAUAUGUAUGGUGAUACUUAGAGGAGAGUUAUUUAAAGCAAAUGAAAGAUUGAAAGAAUCAAAUCAUAUUAAUUAUGGAGAGAAAAUAGGAGGAAAUAGAAGAAAAAUAUUUGAUAAUAUGCUAGGGCCUAUUAAUUUUUACUUAUGAUAUUAUUGAAAAAUUGCCUUUUGUCAAAAUUUUGUAAUCUUUUUUUUUUUCCUUAAGAGAGGUCAGGGGUUCAAGCCCCGCUCUCGUAUGGAGUCACCGCUUUGACCAGCACUUUACCCCUUACGGGGUGACCCGGUGCGAGCGGGAAUUAGUUUGGGUUGUGGUACGAGCUUAAAGGUGCCUCUCACAGUUGGGGCCCACUCAGGACCACCUCGUGGUUCAGACAAAAAAAAAGACACCAUUGUUUUUUAAUCAAUUUAGUAUUAAAGACACCAUUGGUUAAUGCUAAAAUGUUAAGGUUUUGUGUACAUUAUCAAAAAGGAUUGCUAAUUCUAUCUCAUAUAUAUAUUGGUGCACUAUUUGAACAGCCUAGCGCAUUGGAAUACAAUAUUUUUGUAAUUACUAGGCUAUGUUUGGGAGGUUGGAUAAAUUGUGAGAUUGGAUUAGAUUUUGGGACUAACAAAAAUAAUUUAAUUUAAGGUAUGUUUGGUUGUCAUGAACUAGUAAGGCCAAAACAAAUAGGAUUGUUAAUCCUUAUUUGUUUUAUGGGUUUAGGUGGGAAGGAUUAAAUAAAAAGUCUGUAUCAUCUUUAUCACUCUUUUUUUUUAACCAAGUAAGUUAUUAACCAUUAUAGAGUUACAACAUUAGUUGAAAUUGAAAUAUCGAGAUCCGUAACAGUAUUAUUCUAAUUAUUAGUUGUUCUUAAUAUUACUGUCGCUAGCUUGCAAUUAAGUCAAUUUCUUAUAAGCAAACAAGAUGGUCGAUUCAGAGUAGUUGUAAGGACACAUACACCUCCGUAGUUUGAUAAAAUAAACGUAAAGACUCCUAUAUUUUCAGAAAUAGCAUACAAAUCCCUUUUUAGAAAUACAAAAUCUUUUCUUUUUUGUUUUUCAAUAUAAAUCUUGGGUUGUGAUUGAUUUUGAACACAAAGCAUGUUUUGAAUAAUUGCUAUUUGUGGAGGCUCGUCCUACACGUUUUCAAGAAAUUGUUAGCUUGUAGAAAAGGACGAAAACUCUAGACAUGGAGAGCAUUGCCAUUUGUUGAUCAAUAAACGUGGUCCAAGAUUGAUUUAUUGAUUCAACUGAAAUUGACACUUCGGACAUUUACAAUUUCAGUAUAUCUAUUUUAAUGCAUUGAUUUCAUCAAUAGUGCCAGUCUUAAAUGGAGACUCAAUCAUGUGGCAAGUCUCAUAGACUUUUAUUCUUCUUCCGUUAUUGGGUAGGAUGUACCACCCCAAUUUGACAUACGUUGAACAAAUGCCAAAGCAGAAUAUUGCUGAGCUCAACAUUAACUUGUAUUGUAAUUUCUAAAUGUACUUAAUUAAUAUCCAGAAAACUUAGAAAAUAAUCUCUCAUUAUUACAAUUAUUUUCUAAGCUAAUUAUUGAACCAUAAGUUUUUUUUAUUCCUUAUACAUCUACAUCGAAGCUCCUGUCUCCCAAUAGCCUAGCAUUGAGAAGCCUUGAUUAUUCGAAUUCCAUAAAACCUCAAUCUCAAUCUAAAAAAUAUUAAUGAUGAGGGGUGAGCCGCCAACUCAGUAAAUAAACUCAUUUAUAGUGUUAAAAACAUUAAAAAGAAUUUAUUUUACCCUCUUCACAAAUAAAAAAUUUAUAACUUAAUUUUCUGUAUGAUAAAAUUUCAUAAUUAAGUAUAAUAAUACUAAUAAUAAAGAAAAACAAAACUUUAACACUUGUGAUCAUGCCACGUAGUAUCAACUGCAAUGGGGUGACCCGAUCAAACAAUAAUAUAUUCCCCGAAAAAUCCAGUCAUAGCGAUUCCUCAAUAACAUUGAUCAUAACAAUAAUAGUAAAUAUGUGCACAAACAAUAAUCCAGCAUGAGCUGUUAGUAACUGUAAUAAUAGUAACAAGACAAUGAGCUAAAAUAAUUUCAUAUUUAAUAUAACUUAUUGACCAAUAGCUUUUGUAACUCUUGAAUCAUAGAGAACUAUUUACUUUUGGAAUAAAUGUAGUUAAUUUUAAAAUUUUAAUUAAUUUACUCAAACAAAAAUUGCCUGGAAGACUUCUUAGUUUGACAGAUUAUAAAACAAUUUUCCUUUAAACUUAGUCGAUUAUAUUAUCUUAAUUAAAACUUAAUGAAAACAAACACUUUGCUGUUAAAUGCACCCAUAUUAUGAACGAAUUUACUUACAUGGGAAAACAAAAACAAUCCUUAAAUCUCUAUGGACUCAGAAGAUAACUGCCUCCUAAGCUGAUGAAGACUUUCAGCACCAGAACCUCUCUCCUUGUCUCUUUGCCUUCUUAUCUCUCCGUCCUCUUUUCUUAUGUGCAAAUAAAAUUAAUUACGUCUAACUUAGGAUUUUAGAAGAACGAAUACAAUGAAUUCCAAAAUGAAACUAAGCAUUAACCGCCAUCUUAAUAAACUUCAAUUUAAUGGCAGAUAACUAAACGAAACAUUAAGCUAUUUUCUAUUCUAAAUCUCCUUAAUUAAUCUCUCGAUUUACUUCAAUUAAUUAGAUGGUUAACUAAAAGAAGAUAAUUUCACUUUUUAAAUAAACAAUCAAUAACGCAAUUCUUAACUCACGUUUGUUAAUGAUAUCUUAAUUCUUAACAUGAUAUCUUAAGAUAAUUUUUAAAAUGAUAUCUUAAUUCUUAGUUUCUUCUAUUACUAUCAACGGAAGUUGGGUUUUACAUAGGGAUAAUUAUUCUCUCCUAUAAGACUCAUGAUAAUAAAGGUGCCAAAAUAUACAUUAUUAGUCACAUGUAUCUCUAUUAUUUUUUAUUUUUCACGAAACUUAUCAAAUUGUGAUUUGAUGGUUAACAAUUUGUGUUAAGAGAGGCUCCCCGAACAAGCCACUUACUAACUAGUCUAAUUUGUUAUGCGCAUAUGCUAAUGUGCAGCACCCUGUUGUACUAUGCUCCUCACUCUCCCCGACAUGCUCCAUACCAACUAGUCUAAUUUUUCAUGCGCAUGUGGCUCAUGUGCUGCACUUCUGUGUAAUGCAGCCAAAACCAAGAAGAAAAAAUGAAAUAUGCUGGCUCUUUGCCAUGAUAAAUUUUAAAAUAAGUAAUACAACUAAUUAUAAUAUAUAUAUAUAUAUAUAAUAUACAUAUUUAAAUUUUAUAUAACCAUAAAUUACAUAUUAAUUUUUUAAAAUAAAUACAUACGUUCACUACUUUUCUUAUCAUUUUUAGCCGCUAAUCAGUGAAGUAGCAGACUCAUCUGUCACAUCAUGUUAAACAUUAAAAUUAAUGUGAGACUUGACAGUUAUAAGCUUGCUAACUCUAGGUGGAUUUCAAUGCUAUUCUAGGUGCUUUUGCGCAUGAAUGGCGGUUGCUUUCAAGUUGGGUUUCUUGUAAUAAUUUGUAUUUGUAGGGUUUUAUUCUGAUUGGUGGUAUAUUGCAAAUGCCGUCUGCAGGUUUAGACUUUAUUUGGUUCAUUAGAAAGUUGAUAUCGUUUGCUGACUUUGAUCCAAGCCCUAAUUAAACCCCUUCCACACAACUAGAAAAAUAGGCUAUCAUGACAGAAUUUAUGUGAUAAAUAUUAGAAAAUUAGUCAUUUAUCACAAAAAUAUGAUAGACACAUGAUUGAAUUUUCAUACAUCAUAAAGACACGACAGAUUUGUGAUAGAGUUUUUAUCUAUCAGAUAAACAUGAUAGCAUAUUAAUAUUUAAUGAAACCGUGAGUUUAUGAUGGAUUAAUUUGGGCAUGAAACGAGAAUUUUUAACAGAUUUAAAAAAAAAUUUAAAUAAAAAAAUUUAUUUAACAUUUAAAUGCUACCGUUUAACUAUAAUGACUAAACCACAAAAAAAAUUCUAAGUGUUGGCACCUUUGACUUUUUACUCCACUGGCAAAGGGUUGAGAAACCUAAGCAUUGAAACCCCUCAAAAUCUAGAAUUAACCUAAUUUAAUCUACAAAUUGGUUUUGAAAUCUAUUGCAUGCAAACCAAAAUCAUAGUAUAUGCUAUUGAAGGAGCCACUUCAUUAUAAGUUUUUAGGCACAAAAUCACCAUUUAUGCUCAUUGUUACGCCUUCGUGUCUACUAUUGAAGCCGCCGGUGUCACUACUUUGCAUUGUUCAAUCAGCGUUGGAGAAGCCAUCCUUGUAAUUGCUGAAUCCCUAGGUUUUUCGUCAAUUAACUUUUUUAAUUUUUAUUCUGAAUAAAUCAUUGGCCAUUAUAAAAUUAAUUGUUAGUUUUAUUGUUAUCUCCCUUAUUUGUUCAUAAUUUACGCCCUGUUUUGAGAGUUAUAUCAUGAAUGGUUUAUCUUUAUUAUUUAUUUUUUUAAUUCUUGUUUGUUUCUAUUGUUAUUUUUUUUAUUCAAGAAACUUAUACUUUGUCCUUUUAUUAAAUCUAGAAAUUGCUCAAACAUUUAAUUUAGCAUGUCCUCUUCUUUAAAAAAAAAAAAUUGUUCUGAAUCGAAGGAUUUCACUGCCCUGUUCCCUUUCAAACUCAACUUCUAACAUCAAGUUUGUUCAAUUUUUUACUUGCCUUUCCGUUCAAUGUUUAAAAAAUGUUUGUUGGCAAUGGUUUGUCUCAAUAUUGUUAUAUUCUGUAAUUUUUUAGUCAAAGCUUGCAUGUGUGUAAAGUGAUUUUGCUUGAUGAUAUAGCACUUUUCAUUGACUAGUGUCUUUUUAUUGGGAUGAAUCCGAAACUGUGGUCCAAUGCUGUUGACAUUUUUAAAAAUGAUUGUGACCUAGAUUUUGUGUAUUUUAUUGAGUUGAAAAGUGAGGCUCCCUUUUUCAGUUGUCUUUUUUAUGUUUGAAGGAAAUUGUAUCAUGUGGGGGCAAGUUUGGUCAUGGGGACCAAGUAAUCUUUAGUUGCUUAUAUAUAUAUAAUCUUGUGGUCUAUGAAAUGCUCGGUUGUUAGAUUUUUUUUUUAAAUAAAUGUUAAAUGUAUGUGGGCCAAGUUAUUUAGGAUAUUAUUGGUUGGGUAUUGUUAGUUGGUGGUUUGGUGUAAAGUUGUUAAGAUAUUAUGCUGCACACAUUUAAAUUUGUUUCCUGUUGUUUUCGAAUAAGGCUAUUAUGUUUGUCUAAGUAGCGCUAAAAAAUGCUCAAAACUUAAUUUGGCUUGAAUUUGUUUCUGUUAAGUUGGAUAUUUUUAAUGAGUUUAAUUUAUGCGACAAUAACCAUCAACAGGGCAUGAAUGCAACUGGGCUUCUUUCCUUUUGUAGUAUUUAUGAUAUUCCAAAAGAUAUAGUGUCAAAGUCCUGUUGAUUAGGAAGAACAAUUGAAUUCCAAGGUUCCCAAGAGGUUAUAUUUGGUGUUUUCUGUUGUUUUCUCUCGUCAAAGUAACCGGUUUCAAUUGAUUUGGUGCUCCUUACUAAUUUUUUGUCACUUAAGGUUAAUGAUGCAAGUAUUUAUGUUUUCAGCCUUUACUGGCUUACUUUUUUAUGGUUUUCCAAGCAUGGAAUACAUGGCAUUAAUAUGUUAUAUAAGCCGGUUUUUAUUUGAUUAUUGGUUUUUCCUUUUGCAUUAUCUGCCUGAAAUGUGUAUUUGUAUUAUUUAUUUGUUCCUCACUCAAUGGCUCAUGAUAAGUUUCAGUUCCAGAUUUUGUGUCACACGUGGCAAGAUUUUUUUCAAUCUUUCUGAGUCAUGACUUCAUGGCUUGUCGUGCCUAGUUAAGAAAUCAAUUAAUUUGUUUUUACAUCAAUGCUCUGUGGCUAUUGUAUGUGUGUACCUUUUCUCUAAUACCUUUACUGUUUGAAUAAUUGCUCAUAGAGUUAAAAUUCAGUUAACCAGAUUUUCACAAAGUAAUUUUCAGAAUUGUAAUAUCACACAAGAUUUUCUUCAUCUGGUUGUUUUCCUUGCCUCAAAAUUUUGAGGCUGAGGCGACCAUAAUAGUGUGACUGACUAUCAAUUAAAGUCAUGACCAUGAACAUCGUUGCUCAUACCAUAACUUGUCAGCUUGCACUUCAAAAUUAGGAUUUUUUUUUUUAAAUUAAUUUUUAUGUUCUAUCUUUUCUAGAAACUAAUUGGUCUGCAAUCUGCUAAUAAAAUUAAUUUUACAAUGUUACUGUCAUAUAUUUCUAAUAUCUCUGAAUGUCGGUACAUUAUGUUGAAAUUGUCUCAAUUAUAUGUCAGGUACUAGACAAAAAAUGGAUAAAUCUUGGCUCAAAUAUGAUAGAUUGUCCGAUGAGUAUGAGGCUGACUGCAGUUGAAAGUAAUCAAGAAAUUAGUGUUGUUAGGUGUCCAUGUGAUAAAUGUCAGAAUUUAGCAUUUCAUAGGCCUAAAGAAGUAAAAGAUCAUUUAAUUAUAUGGGGUUUUGAUAUGUCAUACAAAAUAUGGGUUUGGCAUGGGGAAGAUAUCGGCAACAAAUCUCCUGACAACAUAAGUUGCCAAAAUGACAGUGGAUAUAUGGAUUAUGAUGGUGGUAAUACUAUUGAAAUGGUUGAAGAUGCUUUUAAGGAUUGUAAUAGUGAUCCUAAAGCAUUCAAAAAAUUAUUAGAAGAUUCUGAGAAGCCUUUGUACCCUGGAUCAAACAAAUUUACCAAGUUAUCAGCUUUAGUUAAAUUAUGCAAUAUAAAGGACAGAUAUGGGUGGUCUGAUAGUAGCUUUUCAGAUUUAUUGAGUGCUCUUUCUUAAAUGUAACCGGAAGGAAAUGAAUUGCAUGUAUCAAUGUAUGAGGCCAAAAAGACAAUGAGUGCUUUAGGCUUAGAGUAUAUCAAAAUUCAUGCUUGUCCAAAUGAUUGUAUACUCUAUAGAAAUGAAAGCCUUUUUAAUUGUCCUACGUGCGGUGAAUAUAGGUGGAAGAAAAGAGAUGGUAGUGUUGCUGCUUAUUGUUGUGCAAAUUUUAUUGAACUCGCAAGCGCACGAAUCUAUUGUAGAAUAGAUUAAUGGUGACGAGUGUCGAUCCCACGAGGAGGUCGAUUUUAAUUAUGUGUAGAAUUAGUUUUCUAAGUGGGUGAUUGGAUUUGUGGUUGAAGUGAUCUAGAUUAUCCUAAAAUUUAAAUUAAAAUGGCGGAAAUAAAUUAAAGCAAAAUCUAUUGAAAUGAAGCACUUGGGUAUCUGGAUCUGUAUCAACAUGCAACAUGUGCUAAAUAUUCCUUAUUAAUGCCAAUUAAAUCAUGAGGGGGAUUUCCACUCCUCAAGAACCACACUCUAAUAAAUAUGGUGCUAAGGUCUUAUCAUACCAAAUAAUAAUAACCUUAUACUAGGGAGCCGAUGAAACCAGGGCGGUAUCUAGACAAGAUUAUUACUAUUUCUCGACGAAAAGUCAAAACAUCCACAAUAAUUAGAGGGGAAGAGAAAGUAAAUUUACCAAAUAAAGCCCAUGACACAUGUUGAGACUUCACCUUCAACCCAAGUUUAAAAGAAAAUUAGCUACUCAUAAUUGAAGUAAGGGUAAAAUGAAAAUUUAUUAAAAUACGUAGAAAAUACAAGAUGGAGAAGGAAUUACAGAAAAUGAAACUAAAAAAUGAAUUCAUGGAUGCCAAAUUAGGGGCGGAGAGCCCCUUUUUUAUAGAUACACUGAUUAAAAACAUUUUGGAUGCUCAGGAUUGCGCCACGUCAUCAGUCAAUAGUACGCGGUUUGACCAUGCGGUUUGAAUAGUGACACGGUUUGACCACGCGGUUUGAACAGUCAGGUGGCUUGAAUAGUGACGCAGUUUGGUUGUAAAUAAUCCUGUAUAUAUGCAUGUACCGUACUCACGGUUUUUGGUCCACUGACAUGCUGCCACGUCAUCGAUCAACAGUACAUAAGAAUUUUAGUCCAAUAAGAUCGUGACAUCUCAUCAGUCAAUGCCACAUCAUCGGUCAAUGCCACAUCAUCAUUCCAUAUAUGUGAAUAGUGUCAUGAACAGUAACAUGGACAAUACCGUACAUGUGAACAAUGUCAUUUUUCCUUUUAUGCUCCUCCUAAGGUUUUCGACUAUCCUGAGUUCAAAAGUGAUGUCCGUUUUCCUGCCAGAUCUCUCAUUCAUUGUGAAAUGACCAUGAUGCCCCUAAAAUACAUAAAAUACUUAAUUAAAAUAAAACACACAUAAUUACUUAAUUAAAAUAAAACACACAUAAUUAAAUUACAAAAGACUUAAAUGCAUAAAAGUAUGAAUGUUAAUGAAACUUGAGGUGUAAAAUGACGAUUUUCUCCUUUAUAAAUAUACACUUUCUAACACUCAACACACCCCCCAACCAGCUUAUUGCUAGUCCCUAGCAAUUAAAGUGAAAACAAAAUUCAAACCGAAAAUGAUUUUUUUUUAAAACACUCGUGUUUAUUCAAUCAGACUAAUGAUAACAAUCAAAUAAAAGUAUAAGCAUUAUCUCCAGUCUAAAGAAAUAUCACUCCUACAUCAACCAUCCACAUGAAUCAACCCAGUAGACUUUGUCACAAAUACUUUCAAGAAUGACAUGUCAAACCCCAAAAUCUCACCGGUAGUAGUGACACUCUCAAAAAGAAAUUAAACCCAAUAAAAAUAGUCACUUCAAUGAAUGGUAAAUUGAGAGAAAAAUAAUAAGGAAAUAAUAUCACACGCUCUCACCAAGAUGAAAGAAAUAUGCCCGCAGCUUAGAAAUAAUAUGAUCUUUAAGUCAAACAAAAUACUAGUCAACCCAAUUUAUUUAUUUAUUUAUUUAUUUUUUAUUUUUUUAUUUUUACUUUUCUUUUUUUUUCUCUUUUUUUUUAUGCACCACUACAUCUUUUUAGCCCAUAUAACUAGCUUCUUCUUCAGACUAUAGCUCCCUAAAAUCAGGAAGGACUUUUAUUAGGAUGUAACGUAGGCUAGGGUCAUGGCUAAUAAAAAAAAAGGGUAAUAGGAAAACAAAAAUGUAUGUUUGAAAAAUAGGGGACUUUUUGGAGAUUACAAGAUGCUUUAUUUAUUUAUUUUUUUGGAAUUUUCUUUUCUUUUCUUUCAUUUUUUUUCAUUGUAUAUAUAUAUAUAUAUCUUUUUUUUUUCAUAGCACCAUUAUUAGGAAUACAUAAUUAUCCCUAUUUUCAAACAUAAUUGGGUGGUGGAAAACGUGAAACAUAAGGUGAUACUCCACAUUGGAGUAAGAAAAUAUGAUAGGUUACCAAAGAAAUUUUUUUUUUUAAUAUAUAGGCUCAAAGGGGUUAAUUAUGGAUACUUUAUAAUAGGAUUGGCUAGAAAGGCUCAAACGGAUCAAAGAUGGCCUUUCCAUCGUCUUUUAAGACUCUAAAUAAUCUUCUAUAUCUACUAGUUAGAUAGACAUUCAGAUGUAGCAACACACAUUUUUUUCUUUUACAAUUUUUUUAAAGGGUUGACUCAAAAGAAAUCUAGAGAUCGUGUAUAAAAUAAUAAACUGAUAACCUGUAUGAAGAAUGGGCAAAAAAGGUUACUCUCCAAGAAAAAUGACAGGCUCAAAACCUCACUUGGAAUUUAUUAUGACAUGUGCAUUCCUUUAAGCAACUCAUAUUUGUCUCUGACAUCAACAUGUAGAGUAGCAAACAUGGCAUAACAUCACUUAAGACCAAAGAUAAUACAAAUAUUAAAAUUUGAAAGUCAUCAUGUCAUCCAAUGUUAAAAACAAAUAACACAAUUUUAUUUUUUUUGGUUCAAACGACAUUCUACCCCCAACCUAUUCUAAACAUGAAAAGAAAAUAUGCAUGCAGAAAGGUGAAAAUGAUGCAGAAAAAUUAAUUAGAAAAUUUACACUUAAAAUGAUAGAAAAAGAAAAUGGUUUUUUUUUUAACUAAGAAGAUGCAUUUCUAGAGUAACUACACUCUAUAUUCAGCCAUCUUCGACUCAAAAUUUUGAAAGUGUAUAUUUAUAAAGGAUAAAUUAGAAAGAAGGAGAAAAAUGAUUGUCAAAACUUAAUAAAGAAAAAGAAAAUGUCUGGAAAAAUUUUUUAAUUUUUUUUUCAAACGAAGAAGAUGCGUUUCUAGAGUCACUACACUUCAUGUUCAGCCAUCUUCAACACAAAAUGUUAGCCACGGUUAGUCUCUACAACAAAAAAUCAGUAAAAACUUAACCAAGAUUCCACAAUUGUCGAUUAGUCCCUCCCCCCAACCAGAACGAAACAUUGUCCUCAAUGUUUGAAGGGAAAAAAGUAGAGUUUAGAAGACAUCACCUGGGUGGUACAACAUAGAAGAAAAUAUUUACAAGCAGAGAGUUAAAUCUAAUUUGUACUUCUUACUGCGGCUACUGUUACCAGCAUUAUUUGGACACUCCAACACAAAGGUCCUGGGUCUGGCUCUGGUUUAUAAGCUUGUAACAGAUCAAGUAGCUCAUUGGCAGUGUGAACACAAAUAAAAAGUUUUUUUCGCUGUGGAAGGAAUGAAAUAGUUUUUUAUUGUAUGGUUAAGAAAUGCGAUAAAGCCAUCAUAAAAGUUAUUGACAUUUAACAAACCAAUGGGUUUCUGGUGAAUGUGCAGAUGGGCCUAAGAUGCUAAUGUGAUAAGUGCCUCUAGAGUUGUAAGAUCUCCUGGUAGGAAAAUAAAAGCAUCAACAUGAUUAAGCAUUUCAAUUAUUCUUUCUUGCAUACCUGAGACGACUAACUCUUCUCCAAUCGGUGAGUUAGACAAACUGCCCAAAGGUUUUAGGGCUCUUAGGAUGAUGCCUAACACUUGGCUUCCUCUGACAAAAGCAGCUUCUGAGACCAAUUUUGAUAACCCUCGGUUACCUCCUCCAUACACAAAGUGUAAUUUUCUCUCUGCUAUGCUUCGACUAAGAUCUAUGGCUGCCUCAACGAACUCUUUAUGUUUGCCAUAGUUAAAUCCAAAAAGCACACAAAUGUUCUUGAAUUGUUUAUUGAGAGUAGCUGCCAUUGGGAUACUUCUCAAAAACAAUUUGUGAGUGCUUAACAAAACAAAUCAUAUUUAAGAAUCUUGGUGACAGUGGGACAUAGCUGUGUAUGAGGUAGCAUGUCAGUGUCAAUUAACGCGUAAAGCACAUGGCUCGAGAGUAAAAAAGGAAAUAGCAAAAAGGAAAAAGUAAACAGUGAUAAAAUAAAAUUAUUAAAGACAAUAAUGCAAAUGAUAAAACAACCGUGAAUAAAAGGAUAUUUACAGGUAGUUGCGACUGUGGCUCACAUCUUCCUCUAGUUUUACGUCCAGAAACGGCUUGAACGCCCUCUAUAGGUCGAGGAUAGGCUUCCCAUCCAGUUUUCUUAUAAACUGGAAAAACAGAGUCGUUUAUAGUCAGAUUCCCGAGACUAUAUCGUGCAUGCUCUUUCUGGAAUAAUGGCCAUAACUAGAGAAUCGCACCUUGUAUAUAUCCACUGGGAUGUGUUUCAAGAGAUAAAAGGAUAUCAUCCAAUGACUCCUUAUUCAAGCCAUCCCUAAUGAGUUGAAUCUUAUCUUCCCUGUUAUCAAACAUAAUUCCUAAAUAACAUGAUUUUUUAUCGCAUCUCAUUCUGGCGCACUUAUGACAAGCAACAGAAAUUCUUCGAGCUCUUCGUUUUCUUGCAUAAUUUCAUUUACCACAACCAGACAUGUAUGCAAUAAAUUUAGGAGGCAACUCACCUGCCAAUUGCACUUUGGCCUCGAUUAACCAGCGGAUGUCAGCAGGUAUGUUAUUCCUCUUGAACAAUUGCAUCCGUUCAGACCGAGUUUUAUAGAUUAUAAGGAGGGCAUUCUGAGGAAGUGAAGGGAAUCAAUUGUGAAGCUUUGCUAAAAUCUCAUUUCUGUCCAUACCUUCGCCUCAGAAUAUCAGUUAUUAUGGGAAACUAAAGUAACUGACUUGAUUGUCACGGAGUACCAUUAUCCGCCACUUCACCAGGGUAACAAACUAAAGCACACAAACAGAAAAAAAAAAACUAAAACAAAAAAAGAAAAUUACAAUCGUCCUCUUAUUGAAUUUACCUCAAGCUCUAACUGGAUGUUAUAGACACUUCCCUCAAUGUCUUUGAGUUGGCUUUCUAAAUCCUCAACAUGGGAUACUAACUCUGGUGGUUGUAGAGCCCAAAUAUGAUGUGUUUUACAAAAUCGAAUUUACCUUUUGAGAUGAGAUUUUACACGUUGACGUUGUCUAAAAAUGUUCAGGAGGAGCUGUUUAGCUGAGGCACUCAUGAUUAACAAUGAUAAGAGAAAACUUAAUGGUUAAACAAACAUACUUAUGCAAAAAUAAUUUCAAUUAGCAAAAGAAUAGUAAAAAGAAAGAAAAAAAUCAAAUCACCGAAAAGAAAGAAAAAUCUCAAUUCAAAUCUAGUGGGUCACUCAAAUUUAUUUUGGUGUCCUCUCCAUGUGGUUGGUACUCUAGAUAUGGCUUUAAUAUUUGACCAUUAACUUUAAAAGUGACACCGUUCUUUGGGUCUUUAACUUCAAUUGCCCCGUGUCGAAAAACAGUGUGAACAAUAAAUGGGCCAGACUAUCGAGAGCGUAACUUACCAAGGAAUAGGUGCAAGUGAGAAUUGAAUAAAAGCACUUUCUGACCUGGAGUGAAAGAUUUUCUCAUAAUUUUCUUGUCAUGAAAGAUUUUCAUUCGCUGCUUGUAAAUCUUGGCAUUUUCGUAUGCAUCAUUAUGAAUUUCUUCAAGUUCUGCCAGCUGUAAUCUUCUUUCUGAGCUAGCUUGCUGUAUGUCAAAGUUGAAUUUCUUGAUGGCCCAAUACGCACGAUGCUGGAGUUUCACAGUUAGGUGGCAAGCUUUUUCAUACACUAGCCUAUAGGGUGACAUCCCAAUCGGGGUCUUGAAAGCCAUUCUAUACACCCAUAAUGUAUUAUCGAGUCUUAAUGACCAAUCUUUUCUGUCUAGCCUCACCGUCUUUUCUAAUAUGUGCUUUAUUUCUCGAUUGGAGAUAUCAACUUGGCCACUGGUUUGCGGAUGAUAUGGGGUCGCCACUUUAUGAGUGAUGGAAUACUUUGUCAAAAGUGCUUUAAAUGCUUUGUUACAAAAGUGGGCACCACCAUCACUGAUUAUUGCUCGAGGGAAUCCAAACUGUGAAAUAAUGUUGCUUUUCAAAAAUCCUAUCACCACUUUGUGAUCAUUGGUUCUACAUGGAAUUGCUUCUACCCAUUUCGAUACAUAGUCAACAACAACCAAUAUGUAUUGAUGGCCAAAAAAAGGGGGAAAGGGUCCCAUGAAGUCCAUGCCUCAUACAUCAAAUAUCUCAACCACUAAAAUUGGAUUUAGUGGCAUCAUAUUCCUUCGUGUAAUGCUCCCCAUUCGAUGACACCUAUCACAUGAAGAACAGAAAGUGUAAGCAUCUCGAAAUAUAGUUGGCCAAUAGAAACCACAUUGUAAAAUUUUAGUAGCUGUUUUCUUAGCGCUGAAAUGGCCUCUACAAGCUUGUUCAUAGCAGAAUGAAAAGAUAUUAUGAAUUUCACUUUCUGGGACACAUCGUCUAACAAUUUGAUCUGCACAAUACUUUAACAGAUAAAGGUCAUCCCAAAAGAAAUUCUUUAUUUCCGCAAAAAUAUUGGCUUUGUCUUGCUUGGUCCAAAGCUCUGGAAGUUGACAUGUUACAAUAUAAUUCACGAUAUCAGCAUACCAUGGUAAUACUUCCACACUCAUCAAUUGUUCAUCUGGAAAUGACCCAUUCAAUGUUAAUGGUUCUGUAAUUGUGUCAAAAUUGAGACGAGAGAGAUGGUCAGCCACAACAUUUUCUGUGCCUUUCUUAUCUUUGAAUUCCAAGUCGAAUUCCUGCAAAAGUAACAUCCAACGAAUUAGUCUAACUUUUGCAACUUUCUUUGUGAGAAGAUAUUUAAGAGCAGCAUUAUUUGUGAACACAAUUAUUUUACAACUAAUGAGAUAAUAUCAAAAUUUCUCUAAUGCAAACACUAUUGUUAGCAUUUCUUUUUUAGUAGUUGAAUAGUUCAAUUGUGCAUCAUUCAAUGUCAUACUAGCAUAGUAAAUAACAUGGGGAAUUCGAUCUACUCUUUGUCCUAAUACUGCUCCUACUGCAUAAUCAGAUGCAUCACACAUGAGCUCAAAUGGUAAGUUCUAGUUUGGGGGUUGAAUGAUGGGUGAUGAUGUCAACAAUUGCUUUAGUUUUUCAAAUGCCACAAGGCAUGAAUCAUCAAAGAUAAAAGGUACAUCCUUAGCAAGUAGAUUGCAUAAGGGUCUAGAAACUUUGCUAAAAUCUUUAAUAAAACGUCGAUAAAAACCAGCAUGCCUAAGGAAAGAUCUUACUUCUCUGACUGUUUUAGGUGGAGAAAGAUUGGAAAUGAGAUCCACCUUUACUUUGUCAACCUCAAUACCUUUGCUCGAAAUGAUGUGAUCGAGAACAAUACCUUAUUUUACCAUAAAAUGACACUUCGCCCAAUUAAAGACUAAGUUCUUUUCUAUACAUCUCUACAGAACUAGUGUUAGAUGAUGUAAAUAUUGAUCAAAUGAAUCACCAAAGACAGAAAAGUCAUCCAUAAAGACUUCAAGGAAUCGUUCAACAAUAUCAGAAAAAAUGCUCAACAUGCAUCGUUGAAAUGUAGCAGGUGCAUUACAUGAUCCAAAUGGCAUCUUCCUAUAUGCAAAUGUGCCAAAAGGGCAAGUGAAAGUGGUUUUCUCUUUAUCUUUUGGUGUUAUGGGAAUCUAAUUAUAUCCUGAGUAACCAUCUAGAAAACAAUAAAAUUCAUGGCCUGCUAAUCUAUCAAGCAUUUGAUCAAUAAAUGGUAAAGGAAAAUAGUCUUUACGUGUGACAGAAUUCAACUUUCUAUAAUCAAUGCAUACACGUCAUCCUGUAGUCACUCUAGUGGGUAUGAAUUCAUUAUCAGCAUUGGUAACUACUGUGACUCCUGACGUUUUCGGGACAACUUGCACAUGACUGACCCAUGAACUAUCAGAAAUGGGGUAAAUGAUACCUGCAUCUAAUAGUUUAGGGACUUUAGUUCUAACAACUUCUUUCAUGUUAGGAUUUAACCGACGUUGCAUUCCCUAGUAGGUUUAGCAUUUUCAUCAAGGUAAAUGUAAUGCAUGCAGUCUACUAGGUUUAUACCUUUUAUGUUGGCUAUGGUCCAUCUUAAUGCUCAUUUGUGCUCUUUUAAAACAUCCAACAACUUGCCUUUUUGUUCCUCAUUUAGGGAUGUUGAGAUGAUUACUGGUAGAGUACUUUCUUCUCCCAAAAAUGCAUAUUUCAAAGUGUUGGGUAAUGAUUUGAGCUCGAGUUUCGGUGGUGAUUCUGAUGAUGGGCUGAGUUUUUUCUCUGAUGGUGCUAGUUGUUCAACUCUUGACUUCCAUUUAUUAGUGUCCAUGGAUGGUGCUGAGUCAAGUAAGGUGUUGACCUCAUCGACUGAUCUGUCAAUAUCAAAAUUCAAACCAAAGUGAGUUAAACAUAUUUGUAAAGGGUCAUCACUAAGGUUUGAAAGAAAAGUAUUAUCAACUAAUGUUUCUAUUAAAUCCACAUCAAUAAUUUCAUCAUCUACAUUGUGAGGUUGUUUGGCAAUGUUGAAAAUGUUUAGCUCCAUAGUCAUACUGCCAAAGGAUAACUACAUAUUUCCAGUCCUGCAUUGAAUGUGAACAUCGGCAGUUGCCAAGAAAGGUCGACCUAGGAUAAUAGGGAUGUGCUUCCUUGAAUCAUGGAUUGGUUGAGUGUUAAUUACAAUGAAAUCAACAGGAAAAUAAAACUUGUCUACCUGGAUAAGCACGUCCUCCACAAUACUACGAGGUAUUUUUGUGAACCGAUCUGCAAGCUGUAACACUAUUAAAGUUGGGUGUAAUUCUCCCAGUCCAAGUUUCACGAAUACUGAGUAGGUAACAUAUUUACACUAGCUCCUAAAUCCAACAAAGCAUUCUCAAUUGUGUGGUUCCCUAUACUACAUGAGAUGGUGGGGGAGCCUGGGUCUUUGCAUUUUAGAGAAAUUUUGUGUUGGAGUAUAGAGCUAACGUUUUCUGUUAAAAAGGCCUUCCUUUGAACGUGAAUGUUUCUCUUUUUAGUACAAAGGUCUUUAAGAAACUUAGCAUAAGAUGACACUUAUUUUAUAGCAUCAUGCAAAUGGAUGUUAACACUUACUUGUUUGAAGAUUUCAAGAAUCUCACCUGUGCAUUUUCCCUUCUUUCCUUUAGCUACCCUCUGAGGAAAAAGAGCUUUAGGAAAAUAUUCUCGUGGGUUGGUUUCUUCUUUUUCCUCCAAUGAUCGUCGGCAUUUACAUGUACAAUUUGGUUCAUUUUCAUCAUCGGCAUCUCCACUUUGUCGUCGACUUAUUUCCCUUUUCGUAAGGUCAUGACAGCUUUGACCUCUUCAUGCUGCUGUGGUGAACUGGUACUUACGUCAUGCACUCCUUUAGGGUUAAGCACUGGUUGACUUGGAAAUUUACCUUUCUCAACAGUCAUUGCCAAUGUUUGAAUUGAAGAAGCAAGUUGUCCCACCAUCUUCUCAAGAUUUGAAACUGAUUGGGCUUGUGAGUUGAAGUCUGCUCUCAACUUAUUUCGUAGUUCAUCAAUGAUGCGGUUCUGCUGCUCAAUUGUGUAGUGAGUAACAUUCCUAAAAUUCUACAAUGCAUCCUCCCAUGGUCUGGGUUGAGAGUACUUCUGGUUCUGAUUGUAUGGUCUAAAUGGUGGUUGAGAGGCUUGAGGAACUUGAGGAAUUGGUUGCAUUGGUGGAGCUGGAGCUACUGGUCCAUUUUGUUGGAAUCCUUGAGACCAUGAAAAAUUAGGGUGGUCUCUCCAUCCAGGAUUAUAUGUAUUGGAGUAUGGGUUGUAAUUUGAUGGCUUUCUCAUUACACCUAUGGCAUUGGCUUGAUCUGGAUAUGAGUCAUGUUUAUGUGGUUAUGUUGAUUUAGCAGUCGUUAAUGAUGCUAUUUAUCGGGAAAGACCUUAAAUUAUCUCUUUAACUUCUUUAAUUCCCGAACUUGACUCGCCAAUGUAAACCUUAUUCACUCCCUUAAUUCUUUUAGUAUUCCUGAGUGAUCGACUCCGUUGUUGGGAAUUAUUCGCUUGUCGCUGGAAGAAAUCUCAAAUCUCUGAUGCACUUUUUGACAUUAGCUCUCCUCCACUUGUUGCCAUUAGCCAUUCUUGCACAUGUGGCAAUAAUCCCUUCAAAAAGUAUUAGCAUUGGUGUCAUUUCUCGUACUCAUGAUGUGGACACUUCAAAAGUAGCCUAUUGAAUCGCUCCUAUGCUUCGAAAAACUGCUUGUCUUCUCUCUGGAUAAACUCUGAGAUUUCCCUUCGAAUAACAUUGGUUUUAUGCAUUGGGAAGCAUUUAUUCAAAAAUUUUGUUACCAUUUGUUCCCAUGAUGUAAUGUUAUUAGCAGGCAAUGUAUUGAGCCAUGAACGAGCUCGAUCCUUUAAAGAAAAUGGGAAUAGUUUAAGUUUAACAUCAUUAUCUGAAAAAUUCUCAUAUUUAAAAGUUUGACAAACAGUAUGAAAAUCAUUCAAAUGAUUAUAUGGGUCCUCAUUUUCUAGGCUAUAGAAUGUUGGGAGACAAUUUAGCACACUAGGUUUUAACUCAAAACUCCUAGCAACUAUAUUUGGGUAUCUUAUGCAUGAUGUGCUCAAAUUAGCUAAGUGACUAAAGGAGUCCUUAAAUGGCCUCUCCUGUGGUGGUGGUUGUUGUUGCAAAUCCAUUUCAAUUUUAUUUUUAACGUGUUUGUGUGUGCGCAGUGUUUUUUCUAGUUCAAGGUCUAUAGGCUCAAGAUUAGGUAAUAAUGACAUUCGACCAUGCAUACAAAGAACACAAAAAUAAAUGAGAACAAAAUAAAUAAAAAUAAAGAAGAAGAAGAAAUUACGGUACUAACUUUAUAACGUUAUUACAACAUUUCUAUAAAAACGCACUAAAAAAAUAAGUGAAAUAAAUUAAGUAAAAAUAAAUUAAUAAGAUAAACAAAAAAUUACAAAGAGAAAAAUAACUUGAAAAUUAAAUUAAAAAAUUUUAAAGAAGAGAAAAAGAAAAGAAAUUAUUACCUUUAAAUGCAGAUUCACUUUUUGAAAAAAUAAGAAAAACAAUUACAAGAAAAUAACUAAAAGAAAUUAUUUACAAAAAUUAAUUCUACAAAUUAAAAUAACUUACCUCUCCGACAACGGCGCCAAAAACUUGUUGUGCAAAUUUUAUUGAACUCGCAAGCGUACGAAUCUAUUGUAGAAUAGAUUAAUGGUGACGAGUGUCGAUCCCACGAGGAGGUGGAUUUUAAUUAUGUGUAGAAUUAAUUUUCCAAGUGGGUGAUUGGAUUUUUGGUUGAAGUGAUCUAGAUUAUCCUAAAAUUUAAAUUAAAAUGGCGGAAAUAAAUUAAAGCAAAAUCUAUUGAAAUAAAGCACUUUGGUAUCUAGAUCUGCAUCAACAUGCAUCAUGGGCUAAAUAUUCUUUAUUAAUGCCAAUUAAAUCAUGAGAGGGAUUUCUACUCUUCAAGAACCACACUCUAAUCAAUAUGGUGCUAAGGGCUUAUCGUGCCAAAUAAUAAUAACUUUGUACUAGGGAGCCGAUGAAAUCAGGGCGGUAUCUAGACAAGAUUAUUACUAUUUCUCGAUGAAAAGUUAAAACAUCCACAAUAAUUAGAGGGGAAGAGAAAGUAAAUUUACCAAAUAAAGCCCAUGACACAUGUUGAGACUUCACCUUCAACCCAAACUUAAAAGAAAAUUAGCUACUCAUAAUUGAACUAGGGGUCAAAUGGAAAUUUAUUAAAAUAAGUAGAAAAUAGAAGAUGGAGAAGGAAUUACAGAAAAUGGAACUAAAAAAUAAAUUCAAGGAUGCCAAAUUAGGGGGGGAGAGCCCCAUUUUUAAAGAUACAUUGAGUAAAUCAUGACCAUCGAAUUAAAAAUAUUUUGGAUGCUUAGGAUUGCACCACAUCAUCAGUCAACAGUACGCGGUUUGACCACGCGGUUUGAACAGUCAGAGAAAAGUAGCCAUCACAUGCUUUUGAAUAUCAAAAUUUAACAACACUGUUUACUUUAUCGUCCGACAUCUAUCUGUAAAAAAUUUGAUCAGUAUAAUACUUGAACAAGAAUGGAUCAUCCUUGUAAAAGCUUUUCACCUCUAUUAAGAAUUUCUUAUUAUCUUGGAAGUUCAAAUUGGAUGACAUUUUACCUGUUGUAAAAUAAUUAACAAUGUUAGCAUACUAAGGCACAUUAUGUAUAGAAAACAAAAACUCAUUAGGAAAAGAAUCAUUGAUAGGUAUUGUGUUAAUUGAAAGCUCAUUUGUAAGUCUUAACAGAUAGCCUGCAGUAACAUUUUCGCCACCCUUUUUAUCUUUGAAUUCAUCAUUUUAAUCUUGGCAUGGCAUCUUGUUUAGACAUUAAAUAUCUAAUAGCAAUAUGAUAAAAAAAAGACCAUAAUAGAUGAACUAAUUAAAUUUGUUUGAAAUUUAUUCAGUGUAAAUAUUACAGCAAGUAGUUCUAUUUAAGUGGUAGUAUAAGUCAUUUGGGCACUAUUUAAAAUUCUGCUUGCAUAAUAGAUAACAAAGAGCUCACCUUUUUUUUUUCUUUGUCCUAAAGCAGCUCCAACAUCAUAAUCGCUAGCAAUAGCAUUACACAUUAGUUCAAAAAGUAAAGGGCAAUCAGGGGAUUGCAUUAUAGGGGAUUAUGCUAAAAGACAUAUUAUCUUUUCAAAGUCUUUUUGACAAUCUUUGGUCCACUCAAAUAGUGUAUCUUUUAUAAAGAGAUUACAAAGUAGUCUAGAUAUGAUACUAAAGUCUCUUAUUAACCUCCUAUAAAAUUCGGCAUGUCCUUAAAAGGAACGAACUUCCUUAAUUGUCUUUGGUGAAGGUAAUUUUGAGGUGAUUUUGAACGAACUUCCUUAACUGUCUUUGGUGAAGAUAAUUUUGAGGUGAUUUUAACUUUGACUUUAUCAACUUUGAUUUCAUUUAAAGGAAUUACAUGGCCUAAGACAAUUCUAAAAAUGGUCAUGAAACAACAUUUUGCCUAAUUUAAAAUAAAUCCUUUUUCUUUACACCUUUCUAAAGCUCUUUCUAAAUUAUUAAGAGAUGUAUCAAAAAAAUUUCUUAAUAUAGUUAAAUUGUCCAUAAAAACUUCUAAACAAUUUUCAACAAUCUCACCUAAAAAUGCUUAGCAUGCAUCUCUGAAAUAUUGCAGGAGAAUUAUAGAGUCCAAAAGGCAUUCUUCUAAAUGUAAAUGUUUCAAAUAGGCAUGUGAAUAUGGUAUUUUCUUGGCCUUCUAAGGCUGUAGAAAUUUGCUGAAAGUUUGAGUAGCCAUCAAGAAAGUAGUAGCAGAAGUGUUCUGCUACUCUCGAGGAUUUGAUCUAAAAGUAAAAGAGGAAAAUGCUCCUUUCUAUUGGCAUUAUUUAAUUUUCUGUAGUCAAUGCACAUAUGUUGACUAGAUGGAACCCGUGUUGAGAUUAGUUCACUUUUUUAAUUUUGUACAGUGAUCAUUGCAGAUUUCUUUAGUACUACUUAUGUUGGACUUACCUAUUUACAAUCAAAGAUAAGAUUGAUAAUUCUUACAUCUAGUAGUUUAAAGAUCUAAUUUUUUACCACUUUUUUUCAUAUGGGGGUUAAGUCUUCAUUGUGGUUAACGCGAGUUAUUUUGGCAUUUUCAUCUAAAAGUAUUAUGCAUAUACAAAAAAUUUCUUCAUUCUUAAUGAACUCAGUGAUCUCUCUUUAAACAAAAAAUUCUGCAAAAUCUUUAAAGUCAUCAAUAAUAACAUUGGUAGAUUCCAUAAUAGUUUGAGUUCCCAAAUUUUACAAUCGAAAAGCUUUAUUAUUAUUUGAAUAACAAAGAAAAAUGCCCUCAUCAUUUUUUUAGUCAUACUUACACAAGUAUUCACGAUCUUUCAAGAUGUAACAUGUAAUACCAAAGAUGUGAAAAUAAUUUAUAUUAGGUUCCUUACAUUUCCACAGUUCAUAAGAGGUUUUUUUAGUGCUUGGAUACAAAAAUAUUUAGUUCUUUUGCUGAAAGACAUUUAGUCAACUUAUUGGAGUUCAACAUCACACGUGCCAUCUCCUCUAAGGUUUUGUUCUUUCUUUAAAAAAUUCCAUUUUGUUCAAGAGUAGUAGGUACUGAAAAUUCAUGUAUUAUACCAUGUUUAUCAAAAUAUUUUGCAAAAUUAGCAUUUUCAAAUUCGUUUUGAUGAUGACUUCUAAUUUUCCCAAUAUUAUGAUCUUCUAAUACAUAAUUUUUUAAACACACCAAACAUAUCAGAUUUUUCUUUAAUAAAAUCAGCCCAUGUGCAUCUGAAGAAAUCAUCUAUGCAAAUAAAAGCAUACCAUUGUUCAGCAACACUUUUCACUUGCAUUGGACUAAUAAAAUUCAUAUGAAGGAAAUCAAGUACUUUAGAUGUGGUAAUAUGUUAAACAACUUUGUACGAUGUGCGAUGUUUUUUGUUGUUAGCCAAUUUGACAAGAAUUACAAGCUCUAGAUUGUUUCUUUUUGAGCUUAGGUAUUCCUCUUACAAUUUCUGCACUCACGAGUUAGUCAAUAAUUUAUAAUUAAAAUGACCAAGUUUUUGGGGCCUUAUUUCAAUUUGAUCAAUAGUAGUUUUAUGACAAGUAAUAAAUUGGAUCAAUUUAUAAUAAUGAUUCGAUGGUCUAAUUCCCUUAAGUAUAUACUUACCCUUGUUAUUAAACACUUGACAUUUGCUGCUAUUAAAAUUUAUCAUUACGUUUUGAUAAUAAAUUUGAUCAAUACUCAAAAGAUUAGCUCUCAAGUCUUCAACUUGUAAAGCAUUUUCAAGUCUAGGAGCACAUGACUUUUAAUACUGUCAGCAAAGGCCACAUGUUCUCAACUACAUUCUUCAUAAUUUAUUAAAGCACUAUAAUCACCAUUCAUGUGUCUAGAGCAACCACUAUCAAAACACUAUAAGUUAUUAAUACAAGAUCGCAGAGAUGUAAAUGACACAUAUGCUUUUAAUUCAUAUUUCCUAAUCCAAUUUGGUUCAAUAAAGUUACCUUGAGCAUUAAGCUUAGGUUUAAGAGUAUAUCUAGGUUUACCAAAUGAAGAAAAAUUAAACGACACAAUUUUCUUUAUGUAAUUCAUGAACCUAAAGCAUCUAGCUCUUAUGUGUCCUUUAAUAUAACAAAGUGACAAGUAAGAACAAAACUUUCAUACUAACCAUGUGAGCUCGAUGUAUAAUGUGUCACAUAUUUACCUUUCAUUUCAUCAGAGAGUUUUGCCAUUGGUAGCGAUACUUUGGUUGUUGGUGAAGAGGCUUUACCAAAAAUAGUAUUUGAGCUUAAAGUAAUUCCUUUAUGAUACCCAAGACAAUAAUGAUCUAAAGUAGCUUUUCCCAUAGUCAAAAUCUUAUCAAAUUGCUUUGUUCUAGAAUUCAUCAUUCUCAAAGAUUUUUUAGUACUUUCUAGCUUAGUCAAAACUUCCUUCAAUUUCUCUUUUUUUUCCAAAAACAGUAGUUUGAGGAUUGAUUACUUCACUUUCAAACCUUAACUUUUCAACAAUAUUUUUUUGAUAAUUCAGCAUGAAUUUUUCUUGCAUCUUUUUUUCAUUUUUACCCAUUUAGAAUAUAUGUAAUCAUCACUACUAGAAAAUAGUCUUCACUGAUACUUGUCUUGUGACACUUUAUUUGAAAGUAUUAGAUGUACAUACAUUUGGACCAUUUUUUGCAUUUAACAGAUAAGUAUCACUAAUUACUAAUACUAAAGUAUCAAUAGCUUUAGCAAUAGCGAUCAAUGAUACUAAGGUAUCAACAAUAAAAAAUUAUCAUUUGAAAUUUGUUACAAUCCGAAUUCAAACCGAAGACCUCUUAAACCUAAAGCUUCUACAUUGAAUCAAAAGACUAGUAGACUACGAAUUAUUUUUAGUUUUUUUAAAGCAGUGCUUUUUAAGCGGAUAAAAACAAAACAAAUGGACAAGUCUUAUCCAAAAUAUAACAAAAAAUUUUCAACUCCCUCUACCAAAAUAUCCGUUCCCUCCUAAGCUCCCCAGAUCUAAAAAAUCCCCAACAUCCAAAUUGUCAAAAAGUGCUCGGCCAUGAUUCUAUCGAACCGGCGGCACAUGUCCGCCAUUUGCCUUCAAUAUCCUAACUUCUUCUUUCUUUUCUUAUUUUAUGAUUUUGGGUCUCUAUUAUUUUCAUCAGAUCUUGAGUUUUUUUUUUUCAAUUUUUCUUUUAGGUUUAAAUAAGUGAUUUAGAGAAGAGCUUCUAUGUUUCUUUAGCUACUUGGAAGAAACUAGAAGGUAAAGAUUCGGCUUUCAUUGUGUUUUUUUCUUUGCUACUUUCUUUUCUUUUAUUGGCACUAGAUAGCCUUUAUUGUAUCUACUUUGGAAAAUAUUGUGUUUAGGGUGAUUGUCACUAUAAGGUUUACUUUAUUUCGCUGAUGAACGAUAUUAAACAUUUUUUACACUAAAACCCUAAAAUUUUCUAAUAUGGGAAUUCUUAAGAGCAGCAUGAUUGUGCUAAAAUUGAUGGUUUAUAUUGGUUCAUAGUGGUUCUAUGUUGAUAUAACUUAUUGCUUAUUAACCAUUUCUUCAUGUGUUAUUAGUUUUUUUUUUCAAAAGCAAUCAUUUCAUUCUAUUUUUCGGCUAUUAUUUUUGGGUUCUGUUCAAUAUAAAUAGUUUCAUUGAAUGAUUACUUUUAUAAAGGAAAAGUUUGAAGUAUGUGGCUUAGGUUGAGAAAUGAGGUGUCUUUAUCAUUUCUUUGAUGGAUAUGUUUAUAGGGCAAAACAUAAAUUUGUUUCUUCAGUUCAUUAAUAAGGCAAUAUUAGAUUGGUUUUAUUUAUUUUUAUAUUCAUAAUAAGGCAAUAUCUGCUUCAGUUGUUUUAUUUUUCUUAUUUAUAUUUAUAUGAUUCAUGGCUAAAAUCAUAAGACUUGUUUACAGGGCAAAUGGGAAUUUUUGUUUUGGUUGAAAAUUUUCUAAGAAAUUUUGGUGUAGAGAUAACCAUGAAUUUUGCAGCAAAUUAAUGUUUGAUGAAUUAUUGUAUAUGAUAGAAUUAUCCUAGUUUAAGACUUUGAAGGUUUUCAAGAAAUUAUUUUGGAUAAUAAGCAUCCGAGUAAUAGCUUGAAAAUUAAUUUAUUGCAUCUGUAUAGUGUAUUAAUUUUAAGAACUAUGGAUUAUUUAAUGAAUGUUCUAGAAAAAAAUAUUAUGUUACAUAUUGCAUGUCUUAACAUAUAAUGAUUAUAUUUUAAAGUUUGUUAUCUUUUUUCCCCCUUUCUAGGUUUAGGAAGAAUGUUGAAAGUGAAAUGAGACUACUAUUGGGUGAUGAUGUCAAUCAAGUUUAAGAAACGUUACUUGUGAGUGGAAAUAUAUAAUGAUUAUAUUAUAAUUCCAUUUUUAAUUUCUUUUAUCUUUUUUAAGUUUUAUAUUCAGGGAAAACUAAUAAUGCUUAAUUACAAUAAAGGGUGAUAUUCUUUAAAUGGUUUGUGUAAUCAUAUUUAAGUUGUAUAAUAAAUUCAUAUUUACUUUACAAAGGCUUAGCUAGGUUUGCAAAUAUUAUUUUUUAAGAAGUAAUGAUUUUGGAAUGAACUCUCAAAUUAUUGAAAUAUUUUGUCCAAACUUUACCAUAUGUUUGAAAUAAUUAAAGUUAAAUGUGUAUGUUUCAGUUUUGGAAAAUUUGGAAUGAAUUGGGUUUGUAACUGAUUUUUAAUCGAUUUUUCAAAAUGGUUGGUUGCUGUCUAAUUUUUCAUAAAUUACUCAUGUAUCAUGUUUGGUGGUGCAAAACAAUAGUCUAAAAGUGUCCGAAUGAGCUGAAAUUUGGAGAAACUAAAGUUCUAUAUGCAUACUUCAAAUCUGAAAAUUUUCAUGUUGAUUGAACUUGCAGGUUAUUUUUAAUGAUUUUUCAAACUCCGCUGCUCUGAAGCAAGUUCUUUUGACAGAAUUGUUUAUUAACUUUUGAUCUUACAAAACACUAGCAUAAUAAUGUCAGAUAGCUGGAGAUGGACAUUCAUAACAAUUAUCUAAGCUUUCCAAUUUCAACUUUUUUGUUGAUUUAAUUUUAAAAUUUAAGUUAAUUUUCAUGUACUUAUCUCAAAAUAUUAGGAUUUUUUCUUUUUAGUGUGUUAAAGUUUGAAAAUUUGAAUGACAUCCUUAAACAAAAGAGUGGUCUUUCAGGAGUGGUCGCUGUGUGCACCUAUCCUACAUGGAAGUGGAAACCACAUUACUUCAGUGUUUCCAUAGUUUUAUUUAAGAGAGAAUAGGGAGUAAUGUUGGAAUGGUAUAUGGCUUCCAAAUUAUGUUCUUUCUAAAAUGUAUGUUGAUUGAUUUAAUGGAUGUUGCGUGAGGGCAUAAAGAUCCUAUGAGCAUACCAUUUCUAAACACUUAUUUAUACUAUUGAUUUAUUUAGAUUUUAUUUAAAUUUAAAUUUGAUCAGCAAUAAAAUUAUUUUUAUGUUAAAUUUUUAUUUUUUAUGGAUUCAAUAGAAAGAAACUUUUUGAUCCGUAUCGAAUCUGCAAAACAUUGGAUUGGAUGUAGAUUAUGUCAAAACUGAAUCUAAUCCGCAGACUUAUACAUUGGAUUUGAAUUAAUUUUAUAUGGAUUGGAUGAGAUUUAAAAUCUAUAACGAUUUUUCACUUGUUGUCAAUUGUUAGAAUUUUUUCACAACGCGCUUUUGUUGGACGUUCUUUCACAACACACUUCCACCGAUCGUUGUUAAAUGGACUUUUGUUUUUUUUUUUAAAUAAUUACAAAUCAUCACAAUCUACAGAUACAUUAAAAUGUAUUAUACACUAGAUACAUGCAUUCAAUUUUUAUUAUAGCUUAGAUGUCUUCCAAGCACUAUAGCCCGGAAAUCUGCUCCCGGUAAUUUUGAGGAGACAUUUGUGCUAUACAAUCAACUUUUUGUUGAUAAUUAUUUUGAGAUUUGUUAAUUUUUUUUCGUAACAGUACUUUAUAUCUAUAACAAAUAAAUUUUUUAAUUGAAUUAGUUUGAUUAAACAAAGUUUUUAUCUUCUUCUGUAGUCUUGAUUAUUUUGAGUGUUAAAGCUCAACAUCACGAUACUGUUUUGAUUAUAGUCAUAAAAAAUUAUGAUUAGUUUUUUUAGAUUCUAUCUUAGAAAACUUUCCUGCACAUAAUAAUAAUUAUAUGUAAAUUUCAAAAAAUAUAUGCUAUGUUACACCAAAAUUUAAGAUAGAAUAAAAUAUUUUUCGAAAGUUGCUUGGAUUAAUGAUUUAUUCUUUAGAGUUGUUACCAUGUCAUUAUAUGAUAUUUAUAGAAAUUACAUUCAGAGAAAAGUAUUAAAGAGAAUGCAAAAGUUUAGACUUUUAAGAUAACUUUGCAUUUUCCCAAUCGUAUAAGAUUGAUGUAGUGCAUACUCCCUAUGUCACUUGGACUAAAGAUAACUAAGUCAAACCGAUAAUUUUUGUAACUACAUCUGUAGUAAGUUAUAACCUACUCAAAGUGGAAAAAAAAAAGUUUGGUCCUAGUAUAAUGACAAUAGAAAGAUUUCACUAUGUAUAUAACUUUGUACAUUACCACAAACCAUAGAUUAAUUUGAGAAUCUUGCCAUAAAUAAAUAAAUAUAUAUAUAUAUAUAUAUAUAUAUAUAUAUAUAUAUAUAUAUAUAUAUAUAUAUAUAUAUAUAUAUCUCAGGGAGAUUGUCAAUAUUCCCCUAUUGAAAUUAGUAUAUAUCACGUAUCUGUUUAAUAUUUUCAUAAUAGCCAAUAACUCCUGUGACAUAGAAAAUUUAAAGGAAAAGAGGGAUGAAUAGGUCAUUUGCUUGAUGGAUCUCUGAAAUAUAAGUAUAAAAAAUAGCAAAAAGUAUAAGAAAAAUAUCUUAUUAUUAAUUUUUUUAAUUUAUAAGAAAUAUUAGUAGAAUGUAUUUGAAAAUAUUAAUAACAUUGUAAAAUGAUGGUGACAUAGGAAGUAUUGGUAUUAUGAAAAUAAUAAAGAAAAAACCGAUAUCUAUUAAUUUUUGUUGGAGAAAAUCUACUUGUUAGAGAGAUUACAUGAAUCAAUUAUUAGAAAUUUUUCAACAAUAUAUUGAGCAGAACAUCACACAAUUGAACAUCUAUUAGAAGCUUGCCGAUCCUGCACAUUGAAAGUGUUUAUAACAACAUUCUUUCGGAUGUAGCCAUUUAUUAAAAUUGCUAUACAACGCACUUUCACUAACCGUUGUUAAAUGGAAUUUAUUUUUGAAAUUAUUACAAUGUGAAAAUGAGGAUUACCUUCUAUUUGUCUAGGAAAAUUAAGCAAAACCCCUCCUUAUUUUUUAAUAUAUUCAAAUCUCCUGCAAUUAUAAUGGAGUUAGUUUUAUUUAUCAUUUUACUAUUCCAUUCUCACUAUCGAUAUUAGCCAUAAAAUUUAGAUAUUUUGAGAAAUUUUUUAAGCAAAAUGAGUUACAUAUCCUCAACAAUUAAAUAAAUUUAUUAACCUAUUACAAAGCAUGAAGAAAAAUUACAAUUUACAAGUAGAGGAAAUAUCAUAUAUACCCCUAAUAAUUAUAUAAAGUAUUUGUUUAAAUGAAUGUAACAAGUUUGAUAUAUUUAAUUUGCUUCUUAAUCUGGCACACGAUCAGUUGUUUUAUUCGAGAAGCAUAGGCUAGGCCAUACCGUUGCCAUUCUUAAUCUGCCUAAUAAUUAUAUAAAAUUUUGAUGAAUGUAGUUCUUUUUUGUUGAGCACUGCAGACGUUUUCAAUGGUUUUACAGACGACAAGGGAGGCUUCAUUUGUAAUGAUUUCAAGGGAAUAAUGAGCUUGCAUGAAGCCUCGUAUUACAGCUUAGAAGGAGAAAGCAUCAUGGAGGAGGCCUGGCAAUUCACCAGUAAACAUCUAAAAGAAGUGAUGAUCAGCAAGAGCAAGCAAGGGGAUGUCUUUGUGGCAGAACAAGCAAAGCGUGCACUGGAGCUCCCUCUGCAUUGGAAAGUUCCAAUGUUAGAGGCAAGGUAGUUCAUAGACGUUUAUGAGAAAAGAGAGGACAAGAACCACCUUUUACUUGAGCUCGCUAAGUUGGAAUUCAACGUUUUGCAGGCAAUUUACCAGGAAGAACUUAAAGAUGUUUCAAGGUAUCCAUGCUUGGUUGCAUAACUCAUAUUUAUGUAUGUAUCAAAGAUUUGAGUUUAUGAAAUACAUAACUUGUACAAAUUAAUCAUAUGCAUAUUAAAUUAUUCUCAGGUGCA
This 226944-nucleotide long non-coding RNA is filed under the name Citrus maxima (pomelo). RNAcentral describes it as "long non-coding RNA (CMAX_LNC001280)". The record is from RNAcentral. Lineage: Eukaryota; Viridiplantae; Streptophyta; Magnoliopsida; Sapindales; Rutaceae.